This 208126-nucleotide long non-coding RNA is filed under the name Ananas comosus (pineapple). RNAcentral describes it as "long non-coding RNA (ACOM_LNC028176)". Lineage: Eukaryota; Viridiplantae; Streptophyta; Magnoliopsida; Poales; Bromeliaceae. The record is from RNAcentral.
AGAGCUUCCCAGGUGAUUCUAAGCUAUUCUUUGCUUAGCAACAAGAUCAAUCUAGGUGGAAACCCUAAGGCUGCGUUUGAUUCGGGUAUAAGUAAGAACUGUUAGUUCUAGGGAUAGGUACAAGUUCAGGUAUAAGCAGGAAUUAGACCAAUUUUGCGUUUGGAUGAAAAUUGGGUUGUUCCUAGGAAUAAGGUAAAUAGUGUUUGGAUGAUUAGAUUGGAACAAGAGGAAUAAACGUUAUAAUUUGAAAUUAAAAUUAUAUUAUGUAAUUAAUUAACAUAAAAAUAUUACUUAAAAAUAAAUAAAAAAUUAAUUAUUAAUAAUUAAUUAUAAAUAAUAAUUAAUAAUAAUAAUUAAUUAUAAAUAAUAAAUUAUUAAUAACGAUUAUCUAAUUAAUAAUAAUUAUUAUUAUUAUUAAUUAUUAAUAAAUAAUAAUAAUUAUUAAUUAUUCUUAUUAAUUAAUUAUAAAUAAUAAAUUAUUAAUAAUAUUGAUUAUCUAAUUAUUAAUAAUAAUUAAUAUUAAUAUUUAUUAAUAAAUAAUAAUAAUAAUUAUUAAUAAUUAAUUAUAAAUAAUAAAUUAAUAAUAACAUCGAUUAUCUAAUUAUUAAGAAUAAUAAUUAUUAAUUAAUUAUUAAUAAAUAAUAAUAUUAAUUAUUAAUUAUUAAUUAUAAAUAAUAUAUUAAUAAUAAUAUCGAUUAUCAUUAAGAAUAAUAAUUAUUAAUAAUUAUUAAUAAAAAAUUAAUAAAUAUUAUUAAUUAUUAAUAAUUAAUUAUAAAUAAUAAAUUAAUAAUAAUUAUUAUCUAAUUAUUCAUAAUUAAUUAUAAAUAAUAAAUUAUUUAAUUAUUUAAUUAUUAAAAUAAUAAAUAAUAAUUUAAAUAUAUUAAUUAGAUUAAUUAAUAAUUUACAGCCAUUAAAAUUAAAUUUAGAUUUUAAUUAAUCUUGUUCUCAUCAAGGAACAGGCUUGUUCCAGGAAAUGGAUGGAAUAGCAGUUCCAACCUUAUACCAGCUAGUUCCAGAUUUUCAAGAACUACUGUUCCCGGGAGCCAAACAUGGCGUUUGGGAACAAAGGGGGGAACAAGGGCUUAUUCCCCCCUUUGUUCCCCAACCAAACGCUACCUAAAAUGACAUUGUUAGGGUUCGAAAAUUGGGGCUUUUGCCCUAGGAUUUUUCGGGAGCGAAUUGACCCCGUAGAAAUCUAAUUGGGGGUGUCCUCGACGCGUGGGACAACUCCAUUUAACGUUACGAAAAGGUUUAGAUGGAGUUAUUGAUAAAAAGCCUGAUUCGGCUUCGUUUUGCCGCAUGCGAAAAAGUAAAGCUUCAAAAAAUUCUAAGAAAUUCACCGUAGCAACCUCUCAACUUUCUAAGGUGGGUGGUGCAUUCCAAGGACCUCGAAAAUCCCUUUAUAUCUAAAGUGUCAUGUUUGAACAUAUAUGUAUAUAUUGAGCAUGUUGCAUAGUAGGGUUAAUUGUGAGCUUUUAUGGCAUGAUUGUGAAUUUAAUUUCGUAUAAAAUACUUGUAAGAAUGUGAGAAUUGUAAACCCUAUUUAUGCAUGACAAGUGACAAGAACUUAGAAGGGCUAGUGAACAAAAGUGACACAUGGACAUAGAUUUAGUGAGUGACAUUGAUGAGUCUCGAAAACUUAGAAAACAAGUGUGGCAUGAGUCAAGAACAUAACACUUAAAAAACAAGUGUGGCAUGAGUCCAAGAAUAUAGUAGUGUAUAUGACACUAGUGAUAGUAAAGAAUGCAAAGAAAAGAAUGAUUGAAACAUUAUGACAUUUCAAUCUUAGAGUUAAGGGUCGUUUGAGUAUGGUCUUCCUUAAAGUUAAGGAAUGGAUUGAACUUGGAAUCCUCAAUGUAGGAUUGAUCGUACUCAUCUUUAGUCCUUGCUCGAGGGUGGUAGCUCCCCUUUGGGCGAUGUGCUCCGGAGUUGACAUCACUGGGUUGUAGCGGGUAUCUCCCCAGAGGACGAUCUUAUCGGGUUGUAGCGGGUAUCUCCCCGUUUAUUAGGAUUUUGGGUUGGUGGGUUUGUUGAGGGCGAAACCUACGGGUUAGCCAAGAGAUUAGGUAAAGAAAUUGUGAUCCUGCAUUCAUCAUGAGCAUUAUAUCGAGCAUCGCAUUUUAUAUUGUUCAGGCAUAUCAGUUGUAUUUGUUAGUUGGUUACUUUCUUUCCUCUAUUCUAUUAUACCUGAUUAGACCUAGUGGGAUAGUCGGCGUGGUUGGUUGCCGAACCUACUGAAAACUUUGUUGUAGUUCUCACACCCCUAUUUUUACAGAGCCGGGACCGAGCGAGCCGGCUGACAAUCGCGGUAAGGACAUCGCGCCCUAGAUAGAGACCAUCCGAGUUGGUUUCACCUUUUGGAUAAGUUGCAUACCCUUUAGUUAUCAUCUUUUGUAUUUUGAUGGUUUUAGCAUUAUGAACAUGUUAAAUGAAUGAUGUAAAAAGAAAUUAUGUUUCAAUGCAAAGUUUAUAUUUUGAAAUAUCAUGUGAUGUAAAAGAGAAGAAAUGAUGCAAAAAUUGUAAUUGAUUUCUCAAGUGUAGUUUAUUACUUUCACUAUUGGCUAUUGCUUGCCCUCGUGUGUAUGCUUCCGCUUAUGCAAACUUUAUACUCUAUCUGUACCUGUUGUGGAGCCUUGGGCGGACAGGGGAGGCUCUGUCCGUUCGGCGUCUGUUUGACGCUCUCGAACUGGCCAAAAGGAUCGAGCUCAGGGCGUGACAGAUAAGAUGGUAUCAGAACGUAAAGAGCUAAAAAGUGAAAGCAUAGGAUGAACCUAGAGACCUUUAGGAAUGGAAAACCUUGAGGAUCUAGGAAACGUGAGUGACGUUGAACAAGAUAUAGCGAAGACAUGGAUUGGGUUGAUGUAAUUAUGUCUCUAAUGUGGUUAGGGACUAAACUUAAGUUGUUAUUUGUUUUCUAUUCUUUGUGUUGUGAUCGGCGGCCGACGACAUGACGCUUUGGAAUGAAAAUGAAUACACUUAUAUGCUUUCGCCGGAUUGGGUAUAAUCGAGUAUAUUGUCACGUAACUGACGUGAAUUGCUUCGUUUCAGGAAGCAAUGCUGCCUCGUGGACGACCUAAGUUGCCUCGUGGUCGACCGCGGAUGAGGUCUAUGGCCGAGGAGCCAAGUGCGGCUCCCGUGCAACCCGGAGCAGGUGGCGACUAGGAGCUUCGAGAGCAGAUGGCCGCGCUUAUUGGCGUAGUGCGGCAGCAGGCGGAAUCCGUUCAACGCCAAGCGGAAUCCGUUCAGCGUCAAGGGGAGCAAAUCCAGAGGCUCUAGGAGGCCUUGGAGCGGUAGCAGGCGGUGGCGGCGGCGGCGCCCGUGGAGGCUGUGCACCAUGCGCCUCCUGCAGUAGUGCCGCGUGCAGCCGAGGGUGUGGCCAAUUACGAUGGUGCCGGCUGGAUCGGGGACCUCAAAUCCCGAUAGUGCGGCGGAGGAGGCGGAGCGGGAGCGCGCGUUGGCAGCUCUCAUUCAGUUCUAGAAGUUCAACCCACCUACCUUCGAAGGGGGGGUGGUGGAACCGGCGGUGGUGGAGUCCUGGAUCGACUCCAUGGAAACACUUUUCGAGGAUCUUAACACCUUGGAGAAGGACAAGGUGUACCUCGCCACACAUUGCCUUGAGAAGGCGGCAAAAGUGUGGUGGAAGCGUGUUAGGCGGGAUCGAUCGCCCGAUCUUCCGCCUAUGUUGUGGGAGGAGUUCCGGAGGGUGGUGUUCGCCAACUACUUCCCCGAUAUGGUGAAGCGGAAGUUGCCAGAGAAAUUCCGCAAGUUGAGGCAAGGAGAUCGCUCGGUGGCAGACUACGAGCAGGAAUUCUCCCGCCUCAUUGACUGUAUCUCGGAUGUUGUUAGGAAUGACCGGGACCGAGCAGUGUCACGCCCCGGGACCGAGCGGAAGCCCGCCCGGCGCGUGCCCAGACCCGCCAUAUGUUUAAAACAUACAAGGCGUCUAUAACAAAGUGAUAAAUGAAGCAGUAAAAAAAAAAAACAUCUAAGAGUAUCAGAGCAAGUAUAUCUAGCUGCUACGAUAGAGGAAAAGAACAUAAGAGUAAGCCCACUAAGUAAAAACAUAAGGUGAAUACAAUAGGAAUCCCAAUACAAAAGCUAAACAAGUAUAUAGGUGGUCUCUCUAUACAUGGUACUCAAAACUCUCUCUCUCACAAAAACCAAAAAGAAGAGAGUGACCACCUAGGAGCAACAGCAAGCUCCGCUAUCUAGCUAUGCGACUCCCUUACCGCGAUCCCGUGCCUCCGCCGGUGCCGAAGGCUCUGAAAUAAAACCAUAAAAUAGGGGGCGUGAGAACUAUUGAAUAAUAGUUCCCAAUGGGCAAUUACUCGCCUCAGUGAAAUGCACUAUUAGGCCGAAACAAAAAGGGGCUCAGUAAGCAGAUAUAAACGAAAACGAUAUGUACGACAAGUAAAUAAGUAUGAAUAUUUGCUACCACAUGAUAUCUCUACUUAGCAUGAUUUAGCAUAAGUAAGAAAGCUAUUCACGUAUGAAUGUACCCAAGCAUCGCUAGUAUGAUGUCCAUAAGUCAAAUAGUAAAGAUGUCAUUAUUUACUAUUCUAAUCAAUGUCCACAUGGCAUGAUGAAUGCUCAAAAUCAAAUCCGAAGAGACCCGCCCGAAGGCUGUCUGGCCCUGAGACCCACCCGUAGGCUGUUUGGUCGGUGCCGAGCCUAAUGGCUCCGUGGUAGUCAACAUCUCCACUCUAGGAAUGAGCCUUUCCCACGGCAAUCCACUGGCGCCCAAUCCCGCACGGCGAAUAUGUAUCGCGAUGGCCAUCUCCGGAGUGCCGGCUUGUACGGAGCGACUCUCACAAGCAUGUGCGAAUGAGCACAAUGGUAAGUAACCAAAAGAUCGUCUCAAGUAUCAAGUCCUCAUGUUUAGCAACAUGGAAUACGUCACACACUCUUAUAGGCCUAUCUCUAUGUCAUUAUGUCUAAAACAUGGAAGGUAGAAGAUGUCCAAGGCCUAUCACUAAGUCUCAAUACAAUAGUCUCAUAGUGUGCUAGUCUAAGUGCCCCUUUAUGACACUUUCAUUUACUAAGUCCAAGCUUAAACCAAAUGUUCAUAAAUGCAUAAUUGAGUCACCUUAAACAUAUGAUGCAUGUUUCCAAACGACUAGUGCGAACACUACUCAUAUGCAUGUAACAAUACCCAGAAUGCUCUACUAUAUAGAAUGAAAAUUAUCUUACACAUAACACAUGCAUUUUAAGUGUUCUAAAAUUUACAUAAAUUCCAUUUAGCAUAGAUUUGUAUUUAAAAUGACGUUAUGACCAGUAUAGAAAGCAUGGGGGCUAUUUCGCUCCGUUUUCAUGAAGGCAAACCCACCACCACUCUUGCGCUCCUUCGUUUGCUCUGACGAAGAUGUCCGCUAGUCUCCUAGCACCCUAAAGAUGUAGGAACAAGGGUUAAACGAACCUUACGAUCAACCCUAAGCUCAAUCAAUAAGCAACAUAGACAAAGAUGGAAAAACUCACCUCAAGUGAAGAAAUCCUCUCUCAAGCUCCAAAUAAGAGUUAGAGUUCUUCAAAUCCUACCUAAAUAAAGGUUCUAAGCCAAUCAAUUGAGUCUCCAAGCCCUCAUGAUCAAAUCAAAAAUCUCCAAAAUAAACCCUAAAUCUCAUUUCUAGGGUUUCAUAUGGUAAAACCUACCAAAACAUAGAUCAAAGGCUAGAAUCAAGGUACUAACCUCUCUAGAUGCCCAAAAAUAAGCUCCAAAUCUUCUAGGGUUGAAGAUUGAUCCUCCACAAAGCCCCAAUAGCAAGCCCGAAGCCUCCAAUGGUGAGAAAAAGGAGAGGAAAAUGCUCCAAAGCCUCAAGAUCUUGCUCUCAUCCAACUCCUUCUUCUUCUCCUUCUUCUUCUCUUUCUAGAGGGUGUAGAGAGAAUGUGAGGGAGAGAAAUGAGGGUGAGAGGUAGAGGAAAUGGCCUUAAGGCCCUUUGAAGCAAUAAAAUCCAUAUAAGUCCCUCAAAAAUCCAACCAGUGCACUCCCCGGGUCUGGGCAGUUUUCGGACUGAGGGACCAGUCUCCCCGACCUGGGUCCGGUCUCUCAGCCUGCCCCGAAAAUCCAAUGUUCGGGAACCGGUCUCUCCCCACAUGGGACCGGUCUCUCCCCGCGAAAACGUACUCGGGGACCGGUCUCACCCGCCAGGGACCGGUUGCCUCAAGCCCUACCGCAGCACUGUUCUGAGGGGACUGGUCUCUACCAUCAGGGACAGGUCCCCGAGAGUGAAAACUCUCAGGAUAUGCCAAAACUCUAGAAAUCGAACUUUUAGGUCGGAAUACCAUCUACGACCUUCCACCAAGUGUGAAAAAGUUUGGAAUCUAUAUCAAACACUUGAACCUCGCAAUUUGCACAGAUUCAGUGUGUUACAUUCACCCCUCCUAAAAAGGAGUUUCGUCCAUGAAACUCAAAAGCAAACACAUAAAAGAUGGGGAUAGCGCUCCCGCAGCGCGCUCUCUAGCUCCCACGUAGCCUCCCACUCCCUGUGGUUGCUCCAAAGCACCUUCACAUACGGAAUAUCCCGAUUCCGCAGUUUCUUCACCUCACGAGCCAAGAUCUUCACAGGUUGCUCCUCGAAGCUCAAAUCAUCCCGUAGCUCCAUAGGUGUAGCAUCCAACACAUGAGUCGGGUCGAAAACAUACCUCCGAAGGACCGAUACAUGAAAGACGUUGUGCACACCCGAUAGGCUCGGUGGUAGAGCAAGUCGAUACGCUACCGGAUCUACACGUUCCAAGAUCUCAUACGGUCCAAUGAAACGGGGGCUCAACUUACCCUGAAUCCCGAAUCUCUUGAUCCCUCUAGUCGGCGAAACCUUCAAGAAAAUAUGGUCUCCUACUUGGAACUCCAAGUCUCGCCGUCGUCGAUCGGCGUAGCUGCUCUGUCUACUCUGUGCAGUCAAAAGUCGCUCCCGAGCAAUUCGAACCGUGUCCUCAGCUUCCUGGAGCACAUCAGGACCUAAAGCCAAUCUCUCGCCAACUUUACUCCAAUGAAGUGGCGAUCUACACUUCCGUCCAUAGAGUGCUUCAAACGGAGCCAUCUUGAUGCUUGCUUGAUAACUGUUGUUAUAAGCAAACUCUGCCAUAGAUAGAUGCUAUGACCAUCCUCCCUGGAAGUCUAUCACACACGCUCGGAGCAUAUCCUCUAAAGUCUGAAUGGUGCGCUCCGACUGCCAUCACUCUGAGGGUGAAAAGCAGUGCUGAAGUCCAGUCGGGUGCCCAAGGCGUCCUGUAGACUCUUCCAAAAGUGAGACACAAACCGAGUGUCUCGAUCCGAUACUAUCGAAGUAGGCACUCCGUGAAGUCGCACAAUCUCAUCAAGAUACACUUGUGCGAGCUUCUCUCCGGUCCAACUAGUAUGAAUAGGUAUGAAGUGUGCCGACUUCGUCAACCUAUCCACGAUCACCCAUAUAGCAUCAUGCCCGGCCUGAGAGCGGGGCAGCCCAGUCACGAAGUCCAUGGUGAUCUUCUCUCACUUCCACACGGGAAUAGACAAACUCUGAAAUUUUUCCGCUGGUAAUCGGUGCUCCGCCUUUACUUGUUGGCAAGUUAGACAACGAGUUACAAACUCGCCAACAUCCUUUUUCAUCCCGGGCCAUCAAUAGAGCAACUUUAAAUCCUUAUACAUCUUGGUGCCUCCUGAAUGUAUAGUAUACGGCACUCGGUGCGCUUCUUGAAUAAUAUCCUCUUUAAUUUCCGAAUCCGCCGGUACACAAAUCCGUCAACGGAAACAUAUCAAUUCUUGGUCAUCCACAAGGUAGUCGCCGGUGCAACCAUCAACCAUUUUAUUUUGAAUUUUUUGCAACUCCACAUCGAAGAGUGUAGGUUGCACUACCAAGAUCAUCAACCUCAAAGGCGUGUCAGGAGUCACUACCUCCAACUCCAACUGCUUUAUCUGCUCGAUCAGCUGCGGUUGAGUAACAACAUGCAUUGCUAAGUUUUCCGUUGACUUCCUACUUAGCGCAUCCGCCACCACGUUAGCCUUACCCGGGUGGUAUAGGAUUGUCAGAUCGUAAUCCUUAAUAAACUCCAGCCAUCUGCGUUGCCUCAAGUUUAACUCCUUCUGAGUGAACAGAUAUUUCAAGCUCUUGUGAUCCGUAUAUAUUUCACACCGCUCACUAUAUAAAUAAUAGCGCCAUAACUUCAAUGCGAAUACUACAACUGCCAACUCCAAAUCGUGCGUAGGGUAACUCUUUUUAUAUUCCUUCAGUUGGCGAGAAGCAUAUGCGAUCACUUUGCCGUCCUGCAUCAAAACACAGCCCAAUUCAUUAAUCAUCCAUUUGCAUGAUAUGCGACUUCUUUUGAAUAAGAUUGAAUAGUUUUAUUGAAACGAUUAAAUUCUUUUUCAUUAUAGUUUUAAUUUUUUUUUAAUUGUUUGUCUAUAAUGUAGACUGUAUUUACUAUUUUCUUAUACUAAAUUGAUAUUUUAUUUUUUAAUAAAUUUUUAUUUUAACAGUAUCUAUCCGCGGUAACGGCAGGUCGCUACACUAGUUAAGCAUGAAAUUUCUUUAAAUUUCUUCCUCUUAUGAAGUCGGGAUGAUAAGCUGCUCAACCAUCGAAUCCAACGCAAAUUCUUUUCAUGAAGUCGGCUGUUUUUUAUGUUUCGCCGCCGAAAUCAGCGUGAGAGUUUUACGAACUCAGCUGCUUCGAUAUAUCGUCACCGGCUUCAACAUAAAUCCGACGUAAUAGGUUAGCUUCGGAUGGAGCGUAUCGGUGAGAGGCGAGCUUGUUCCGUUUCUCUUCUUCCAUGGUGAAAAUGGCGGGCCUCGUGGGAUCGCCGUGGCUCCGAAUUAGGGUUUCUCCCGAUUUCGCUCCUCCUCUUCUCCGNUUUUUUAUGCUUCAACAGUGACGUUGAACAAGAUAUAGCGAAGGCAUGGAUUGGGUUGAUGUUAUUAUGUCUCUAAUGUGGUUAGGGACUAAACUUAAGUUGUUAUUUGUUUUCUAUUUUUUGUGUUGUGAUCGGCGGCCGACGACAUGACGCUUUGGAAUGAAAAUGAAUACACUUAUAUGCUUUCGCCGGAUUGGGUAUAAUCAAGUAUAUUGUCUACGUAACUGAUGUGAAUUGCUUCGUUUCAGGAAGCAAUGCCGCCUCGUGGACGACCUAAAUUGCCUCGUGGUCGACCGCGGACGAGGUUUAUGGCCUAGGAGCCAAGUGCGGCUCCCGUGCAACCCGGAGCAGGUGGUGACGGGGAGCUUCGGGAGCAGAUGGCUGCGCUUAUUGGCGUAGUGCGGCAGCAGGCGAAAUCCGUUCAGCGCCAGGCGGAAUCCGUUCAGCGCCAAGGGGAGCAAAUCUAGAGGCUCCAGGAGGCCUUGGAGCGGCAGCAGGCGGUGGCGGCAGCGGCGCCCGUGGGGGCUGUGCACCCUGCGUCUCCUGCAGUGGUGCCGAGUGCGGCCGAGGGUGUGGCUGCGGCGGCCGUGCCAGUUACGAUGGUGCCGGCUGGAUCGGGGACCUCAAAUCCCGAUAGUGCGGCGUUAGAGGCGGAGCAGGAGCGCGCGUUGGCAGCUCUCAUUCAGUUCCAGAAGUUCAACCCACCUACUUUCGAAGGGGGGGGUGGAACCGGCGGUGGUGGAGUCCUGGAUCGACUCCAUGGAAACAGUUUUCGAAGAUCUUAAUACCUUGGAGAAGGACAAGGUGUACCUCGCCACACAUUGCCUUGAGAAGGCGGCGAAAGUGUGGUUGAAGUGUGUUAGGCGGGAUCGAUCUCCCGAUCUUCCGCCUACGUUGUGGGAGGAGUUUCGGAGGGCGGUGUUCGCCAACUACUUUCCCGAUAUGGUGAAGCGGAAAUUGCAAGAGAAAUUCCGCAAGUUGAGGCAAGGAGAUCGCUCGGUGGCAGACUACGAGCAGGAGUUCUCCCACCUCAUUGACUGCGUCCCGGAUGUUGUUAGGGAUGACCGGGACCGAGCAGUGUCACAACCCGGGACCUAGCGGAAGCCCCCCCCGGCGUGUGCCCAGACCCGCCAUAUGUCUAAAACAUACAAGGCGUCUAUAACAAAGCGAUAAAUGAAGCAGUAAAGAAAAAAAAGAACAUCUAGGAGUAUCAGAGCAAGUAUAUCUAGAUGCUACGAUAGAGGAAAAGAACAUAAGAGUAAGUCCACUAAGUAAAAACAUAAGGUGAAUACAAUAGGAAUCCCAAUACAAAAGCUAAACAAGUACAUAGGUGGUCUCUCUAUACAUGGUACUCAAAACUCUCUCUCUCACAAAAACCAAAAAGAAGAAAGUGACCACCUAGGAGCAACAGCAAGCUCCGCUAUCUAGCUAUGCGACUCCCUUGCCGCGAUCCCGUGCCUCCGCCGGUGCCGAAGGUUUUGAAAUAAAACCAUAAAACAGGGGGCGUGAGAACUAUGGAAUAAUAGUUCCCAGUGGGCAAUUACUGGCUUCAGUGAAAUGCACCACUAGGCCCAAACAAAAAGGGGGUCAGUAAGCAGAUAUAAACGAAAACGAUAUGUACGACAAGUAAAUAAGCAUGAAUAUUUGCUACCACAUAAUAUCUCUACUUAGCAUGAUUUAACAUAAGUAAGAAAGCUAUUCACGUAUGAAUGUACCCAAGCAUCGCUAGUAUGAUGUCUAUAAGUCAAAUAGUAAAGAUAUCGUUAUUUACUAUUCUAAUCAAUGUCCACAUGGCAUGAUGAAUGCUCAAAAUCGAAUCUAAAGAGACCCGCCCGAAGGCUGUCUGGCCCUGAGACCCACCCGUAGGUUGUCUGGCCGGUGCCAAGCCUAAUGGCUCCGUGGUAGUCAAUAUCCCCCCUCUAGGAAUGAGCCUUUCCCACGGCAAUCCACUUCGGCGCCCAAUCCCGCACGGCGAAUAUGUAUCGCGAUGGCCAUCUCCGGAAUGCCGGCUUGUAGGGAGCGACCCUCACAAGUAUGUGCGAAUGAGCACAAUGGCAAGUAACCAAAAGAUCGUCUCAAGUAUGAAGUCCUCAUGUCUAGCAACAUAGAAUACGUCACACACUCUCAUAGGCCUAUCUCUAUGUCAUCAUGUCUAAAAUAUGGAAGGUAGAAGAUGUCCAAGUCCUAUCACUAAGUCUCAAUAGAAUAGUCUCAUAGUGUGCUAGUCUAAGUGCCCCUUUAUGACACUUUCAUUUACUAAGUCCAAGCUUAAACCAAAUGUUCAUAAAAUUGAGCCACUUUAAACAUAUGAUGCACGUUUCCAAACGACUAGUGCGAACACUACUCAUAUGCAUGUAACAAUACCCAGAAUGUUCUACUAUAUAGAGUGAAAAUUAUCUUAUACAUAAUAUAUGCAUUUUAAGUGUUCUAAAAUUCACAUAAAUUUCAUUUAGCAUAGAUUUGCAUUUAAAAUGACGUUACGACGAGUAUAGAAAGCAUGGGGGCCAUUUCGCCUCGUUUUCAUGAAGCCAAACUCACCACCACUCUUGCGCUCCUUCGUUUGCUCCGACGAAGGUGUCCGCUAGUCUCCUAGCACCCUAAAAAUGUAGGAACAAGGGUUAAACGAACCUUACGAUCAACCCUAAGCUCAAUCAAUAAUCAACAUAGGCUAAGGUGGAAAAACUCACCUCAAGUAAAGAAAUCCUCUCUCAAGCUCCAAAUGGGGGUUAGAGUUCUUCAAAUCCAACCUAAAUAAAGGUUCUAAGCCAAUCAAUUGGGUCUCCAAGCCCUCAAAUCAAAAAUUCCCAAAAUAAACUCUAAAUCUCAUUUCUAGGGUCUCAUAUGGUAAAAUCUACCAAAAUAUGGAUCAAAGGCUAGAAUUAAGGUACUAACCUCUCUAGAUGCCCAAAAACAAGCUCCAAAUCUUCUAGGGUUGAAGGUUGAUCCUCCACAAAGCCCUAAUAGCAAGCCUCAAGCCUCCAAUGGUGAGAAAAGGGAGAGGAAGAUGCUCCAAAGCCUCAAGAUCUUGCUCUCCUCCAACUCCUUCUUUUUCUUCUCCUUCUUCUUCUCUUUCUAGAGGGUGUAGAGAGAAUGUGAGGGAGAGAAAUGAGGGUGAGAGGAAGAGGAAAUGGCCUUAAGGGCCUUUGAAGCAACAAAAUCCAUAUAAGCCCCUAAAAAAUCUAACCAGUGCACUGCCCGGGUCUGGGCAGUUUUCGGACUGACGGACCAGUCUCCCCGACCUGGAACCGGUCUUUCAGCCUGCCCCGAAAAUCCAACGUUCGGGAACCAGUCUCUCUCCGCAUGGGACCGGUCUCUCCCCGCGAAAACGUACUCGGGGACCGGUCUCACCCGCCAGGGACCGGCUGCCUCAAGCCCUGUGGCAGCACUAUUCUGAGGGGACCGGUCUCUCCCAUCAGGGACCGGUCCCCGAGAGUGAAAACUCUUAGGACAUGCCAAAACUCCAGAAAUCAAACUUUUAGAUCGGAAUACCAUCUACGACCUUCCACCAAGUGUGGAAAAGUUCGGAAUCCAUAUCAAACACUCGAACCUCGCAAUUUGCACAGGUCCAGUGUCCGACAUUCACCCCUCCUAAAAAGGAGUUUCGUCGGUGAAACUCAAAAGCAAACACAUACCUCAAAGCUCCAUAUGAAAAAGAUGGGGAUAGUGCUCCCACAGCGCGCUCUCUAGCUCCUACGUGGCCUCCCGCUCCCCGUGGUUGCUUCAAAGCACCUUCACAUACGGAAUAUCCCGAUUCCGCAGUUUCUUCACCUCGCGAUCCAAGAUUUUUACGGGUUGCUCCUCGAAACUCAAAUCAUCCCGUAGCUCCAUAGGUGUAGCAUCCAACACAUAAGUCGGGUCGAAGACAUACCUCCGAAGGACUGAUACAUAAAAGACGUUAUGCACGCCCGAUAGGCUCGGUGGUAGAGCAAGUCGAUACACUACCGGACCUACACGUUCCAAAAUCUCAUACGGUCCAAUGAAACGGGGGCUCAACUUACCCCGAAUCCCGAAUCUCUUGAUUCUUCUAGUCGGCGAGACCUUCAAGAAAACAUGGUCUCCUACUCACCGUCGUCGAUCGACGUAGCUCCUCUGUCUACUCUGUGCCGUCAAAAGUCGCUCCCGAGCAAUUCGAACCUUGUCCUCAGCUUCCCGGAGCACAUCAGGGCCUAAAGCCAAUCUCUCGCCAACUUCACUCCAUUGAAGUGGCGAUCUACACUUCCGUCCAUAAAGUGCUUCAAACGGCGCCAUCUUGAUGCUUGCUUGAUAACUGUUAUUAUAAGCAAACUCUGCCAUAGGUAGAUGCUGCGACCAUCCUCCCUAGAAGUCUAUCACACACGCUCGGAGCAUAUCCUCUAAAGUCUGAAUGGUGCGCUCCGACUGCCCAUCACUCUAAGGGUGGAAAGCAGUGUUGAAGUCCAGUCGGGUGCCCAAGGCGUCCUGUAGACUCCUCCAAAAGUGAGACACAAACCGAGUGUCUCGAUCCGAUACUAUCGAAGUAGGCACUCCGUGAAGUCGCACAAUCUCAUCAAGGUACACUUGUGCGAGUUUCUCUCCGGUCCAAGUAGUAUGAAUAGAUAUGAAGUGCGCCGAUUUCGUCAAUCUAUCCACGAUCACCGAUAUAGCAUCAUGCCCGACCUGAGAGCGGGGCAACCCAGUCACGAAGUCCAUGGUGAUCUUCUCCCACUUCCACACGGGAAUAGGCAAACUCUGAAGUUUUCCCGCGGGUAAUCGGUGCUCCGUCUUUACUUGUUGGCAAGUUAGAUAACGAGCUACAAACUUGCCAACGCCCUUUUUCAUCCCGGGCUACCAAUAGAGCAACUUUAAAUUCUUGUACAUCUUGGUGCCUCCUGGAUGUAUAGCAUACGGCACUCGGUGUGCUUCUUGAAUAAUAUCCUCUUUAAUUUCCGAAUCCGCCGGUACACAAAUCCGUCAACGGAAACAUAUCAAUCCUUGGUCAUCCACAAGGUAGUCGCCGGUGCAACCAUCAACCAUUUUAUUUUGAAUCUUUUGCAACUCCAUAUCGAAGAGUGUAGGUUGCACUACCAAGAUCAUCAACCUCAAAGGCGUGUCAGGAGUCACUACCUCCAACUCCAACUGCUUUAUCUGCUCGAUUAGCUGCGGUUGAGUAACAACAUGCAUGACUAAGUUUUCCGUUGACUUCCUACUUAGCGCAUCCGACACCACGUUAGCCUUACCCAGGUGGUAUAGGAUCAUCAGAUCGUAAUGCUUAAGCAGCUCCAGCCAUCUGCGUUGCCUCAAGUUUAACUCUUUCUGAGUGAACAGAUAUUUCAAAUUCUUGUGAUCCGUAUAUACUUCACACUGCUCGCCAUAUAAAUAGUGGCGCCAUAACUUCAAUGCGAAGACUACAGCCGCCAACUCCAAAUCGUGCGUAGGGUAACUCUUUUCAUAUUCCUUCAGUUGGCAAGAAGCAUAUGCGAUUAUUUUGCCGUCCUGCAUCAAAACACAACCCAAUUCAUUAAUCAUCCAUUUGCAUGAUAUGCGACUUCUUUUGAAUAAGAUUGAAUAGUUUUAUUGAAACGAUUAAAUUUUUUUUCAUUAUAGUUUUAAUUUUUUUUUAAUUGUUUAUCUAUAAUGUAGACUGUAUUUACUAUUUUCUUAUACUAAAUUGAUAUUUUAUUUUUUAAUAAAUUUUUAUUUUAACAGUAUCUAUCCGCGGUAACGGUGGGUCACUACACUAGUUAAGCAUGAAAAUUCUUUAAAUUUCUUCCUCUUAUGAAGUCGGGAUGAUAAGCUGCUCAACCAUCGAAUCCAACGCAAAUUCUUUUCAUGAAGUCGGCUGUUUUUUAUGUUUCGCCGCCGAAAUCAGCGUGAGAGUUUUACGAACUCAGCUGCUUCGAUAUAUCGUCACCGGCUUCAACAUAAAUCCGACGUAAUAGGUUAGCUUCGGAUAGAGCGUAUAGGUGAGAGGCGAGCUUGUUCCGUUUCUCUUCUUCCAUGGUGAAAAUGGCGGGCCUCGUGGGAUCGCCGUGGCUCCGAAUUAGGGUUUCUCCCGAUUUCGCUCCUCCUCUUCUCCGAUCGCGGCUCGCUUCGAAGCCCUACCUCGCCCAUCGGCGGAGGAGGUACCUCUCCGCCUCGGCUUCUUCGGCCCCGGCGCAGGGCGAGGUCCGCGUCCGCUUCGCCCCGUCGCCCACGGGGAACCUGCACGUCGGCGGUGCCAGGACGGCGCUCUUCAACUACCUCUUCGCUAGGUUCGUCUUUGGCUUUUCACUCCACAGAUUCACCACUCCCUACGAACGAAUCGUCUUUAUGAACUUGUUAAUCCGUGUAAUAAUCUCUAUAUUUACUUCUUUUUUUUUAAAAAAAUUUUAUUGGUGCUUAUUAGAAGUAAAAAGUAAAUGUUGAUUGGUAAAAUUAGAGAUGGUGAGAUGAUUUCCUGUAUGUAACUAGCUUGCAUCUAAUCUAGCGUUGAGGUUGAGGUUGAGGUUGCUUCUCUUCAAAUUCAUUAAUCUAUUACUGGCCUGUUUGUUUGGUCGUAAGUGAUUUUCAAUUUGAAAAUGAUUUUUAGUUAAACUGAAGUUUAAGUCAAUGGCUUUUGAACCGUAAUUAUCCUACUUUUUUUAUUUAUUUUGUCGAAAGAUUUCACACUGGCAUAUGAGAGAAUAAAAUAAACUUGCAGCUGUUAAUUUUUUUAUUAGUUUGUUCUACCUUUUUCUCUUCCGUAAUUUUCUUGGGCACCACCAAGGGCGGAGUCAAUUACGGCAUUUUGAAAUGGCGGAAUUAUGGGGGAAUUUAAUUUGCUGCAAACCAAACAAUGUAACUGGGCAUUUACAGCCUAAAACGACUUUGUCUCCCUCCAUUUUCGGUGAAACAAACAUGCUCUUGAUAUCUCUGCUUUGUAGUCCGUUCUUCUUGCAAAUUGCAGUCAUUCGGUGCCCUCAUGGAAAGGACUUGCUUUUCAUUUCUAAUUCCAGUCAAAUUAGCAAUUUUUUUUUCUUUUUUUUUUUUGUGCUUUGUACUGUGUAGAUUUGUUUGAUAUUUGAACAAUAUGUACUUAUAGGUCCAAGGGCGGAAGAUUUAUACUGCGAAUUGAAGACACCGAUCUGGAGAGGUCUACUAGGAAGUCGGAGGAAGCAAUGUUGCAUGAUCUCUCUUGGCUUGGUCUUGAUUGGGACGAAGGUGAUUUGUAGUCUCGUCGCUGUAAAUUUUUGAUUAGUUGAUAUAACUUUGUACUCAUCUACCGUUUGUAUGCUAUUAUUUAAAGAUGAGAUUGCGUAGUUGCUUCCUUUGUUUUCUUUUAUUAACUUGAAAUUGGAAAGCAAACUUGUGUUGUGUUGCAUGCAUUAGAAGAUGAAAAAUAUCAUGUGAUGAACUUUCAGGUCCAGGUGUCGGUGGAGAUUACGGUCCGUAUCGACAGUCAGAGCGGAAUUUCCUUUAUAAACAAUAUGCUGAGAAGUUGUUAGAUUCCGGUGCUGUUUACCGUUGUUUUUGCUCUAAUGAGGUAAUUUUGGUGUAUGAUUCAGAAGUUGACACUUUUGCUAGGUAUAGCGUCAUAAAAGUUAGUUGCACAUUCAAAGCUUCAUACGUUAAAUUGAUUGGGUAUAUGAAGCCACUAUGCAUAUAAACUUCUCAUUUAAGUGGCCUACGAAAAUUGUAGAAUAUAAUUUUUGUAUGAUUGUCUGUGCAUUACUUGAUGAGUUAAUUUCAUUUCUAUGGAGCUGUUUCUUUUGUUAUUUUUUUUAAAGUAAUGAUGUACCUAAAUCAUUGUUGAACCAUCUGAUUCAAUAAAAUAUGAAGUCCUUUUGGAUUGAAGGGACUUACGCAUGCUCUAUGAAAUACUUAAGGUUCUUAAGUGCUUUACUUCAAAGUUUUUAUAGUUUUAGCUUUUAACUUAUUAGUUGAUGAUGCUUCAUUGUCCUUAUUUAACUAUUAUUUUCUCCAGGAGCUUGAACAAAUGAAGGAAACUGCAAAGCGUCUGCAGCUGCCUCCAGUAUAUACAGGAAAGUGGGCAACUGCUCCAGAAAAAGAAAUAGAGGAGGAGUUGGUGAAAGGAACGCCCUAUACUUACCGCUUUCGCGUGCCUGAGGAGGGGACACUGAAAAUCAAUGACCUUAUUCGUGGAGAAGUAAUAAUUUCACUAACUUGUUCAAUUUAAAAGGCUCACGAUUCUUGUCAUAAUUAUAAUUGUUUAUUUAAAUUUACUAAUUGAUCUGAUAGUUUCAUGAAGGUCAGUUGGAGCUUAGACACACUUGGUGAUUUUGUCAUCAUGAGAAGCAAUGGUCAACCUGUGUACAAUUUCUGUGUCACUGUUGAUGAUGCUACAAUGCGUAUAUCGCAUGUUAUUAGGUGAUGCACUCACAUACACUGAAGUAUCCCUGAUGAUUAAGUUGAACUUUUUUGAGUUUUCACAUAGAAUGGCUGAUGUUCUGGUCUUCUUUCUAUGUCUUUCUCAUACAGAGCAGAGGAGCAUUUACCAAACACCUUGCGACAAGCACUCAUUUACAAUGUAAGUUCUCUCAUUCCAUUUACUUGUUUCUUUUCUCUCUCCUUGUAAAUAUUCAUGUCAGCUUUCUUGUAAAGUUGGGAAAACUAGCAUCAUCGUCAAUAUUUUUGUGCAGGCACUUGGAUUUCCAGUGCCUUCUUUUGCACAUGUUUCCCUAAUUCUUGCUCCAGAUAGAAGUAAAUUAUCAAAGCGCCAUGGUGCAACUUCAGUAGGGCAGGUAGUUAAUGAUGAUAGUCUCUGGUAAUGCUUCCAUAAUCAUAUAUCUAAUUAAGGAAAAACGUUAUAAGCCUCUCUCAAAUACUUGUAUGCAUGUACUCCUUUUUCUUUGGCAGUUCAGAGAAAUGGGAUACCUGCCUCAAGCGAUGGUAAACUAUUUAGCUCUUUUGGGUUGGGGUGAUGGCACAGAAAAUGAAUUCUUCACCAUUGAUCAGCUUGGUUAGUUUUUUCUAGUGCAAUAAACCUAAUGUGAGGGUUUUUUUUUUUUUUUUUUUUUUUUCCAAUGUAUGUCAACGUUCGUUAAGUUGUGCUCUUUCUAUUUAGUUGAAAAGUUUUCCAUAGAUCGUGUCAAUAAAAGUGGGGCAAUCUUUGAUCCUACAAAGCUAAGGUAAGCACUCAAGAAAAAGAAUGGGAAUAUUCUAAUUUGAAGUUUGAAGUUUCCUAUGCAGUGAUCUUGAGUUGUGAAGUAUUUAUAUGUUGGUUCUGUGAUGUAUAUCUUGUUUAUGAUUAGAUGGAUGAAUGGGCAGCAUUUAAGAUCCCUUCCUUUGGACGAACUGAUCGAGAUUUUUGGAGAUCAGUGGAAGCGCACUGGCAUUCUCGUCGAGUCUGAAGGCACUUUUGUCAAGGUAAAACUUUGCCUUUUCACUUAUACAUAGCAGACUUGGAAAUUUUCUGCUUAUUUGUUUUGACUUGUUGUGCUUUGUCUAUCUUUAAUUUUAUUGCUUGAUGCACCGCUACAGUAUGUUUACCUUGCUUUGUCCUUGUAUUUGUACAACGUUAAUUUACAUAGCACAGAUAUUCUUGCAAGGAUGCAAGUCAUUGACUGCUAGCAUAGGAAUUAUUAUGUCCUAUAACCUAGAAAAUGAUCAUUGAGAUUACAGAGGUACCUGGCAUAUCAUUUGGAGCGCAUGCUGAUCAAAGAGAGAAAUAGUGGAAGCAACCUUAGCUUAGUUUUCAUGUUACUGUACUAUGCAUAAUCUGUAUCUUGAGGUGGAUCAUAAUAACGUAGGCUAUAAUAUAUGAAUUGCAUACUAGCAGAACUUAUUUUCUUUUAUAGCUAAUAAGCUAAUAAACACAAGUACAUAUACCCGACAAAGCAUAUAAUUUCUCAAUCUUGGUCUCAUAUAGAAUGAAAUUCUAACUCUUGAAAUAUAAUAACUGCAGGAUGCGACUGAACUGUUGAAGGAUGGGAUAGACUUGAUUACAGAUGCAGAUACAGCCUUGUCUAAUUUGCUAUCUUAUCCAGUCCUCUCUACUUUAAGCAGGUGUGAAGAGCUUUGCUAUGUUUAAAAAUGUAGUUCUCUUUUCUCUUCGCAUAUUGUAACGUCCCAAUAGUCCCACAUCGGGUGGGAAGCUAAUUCUGAUUAAAAUAUAUAAGGCCUACACGCUAGUAAUAAUAACCGCGUUUAAGCAUUUUGGGCCGGUGGUUUGGGCCCAAUGAGUUAUUAUUGCUAGCGGGUCGGGUCGUUACAAUUGGUAUCAGAGCCGAAUACCAGCUGGAAGUGUGAGAGCUAAGUGCUAUUCAGGGCAAAGUGCUACACCAACGGUUUGGUAGGAGCCACCUCUUGAACCAGGAGGAGCCACCUCUAGAAUCUCAUAUCGCCUGAUAAUUCUGGUCUGCAUUUGUGAUCUGGUUUGGACCCGACGAGGACGUCAGGGUCUAAACAGAGGGAGUUUGUAAUGCCCCAAUAGUCUCACAUCAGGUGGAAAACUGAUUCUGAUUAAAAGAUAUAAGGUCUACACGCUAGUAAUAAUAACUGGGCUUAAGCAUUCUGGACUGGUGGUUUGGGCCCAAUGAGUAAUUAUUGCUGGCGGAUCGGGUCGUUACAAUAUUAAAUGAAUUCUCAUAUAAGCAGAACUAAAGUUUAUUAUACAACGCAAACAAAAUUUGGUCUAACAGAUACUAUAAAUAACAAAAGUUUCACUCGAUCCCGGCCCCGCCCUGCGAAUCAAUCUCGGUACCUGGGUAAGCAACCAUACACCACAUUAGUCGGAUUAAGCAUACGAAUUAAUAUAUAACAAAUGCUCUAAAGUAAAUUCUAUUACAGAAAUUAAUUUAAGCGACUGGUUUUUAAUUUGCAAAAAUUUUCAGAAAAUACAGCUUAUCAAAAUUUAAGAUUCAGAUCAAAUAGCAAAUGUAAAUUUACAAACAUUUCCUUUUUCAGCAAUUAAACAAAAUAAACGUUAAGUCUCCGAUAACUAACUAUAUUAUGUAAUCCGUUGGCGAGAUCCAGAGGCAUCGAAAGGCGCAAACAGAACAGAGAUACCCGAAGGCGUAAACAGAACAAAGGCACCUGAAGGAGGCGCUCGAAAGUGCAAUUACAGAACAGAGACGCGAAUAGACGCAAGUACCAGAAGGCGCAAUACAGAGACGAAGCUAGCUUUUAUAACAGAAUACAUGUCGACAUGGCCAACAUUGCAUAGCAGAAUACCAAGAGACAUUAUAAUUAAAAAUUUAUUCAGUCACUAAUUUACAUAACAAAUUAUCAAAUUUGAAAAAUUCUUUUUGCUGAAAGAACUUGUCGAUCACAGUUGAAGCUCAAUUUGCAGAAAUAUUUAAUAAUAUACUUAACCCUUAAUUUUAAAAUCUACAAAAUAAGAUUUUUACACAAUCAAAGUAUUUUCCUAAAUUAUUUAGCGGAAACUAACGGGUGUCCGGUCGCUUACCUUAACGCAGUUUCAAAGAUAAGAAAUUAUCCAGUCGGAAAUGCACAGAAAAAAUCAAUCGUCGGAACUUAAAAUAGAGACAUGCGAUUCUCUAUAAGCUACUAAAAAAUGAACUUACAAAGGGGAUAUAUAUAUACAGAGUUGAGCUAGAAUACUAUCGAUAGCAAACCGGCACUUUUGCCACCAAUUUGUUUUCGAUGAUGGAGCCUCCAAAUUGAUGAUCGGCACUGUUGAACAUGAUCUAUACCAUUUGAAGUAUUUAGAAAUUAAAUUUCAUACAUUUUCGAUAUUGCUCUCUUAUCCAUCGAGUGGACACAAAAAUGAACGGCUGAAAAUGAAUAUUCUUAAAAAAAUGAUGAUAGGAGUCUUGUAAUCAAGAUCAAGAGUAUAGAUCUUGUUUUAAAUAGUUUACAGAAUUUUCUAACAAAAAUCAAUUGAUUUGGAUAUAUUUACGCUGUUAAACGAGAAAACGCCUCAUAUCGACCAUUAAUAUUACAAAUUUUGAAACCCUUUGAUCAAUAGGCAAAUGAUAUCGAAAAGAUUUGAAAUUUAAUUUCUAAAUAUUUCAAGUGGUAUAGAUCAUGUUCAACGGUGCCGAUCGUCGAUUUGGAGGCUCAGAGAGAUUACAAAAAUUUAGAUUUUGAAUAGGCUCACAUAGGUUGACAUGAUCGAUGACAAAUACAUGCUGAUAGGUUGAGAUGGAGCAUAAGAGGGCUUAAAAAAAAAUUAAACUCGACAAAACUCAAAUAUAUAGUGCGCUAAAACUUAGAAGUGGCGGGGGUGUUACAUCUUCCCUCCUAAAAGAAAUUUAGUGCUCUAAACUUAACAUACCUUAGUUCUCAAAAAGCUGAUGAUUGAUUCGCACCUUAUCUGUUCUCGAGCUCCAAGUAGUUUCUCGUUCAGAAUGGUUGCUCUACUGUGGAUUGUAAUAUACGGAAUGGUUCGUCUUCUCAAAACUUGCUUCUUGGUCCACAAUAUGUACCGCUGUUCGUCAUAAAGAUAGAUCUUUCCUAAGCUGCAAAGGUUUCGGCUCCACAACGUGGCUCGGAUCGUGGGCAUAUUUUCUAUUUGGUAAGCGCCCCAAUAGUCCCACAUCAGGUGGAAAACUGAUUCUGAUUUAAAUAUAUAAGGACAUACACGUUAGAUAAUAACGGCUUAAGCAUUUUGGGCCGGUGGUUUGGGCCAACGAGUUAUUUUGCUGAGCUGGUCGGUCGUUACAUAUUUUAUAUCAGUAUCACUGAGGUUCGGAGUUUCGUGGCUUAGAAAGAAACUAUAGAAGAUUUGUGGAAGUUUUUUCUUGCCUUGCUGUUUGACCCAGUUGACACGGAAAGGAGUUAAAUUUCAGUGGUAGAUAAAUGUGAACAAAGCUUAUUGGAGUUUGAAGAAACGUUUAAUAUCAGCGCCUAUUCUUACUUGCCUGUUAGCGGUGAGGGAUUUACUAUUUAUAGGAUGCCUCGAAGAAAAGGAUUAGGAUGCGUCUUGAUGCCAGAACGACAAAGUAAUUGCUUAUGCUUCCCAACAGCUGAGGCCAUUCGGGAGAACUACGAUGUAACACCUCUUACUUUAUCCCUUUUGUUUUGUUUAUUUUCUUAUAAAUUGUGGACCUUUGUCAGACUCUAAUCUUUGAAGGACUCGGUGGCAUAUUAUGCCUAAUUAAUCCUAACUUAAUUAGGUCUCUUUCUAUUCGUUCAUAGCAACCCCCAACCCGAACUACCUCUUUCUCCCUCAACUCCCUCUCUCCCCUCGCAUCCCUACGACCGUCUCUUUUCCACCUUGCGUCCGUACGUCAUUUCCCCCGCUGCGCGCGCACAUCGUCAUUCCGAUCAUCGCCGUUGUCGGCCGUCAUCCACAGCCGCCUCCGCCGUAAUCCUUAUCGGCCGUUAUUUUUUGGUUCGCUGUCGACGGCAUUUUGCCGUCGUUUUCACACAUCUUCGAGAAGGUUUUUCUUUUUCUCGCAUUUUUACCUCUAUAUCGGGAUCUUGUGAUAUUAACCUCUUUGUUCAUCGUUAUAUUAUUAUUUUGAAUACUCGUCUCAUGAUGAUUAAAAUUUGAAAUCAUCAAAAUCUGAUUUGCUUGUAUCUAAUAUUUGUCGUUGGAACCGUUUAAUUUCAUAUCUUAUAUCCUCUAUAUGAUCUAGUUGUGUAAAACUUCACAGAUUGUACACACUAAUUGGAAUGCCGCAUUAUGUUUCGACAAAUGCCUAAAGAAGCGUGUGGUGUUUUUGCUUCUAAUUUUUGAUCUUAUUCCGAUUGUAGAUGGUAAAAUUAGUUUUGUAAAUGUGAUAAACCCUCUGUUUGAAUACUAAAACCCUCGUAUUAUUUUAAAAUUCCGUUAUGUUAUCUUACUCUCUUUGAAUAUUUUAAUUAUUGAAACUCCCUCAUCUUUUGAUUGUAAAUUGAGUUUUGUCGAGUUUAAUUUUUUUUUAAAGCCCUUCUAUGCUCCAUCUCAACCUAUCAGCAUGUAUUUGUCAUCGAUCAUGUCAACUAUGUGAGCCUAUUCAAAAUCUAAAAUUUUGUACGAGCUUCUUUCCAUAUAUAUAUUAUACAUAUAUAUAUAGAGUCGGCUACUAUACUAUCGAUAGUACCAAGCCCUUGGUACUAUUGAGAUUUCUAACCGUUAGAUGUACCCUUUGAUCAGUUCCACCCGUUAGAUUAUACAUUAAACCAACCACCCACUCAAUCCUAGGAGACACUAUCAAUUUAACCGGGAGACCACUAUCAUCGUAACCGCACAUCUAUUCAUCCAACGGUCGAAAACUCAAUAGUACCAAGGCUUGAUACUAUUGAUAGUAUAGUAGCAUAAUUCUAUAUAUUAUAUAUAUAUAUAUAUAUAUAGGUCCGGCUACUAUACUAUCGGUAGCACGGAGUGCUCCGUGCUACCAAGUUGUUUUCGAUGAUGCGGCUUCCAAAUCGAUGAUCGGCUCCGUUAGACUUGAUCUACACUAUUGAAAGUAUUUGGAAACUAAAUUUCAGAUUUUUUCGACAUCAUUUGACUGAUGAUCAAAAGCUCAAAAUUGACAAUUUUAAUGGCCGAUGUGUGUGUUUGAGAGUUUAACGGUGUAAAACAAUCCAAAUUCGAUAAAAAUUUUAUAGAAAAUUCUUUCACUAUUUAGAGUAAGAUCAGUUUAAUCUGAUCUUGAAUUAAAAUCUUUUAUUAUCAUUUUGUUAUAGGUUUUUAUUUUCAGCCGUUCAAUUUUAGACUACUUGUUUGAUAGGUAAAUGGUAUUGAAAAAUUAUGAAAUUUAGUUUUCUAAAUACUUUUAAUAGUAUAGAUCAAGUCUAACGGAGCCGAUUGUCGAUUUGGAAGCCGCAUCAUCAAAAACAACUUGGUAGCACGGAGCGCUCCGUGCUACCGAUAGUAUAGUAGCCUAGCUCUAUAUAUAUAUAUAUAUAUAUAUAUAUAUAUAUAUAAUAUAUAAUGAGUCCGGCUACUAUACUCUUAUCAGUAUGAAUCGCCCUCGUACUCAUAAGUUGUUUUCGAUGAUAUAGCUUCCGAAUCGACGAUCCAUACCGUUUAAACGUUAUCUAUAGCAUUUAAAACUUCUAGAAAUCAAAUUAUAUAAUUUUUUUACAUCAUUUCCUUACGAUCAAAAUGUCACAAAAUGACAAUUUUUAAUGGCCGGUAUGGGAUCUUGCUAAUUUAACGGUGUGAAAGAAUCGGAAUCGGUUGAAUUUUUAAUAGAAAAUUCUAUUCACUACCUUGAUAAAGAUCAAUAACUUCGAUCUUAAUUGAAGGAUCCGAUCAUCCAUUUUAGAACGUCGUUCGAUUCGACCGUUCAUUUAUGCCCGCUUGAUGGACUUUAUUAUGAUUUCGAAAAUUAUACGAAAUUUAUUUUCUAAGAAGUUUCAAUUACUCUAGAUCAUAUUUAACGGAGCGGAUCGUCGAUUCGGAAGCUCCAUCAUUGAAACACUUAUGAGUACGAAGCUCUCUAUACUCAUAAGAGUAUAGUAGCCUACUAUAUAUAUAUAUAUAAGAGAGAGAGAGAGAGAGAGAGAGAGAGAGAGAGUUGAGCUAGAAUGCUAUCGUAGCAAACCGGCUCUGUUGCCACCCAUUUGUUUCGAUGAUGGAGCCUUAAAUUGACGAUCGGGCACUGUGAACAUGAUCUAACCACUUGAAAUAUCUAGAAACCAAAUUUCAAAUCUUUUCGACAUUAUUAACACUAAUGAUCAAGAGAGUUUCAAAAUUUGUAAUUUUAAUUCCAGAUAUGAGGCGUUUUCUCGAUUAACGGGUGUAAAGCCUCCAAAUCGAAUUGAACCUUUAGUUAGAAAAUUCCUUUAAACUAUUUAGAAUAAGAUCUAUACUCUCGAUCUUGAUUACAAAAUUCNNNNNNNNNNNNNNNNNNNNNNNNNCUCCUCAUCAAAACAAAUGGGUUGCGCAAAAAGUGUCGUUUGUUAUCGAUCACAUUCUUAGCUCAACUCUAUAAUACAUAUAUGGAAGGAAGCUUGUUACAAAAUUUUAGAUUUUGAAUAGGCUCACAAUAGGUUGACAUGAUCGAUGACAAAUACAUGCUGAUAGGUUUGAGAUGGAGCAUAGAGAGGCUCUUAAAAAAAAAUUAAACUCGACAAAACUCAAUAUAUAGUGCUCUAAACUUAGAGAAUGGGGGGUUUACAUCCUUCCCUCCUAAAAGAAAUUUAGUGCUCUAAACUUAACAUACCUUAGUUCUCAAAAAGCUGAUGGUACUUCGCCACUUAUCUGUCUCGAGUCCCAAGUAGUUUUCGUUCAGAAUGGUUGCUCUACUGGCAUUGUUAAUAUACGGAAUGGUUCGUCUUCUCAAACUUGUCUUUGCGUCACAAUAUGUACCGCUGUUCGUCAUAAGAUAGAUCUUCUCUAAGCUGCAAAGGUUUCGGCUCCACAACGUGGCUCGGAUCGUGGGCAUAUUUUCUUAUUUGUAACGCCCCAAUAGUCCCACAUAGGUGGAAAACUGGAUUCUGAUUAAAUAUAUAAGGCAUACACGUUAGUAAUAAUAACGCGCUUAAGCAUUUUGGGCCGGUGGUUUGGGCCAACGAGUUAUUAUUGCUGGCUGGUCGGUCGUUACAUAUUUUAAUCAGUAUCACUGAGGUUCGGAGUUUCGUGGCUUAGCAAGAAACUAUAGAAGAUUUGUGGAAGUUUUUUCUUGCCUUGCUGUUUGACUCAGUUGACACGGAAAGGAGUUAAAUUUCAGUGGUAGGAUAAAUGUGAACAAAGCUUAUUGGAGUUGAAGAAACGUUUAAUAUCAGCGCCUAUUCUUACCUUGCUGUUAGCGGUGAGGGAUUUACUAUUUAUAGGAUGCCUCGAAGAAUAGGAUUAGGAUGCGUCUUGAUGCCAGAACGACAAAAGUAAUUGCUUAUGCUUCCCAACAGCUGAGGCCAUUCGAGGAGAACUACGAUGUAACACCUCUUCACUUUAUCCCUUUUGUUUGUUUUAUUUUCUUAUAAAUUGUGGACUUUUCGUAGACUCUAAUCUUUGAAGGACUCGGUGGCAUAUUAUGCCUAAUUAAUCCUAACUUAAUUAGGUCUCUUUCUAUUCGUUCAUAGCAACCCCCAACCCGAACUACCUCUUCUCCCUCAACUCCCCUCUCCCUCCGCAUCCCUACGACCGUCUCUUUCCACCUUGCGUCGUACGUCAUUUCCCCCGCUCUGCGCGCGCACAUCGUCAUUCCGAUCAUCGCCGUUGUUCGCCGUCAUCCACAGCCGCCUCCGCCGUAAUCCUUAUCGGCCGUUAUUUUUUGGUUCGCUCGUCGACGGCAUUUUGCCGUCGUUUUCACCAUCUUCGAGAAGGUUUUUCUUUUUCUCGCAUUUUACCUCUAUAUCGGAUCUUGUGAUAUUAACCUCUUUGUUCAUCGUUAUAUAUUAUUUUGAAUACUCGUCUCAUGAUGAUUAAAAUUUGAAAUCAUCAAAAUCUGAUUUGCUUGUAUCUAAUAUUUGUCGUUGGACCGUUUAAUUUCAUAUCUUAUAUCCUCUAUAUGAUCUAGUUGUGUAAAACUUCACAGAUUGUACACACUAAUUGGAAUGCCCGCUAUAUGUUUCGACAAAUGCCUAAAGAAGGCGGUGUGGUGUUUUGCUUCUAAUUUUUGAUCUUAUUCGAUUGUAGAUGGUAAAAUUAGUUUUGUACAUGUGAUAAACCCUCUGUUUGAAUACUAAAACCCUCGUUAUUAUUUAAAAUUCCGUUAUGUUAUCUUACCUCCUUUGAAUAUUUUAAUUAUUGAAACUCCCUCAUCUUUUGAUUGUAAAUUGAGUUUUGUCGAGUUUAAUUUUUUUUUAAAGCCCUUCUAUGCUCCAUCUCAACCUAUAGCAUGUAUUUGUCAUCGAUCAUGUCAACCUAUGUGAGCCUAUUCAAAAUCUAAAAUUUUGUACGAGCUUCUUUCCAUAUAUAUAUAUAUACAUAUAUAUAUAGAGUCGGCUACUAUACUAUCGAUAGUACCAAGCCCUUGGUACUAUUGAGAUUUCUACCGUUAGAUGUACCCUUUGAUCAGUUCCACCCGUUAGAUUAUACAUUAAACCAACCACCCACUCAAUCCUAGGAGACACUAUCAAUUUAACCGAGGACACUAUCAUCGUAACCGCACAUCUAUUCAUCCAACGGUCGAAAACUCAAUAGUACCAAGGCUUGAAACUAUUGAUAGUAUAGUAGCAUAAUUCUAUAUAUAUAUAUAUAUAUAUAUAUAUAGAGUCCGGCUACUAUACUAUCGGUAGCACGAGUGCUCCGUGCUACCAAGUUGUUUUCGAUGAUGCGGCUUCCAAAUCGAUGAUCGGCUCCGUUAGACUUGAUCUACACUAUUGAAAGUAUUUGGAAACUAAAUUUCAGAUUUUUUCGACAUCAUUUGACUAGUGAUCAAAAGAUCUCAAAUUGACAAUUUUAAUGGCCGAUGUGGUGUGUUUGAGAGUUUAACGGUGUAAAACAAUCCAAAUUCGAUAAAAAAUUUAUAGAAAAUUCUUUCACUAUUUAGAGUAAGAUCAGUUUAAUCUGAUCUUGAAUUUAAAUCUUUUAUUAUCAUUUUUUAUGAGGUUUUUAUUUUCAGCCGUUCAAUUUUAGACUACUUGUUUGAUAGGUAAAUGGUAUUGAAAAAUUAUGAAAUUUAGUUUCUAAAUACUUUUAAUAGUAUAGAUCAAGUCUAACGGAGCCGAUUGUCGAUUUGGAAGCCGCAUCAUCAAAACAACUUGGUAGCACGGAGCGCUCCGUGCUACCGAUAGAUAGUAGCCUAAGCUCUAUAUAUAUAUUAUAAUAUAUAUAUAUAUAUAUAUAUAUAUAUGAGUCCGGCUACUAUAUACUUAUCAGUAUGAUCGCCCUCGUACUCAUAAGUUGUUUUCGAUGAUAUAGCUUCCGAAUCGACGAUCCAUACCGUUAAACUUAUCAUAUAGCAUUUAAAACUUCUAGAAAUCAAAUUAUAUAAUUUUUUGACAUCAUUACCUUACGAUCAAAAUGUCACAAAAUGACAAUUUUUAAUGGCCGGUAUGGGAUACUUGCUAAUUUAACGGUGUGAAAGAAUCGGAAUCGGUUGAAUUUUUAAUAGAAAAUUCUAUUCACUACCUUGAUAAAGAUCAAUAACUUCGAUCUUAAUUGAAGGAUCCGAUCAUCCAUUUUAGAACGUCGUUCGAUUCGACCGUUCAUUUUAUGCCCGCUUGAUGGACUUUAUUAUGAUUUCGAAAAAUUACGAAAUUUAUUUUCUAGAAGUUUCAAUUACUCUAGAUCAUAUUUAACGGAGCGGAUCGUCGAUUCGGAAGCUCCAUCAUUGAAACACUUAUGAGUACGAAGCUCUCUAUACUCAUAAGAGUAUAGUAGCCCUACUAUAUAUAUAUAUAUAAGAGAGAGAAGAGAGAGAGAGAGAGAGAGAGAGUGAGCUAGAAUGCUAUCGGUAGCAAACCGGCUCUGUUGCCACCCAUUUGUUUCGAUGAUGGAGCCUUAAAGACGAUCGGGCACUGUUGAACAGAUGCUAUACCACUUGAAAAUCUAGAAACCAAACAAAUCUUUUCGACAUUAUUAACCAAUGAUCAAAGAGGUGUCAAAAGGGUGAAUGUAAGGCGAGAAGAGGCGUGGUCGCGGCGUAACGGGGGAAACCCCGCCUAAAUGCAAUGGAAACGGGGAGGGAGGAAAGUCGGGAAACCGAGGGAGAAGAAGAGCGGAUGACUCGCGAGCGGAGGACAAAGCCUAGCAGCACGGGGAGAGGAGAGCAAGGUCAGGCCAUGCAGGGGUACCGCCCACGGGGGCUACAUUGAGAAAAGAGCGGAAAAGCAGGAAAGAGGAUGGCGGAGAGACGCAAGGGAGAGAGCAGUCAACGGGCGGAGCAGCGAUGGAGGGCUCGGCAGAAAAACAAAAGGGGUGGGCACGGAGCCCGGGGGCGCGAAGAGGAGUCGAGCGGAGCGGCGUGGAGGGCGGCGGCGCGCGCGUAGAGAGAGAGGAGAGAGAGAAGAGAGAGAGUAGAGAGAGAGAGAGAUAGAUAGCCGCGGGGAGGCAGGGAGUGGAGGAGCUGAGAGGAAGGGCAGAGCGCGAGGGAGGGGCGACGAGGGAGGUUGGCGGGCAGGGGCGACGGGAGAAGGGGGAGCGGGGAAGCUGAGGAAGGGAAGCCACCGGACACCGUGAGGGUGCGCUAAAGAAGGAGAAAAAGACGGGGAGGGGAAAAUCGGAGGUGCAGAGGGGAAAAGGAAGGGGAAGGAGAGGAGGAAAGAUGGCGGGAAAGGGAGCGGCAACGGGAUGGACAAGGGCGGGGAGCAAAAAGAAGGUGGAAAGGGGAGAAGGGGGGUGGGAAAGGAGGGACCGGAUAAAGGUGAAUGAGAGGGCUGGGGGGAGUCGUGCGAGACAAUCGGGGCAGGGGACAGGGAGGGGGGAGAGAAGCGAGGGUUCGGCGCGGGAUUGAGCUGCGGCGCAGUACCGGCGGCGAGCCGCGCCGGGGGGGAGGGCACGGGCGAGCGCCUCGGAGGGGGGAACAGGCCCGGCGGGGCGGGGGCGAGGGGCGCGGCGGGGACGGCGGGGCUGUGGGGCCGGGGAGGGCCGCGGGAGAGCGCCAACGGAGCACAUAAGAGAGGGGAACAGGUAGGUGGGGGAAGGGUGGAAAAAGGAAAGGGGGGGAAGGGAGGGCGAGGGCGAGCGAAGCGAAAGGGGGAGAAGCGGGAGGGGCGAAGAGGGGGCAAAGUAAAAAGCAGCCGCGGAAGGAAGCGGCUGGAAGAGAAGUGACUGGAGAGCAGGGGAGAGAGGGAGGGGAGGCGGAAGCGACGAAGGGGGGGAGGGGGGCGACCCAAACGACCGAGACGGGGGGCCAGGGCGGGACGGGUCGGAGGGAAGGGGUAGACGGAGCGAGGGGGGGGAGGCGCGGGCGGGAGGCGAGGGCAGGGAGAGGGAAGGGGGGCGGCGGAUAAGGCAACGGGGGAGCGGCGGGAGGGGUGAGGGGCGGAGCACGGGGGAGGUAGGUAGCGGCGGAGGACGAAGGGGGGGGGGACGAGGGCAGAAGUAAACGGGAGGGCGGCGGAGAGGAGGAAGGCUGGGGGAGGGGAACGAGCGACCCGCCAGCAAGAAGAAGGCGGGGGGGCCAACCACCAGCCCAAAGGCGGAAGCCCAGGAGGAGGACGAGCGGGGAGGCGGAGAGAGGGGAAGCAGAAGCGGGGGUCCACCCCGAGGGGGCCAGUGAGGGAGAGGGCGCGCGGGCGGGGGCGGGGACACAGAGGCUCGAUGGACAAGGGGAAGGAGGGCGGGCCGGACCGGGUGGGCAAGCGUGGGGACGCGAGUCAGGGAAAACACGCAAGGCACGGAGGAGAACACGGAGAGCAGAGCGAAACGGGCUGGCGGGAGGCAAAGGAGGCGGAAGGGCCGGCCAACGGAGAGGACGGGCAAGCGACAGAAAGGAGGAAUGGAACCAGUGGGCAAGAGAAGCGGGCCGAGGGCCGCCAGGUGGAGGGCGGCGGAGAGAGUGGGAGAGCGCCGGGAAGCACGCGAGGAAGGGCAGGCGGCCGGGGGGCAAAAAAGGGGGUGAAGAGCGGGGGCAAGGACGCAGCGGAAGGGGGAGGGGGAAGCAGACAAAAGGCCCAAGAGAGUUGGAAGAGAGGGCGAGGGAGGGGCGCGGUGGGGAUAAGGAAGAAAGGAAGGGCGGCGCCGUCCGGGCGAGGAGCGAAGAGGCGCGGAGGAAAGAGGGGGGCGGCAGAGGCGCGGGGGGAACGGGAGAGAGAGGCGGCAUGGAGGAGACCCACAGAAAGGUGGGGAGGCAGAGGGCGAGGCGAGUGGGGGGAGGCGAGGGGAAGGCCAGGGGGAAGAGACGACAAGAAGAUAAAAAAAGAAAAGGGUAGGGCACAGGGCGAGCGACGGGAGUGAAGGCGGAGACCGAAAAGCGGGGGGGGGGGUGGCCCGCGUGCGGGGAUGACGGAGCAGGGAAAAGCGCGAGGGAUGCCGCGGCGAGGAGGGACGAACGGGGAGCGGCAGGGCCAGAGUGAGGGGGGAGGAGGGGCGGAUGGAGAAGGGGGAGCGGCGAGCAGGGAAGCGCAGCGCAGGGGGGACGGGGGAGGAGAGAUCGCAAAGGGGAAGGGAGAGGGACGGGACGCAGGGAACAAGGGACCAGAGCCGCAACCGAAGCUGCGCAACGCGGCGCGCAUAAAGGGGGGGGAAUCGAGAGGGGAGGGGAGGGGAGGGGCGAGGCCGGAGGGCGGGGGGGGGGGGCGACUCACACAGCGAAAAGGCGGAGAGAAAAAAGCCGGGGGGUGGAACAGCCAGGGGGGGGGGGAGGAGGAGCAAGCGGAGGAGGGCCAGAGCGGGACCCGCGGGGGAGGGGGGGGGGGAGCGCGCGCGCGAGCACGCAGGACCCGGGGGGAGGAAAGGCGCGGUAGCGCGCGCGCAAGAGGAUAGGGUGGGGCACCAGGGAUGGGCGCGGGGCGCGCGCAAAGGCGACAACCAGGGCCGGCACAACGCGGGGGGAGGGGCGGGUAGGGGGGCGGGGCCCAGGCGAGGCGGCGCCCGGAAGGGGAAGCCCGCAACAAAGACAACGAACACAAAGGGGAGCGCCAACGUAGGAUGGGGGGGGCGGCAGCGGGAUGGCCCGGGGGGGGGGGGACCAGGGAGGGGCGAGCCGCCGGGGGAGCACAAUCAAACACUGAGGGGGAGGAGCGGACAGGGAGAGGGAGAGAGGAAAGGUAGGGAGAGGAGAAAAAGGGGGCGAAGGGCGGGGGAGGGGGGGCGAGGGGCCCGAGGAUGACGCGCCCGCCCAAGGCGGGAGGGGCCCGGCACGGGGCCAGGAGCCAGGAAAGGGGCCGCGAAGGGCGGCGGGUGGACGGGCGGAGGGAGGGGGAAUCGCGGGGGGCGCAAGCCACGAGGACAGAUGGGCACGCCGAGGGCGACAGGAGGGGGGAGACAGAAACGGCAAUAGGAUGGAACGGCCAGAAAAAAGGGGCGAUGGGGCAAGCGGGGCCAGGGGCACAAGGCACAACACAAGAAGCGGAGAGGGGCACGAAGCGAAGGAGGAGGGGACGAGACGAACCAAACGAAGGACCACGAGGCGGGGAAAAGGGGAAGCGCGACAUGAGGGGGGCGCAGAGAAAGCACGGCGGGAGGCGGGGCACAGGAGGGCAGGGAGCAGGGGCCGGGCAGACGGGGGAAAAAGGGAGGGACGCCAGAGCAAGGGGGACCGGGAGAGGGAGCAAGCGAGGGGGAUGCAAGAGCGGAGGAAAAGGCAGCAAGGGGGCAAGGUAGGAGCCGAAAGGACACACGCGGCGGCCAGGGGCGCGGGCGGGCACCAAAGCAGCGGCACACGCGGCAACCGAGAGCGGGCGAAAGCCGGCAGCGGGGAAGCGGGCCGGGCGCCGGAAAGGGCUGCGGAGCGCCCCCAAACCGAGCGCAGAGCGAGGGAUGGGUAUGGGCCAAAGAGAAAGAGAGCAGAGGGUGGAAGAUGACAAGGGGAGAGGCGAGAGGAAAACCGGCAGAGCACACCCCGCCCCUCGCGCAGGGCGCGGGGGCAGCCGGGGCGGGCGCGCGCUGAAAAGGAAAGAAAGGAGGGGGGGCCGUGGGGGAACCCGCAGAGCACCCGAGGGGGAGCGGGGAGAAGAGGAAGAGCGCGGGCGAGGAGUCGAGGAGAGGAAGGCUGAACCAACCGCGCGAUCAACCCACGAGGGGCCGGGGGUUUGGGAGGAGAGGGGAAGGGAGGGGGGGCGGAUGAGAGGGCCAAACGAAGAGGGGGAGGGGGACGCAGGGGACGCGGGGGGGAGAGGGCCGAGGGAGGGGCGAAAGAGGGCAAAAAGCAGCGCCGAGAAAGCGAAGAGAGGGAAAAAAGAGCAGGAAAGGAGGUGUGGCCGGGGGAAAGAGGGGGGCAGAGGAGGGAGGAGAGGGUAAAAAGGAAGGCGCGCAGAGCGCGAAAGGGCAGGGGGGGCGAAAAGCGGGCACACCGCGGGCAGAGAGCGAAGCGUCGGGAGACGGGACCGCGGGAGACAAGCGGAAGCACGGCGGGCGCACACGAUGCGGCACCCGCGAGCAAGAGCAAGGAGGAGACGGGGCACAACGACAAAAGGCCGAGGAGGCGAACGAAGUAUGUGUAGUGAGUGUGAAUAGGAGCAAGAGGAAGCAAGACGAGAGAGACAGCCAGAGGAGAGCAGACAUGGCCAAACAGACACCACCAGCUGGGGCAGCAGGCAGAGAGGGAGGGGCGGCGGGCAAAGAAAGACAGGAGGCGAGGCCGCGCGAGGGGGGGCAAGACGGGAAAAGGGCGUAAGGGUCGACCGCGGGAGCGGGGAGGAAGGAAGAGAGAAGGACAGAAGAGGGGCGACGAUGAGAAGCAAGGACGGACGAGAGGAAGAGGGAGAACGAGGUGACAGACGAUGAGAAGCGCGCGCAGAGAGAUUGAAGGAGACGACGCGAUGAGAGGCAAGAAAACACAGAGGAAUGAGAGCGAGCCGACAGAGAGGAAAGGAGCGGAACAGCCCCCACCGCCAAACGAAGCAGCGGGGAGGCGAAGAGGGUCAGCCGCUAAGAGGCGAAACCGAGAGAGACAGGGCGGGGAAAAGGGCGGCAAGGGCGGGCAGAAGGGAGAGGAGGAGGCCAAUAGCACCAGAGCGAACGGGGGCCGCAAAAGGGAGGAGCAGGGCAAGGGGCGGCGGCGAGAGGGAGAACAGGAGGGGCCGGCAGGGAGGGGAGGCGUGAGGGGCGCCAGAAAGACGGAGAGAGCGCCAGAGAAAACACGAUAAGGGCAGCGAAGAGACGAGAAGCGCAGACGGGGGCAGCAACGGGGGAGGGACAGCAGGAGACGGGCCGGCGAACGAGAACUGAAAGUGGGGGGUGGUCGUUGAGGGGACCAGAGAGAAGACUGGGCCGACUAUCAUCACUUUUUAGAGGAUAUUCAUUUUCAGCCAUUCAUUUUUACGCUCACUUGAUGGACAAUAGAACAAUAUCGGAAAAGCAUAAAAUUUGAUUUCUAGAUACUUCAAGUGGUAUAGAUCAUAUUCAACGGUGCUGAUCAUCGAUUUAGAGGCUCCGUCAUAAAAAACAAAUGGGUGGCAACGGAGCCCGUUUGCUACUAAUAGUAUUCUAGCUCAACUCUCUCUCUCUCUCUCUCUCUCUCUCUCUCUCUCUCUAUAUAUAUAUAUAUAUAUAUAUCCUCUUUGUAAGUUCAUUUAUUUUAGUAGCUUAUAGAGAAUCGCAUAUCUCUAUUUUAGGUUCCGACGAUUGAUUUUUUCUGUGCAUUUUCGACUGGAUAAUUUCUUAUCUUUGAAGCUGCAUUAAGGUAAGCCACCGGACACGCGUUAGUUUUCGCUAAAUAAUUUAGAAAAAUACUUUGAUUGUGUGAAAAUCUUAUUUUGCAGAUUUUAAAAUUAAGGGUUAAGUAUAUUAUUAAAUAUUUCUGUAAAUUGAGCUUCAACUGUGAUUGACAAGUUCUUUUAGCAAAAAGAAUUUUUGAAAUUUGAUAAUUUGUUUUGUAAAUUAGUGACCGGAUAAAUUUUGAAUUAUAAUGUCUUUUGGUAUUCUGCUAUACAAUGUUGGCCAUGUCGACAUGUAUUCUGUUAUAGAAGCUAGUUUCGUCUCUGUAUUGCAUCUUCGGGUACCCGCGGCUAUCCGCGCCUCUGUUCUGUAAUUGCACUUUCGAGCGCCUCUGUUUUGUACAUGCACCUUCGGGUGCUUCUGUUCUGUUUGCAUCUUCGGGUACGUCUGUUCUGUUUGUGCCUUCGGGUGCCUCUGGAUAUCGCCAACGGAUCACAUAAUAUAGUUAGAACAUUUAUUUUGUUUAAUUGUUGAAAAAGGAAAUGUUUGUAAAUUUAUUUGCUAUUUGAUCUGAAUCUUAAAUUUUGAUAAUCUGUAUUUUCUAAAGAUUUUGCAAAUUAAAAAUCAGCCGCUUAAAUUAAUUUCUGUAAUAGAAUUUACUUUAGAGCAUUUGUUAUAUAUUUAUUCGUAUGCUUAAUCCGACUAAUGUGGUGUAUGGUUGCGUACCCAAAUACCGAGACUGAUUUGCAGGGCGGGACCGGGUUUGAGUGAAUGUUAGACGUAGCUAGUUUUGUUUUUAGUCUCUUUCGUUUUAUGUCUAUUGCAUUUAGAUGUGAAUUUUGGGCUUCGUAAAUGAUCAACUGUUUAUCUGCUUUUAUUUUGUUAUUUCUUCGGAUCCACUUUUGUUAUUUAUAGUAUCUGUUAGACCAAAUUUUGUUUGCGAUGCAUAAUAAACUUUAGUUCUGCUUAUAUGAGAAUUCAUUUUAUAGUGUAACGAUCCGACCCGCCAGCAAUAAUAAUUCGUUGGGUCCAAACCACCAGCCCAAAAUGCUUAAGCCCAGUUAUUAUUACUAGCGUGUAGGCCUUAUAUAUUUUAAUCAGAAUCAGUUUUCCACCCCGAUGGUUUGGGCCCAAUGAGUUAUUAUUGCUGGCGGGUCGGGUCGUUACACAUAUGCUCUAUGUACAAUUUGGAAUGAUGCCUUUCCUUACCUUGGUGCAAGCUUGUUUUUACUCGAUUCAUUAAAACACCACUUCCACUUAUGAUAAUACUGAUAUCAUAGCUAAACUGUCUGUCUUUAUUCAAAUUAUGCGUAAUUUACCGGCCCAACCUAAUAUUACGUGCAAGCUACAGUGAUGAAGGUAAACCCAUUGUGCAAGAUAAGCUUUCCGAGGUGGCCGCCAGUUUGAUUUCUGCUUAUGAUAGUGGAGAGCUCCGUGAAGCACUGGAGGAAGGGCAUGCUGGUUGGCAAAAAUGGGUGAAGAGCUUUGGCAAGUUACUCAAGCGUAAGGUUAGUUUAGAAGCAUAACAAAAUGCCCAGAUAGUUUAAUAUAGUUGCUAAGUUUAGCAUGUUCUGUUUUUCAUAAUUAAUAAAUUACAGUUGCUUCUCCUCCUUUCUAUUAUCUAAAUAUGCUCGGAGGAAAGAUUUUGUCUUCAUAUUCUGUGGGAACUUUAUAUAUAUGCAUUCAUGUAGAUACCCACAUAAAUGUGUGUAUGCAUAGUGCUAUGCAUAUUUAUUUGUAAUGCUAAUUGAAUUCCAUGUUUAAGAGACGACAAGAAUAUAAAAAGGAAAAUUGUUAUGGUCACAGUUUCUAUCGACUUGGAAUUUAAAGUCUGAAUACCUAACAUCUUUUUUUUUUUUCCCCCUCUUCCUUUGAUUACUUAUCAGGGAAAAUCUCUAUUUAUGCCUCUUCGAGUAUUACUAACGGGGAAGCUUCAUGGCCCAGAUAUGGGGGGAAGUAUUGUUCUGAUUUAUAAAGCUGGUAUCUGCGGAGCAGUUAAUCCGCAAUCAGGUUUUGUACCUUUGGAUGAGAGACUCAAAAUUUUAAGGGAGAUUGACUGGGACGCAUUGAACAAGGGACCAGAUCCGCAACCCGAAUCUGUCGCAACCGUCGCUCAUUAAAUGUUUGUUUAACUAAUAUUUUAUUUUAUUUUAUUUUUCCUAUUCCUGAGGGCUUUUUGUUGUUUCUACUCACACAGCUAAAAUUCUGAGAGAAAAAGCCGUUGGUUGUAACAUCCAGCUUUUUGUGUGUAGUGAAUGUAGCAAUCUGAGUAGUGCAUCAUCUGUACCCUCUUUUGAUUUUGUUUCGGUGAUCUCUCUCUCAAUCAACUCAUGACCCUGUUUUUGAUUAAAUUUGGGUGAUCUCUCUCUCAAGAUUGAUAGUUUGUGCACCAUUUAGUCGCUGGUCGUCGCAAAUCUACAAACCAUUGCCGGCACAACUGCUGUUUUGUAGUUGGUUAUGUUGCUUGUGCAUUCUGAUUCUGGCCCUGAAUUGGAAUCCUCAACAACUACAACGACACACAAAUGGAAUCCUCCAACUUAUUAUUGGUUUUUCUUCAGGUUAUUGCCCUGUUUGUGUGUGACCAUUUGUAUUUUCUAUCCCUCCUGUGGUACUCGACAACAAGCACAUUAUGUUAGAUUUAGCUAAGUUAGAUUUAUAUAUUAAAUUUAAGUAGAUUAGAAAAUUGGUCGAAUUGCUUUUGAUGGUGUGGGAUUUUAUCCCUAUUAUUACUCUCCCCUCCAAGUCUUGAUUGUCCAUCACUUCUUCCACUUGAGCCUGAAUUAGCCUCUAAUUUCUCUUUUCUGACUUUCUUAUUCUAUUUUUAAUCUCUUUUUUUCGCAAUCCACUAUUACAGUAUAUGCUACAUAUUUAUUGCUACAGUAUUGGUGCUACAGUACUGCAAUAGUAUUUUAACUGCAUAAAAAAUUGUCUAUGGUUCAAUCUUUUGCCAUGUGACACAAUCAAACACAAUAAUCUUAUCGAGGAAAAGCUCAUCAAGGUUUUCAAGUAGGAGCCGAAGACACAACGCUUCGGCCAAUGGUCUCGGUCGGGCACCCAAAUCAUCUUCCAAACGCUGCAACUGAGAGCGUCGAAGCUGCAGCUUUGAGCUUUCUGGCAGUUGAAAGUUCGGGCGGGCGCCCCAAACCUAUCGCAGAUGCUAUGUUAUGUUUAGUUGCAAAUAGAAAUUAUCGGAGGGUUUAAGUACAAUUGUAGCACUUCUAUAGAAAACCUCUCAUAGCCAACACCCCUCCCCUCUUUCAUUUCUCUUUUGCACUCUCUUUUCUUUCUCUCUCUAAAAAGAAGAAAAAUCUAGUUUUUGCCCCUUUGUUGGAACCCUCAGAUCCACCCCUAUUGGGAGCUUGGAGAAGAUGAAGAGCUCUUAGAGGGAGCUCUAGGAUAGGAAAGGGAACCACCUCGCGAUCAACCCACAUUUUCCUUGCUUGGAGGAGAUGUUAAGUUGAAAUUUUUAGGGUUUGUUCUUAGAGAUAUUUCCAAACGAAAGAUUUUGAGGUUUUAACUCAGUUAGACUCUUUUUUAAGAGUUCCUUGAUGUUCUAAAGAGAUCAAAAAGCAUCUCCUAGAAAAAUCUAACUAGAGGUAAAAAAUAUCAUUGAAAUGGAUUUGAUUUUCCCUUUGUUUAAAGAAUUUGUUCAUAUGUAUGUAUUAUAGGUAAAAAAGUAAAUUAAAGUAUAUUUAGUUUGCAUAUCAUGAGAUUUAAAAGUUCAUGUGGGCUUAAAAGCUGUCACACCUCGGGCUAUAGCGAAGCCUCUGGGUACACUAAUAGACCCGCUGUAUACAUGGGAAGCACUUUGCGCACACGAAGCGUCAACCAUCUAUCAAUAGCAAGUAUUAGACGUUCACAACUACAAAAGUCCUAGUAGUCUGCAACUAAUAUGUAUGAGUAUAAAGUAAUCAAAUAGAUAAGCAAUGCUAUACAUACAUACAUCCAUAGUAUAUCAUACAUAUCCAAAAUACAGCCACCACGGGUCAGCCAAUUCAUAUAUGUAUUGGCUGGUGUCAAAAUAAAGUACAUAGGCUAGUCCUCCUCUAGUUUGGUCAAUACUAAUAGGAGAUGUUAUCUAAUCUACGAUCCCUUUACCUCAGCCAGAUGGAGCAGGAGCUAAGUUAUCUAAAACCAAAAAAUAACAAAAAAAGUGUGAAAACUAUUAAAUUGUAGUCCCUAGUAAGUCCUAUCGUCGACGACAAUGGCACAACCACUAGGUCUAUUAGAGACAAAGUUAGUACAGAUAGCUAAAUGAAAGUAGGAUAUAUAGAGUUGGUGAAAAUAAAUUACCACUAUCAUACCUCUAUACUACUACUGCUGAAAAUUGUAAUUCAUAAAUAGCAUGCAUCAACUAGUUAUUGAAUAAGUAAAACUGUAACCCAAUCACACUGGCCGACUUGUAAGUCUCGUCAAGCCUGCGCUCGCCUCACGCUCGGCCCCCACCUUGACUCCGUGGUCUGUCGACGCAGAGGCUAUCUAUACACUAAAUUAGCCGCCAGCCUCUAGAGGGGCACUCGAGGGGCGCGACUCGUUUGAGUAUAAUAGCAUAUCUAUCAAGCACAAUCAAGCUCCUGCAGGCUAAGUCAUAUGUGAAUGAUCAACCAGAUUAUAAUAAAUAUUAUCAAGGUGCCCACGGCACAAUCAGGUAUAACUCACUGUUUAAAAUUGCUGAAUUAAUCCACAACAACAAUAAAUUGUAAGCUGUCCAUAAUCUGUCAUCUCUCAAAUCCUCGGUGUAUAUCAAACUAACAGGUUAUGCAUAACUGUGGUGCCCAUAGGGAAAGAGAGUAAGAAGAAGGAGACUAAGAAUGAUAGAUAAGCCUCAGGGCGUUGAGUGAGAAAAGAGUAGAUGAGAAACAUCCCUGAACUAUUUAUAAACAAAAUACAAUUGCAGCCCAACCCAUAGAAAAUUAGAAAUAAUGCACCUUAGCUCAAAUACGCACUUUCGGGCACUAGAACUAGCCUUUCGGGCAUCCGAAUCUACGAUAGCUGUGUCCACUCCCUCUUUCAUGUGCUCGGACAGAAGCCUAAACUUGUUGUAGCUGCACGUGGACACUUCGGGUGCCCGAAAUCUUGUGCCUAAAACACCUAUGAGUCACUAUGCACAUGUCGAGGCAACGAUCAGAUCAUCACCAACCUACAUCUGGGUUUCUACAGUACUAUUGGGAGUCCGGAACUAGGAUUUGAAUUCACAUCCAAAGCCUGCUUGCUAGCGCCUUAAACAUCUUUUGGGCGUUUGAAACUCAUAAAACUUCAGUUUUAACAGGAUUUUCAAUCUCGAGUCUGUUUUCGCAUUCAUUUAGCGUCAAAAUGGCUCCAAUCCUGUCCAGCAAUCCACAUACGUGCUAACCAACUAUAUAUCCAUGUUGCAACCAAACCCAGUUGUCGAGGUCCAGAAAACUACAAAAGCAUUUGACUUAAGAAAACAGAGUUUCCAAUUCCUUUGCCAUGAAGAAUGAAAGUCCACAUUACAUGUAAAUAAAGUAUUAUAUAAAUUUGAAGCUUAGCUAGAAAUGUGAAUCAACAAGGAUUCGAACUUGAGACCUCGGGUACCAACCACCAAGCUUAAAGACUCUGUCCAUAGAGCUUCGUGAGCUCUGUGCGCUGAAGAAACGCAAGGAGAAGGUGACUGAGCUUCUGGCGAAGAAGGAGACUGGGAAGAAGGUGGCUGAGCUUCUGGAGAAGGAGACUAGGAAGAAGGUGGCUGGGCUUCUGGAGGAGAAGAAAUCUGGAAAGAAGGUGGUUGAGCUUCAAGAAGAGAAAAAGACUGGGAAGAAGGCGACCGAGUUUCAGGAAUAGAAGAAGACUGGGAAGAAGAUGGUGCUCUCCCCGAACCCACGACGUGAUCCGCAAGCGAUGAUUCUAGGCACGACUGGCGACGGGAAAGCCGCCUUCAAAGAUGCUCCCUGUGAUCUCGCCCCUGCUGGUGCGUAUUCUGUUUCGCAGCAGAGACCCAACGAGAUUUACUUGGAACUAGGCAAGGGAGUUAAAGCAGCCACCCACCUCUGUAAUCAUGGGUACGAGGGCUGCUCCAACUUCAAGAAGGUUACCUGGGCAAACACAUUAACUCGGACAGCCUACUUCAGACAAGAUAACCCCCUUCAAAUCUCUAGAUCAUUUACUGCACCCACCAAAUCUCAAGCUGCUGACAACUUUGGACCAGAGAACAAGCCUCGGCCUGAUAGGCAAGACUGGAAGAAGCGCCCCCCAUCCACGUCUUUUAAGAGGACGUACAGGGACGUGCUCCUCAGCCCUGGUUCUCCCACUCUACCUCCACUCCACCCCGCUCUCGCUCGUCGCCUCCGAGAUCGCAUCUUUCCCCUUCUUCGAACAGUGGUCGAUUUUCCUUCAAAGGCAGAUGUUAUAGGUGCUUGGGAAGGGAUCACUGGGUUGCUCACUGUCACGAUCCUAUUAGGUGCACCAAGAGCUUCAAGUCGGGCCACAGAGCUAAGCACUGCAUGCAACAUCUGCUGAUGGAGAUCUAUAGAGCAAUGCGCGUCGGGCUUGCGUAUCUUUCCGUUUUUGUUCCCUUGUCCGAUGACUUCUGGGCCCGACAAAAUCGCCGCAGAAAUGCUAUCCUGGUAGAUGUCGUCCCCCCGACCAAUCUCGGUCAUUUCCCUCAGGACACUAUCGCAAAUGGCCUUGCGAGUCCCUUCGGAAGGUACACAACCGACUUCCACAUUGCAAGGUACCGCGAAAGAGACUUCGUCGUUUUUCUCUCGGAAUGGGUGCCAUGCGACGACCUCAUCCACAGGGACAUCCUCAGUCUGGGGGAUUUUUGACUGCGCUACUUUCCCUGGAAUCCAUACAGUGCCGCACGGCGGCCGCCACUCACCUACAAAGCCUGGAUUCCUUUUGUUAGUCUUUCGUACGAGUGCUGGUCCUCUCGAACCGUGGCGGCUCUCGUCAGCGGUUUCGGCCGGUUCAUCAGAUCGGAUGACUCCAGCGCCUGCAUCGUCGACCUUUCUGGCUACCGGUGCCUGGUAGACGUCAACCACCUCUUCGAUAUUCCUUAAAACUUGGAGAUCUCCUUUGGGGAUCUAUCGCUUUCGGUGCUAAUCCAGCUGGAAAGGUGGGCUCGCAGCAAAGGAGGAGAGGCGUGCUAACCCCCACAAUGAACGCACGGAUCAGCACGACCCGCCUGCCAGACCUUCUUUUGGAGACAGCCAGCUCUCCGUCAGCUCUGCGCAAGGGAGACACAUGGAGAUCGGCGGUUCAUCUAACUCCGACGCCUCCUGGAAUUCUUCCAAAAUCCGCGAUAGACGACGCGAUGCUUUUCCUCCACAACGCGAUGCCCUCCCACCGCCACACGACGCUCUCCCUGUACCACGCGUCGCUCUCCCUCCACUACGACAAAUGGCUGGGCAGUCGGCGCCUCCUAUCAUCCCUCUGCGACGCAAUGCCCUCCCUCCGCCACGCGAGGCUCUUACUCCGCCGCGGCUUAUGACUGGGCAGCCGGCACCUCCCGCUACUAUUUCUUCGGCGAUCGGCAGAGCGACCGUCCUGAGGAGUGCCUUUCACUUUCACUUUCAAAUUCCCACGCCGUUGGGUUUUCCAUUCUCGUUCAACCUGACACCGGCUCUACCUUUUCCUCCUUCCCCUUAACUGGCUCUUGCCUCUCCAGCACCAUUAAUGCACUCUUACCUAAAUAUGGAAACCCCCUGGCUGACCCUUGGUUCUUGCACCUAGAAGCUUCUGACAAAGCGGGAUUUCAUGGGAUUUUCAACUCUGCGGAUCAUCGCCGGUGCAUUUAUUUUAACUUCCGGCCAUCCUUCUCGGAUGACCCGCGUAUCCUCACUGCAUUAGACCCCGCACCUUGCUCGUCCAGUCCGUGGUGGACCCUCACCUACUUAAUCUCUGAUCCUGGCUGCUUUGGGUUGGGGCUCAACCUCCAUUUAUCUGUCUCUGGCCGUGAUUCGUUUAUCUCUAAUUGUCUUGGGUCCUAGCCCAGCAAUGAUCUGGCGUCGGCCUUCCCAUGGAACGACUUUGGCAGCCUACCUCAAGAUGUGCCGCACCUGUCUGCUACUGAUUGCCUCACCCUAGAUGCGCCCAGAUUGAGUGCUCGCUUGGCCACGCUGAUGAAGGACUCUAUGUUAAGUAGGGCGAUGCGCAGAAAAGCGCACCGCCUCGAGGGGGGACCAACCAUGCCGGCGACUUCAGUGCACAAGAGGUUCAAAAAGAAAAUCAAGGCGCGGAGCCUGCUCUGCGGGGUGUCACUCUCCGAUUUUGACGCUACGGAAUUUAAAAAAUUCCUGUCGAUAGAAGCCUAGAUGUAGUAUGCCUGUCGAGUCUGUGUCAACUACUGCUGUAUGUGUUUUUCGUUUUUUCGAUGUUUAACUUGUUAAGUUGGAAUGUCCCUGGUCUGCAUGAUCCGGCCAAGCGUUACUGUGUCAAGUUCGUGUUGUCUAAUCUCUAUAGUACUGUCGUCUGCCUUCAAGAAACUAAAGUGGAUUCCGUGUCCCGUUCGUUCCUUCGUUCUUGUUGCGGCUCUUGCUACGACCGGUGCCACUUUAUCCCCGUUUUCGGGACCUCUGGCGGUUUACUCACGUGCUGGAAUUCUAAUUUUUUUUAAGUGUAACGAGGUCUUGGUUCGAGAGCAAUCACUCACUCUCAACCUAACCCAUCUUGCUACCGACAAGACCUUCUAUCUCACUAACGUCUACGGGUCCCCCACUUAGGACGGAAAAGAAGAUUUUUGCUCUGAACUGCUUGCACUCAACGGGACCUGUUCCAAUAGGUUAUUUGCGGCGACUUUAAUUUCACCAGAAACCAAGCCGAAAAAAGAGGAAACCCUUGGAGCUCCAAAUCCAUGGCAAUGUUCUCGGAUCUCAUCUGAAACCUAGCGGUCAUUGAUUUACCGCUGUCGAACCAAACCUACACCUGGUCUAACACGUAACAAAAACCCUCCCUGGCCAAACUCGACAGAUUCCUCGUCUCCACCGAGUGGGACCUUUCAUUCCCCCUUAGCAAGGUCAAGGCUUUCCCGCGGAUCACUUCUGACCACACACCGAUCGUUCUCUUCACCGGACUCCUCCCCAUGCCGCGGAGAUUUCGAUUUGAAAGGAUUUGGCUCACCAAGGAUGACUUUCUGUCGAACGUGCCGAAAUGGUGGAAUGAAGUCCCUUGUAAGCAAUCAACCAUCCUCUGUAUAACUCCUAAGCUUAGUCAUUGCAAAACUAGGAUAAAGGAAUGGUGCAAGUCCAACUUCCACAGUAUAUCCCACACAAAGAAGCACAUACAGGAGGAACUUCAAGAAUCGACCACCUAGAGGAACACUCUAACCUGUCUCAAAAACCCUGGAUAAACGGACCAAUCUCAAAGGGCAACUACAGCUUAUCUUAAAGGAGGAAGAAAUCCUCUGGAACACCAGGGCCAAACAACUCUCGCUCAAAGAAGGUGACGAAAAUGCUAAAUUUUUCCACGCCGUGGCUAAUGGCCGGAAACGAAGCAACGCCAUUGAAAUCAUUGAGGAUGAAUUAGAAAAGCAAAUCACCAAUGAAGAGGACAAUAUAUUCUACUUCUUUCACGCUUUUAAACGCCUAUUUGGUCACGCGGAUGAAUGUCUUCCUUCAUACGGAAUUGGAGUAACCUCUAUCACUCUAAUAGAUUGUGCAACCCCGACUCCCUAACGUCCCCAUUCACUCUUGAGGAGGACAAGACAGCUACCUUCCAACCAGGCAGUGACAAGGUCCUCGGGCUAGAUGGCUAUCCCCUUAUUUUCUUCCAAACCUUCUGGGAGACGGCAAAGAAGGACAUUUUCAAUGUAUUCCUUGACCUGCAGGCUGACAGACAUUUUACGGGUCCCAUCGAUUAUUCAUUUGUGUGCCUCAUCCCCAAAAAAGAAGGACCGCGCAAGGCAAAUGACUUCCGACCGAUCAGUCUCAUCAACGGAAUACAAAAAAUCAUCUCUAAAGUCCUCGCCAAUUGACUUGCACUUACACUGCCGUCCAUAAUCUCCCUUUCCCAAUCGACCUUCCUCAAAGACCGGCUACUAAUAGACUCAUUUGCUAUAGCAUGCGAACUAGUCAACUGGUGCUCAAAAUCUGGCACGAAAUGCGUUUGUAUCAAGGCCUAUUUCGAAAAAGCUUUCGACAAUGUCAUAUGGACCUUCUUGCAAAGCAUCCUUAGAUGGCUCGGCUUCAGUGAAAAAUGGUGGUCCUGGAUCGAACAAUGUAUAUGCAAUGCCAAAGUCGCUAUUUUAGUGAAUGACACCUACCCCGACUAGAUGGCUAAAAGCUAAGAAGGGCCUUAGACAGGGAGACCCGCUCUCACCCUAUCUCUUUAUUUUAGUUGCUGAUUGCCUAGCCAGGCUGACCGAAACCGCUAGGGGCAACAAUCUACUACGUAGAAUUGGCCCAACUGAGGACUGCGAAACGGUGCUCCUUCAGUACGCCGACGACACAAUAUUUUUUUGCGAACCCAGAAAACAUUUCAUGAGGAACCUUCAGUUUCUUUGGAAGAUCUUUGAGUGGGCCUCUAGACUUAGGAUUAACCAGAACAAAUCGGAAUUGUACUACUUGGGAUCUCGACCGCGCAAAGCCGACAGAUUGGUCAACAUCCUAGGAUUUAAAGUGGGCAAGCUAUUGUUCGCUAUUUGGGCCUACCACUUUACAAUAAACAAUUACGUAAGGAAGAUUGGGCCUUCGUAAUCAACCGCGUCAACGCAUGAAUCGACGGAUGGAAAGCUAAACUCCUAUCUCAAGGAGGAAGACUUAUUCUCGUCAACUCGGUUCUUACCAACUUACCGCUAUUUCACUUAUCUACUUUCAAAGCACCAUAUUGGGUACUACACAGGAUCGAGGGCCGAAGAAGAGCGUUUUUCUGGAAAGGGACUUCUACUAUCUUUGGAUGAGAAUGUCUCAUCAGCUGGAAAACCAUCUGUAGAAGCAAGAUUGAAGGAGGGCUAGGGAUCAAAAAUAAUGGACGCUAUGAACAUAGCCCUCUUAACCAAAUGGUGGUGGCGCUUUCUCAACGAACCAAAUCUCCCGUGGUGCAAACUAAUAAAUUCUCUUUACUACACCAGACGUAAACCGCUACAUGACGGCAGAGCCUUCGUCCCCUAUUCGUAAUGGUGGAAAAGUGUGGUCCGAUGUUGUGAUGUGUUCAAAUGCAGCGUAUCCUACGAACUAGGCCGUGGUACUAAUAUCAAGUUGUGGUCUGAUAUCUGGAUUGGAGAAACCCCUCUACGCACGCUGUUCCCAUAUAUCUUUUCCUGCUCUAUUAUUUAGUUUUUAAUCCACACUCUUUUUUGUCUUUCGGAGGCCUUAGCUGCUUCCACCCUGGACGCUUAAUUCAUUUGUUUUAAUGAAUGAAGCAGCUACCUCUUUCUCAAAAAAGAAAAAAAUAAUUUGAAGCUUAGAUGAUAUAAUAGUGACAUUUAACCUAGGAUGUAACGUAUGGUGUUAAACAUAGUGAUGCAUAGACAUCUAGGAAAACUUGAGCUAGAGAACAAAAGGACUUACAAAUGAACUGACCCUUGGAAGUCAUGAGAACUUAAUUAGUGUGUAACUAAGAUAUAAGUUACCAAUCGUCCCUAGAGCAACUGGCAAAGGACUUGGUGGUUGGUACCUGAGUGUACCAGUACAGAGCCAGAGAACCCUCAACCCGAGCCUUGGGUUGAGAUUUUCGUGGGGCUUGUACCAGUACAAGGACUCGUGUACCGGUACAAGGAGGCUGAUUUCGUGCAGUUUGAACUGCAGGGGUGUUUUGGCAAUUGUGGACUUCUUAUAUCAACACCCACGCCCUUGAGGCCUCCCCUGAGCUCACCAGCAGCAAGAGGAGAGGUAAGGGAGCCCUCCACACUCUCCCCCUUGAUUUCCUUGGUUUUUAUUUGGAUUUAGAGAGAUUAAAGCCUCUCUUUUUGCUCCUUUUUGGGUGUUGGAGGCUUUUCCACCAUUGGAGCUUGGGAUUGGAGCUUGAGAGGAGGAAGAUCUCCACACUUGGUGAACUUAGAACCUUGAUUGAAACUUCUAAGAGGUUAGUAACCCCUUCUCCUCCUCUAGAUUUGAGUUUUGUUGCUUUUUGAUAGUUGGAACCCUAGAAUGAGGUUUUAGGAUUAAUUUUGGGCAUUUUGAUUCUAGGGCUUUUGGGGCUAAAUUAUUUGGAUUAGAGCACUCCUUUGGGUUGGAUUGGAAGGAUCUUAGCCUUCUUUUGGAGCUUGUGAGAGUUUUUCUCCACCCUAGGUGAGAUCUUAGCCCUUUUGCCUUGUUGGUUAAUAUUUGAUCUUAUAGUUGAUAUUAAUGCCCGUGUAUCUCUUCGCUUAAUAUUUUUAGGGUAUUUGGAGACUCGUGGACAACUCCGUUCGGUGAAUCGAGGGAUUAUGCGACGGUUCGGUGGGUUUGACCUAGCCACACAAUGAGAAAUCUCAUUGUUGAUGAUUUAAGUGUUGUAAAAUGAAAAAGCAUCCAUAUUCUUGUUAUAUGUAUUUAUUGUGAAUUUUAAAAUGCUUAAAAUGCCUAUGUUACAUAUAGUGCAAUUUUGGACUCCUAUAUAGUAGAGAGUUGCAUAUGAAGCCUAUGUUUGAUUGUUUAGCAUUCUUAUAUUGGGCCAUGUUCCUUAUAAUGAAAAUGAGCUUGAAUCAUGCAUUUAAAUCUAAGUUUAUUUGUGACAUGAAAGUUAGCUAAUAUGCCAUAAAGAGGCAUCAAACUAGAAUGUUAUGUGAAUUAGAGAGCUAAUGUCAUCAAGCGGCAUUGAGCUCGGGACAUGGGUGAACCUAGUGGAUAGGGCCAUUGAGGGAUUUGGUGUAUGCUCAACAUUGAAAUGUCGAAGUGUCAUCAAGGGGCACUAGACUUCAUGAACGUUGGAACUUUAAUUGUGACUUAGACCUAGAUCUUCAGGAUGCUAGUAACUAUACCAUGUUAGAAACAUGAGGAUUGGAUACUUGAGACUUGGACUACGCUUGCUUGCCAUUUGUGCUCAUUCGCACAUGCUUGUGAGGGUCGCUCCCUACAAGCCGGCACUCCGGAGUUAGUCUACGCGACUUAUGUUCGCUCGUGCGGUAUUGAGAUGCCUACGGGGUCGAGUGGGAUAGACACAUUCCAAGAGUAGGGAUGUUGGGCUACCACAGGCACUUAGGCGGCACAAGCUGGACUACCUUUGGUAGGUCCUUGAUUGGAAAUGAAAAUCGACACGGUGUUGUGUGUGUUAUAAUCACUACUAGAUAGAGAGUAGUAGUUGGGUUACUUGGACUUGCUUCUAGCAUAGUUUUGGACACUAGAGUAUAUAUACAUACAUGUAGUAUGCUAGGAGAUGUUGUUUAUUGCAUCCAUAUAUAUAUUGUUGCCAUGAUAAAGCAUGAUCUUUAUAACUUCAUAAAGUGGACCGUGACAAUUACCUGUGGCCAUGUUGAGACAUAUUACUUGUGCAUUGAACAUUCUUUAUUAUGAAAGAGUAAAUGUAGAACAUUGACAUCGUAAUGUUUAUGGUAUAGUAAGCUUAGUAAACAUGCAUACUUUCAUACCGCAGUUAUCAUUAUCAUUAUUGUUGUUUACCGUGCUUACUCGUUUCUUCUGGGGCCUAGUGGUGCAUUGAGCUGAGGUCAGUAAUUGCCCACUGGAAACUAUAAAUUAUAGUUCUCACGCCCUCGUUUUCUUGAUGUUUUUCAGAGCCUUCCAUGUCGGGAGAGGCUAGAGACCGCGGGAAGGGAGUUGCUUCGAGCUAGCUUCCUUCGAGGACGAUUUGAUAGGUGGUCUACCUCUCGUUAUUUUAUUUUGUGAGAGGUUGAGAGUUGUACCCGUAUAUAUAUAGAGACCACCCUUCUUUUGAAUUUUUGUAUUUCUUUUGAGGAGUUUGCAUUGUAUCACCUUGUGCUUUACUAUUAUGGAUUAGUAUAUUUCCUUUAUUCUUGUUUUAGAUGAUAGAACUUUACUUACUCUGAUAUCGUUAGAUAUUAUUCAUUCCUAGUCGUUGUAAUUCUUGCUUUUACUUCCGCUUUUAUUUUAGACGCCUUAUAUGUGUGGACAUAUGGCGGGUCUGGGCACGCUACCGGGAGGGCCUCCGCCGGUCCCGGGGCGUGACACUGAGGUUCCGAGUUCGAAUCCUAGUUGAUUCACAUUUCCAGCUAAAUUUAUUUCUAAAUGAAAUAAAUGAAGCAGGUAGCGUGCUACCUAUCUCUCUCUCUCAAAAAAAAAGAAGAUAUAAGUUAUGACUUUUCGAAAGUGUCAUAUUGGGAGAUGUCGACUCUCCUUAGCUCACUACUUCAUAUUGGGAGAUGCCGAUCAUUCUCGACUUUCUCUAUCAUGUUUGGUGAUACCGAUUUCCUUUGACUCCAAAUGCCUACUGAUUGGAAAGAUGCCGGUCGUCUUCGAAUAAUUGUAAAAAUUAGUUUCUAGAAAAUUCAUAUAAUUUAUACCGUAUAUAAUAGAGGUGAUUGUUGAUUUGGAAAACUUAUCACCCAUAACAAUGUGGAAAAGGUUUUGUUUGUUUUUAAAAGUAUCCUUACUUUACUCUAACGGGAAGCAAAAGACAAGUUGCACUACAACAAAAACGGUCUAUAGCGACACUUUUAAAUAUAGGUACAUGUCAAAAAAGUGCUGCUAGCUAAAAUUACCGACACUUUUAAAAAGUGUUGCUAUAUGUGGGGUCGCUAGGUAUAUAGUGACAGUUAAAGAGUGUUGCUAUAACCUAAAAGAGUGCUGCUAAUUUACUAACACUUAUUUAAGCAUUUAGCAACCGCCGAAACUCUAUCUCGUUAGCUGCGGUGGCGGAGGAGGACGACAGAAAAGGCUCUUCGUCUAGAAUUUCAGUGGAUUGAGUGAAGAGAGAAGAAAAGAUGGUAAUUGAUUUUUCUUUUUUUUUCUUUCUAUUUGUAAUUCGGGCCAAAUGGAUGAGUGUGAUGGGUUGAAAUAGAGUAAUUCUUUUAUCGUUUGUUGAUUGCUUUUAUAUUUAACAUUAGUAGAUAUUAUUUAUUAGUUUUAGGAUAAAUGGGACAGCUUACUCAAAAGUGUCUCAAACAUGUGAUGCCCUCAUAACCUAAUUCUGUUUGAGUAGUUGAGAUAUUGAGACUGAGCAUCGAAAUAAAUCUUCUUUGGCAACUAAACAAUAACGGAAAACUGUAUUGCCGUUAGGAAGGCAAAACUUGACGCCAUCUAACAUAUCUCAAAAUACAAAUUGGACACUUCCAUACUGACACUCCUAUUAAAACGCUUCCGCGUGUGUUUUUGAAUAAAGUUAUGUUAAAAAGUACAAUAUGUCUCUCUGUUUUUUAAUCAAAGACUUGCAUUCUCUCUUCUUAAAAUCUUGCAACAAGAGACCUAAACGAUGUUAACUUAUAAAAAAUUAAGCAAAAUCACGUGCUCCGGACGAGUGGACAGCAAAGAGUGCGCUUUGACAAUAUCACAUAUAUAUAUAUAUAAACUAAAUACCUACUAUAUAAUAGUAUAUUAUAUAUACUAAAUAUACUAAUACUAAUAAGUACCACCAAUGAGUUGUUUAUAUUUAAAGUUACUAAGUUAUUGGUGGCCUGUAAAUUUUUUACCAUUUGACUUAAGAGAUAGCGGUUACGAAUGUUGGCCCUUCUAAGGGUUGAGUGGUGGUUGAUUGAAUAGUAUAAUCUUAUGAUUGAAAAUUGAUUCGAAAAGUAGGAUCUACACGGUAAAAACUGACCAACAUUAAUACUGUGGCUUUUACAAGCAUCAUACACUGAUAUAUAUAAAUAUACCUCCAUAUACCUAUAUAUAUACCUAAUAUACUAUACAUACUAUAAUAUAACCAUCAGUAACGUGAUACUUCCUGGAACCCUAACCAAGAACGUAGUUGAACUGAAUUUGUAAAAAAUAAUAUCCAAGCAUCACUCAAGACAAGAUCGUCUCGUACAAUUUCACUUGUUUAAUAGUUGGAAUCUUGAAGCAUAAGAAAUUCUUUAACUUCAGCGUGUUUUAUGCCUACCUGGAGUGUAAAUCAGGCCAAAGGGGGGUGUUUGCGUGAUGUACAAUGGAUGGAAUCAGAUAAAUUGUUCGGUGGAUGCAAAGUGGUUUGCUAUCAUUUGUUAUUCGUCGUAAAAAUUUUUUGGAAAAAUACUUUUACGUAUUUAAGGGAAACUUCUAUUUCGUUUUCCGCGUGUGAGGUGGAUAACGAAAACUCGAGGCAAAUCGCGUCUCGCGGCGGCGGGCUUUGUCACGGUCCAGGAGGCCCAAGCGGCCUCAUGGACUCGCAUGGAGGGAGUCCAACGGUGGACCUCCUCUUAUAUAGAAUAGCUAUCAUAUACUAUAUACUCUACUAUAUAAUUUAUAUCAUAUACUGCGGUUUUGAAUGAUGGCGGGCCCCCUAAGGGUUGAAGUGGGUGGUUGGUUGAAUAGGCAUGAUUACGGGUGACAAUAUCAAAGGUAUGAUCUAACAGCGGAAAACUGGUAGCACCAAGUGCGUCGUGCUAUUAUAACCAAGUCAGUCCGGACUAUAUAUAUAGUAUACUAUAUAUAGUAUUUUAUUUUUAUAUAGAGAUAUUAUUAUAUAAUAUUUUAUUUAUAAAUUUAUAAUUAUUUAUUAAUAUUUAUAAUUAUUAUGUAUUAUGUUUAUUAUAAUUUUAAAUAUAUUUAAUCUAUAUAUAGAAAUUAUAAUAAUAUAUAUAGUAUAUUAAUUAUUAUAUAUUAUAAAUAUAUAUAAUAAAAAUAUAUUAAAUAAUUUUUUAUCUAUAUUUUUUUUUUCUUUCAACCAAACAACCGUUACGGAAAACUAUUUUUCUUUUCUUACAAAUCAAACACUAAACGAUAUAAAACUUUUUUUCCACUGAAAUUUUUUUUUCCACAGUUUUACGUGAAACCAAACACACCCUAAGUUGAACAAAGGCGGCCGGUUCAGCCAGGCUAUGGGUCGUGCUGAUCCACGACAGAUCCACGACUGGGCCUUGCUGUCGUGGAUCAAUGGAUAAGGGCGUCCAACAGGAAAGCUUUACUCUCCCAGUCCAAAGAAGGCACAAUGUGUGGAAGGUAAGCAUAAAACUAGCAAUAAACGUAUACAUCUAAUAUAUGCAAAAAGAGAACAAGUAUUAUUAUGUCUCCGUCAAUACAGAUAAUGAAAUCUUAGUAAUUCAACCCGUAAAUAUGCUUACUAUUAUCAGUACCCAAUUCACAAGGAUCAAAAAUACAAAGUUCGUUCUAUCAUGCAUCAAGCUAGCCAUUGGCGGCGAAAUCAUCACACUCACCUUAGGAUAUAUGUCUAUGGACAGCAAAAACGUCGCACUCUCUUAGGGCCAAUUAAUAGGUGGUGAAUUCAUUAUACUCAUCAUUAUACUCACUUUCAUUGAUGGAAAGGAUGAGAAGUAAAUGACAUCGUUUACUUCCAAAACAUAUUCUAUACUAAAUCUCUCUCUCUCUCUCUCUAUAUAUAUAUAUAUAGAGCUAGUCUCCUAUAUUAUUUAUAGUACCGAGGCUCCGAUACUAUAGUCCUGUUUUCGAUUUUAGGGUGUUCAAAUCAACGAUCCAUACUAUUAAAACUGAUCUAGGGUAUUUAAAGUUUUUAGAAAUAAAAUUUUAUAUUUUUUUGACAUAGUUAUUUUAUGAUCAAAUCAUUUCAAAAUUGUCAAUUUUUAAUGGUUACUAUAGCGAGUUUGGAGGUUAACGAUGUAGAAGAAUCUAAAUUUCUUCAAAUUUGAUAGAAAAUACUUUAAACUAUCAAGAUUAAGGUUAACAUUCUUGAUUUUGAAUUUAAAAGUCUUAUACUCAAAUUUUAAAGAUUAUUCAAUUUCUACUGUCGGGCUACUAAACUCUUAUGAGUAUUGGGUCCUUCGUACUCAUAAGUUGUUUUCGAUGAUGGGGCUUCCGAAUCGACGAUCCAUUCCGUUAAAUAUGAUUUAGAGUAUUUGAAACUUCUAAAAAAUAAAUUUCGUAAUUUUUUGGAAUCAUAAUAAAAUCCAUCAAGCGGGUAUAAAAUUAAUGAACGGUCGAAAUCGAACGACGUCCUAAAAAUGGAUGAUCAGAUCCUUCAAUUUAAGAUCGGAGUUAUUGAUCUUUAUCUAAAUAGCGAAUAGAAUUUUUUAUUAAAAUUCAACCGAUUCCGAUUCUUUUACACCGUUAAACUAGCAAGUAUCCCAUACCGGCCGUUAAAAAUUAUCAAUUUUGUGACCUUUUGAUCGUAAGUUAAUGAUGUCAAAAAAUUAUGAAAUUUGAUUUUUAGAAGUUUUAAAUACUCUAGAUAACAUUUGACGGUAUGAAUCGUCCAUUUGAAAACUCUAUCAUCGAAAACAACUUAUGAGUACGAGGGCGAUCAUACUCAUAAUAGUAUAGUAGAGAGAGAGAGAGAGAGAGAGAGAGAGUAUGUGAGUAAUGCUAUAGACAACACAAGUCCUUUGUUAUGCCCACUCUAUCUUUAGUAAUCGAGCUUUUGAAUCACUGAUCAAUAUUGUUAAAUAUUAUUCAUAGUAUAUGAAUAAUCUAAUGACUAAAUAUUCAAAUUUUUUGAAGCAAAUUAUCUAGUAAUUGAAAAAUUUCAAAAUUAACGAUAUUCAAUAGCUGAUAUGAGGUGUUUAUUAAUUUAACAACGCUUUGAAAGCGUUGAAGUACACUAUGAUAUGGUUUGAAACGAAUUGAAAUUUUUUAAAUUAACAGUGUUUCGAAAGUGUUUUACGUAACAAGGAUUGGAAACAAAUCGAAAUUGUUUGGAAACUUUAUUGUUUUCUAGUACUACAUUAUGGUGGUUGGAACUAUAUAUUGCUUCCAUCAUCAAUGUUCUUAAAAAGAUGAUGUUAACGAGGUUUAUAUAUAUUAGAAUGAUGGCUAAUUUGCAUAAAAAAUCCACUUAUUUUGGGCUUUUGCAAAAUUGGGCCACCUUUUUCGUUUUUGCAGAUUCAGUCCGCUUUUUCAGCAAACUGACCAAAACACCCUUAUUACUUUUUCUCUUUCCUCUUUCUCUCUCUUCUUCAUUUCUGUCGUUCUUUUUUUCUUUUCUCGCCGGCAGAGCGGAGGCGGAGUGGAGGCGGAAACGGUCCGUCUCGCCUCUCACCCUCAUGCUCUCGCCCUCGCCCUUGCCCUCGUCCAUGCACCCCCCAUCUUCCUCGCCUCCGACCCCGCCAAGGCCGCGCUGCGACUUUUUUUUUUUUGCNNNNNNNNNNNNNNNNNNNNNNNNNNNNNNNNNNNNNNNNNNNNNNNNNNNNNNNNNNNNNNNNNNNNNNNNNNNNNNNNNNNNNNNNNNNNNNNNNNNNNNNNNNNNNNNNNNNNNNNNNNNNNNNNNNNNNNNNNNNNNNNNNNNNNNNNNNNNNNNNNNNNNNNNNNNNNNNNNNNNNNNNNNNNNNNNNNNNNNNNNNNNNNNNNNNNNNNNNNNNNNNNNNNNNNNNNNNNNNNNNNNNNNNNNNNNNNNNNNNNNNNNNNNNNNNNNNNNNNNNNNNNNNNNNNNNNNNNNNNNNNNNNNNNNNNNNNNNNNNNNNNNNNNNNNNNNNNNNNNNNNNNNNNNNNNNNNNNNNNNNNNNNNNNNNNNNNNNNNNNNNNNNNNNNNNNNNNNNNNNNNNNNNNNNNNNNNNNNNNNNNNNNNNNNNNNNNNNNNNNNNNNNNNNNNNNNNNNNNNNNNNNNNNNNNNNNNNNNNNNNNNNNNNNNNNNNNNNNNNNNNNNNNNNNNNNNNNNNNNNNNNNNNNNNNNNNNNNNNNNNNNNNNNNNNNNNNNNNNNNNNNNNNNNNNNNNNNNNNNNNNNNNNNNNNNNNNNNNNNNNNNNNNNNNNNNNNNNNNNNNNNNNNNNNNNNNNNNNNNNNNNNNNNNNNNNNNNNNNNNNNNNNNNNNNNNNNNNNNNNNNNNNNNNNNNNNNNNNNNNNNNNNNNNNNNNNNNNNNNNNNNNNNNNNNNNNNNNNNNNNNNNNNNNNNNNNNNNNNNNNNNNNNNNNNNNNNNNNNNNNNNNNNNNNNNNNNNNNNNNNNNNNNNNNNNNNNNNNNNNNNNNNNNNNNNNNNNNNNNNNNNNNNNNNNNNNNNNNNNNNNNNNNNNNNNNNNNNNNNNNNNNNNNNNNNNNNNNNNNNNNNNNNNNNNNNNNNNNNNNNNNNNNNNNNNNNNNNNNNNNNNNNNNNNNNNNNNNNNNNNNNNNNNNNNNNNNNNNNNNNNNNNNNNNNNNNNNNNNNNNNNNNNNNNNNNNNNNNNNNNNNNNNNNNNNNNNNNNNNNNNNNNNNNNNNNNNNNNNNNNNNNNNNNNNNNNNNNNNNNNNNNNNNNNNNNNNNNNNNNNNNNNNNNNNNNNNNNNNNNNNNNNNNNNNNNNNNNNNNNNNNNNNNNNNNNNNNNNNNNNNNNNNNNNNNNNNNNNNNNNNNNNNNNNNNNNNNNNNNNNNNNNNNNNNNNNNNNNNNNNNNNNNNNNNNNNNNNNNNNNUUAACGAUGCAAUUUCAUGUUCAUCCUUCUUUUUAUAUAAUUUUUUAUCUUUAUUUUUUUUUUAUUUUUUCUAUAAUUUUUUUUUGUCACCCUCUUUGCCAAUAGCCAUGGUGCUGGCGACGACGCCGCUAAGGACCCCCGCUCCGAGCCUGUAGCGUCGCAGUGACCUCCACGGUGUCGACGUUGGCGCCGGCGAAGAUGCAUCGUCGUCGGAUGCGGCAGAGAAUGAGGGAGAGGGAGAGAUGAGAAGGGCGGGGAAGGACGAGAGAGGCGUCGUCGUCGGAGACGGUGGAGAAGAGUCGGAGAAGAAAAGAAAAGAAAAAAGCAAAAAAAAAAGGUCGCGGCGCGGCCUUGGCGGGGUCGGAGGCGAGGAAGAUGGGGGGUGCAUGGACGAGGGCAAGGGCGAGGGCGAGAGCAUGAGGGUGAGAGGCGAGACGGACCGUGUCCGCCUCCGCUCUGCUGGCGAGAAAAAAAAAAAGAACGAGAGAAACGAAGAGGAGAGAGAAAGAGGAAAGAGAAAAAGUAAAAAGGGUAUUUUGAUCAGUUUGCUGAAAAAGCGGACCGAAUCUGCAAAAACGAAAAAGGUGGCCCGGUUUUGCAAAAGCCCAAAAUAAGUUGAUUUUUUAUGCAAUUUGGCCUAGAAUGAUAGAUUUGCUAAUCUAAAUUUUAGUUGACGUCUAAUUCUAAUUUUCAUUAGAGUAAACAAAUUAAACCACACGAAGUAGGAUUUGUAAAUUAUAUAUACUCAGCUCUAGCUAGCAUAUAGCUGGCCCAGCAUUAAUUAAUUAGCUCCAUGUGAACACUGCAGUUUUGUGUCCAUCAAAACGUAGAUCCCAGUAAAAACUUCCCCAGCUAAGUUGACUUCUCUUCUUCUCUCGCCUGUAUUUUGUGAGAUCUCACUCUAUGCACUAUCACAAGAGACAAAUAAUUAACAUAAGUUGUUGAAGGUUAAUCAUGCACCAUAACAAUUGUAUGCUAUUAUUCAUCAUACCUAGCGCAGUAAGUUUAGGACUUAUAAUUGGUACGUGAGGGUUUCAAAGUUCAAAAUUAAGUUUUUUUAUAUUUUUAAUUGAGUUUAUUUUUUAAAAAAAUUAAUGAAUUGUACUCCUUACUAUGUACGUACUUCUCUCGCUCAAACAAAAAAAUUGUAUGUUAUCUAUGGAGGCGGGGAAGGUGAAGCCUCUUUUUUAGAUCGAAAUUACUGCCAUGUUACCCAGAAGAUCAAAUGGAGGGGGUUUUAGGACUAGUUCUAUUACUGUUUUAACCAAAAAAUUAAUUUUGUAGGACAUAACUAUUAGAAAAUUGCGUACGGUAAAAACGCAGCAGAAAAAAAAAAUCAAACAAAUUUGAUUUUGAAAACGAUCCAAUCUCAAAAACCACGCAAUUAGGAUCACUCAUAUUCUUUAAGAUUAAGAGAGAAAAGCAAGAUCGAAUCUUUACCCUUUUCACGAAUAAAUCUUCACUUCAACUUGAUAAUCGUGGAAUUGGGUUCUCUUGAAGCCGCACACGCGUUCAGUCUCUAUAGAUAUCCACACGAGAUUCUUGAUUUGAUCGAUAUCCUCACUGGGGUGCUAGCUCCCUUACAAAAGGACGUUUUUCUUGCUAGAAUAUGGAAGAGAGAGGAGAGGAGAGAUGACAGCUAGGAUUUUCUAAAAACUCAUAUUAUUAUAUAGAAGAAUAUAAUCCUCUUAUUAAUAAUAUAAUAACCAUUAAGCAUAAGUACAAAUCUAGAUUUAAAUAUAUCAUUUCCUUAAUUGGUUAAAUCGAUUAAAUCCUAAUUUGAUUCGACUUGAAUUUUAUACUAAUUUGAUCAUAUCAAAUUAAUAAUACAACAUUUGCACAAAAGUCCUCUUAUAAUUUACUAACUAUUAGUAAGUCCUCUUAGUAACAUUUAUACCUUAAUACCACUAAUUUGUAACAAUUACAAAUUAGUCCAAUUAUCAACAUAUUGACAAUUAGGUCCAUCGACGAUUCAAUAAUCACGAUCUAGCUAUCUGAUCAAUCACAACCUCGUAUGUGUGUGACCCCAUAGGUUCUAUUCUAUCUGGUAGUGAGAUAUAUUUUAAUCACUAUCAACAUAUCACUAAAACUCCUUUCAGUGGAUCGGAACAAUUUCAACUCAGCCCAAUGAGAAUUAUCGAUCAUCUAGAUAAUUCUCAUGAGUCUGACAAUCCACCAAUGACGCCUAACAGCAUGUAGUGGCAUUCCAGUAGAAUGGAAUACUGAACCUCUUGGUACAGUUACCGUGUGAUACAAUCUUUCUAUCAUGAGUUUCGAUUAGACGGAGGUUAUAGAAUAACUCGUCAAACCCCAUCAUCUGUCAUAUGUUAAAUUUAUUCGACUCGAGUCUCUAAUAUCGGAAACCCUUUUCCGCUAUUAACUCUGCCCUGGCCAAGGUCUUCUAAACUCGGUCUCAUAAAUCACAUAGGACUAACACCCCUAUCUACCAAGAGAGAUAGAUUCCAUCAAGUGCGCACCAUAUUUCUACAAUUAACCUACUGCAGCCAACAUGCACCGCAAGGACCAGAAUGGCUAGGGACCAAGUGUAUGUACAGUCAAACUACAGUAACCUCAUUGUGAAUAGCCGAGGCACCGUAGGUCAAAAGACCAGUCACAUUACUGCAACAUUGAGUAAGUCAUUGACGAGUGAGUAGACAUCCAAGUGACUUCUCACGUUAGUCACGCUCGGUACCCUUAUUCUUUAACAACCAUCUACAUAUUCGCUUCAGUGUCCCCACACUGUCGACUCGAGACUCGUCUACCCAAAAAGGGAAGCGACCUAUGCACCAAUCUCAUCUGAUCAAUCACCGUCCCCGUAAUGAUUCAUUGAUCGGGAGCAUUUAGGAAUUAACCACCAAUAACACAUGUCUCAAAUUUUCAACUCUUGAGAAUAUAUGUCAUCAUCUUAUUAACUCCUUAGGCGAUUCAUGGACACAUACACAAUAUGAAUAGAAUUAAGGACCCAAAUUUAUUUAUAAUUUUAAAAAUCAAAUAUAAAUUUAUGUCCUAAAAAAAUAUGUGUCGUCCUUAUUGGCUUCUAGGGCAUAUGUCUAACAAUAGCUAGAUUUAAGAUUAACACUUAAACUAGUUGAGAAGUGUUUCAUCAAAAUAGUUUUUUUUUUCUUUGCCAAAAAAAAAAAAAAAUCAAGUGGAGGAGAGUUUCAUAAAAAGAGCUUGUUUUGAAAUAAAAAAAAAAAAGUUUGGCUUGCGCUAGCUGAAUUGAAGUGCAAUAAAUUCAGCUAAUAAAUACAUGCAACAAAUGGGAAGUAAUUUAUUGCAUGUAUUUAUUAGCUGGAAUUGUUGGUCCUAAUAAAUACAUGCAACUACAAUCAGAUAAUGUUCACUCUCGUAGUAUGUAAACUAGUGAAUAGUUUGAUUAGAUCUGAAUAAGGUAACGAGUUUUAAUAAUAAAUGUCAAUGCUAAUGAUCAGGACAUAUGUGGUGAUGUACAUAUCCUAAAGAGAAUCUGCCCAUGCGUGUACUUGAUUAUACGUUGAAGUUAGUGACCAAACAAGGGGAGUGUUUGAUUCCUUUUUUUUUUCUUUGUGAGAAGUUUACGGUCGAUUUAUAUAUAUGAUGUGUACACAACUCCUGGGCUAAUAAUCUCUAGCUAGUCACAUUUGUUGAUUCGGUUACUCAAUCCUACACUCCAAUUAAUGGGGCGCAAACAAUACUGUGGCUCUUCCUCUUCGGAAAGCCCGACUGAAGAGGUGGUAAGAGGAGGAGGAGGAGAAGAGAUUUCCAUUUUUAUUCGAUCUCCCAACGAAGGCACCGACGGAGAAGAAGAAGAAGAAGAAGAAGAAGAAGAAGAAGUAGAUGAGUGGCGAACAAGGGUCGAGAAAAGGUUAGAGGUGGUGAAGAAAUACGCGAUGAAGAUGGCGUGCCCGAAACGAAAGGGGCUGCCGGUGGACAUGUACAACGACGAAGAAAUCCCCGCCAUUUCUGAAAUGCACAUCGAGCAUCGCCCUGUGAAGGCAGUGGCCAUCGGUCCUUACCACCGCGGCGAUAAAGUACUGUUCACCAACGUCGACAAGUGGCGGGUGGUGAGGAUCAUCGCCAAAUGGUACGCCAUCGACCCCAUGGGGUACCUCACAAGAAUGAAGGAGAAGGAAGCGGACGCCCGCAUGUACUAUUCGGCAGAUCUAUCUGAAUUCAACAGCGAAAGUUUUCUAGAGUUGCUGCUCGUCGAUGCCUGCUUCAUUCUAUUCGUGAUAAGUACAUUCGAAGACUACGCCGACGGUAGCUGGUCGAAGGGAGAAGACGGCACGGAGUAUCUGAAUUUGUUGAUGGAUGUAAAAGUAAAUGCGAAGCAGAUCAAGCUCGACUUACUGAUGCUCGAGAACCAGAUUCCUUUCUUCGCCAUCGAGGAGCUGCUUAAAGCUAGCACCAAUCAGGCAAACUUCGAAAAGAACCUGAUCGAAAGCCAGGCGCUUCUUUUCUUCGACGAUAUCUACCCAAGAAGAGACCGAGACAAAGGAAUACGGGACGUUGAUUCCCCGAGGUUCCAUCAUCUUCUCCACCUUUUCCACUGGUCCAGGGUUCCGAGAGGAAAGUACGAAUUCGGCGCGGCGUCACUUUUGUUUCGAAAGACAGAUCUAACACUAGCCAUCCCUAGUGCUACCGAGCUUCGACAGUCGGCGACCAGGUUCAGGAAGGAGGUUUCAGGUAGUUUUCUAGACAUCACAUUCGAGAAUUGCGGAGUGAUGAAAGUCUGCGGGGUCGUGAAGAUCCCCACCUUGCACAUACUCGACUACAGCAGCACCAUCUUUCAUAACCUCGUCGCCUUCGAGAAACAGUACAAGGGGAGCGGGCGCUGCGUCGUAGCGUACUCCGCGUGCAUGGCGCACCUUCUGCAAAGUAAGGAGGACGUGAAGCUGCUCCGAAAGAGCGGCAUAUUGGCGAAUACUAAUGUUAAUGAUAUCGAUGCGGUGAAUUUGUUUGCAAGCUUGAGUGAGGAGAUUGGAGGUUCCCUCAUGCCGGAUGAUCUUCAUGCCCUUUAUUCCCAGGUAACGAAACAUCACAGGCAGUGGAGGAGUAGAUGGUACGGCGAAACCACACUCCAAUAUUGCCCUAAUCUAUGGAUCACUAUUUCAGUCAUCGGGGCAUUGCUCCUCUUUCUUCUCACGGCCGUGCAAACCGUCUACUCAGUUCUAAGCUAUUAUGCUUCCUUGAAGAAUAAGUAGCCCAUGCGGCAAAUUAAUUUGUGCUGGAGUUUCCGAAAAAACGCUGACUCUAUCAAGUUUUUUUUUCUUGAGAGAGAUAGAUAGUAUGCUACACGCUUCGUUUAUUUUAUUUAGAAAUAAACUUAGCUGGAAAUGUGAAUCAAUUAGAAUUCGAACUUGGGAUCUUGGAUACCAACCACCAAGCCCUUUGACGCUUGCUCUAGGGACGGUUGGUGCGAUUCAAUCAAGUUGAGUCGAAAAUUUCGUUGACUUUGGAUAAUUUUUACAAUUGAUGCAAGAAAUCUUUAAACGGCCAUCAUUUUUUGCUCGAAUAUUUGAUUUUUUUUCCUUUUUUUUUAUUUGAUCUCUAGGAUGAUAUCUCCAGCCCGUGAACUUAGCUGAUACUAUGAUAGCACCGAAUUUUUCCAAUUCGGCAGUUCGAUCUAUGAUUUCUCAUUCAUGGACGUUGAUAAGAUCCUUCCAUUUAGCAGCACGUACAACUUCGAUUCAAAAAAACACUUUUCAAGAUCUACAUGUCAAAUAGCAAAACCAUCCGGGCCGAGUUCGAGACCCAAAUUUAAUUAUUCCGGCCUCCAUUUUUGUACUUUUAAGUUAUUUUCUGAAAUUUCUACAUUUUUUCUAUUUUUAAUCCGUUUAUUUAAUUAUGUUUUGAUCUGAUUAGGUUUAGGGAUAUAUUAGAAAUUAUUAUCUUCGUUUAGUACGUGGGAUUCGGGAUGGUGUUCGGGUAUUAUAAUCAGAGUUUUUAGAAUUGAUUAAUAAGACUUUCGUCUUUGUCGAAAAAUUGAUUCUUUAUGUAUCAUCUCUUUCCGUUCUUGUGUUCUUCCCUCUCAACGGCGGUUCAUCAGUAGCUUGUUAAAUACACAAGUAGAAUAACAAAUAAUAAAGACAUAUUAAAUUUACAAUCAAAAAGUGAUUGCAAUUGGAUAAGCGCUUAUAUCUAAGGACCAACUAAGGUCGACAAAACCCUUUUUGUGCUUGUGUACGGAUUGAAAACAGAAAAGAGGAAGUGAUAGAACUAGAUAUAUAGUGGGAAAAAAGUUGGUCCUUGGUAGGGGUGUAAACGAGCCGAAACACGAGCGAGCUGGGUCGGGCGCCGAACACGAGCUGGCUCGUUAAAGUAUCGGAUAUCAAAAUUUAUAAUAGGUUUUCAAAAUUAGAAUUUAUUAUUAUAGUUACUAUUAGAAAAACUGUUAUAUAGUCGUCUAACUCAAAAUUAUUUAUUACUGUAGAAUUAGCAAAUUUGGGGGGGGAUAGAGGCCGAUAAGUAUGUUUUGUCUAGUGUUUGGUAGAGAUAAGAGAAUAUUAAAAUAAUUUUUAGAGUGUAAAAAGUAGAUUCAUGGUUUAGAUGAUUCUGUCCGGGCUUGGCGAAUUUGGAAUAAGUAUAUUGUUUUCUAGGGGUUUUAAGAUUAACAGAAUGGAAAGGUUUGUCAUUACUUUAUUAUUUAGAGUACCGAGAAAGAGGAAUCAUAUUUUUCCGCAAAGAAAUGGGCUCUGUCGACAGACCCCAAUGAAUACGUGAUUUUAAUAUAGUACAGAUAUAUAUAUAGAUAUACUUUGGAGGUGAGGGGGUAUGUAUAUAUAUAUUAUAGAUUAUUACUAUAUAUAGUAUAUUAGUAUUAAUAGAGUAAUAUAUUUCUAGGUCGAGCGGGAGGGGUGGGGCAAAUGCAUCGUAACAAUUAUUUUAAUUUAUUUUAAAUUAAUAAAAUUUGUAAUAUCGAUAUUUUUUUAAAAAUGGAGAAUAAAAUGAUUGUGUAAGUAUAUAUGUUGAUAUUUUUAUUAGUAAAUAUCUAAACGAUAUCCAUAGAGUUUAAAUUUUAGUAUAAAAUAGAUUGAUAGAUUUGAAGUCAAAAAUCCAAAAUUCAAAUUGUAAUUCGCGACCCCUAAACUCGAUGAUUUAGAUUUUAUGUUGGUAAAAUAGAUGGAUAGAGAGUGCUGAUUUGUUGGUGUAAGCGGAUUGAGUAUGGUAUUGGGUAAAAUUUAGAAUAAAGCAGGAAUUCUGUGUUGUAUUUUGAGAGAUAAAAGAAAUAUAAAUAAAUGUUUGUAGAUUAAACAUAAUUCAACAUUAGUAUCUUGUUGACGACUGUUUCUUGUUGGGGCAAAUUUAUGAUGGUGAGUUAUUUCAUUAAAAGAUAAGAGAAAAUUAAGUUUGUUUCAUUACGAUUAUUAUUUUACGUUAAGGAAAAUGAAAAGAGGAAUCAAAUUUUUUUUUCCGCCAAAUAAAUGGUCUGAUCGAAUACAAAAUUUGAAAUACGGUGAUUUUAUAUAUAUUUAUAGACUAUAGAUAGUAUAGUAUAGGAUAUAUAUCCAGACAGAAGAUAAAGAAGAAUUAAAUAAAAAUUCCAGUAGUUAUUCUCGAUUGGCAAAGAUUUGAAUAAGCCAUAAAUUUUUUUUUUGUUGUAGAAAAUAAUGAGUAAAAUAAAAGUUUGUUUAAUUCUGUUUAUUAUUUUACGUAAGAAUGCGAAUGAUUUUUUUUCCCUAUAGUUCAAAAAAUGGGUCUGUCGACAGACGAAAAUUUAAAACGCUUGCUUUUAAGUAUAGUAAGAUAGUAUAUAUAUAGCCGUAUACGUAUACUCUUAUGGAGUAUGAUUCGCCUCGUUACUCAUAAGUUAGUUUCGAUAAUAGAGCUUCCGAAUCGAGCGUCCAUACUAUUAAACGUUAUUAGAGCUUCGACUCUUAAAUAAGAUAAUAGAUCUUCCAUACCAUUAAACGAUAAUAGAGCUUCCGAAUCGGUUAAAUUUUGAUAGAAAUUCUAUUCAAUACCUAGAAUAAAGAUCAAUAACUCGAUCUUAAAUUGAAGGAUCCGAUUAUUCAUUUUUAGGGACGUCGUUCGAUUUCGACCUUCAUUUUAUCCCAGCUUGAUGGACUUUAUUAUGAUUUUUCCGAAAAAAGUAAGAAAGUUUUUUUCUAGUAGUUUAAAUACUCUAAAUCAUAUUAACGGAGUAGAUUGUCGAUUCGGAAGCUCUUAUCAUCGCAAAAUACUUAUUGAGUAUGAAGGUCAUACUAUAGAGUAUUAGUAGCCCUACUAUUACUACUUAUAAUGAUAUAGUAGGGCCUACUGUACUCUUAUGUAGUAGUAGGCUAAGCUUCAUUACUCACAAGUUUUCUCAAUUAUGAGGCUCAAAUCGACGAUUAUUUAUAUACAAUUUCUAAAAAUUUUAAUACUCUAAUAUGUUUACAGUAUGGAUCGUCAUUCGGAGCUUAUCUCUGAAAAUAACUUGAUGAGUACGAGGCCGAUCUGUACUCAUAAUAGUAUAGAGCGGGACUCACAUAGAGUAGGGUCUAUUAGCCCUAACUGAGGUAAUAAGACUUUCGAUAUCAUAAUUUGUUUUCAAUGAUGGGCUAUCCUAUAUCACGAAUCCACGUCCGUUUAAAUAUAUGUAUCUAGAGUAUUUGAAAUUUACUGGAAUAAAAUUUCGUAAUAUUUUCGAAGUCAUAAUAAAUCAUUCAAAACGAGCAUUAAAGAUGAAGGUUCCAAUCGAACGACGUCCUAAAAAAUGGAUAAUUGAUCCUUUAAUUUUAAGAUUGGAGUUAUUCUGAUCUUAGAUACCGGUAGUGAUAGAAUUUUCAUCAAAAAUUCAACCUAUUCUAAUUUCUACCCGGUUAAAUAUUAAGUUAUCCUAUACGGAGAGCGAUGUAAAAACUGUCAAUUUGUGGACCGUUUAAAUGCUUAUGGUAAAUGAUAUCGAAAAUUAUUAAUUUAAUUUCUAGAAGAUUUUAAUGCUAGUAAAUGAUUUAAGACGGUAUGGUCAGUCGAUUCUAGAACUCUAUCAUCGAAAACAACUGUAUGAGGACGCCGAGGGCGAUCGUACUCAUAAGAGUAUAAGUAGUAUCAGGACUAUAUAUAUAUAUAUAGUAUAUAUAUAAAGGAGAGUGUUGGCUUACUAUGUAUUAUGAAAAUAGAGUACCUUUUUACUCAUAAGUGUUUCGGAUCGUUAGAGUGUUCGAAUCGACGAUCCACACCGUUAAACAUGAUCAUAGUAGUAUUUGGAAACUUUUAGAGAAUAUAAUUUCAUAAUUUUCUUCGAAAUCAUUAUAACAGGUCCAUAAAGCGGGUAUAAAAUGGAUCAUAAUCGAACACAUCCUAAAAAUGAGAUGAUCGAUCUUUUCAAUUAAGAUCGGAGUAUUGAUUUAUUUGGAUAUGAAUAGAAUUUUGUCAAAAAAUUCAAUUCCUAUUCCGAUUCUUUUACACCGUUAAGACUGGUAAAUAUUCCAUACCGAGUCUGUUAAAAAUCUAUCAAUUUUGUAGUUUUUAAUCGUAGGGUAGAAUAAUACAAAAGAAAUUAUAAAAAUUUGAAUAUUUUAAAGUUUUAAAUGCUUAUUAGAUAGAUGUUUACGGUAUUAGAUCGUACGAUUCGAAAGUAUCAUCGAAAACAUACUUAUGAGUACGAGUCGAUCGACUCUAAGAGCGUAUCAGUAGCCGGACUCUACUUUAUAGAGCUGCUGGUAUUACUACCGGCUGCACGGAUGGCAUCUGCUAGGCCAAGUUGCUUUCUCAAUGAUGGUUUCAAAUCGACAUCGCUAUCCAAUUGAUUGAUCUAUACUAUUAAAAAGUAUUUGAAUUAAAUUUCAUAAUUUUUUGACAUCAUUUACUAGAACGAGUAGUCUAACAUGAAUGGAUGAAGAUAAAAAAUCUCUAAAAAAGAUUGGAAAAAGACUUAAUUUAAAAUCAGAAGGUUACUGAUCUCACUCAAAAUAGUGAAAAGAAUUUUCUAUAAAAGAAUUCAUCAAUUUUGGUUGUUUUACAUGUAAAUUCAUCAAACGCUCACUGCAACUAAUUAAAAGUUUGUCAAUUAUUGAGACCUAUUUGUCAUAGCCCAAAUGAUGUCGAAAAAUUAUGAAAUUUAGUAUUUCAAGUACUUUAUAGUUGUAAUCAAGUCUAACGGCAGCCGAUCGAUCGAUUUGGAAGCCGCAUCAUUGAAACCAAUUCGGUAGCACCGGAGGCCUCCGUGCUACCGAUAUAUGACGGCUAGCUCCUAUAUAUAUAUUAUAUAUAUAUAUAUAUAUAUAAUAUAUUUUUUUCCAGGCAUCGGUGCUUGUUGAAAGCCCCAAGGCAUUUUGGGCUUUGUAAUUUAUUACCGUUAGAAUCUAGCUAUGAUCAUUUUCAUCCCGUUAGAUGAUACUUAUUCAACCAACCCACUCACUAACCCUAGGGUAUGACCGGUCCACAUCAUCAUAAUCCGCACAAUUCCUUAUCCAAGGGCUAAAAACUUAUCAACACCAAUGAUCUUCGUACUCUUUACAAAUCAUAGGAGCGUCAAAUUAUAUAUAUAUAGUUGAACUAGUAAUACUAUCGAUUAGCCAACGAGCCUCCGUUGCCACCCUAUUUGUUUUUCGAUAUGGAUGCUCAUCGAUUGAUCGGCACCGUUGAAACAUAUCUAUACCAUUGAAUGUUUUAGAAAAUCGAAAUUUCAUACAUUUUUUAUAUAUUGAUUCGUCUUAGUCAUCGAGUUGGACACAAAAUUGGAACAAGUGAAAAUGUAUAUUCUUAAAAAAUCGAUUGAUAGGAGUUGUAAUCAAGAUCAGCAGUUAUAGAUCUUGUUUAAAUGGUUUUAACAAAAUUUUAACAAAAUCAAUUAUUUGAGAGAUUAUCUUUACGCCCCCUUAAACAAGAAAACGCCUAUAUCAACCACAUAAAUUACAAAAUUUAAAACCCUGUCGAUCAUUAGGCAAAUGAUGUCAAAAGAUUUGAAAUUUGAUUUCUAAAAUACAAAAUCAUUUUCAACCCGGUUGCGAAUCGGUCGAUUUGGAAGGCGUCUAUCAUCGAAAAUAAAUUGAUGGCAACGGAGCCCGUUUGCUAUCGAUAGUUAGGUCAUAACUCAACUAUAUACUAUAUAUUAUACUAAUACUAUAAUAAUAUAUAUAUACUAUAUAUUAUAUGUAAAUAUAUAUAUAUAUAUAUUAUAUAGUUAUAUAUAGUUGAUAUUAAGAUAAAGUUCUAGCUAUUGGUGCUUGUUAAAAAUCACCAAGCACUUGGGCUAUAUAGUUUUACGUUAUAUCUAUUCCUCGGAUCAUUUAUCAACAUUAGAUUAUACUAUUUAACAAUCACCACUUCAACCCUAAGGGGGCCACAUCAUCUAACCGCAAAUUUUCUUAAUCCAAUGGCUAAAAAUCUACUCAAGUACUAUAACUGUACCUUUUAAAAGAGUAGGGAGCUCAAUUAUAUUAUGAUAUAUAUAAUAUAUAUAUAUAUUAUAUAAUAUCUAUAUAUAUAUAUAUAUAUACUAUAUCAUAGUAUUAAUAUAUAAUAGUAUAUUGAAAGCAGGGAUACUAUGCUCUCAGGAGCACUGAGCCUCUGUGCUCCUAGAGCGUUCGAUUGAUGGAGUUUCCGAACGCGAUCGGGUUCUGUUUAAACAUAUGAAUCUAGCGUAUUUGGAAGUUUUAGAAAAUAAUUUUUGACUUUCCUUUCCGAAUCACUAUUAGCUAGCAAUUAAAGGGUAUUAAACAUCACUAAUCUUUAAUGGCUCUGAACAAUAAAAAUCCUAUUUAGAACAGUAGAGUGAGUUUAGCACUAAAAUUUCAAUCAAGAAAUAUUAAUCUUGUUGUAAAUAGUUAUUAAAGACUUUUGUAUCAAAAUUCAUCUUAAUUGAAUAGUUCAUACACCGUUAAUUUGAAAACGGCAGAUAUCACCAUUAAAAAUUGAUGGAUUUGAAAUCGUUUCGAUCCAACUAGGUAAAAGGUAAUCAAAAUCGCUCAAAAAUUAUUUAUCUAGAAACUUCAAAUGCGUAGAUCAAGAUCUAACGAGGAUCGUCGACUUUCGAAAAUUCCAUCAUUGAAACGGCAGUGAGCACAAAGGGCCGUGUUCCUGGAGAGCACAACAGCCACUAACUAUAUAUUAUAUAAUAUAUAUAUAUAUAUAUUAUAUAUAUAUAUAAUACAUAUAAUAUAUAUAUAUAUAUCUAUAUAUAUAAUAAGUUAUACUACUUGACAGAGAGUUGACCUAAUUUAACGAAAAAAUAUUCUUUUCUUGAUGGACGCUAACUAGUACGAGAUUUCAUGAAAAUUGGCAAACACCCAAAUGAAGAGUCAAUAUUUCUAAUUUUGAUGUGAACGAUUUUUGCAAGUCGCCAUUAUUUAAGGUGGAUGAUACAUUUAUUUAUUUACUAUAUUGUCAAAAUAGUAAUUGCCCUGAACUUUGUUUUUCUAAUUAUGCGACAAAAUUAAUUAAAAUUCGUGCAUCAUUGUUAGUAGAAUAUUUUAUCAAAUUACGGAUUUUUUCGUCGCUUGACAUUUAGAUGAAUGAGACAGCGACAAUUACUUUAACAUCAUAGCGAAAUAUAUGAGAGUCUUAAUAUUUGAUGUUCUUCGUUCAUUAUUUCUUUUAAUAAAAUUUUUAAAUAUCAAAAUAUAAUGAGCGUAAUACAAUGAUUAUUUACAAUUCUUUUAUAUCCUUUUUUUUUUUUUUUUUGCUUUCAAAUUUUCUUUUUAGGAGAUUAUUAUUUAACAGAUGCAUUAUAGCGGAGUCAACUAUAAAUAAAAAAAGAUAAAAAAAAUUCUCGAACAAUGUAAGAUUAUUAUAGAAUUAAUGCUUUAAAAGAAAAUAAAAUAAAAUUUUUUAAAGUAUUACACUUUUAGAUUAUGUUUCUGCCAUAUUGUCCUUGCUUCAUGUCAUCAGAAAACAUGGGCCAGUGCCGAAAUUGGACAAUGGGACAACGGAAACACCCCGGCCUCUCCUCGCACCCGCCGUUUCGAGUCGCUCGCAAGGUUAGAGGCAGGAUGGCGGGGGACAAAAGGUUGCCAACCUUUACGAUGUCUUACAACAACGAAAAAUCGAACGAAAACGAUCUGCGAAAGUCUAUAAACGAGCCCGACAGCCGGUGGAAGGAAGAUGUACCCACGUAAUACGGAUUGGCAUCCCGGCAAAACCCUACAUCUCAAAAGAGAAAGGAAUAUUUUGAUGCCGUAACGACCGUCGGAGAAUCGUCGCAGACCUACGGGUAGAUUCACGGCUGAGAAUGCAGUCAGGCCCCUCAGAAGGCCACCCAAAGCCUGCCCACUUAAGGCGGCUAACCCGGACAAACAUGCAGCUGAUAAGUAGAGUACUGUACUUCACAUUUGUUUACUUGCUAUGCGUGUCCCUAAAUUUACAUUUUGUUUUACUUCGGCAACUAAUCAUCAAACUUUUGAAUUUUUUUCAAUAGUUAACUCUAACGAGACCUAUUUUAUGGUUAUUUUUCAUUAUUAGAAGUUGAUGUCUGAAAUAAGAUGAUAGGCUGAUUUAGUCGCUUCAUCGCACUAUUUUUAAUAAACCUUAACAUCAUUUCCUUUCGAAGCUUAAUCUAACAUAUUAUCUAUUAUCUUUUAAAGAUACAUUGAUAAUUAAAUUAAGAAGUACUAAAUAGAGAAAGAUUUUCUGUAAAUUAUUACCCUUUUCUUUUCUUGCUUGACUUUUAAAUAUCUUCAAAAAUAUUUUUGAAAAGUAUGGCCGUUAAUAAAAGACAAAUGACCAAAUUAUCCUCACUCAUUUCAAAAAAUAAUUUUUAAUAUUAUUUUUGUCAUUUGAAGAGUUUUUCUCGGUAUAAUUAUAAAGAAAUGAACUGGAACUAGUGAUGGAAUCUGACGAAGCGGGGCUAUAAUGCUAACAAUUAAAAUAUUGAGAACUGGGAACUCAAUGGCAACAAAAAUCAACAGUUUUAUGGUGAUUUCACAUAUACUAGUUUUAUAAUUAAUGGAGAACAUAUAUAAUUUAACAUGAAAAAUUUAAUUAUAUUUACUAUAUACAUUUUUUGGAGGCAACAACACAAAGAGCAUCCGGGGCAAAUUUUUGUUAUGGGCAUGAGAUAAACAACGGCGGGCCGGGCAUGGAUACCACCCAUGCAAUUUCGACAAGCUAAGAAGGAGAGGAGGCCGCGCGGCACAACAAGAUGCCCCAAUUUUCUCCUCAGCCAGAGUCCGAGAACUCUCACAAUCAGCAGUAGUAGUAAUAACGAUCCUAAUAUACUAAGGUACGUUAAUCCAUCCUGUUUCAUUUGCUGUCCGUAUCGAUAUCCUGCUCCUACUGUCAGAUACCGGCACAAGACGCAAAUCUACCUUGCUCAACCCAGUUGAGCGGUUAUUUAUACUCAACCAAUUCAAGAUUCAGCACCCUUUUGGAGGUUUAUAUGCGAUUGAAAAGUUGGAGUUAUGAUGAGGUAUAACAUAAGCCCUUAAUAUCAGAGAAUAAGUAAUGUAAGCAUUAACAACCAAUUUUAGUGUACAGGAUAGUAAUUACUCUGCUAUUCAGUCUGCAUCCUCUCACUCCCGCCUCACCCCAAUCGACUAAUGUCUUCUGCAGUGUGGAUUAUCCGGACUCCGCCCAGGUGCGAACAAGUGCCGGGCUCAGAGUUUGGUCGUGCACUGCCAAGCCCCGCCCAAAAAUAACGUGACAUGGGUCGGCUUCUAUCAAUUUUUUAAAAAAGUAAGGCAGGCCAAGCCUCAAUGCCCAAUCCCACAUCUCAUUGGGUCUUUGUGGAGCCCACUUUAUAGCAUUUGUCAAGAUAUAUACACGUAUAUUUUUAUUGCUUACAAUUAACGAAAAAAUAAACACUUAUUCAUAAUUGAAUAAAAUAAUAUACACUAUUACAUAUGAAUGUAAGUUUAUAUCAGCGUAUAUAAUUAUAUAUGAACAAUACUACUAUAUCAUAUUUAUUAAUACGAUUAUGCAUAAUAUGUAUAUAAUUAAUACGUAUUUAUAAAUUUCUCAUAUGAAAACUAAUAUAGUUUAUAUAGUUAUGUAUAAUAUAUGUCUAUAUAUAUUAAUUAAUAUAAUAUCCUUAAGGUAUACCAAAUCCGGGCUCAUUAUAUGGCCAUUUAGGAGAGCCUUUGUUUAGGCACGGGCCCAAUAUCCACCCCUACUGCCCAUAUAGAGAGUUAACUGUUACUUCAUUAAAGCGUUCUCAGAAUUGAACUUUAAGUGUUGUUUCUAUCAUUUAAGAAACUCUUAGAUCGUAUAGCCCUACGAUUGCGUCAAUAGUAGAAACGCAGAGAAAAACUAAAUGAAAACUCCUAUUUUGCGAGACACAGAAAGCUCAUAAUUUUUACAUUAAUCUUUCUAUAGGCAGGAGCUUCAGACGGUUUUAUUUCAAAAUAUUCGGCUAAAAAUGCUACCAGUGAAAUCCCCUUAAACGUACUAUCAAAUAUGCCAAAGUAUCUGUUUGUUCGUUGUUAAUACUUUAGUUCUCACUGAAGAUGUUAACCAAUACACUAAAUAUGUUAUAAGUCCUAUUCCGAAAUUUCUGUACUUAAAGCAAAAUAAAAAAGAAAAGUUUCAUGUUAUCCAAAAAUUAUAUAUUUGUAUGCCCCUUACUUUUGAUUAUUAUUUUAUAUUUUUCUUUUCAGAGUGUUUCCGCUUGCUAAACCCUGGUCAAAGAACGAUCGAUCUGCCAAAUACAUUUCACUGCUUGAUUGAAUUGUGGCAUUUUUGGAACUUCCUUAUUAUAGAUUUUUUUUGUUUUUGUAAAAUUAUCAAGUUUCAUCUUCUUUUCUUUUUUCUUUAUUUGUAUGCCUUAUCUAUUUAAUUGAGUGGGACUCAAAGUUUUCUCUCUCUUCAAAUUGAUGUAUUGCUUGUAUAGGCUAGCUUAUCAAUUAGUUGACUUUUAUUCUGGCUGUCUAUUUGAACUUAAUUAGUUUGUUUUACGUUUUCUAGUUACCAUGGCUCAACGCGUUCUUCUUUCCUUUAUUAAUUUGUAUUGAUCAAUGUUAUCUGUAGGAAUUGUGAAAUGAGUAUAUAGCUCUGCCCUACAUAUAUAUAUAUAUUAUGGAUAUAUAUAUAUAAUAUAUAUAGUAUAUAUAUAUAAUAAGAGUCGGCUACUAUAUUUUAUUGAGGUAGAUUCGUGCUGUACUCGAUAAUUAUAUUCAGAUAAUAGAGUCUUCAAUACGAUUAAUAUCUGUUAAAUAUUAUCAAGAGAGCAUUUAAAAUUCUAAUAUAAAUUUCAUAUCACCACACCAACACUUCUCUGCAAGAUCUCAUGAUUCUAAGUCUCUUCUCUCUUUCCUUGUCCUUUUCUCUGCUCAUCUUAAACUUUAUAAUUCUUUGACAGUUUGUACUAUCGCCGACAUCCCGCGGUUUUGGGGGUCCUUUGUCCCGGCCGCGCGCCCGCUUAGCCGCAGAAGAGAGAGAGAGAGAAGGAUGAGAUGGACGAGAGACACAGUGAGGAGUAGAGAGAGAGAGAGAGCAGCAAAGAGAAAGGGGAGAGACGAGAGAGAGAGAGUUUCUCUCCUCUCGGCGGAUCAGCCGCGGGGGCUCUUAACGCCGGGUGCGGCCUCUGCCAAUGCCCCCCCGCGCCCCGCCUCCCGGUUUCUCUCAUUACUUCGUCUUCUCUUUAUCCCGUCCCUCGCUUUCCCCCACCGGUCCUGUCCCACGGCUCCCAUUCUCUCUCUCCCCGUCUCUCUCCCCACUUCCUCCGCAGCUCUUCCUCUCUCCCCUCUCUCUCUCCACCUGCUUUCUGAGCUCUCUCUCUCUCCACCUCUCUCUCUCUCUCACCACGUCGCGCGGCGGUACCACCGCGCCCGCCGCCGCUUGCGGCCGCCGAGGGGCGUUCGCCUGCGCCCCCGCGCGUGCUCUUCCCGCGCCCUCUCCUCCUCAUCUUACACUCUCCACUCCCCGCACGCUCUCUCCCUCUCUCUCCCCACCCCGCUUCUCUCCCCCUCUUUUUCCCUCCCGGGAUUUAUUCUUUAUUUCCCCCCCCCUCCUUAUUUUGUUUUUUUUUUUGUCGUAUCUCUCUCUCUUUCUUCUCUCCCCCUCUCCUAGAGGGCCGGGCGGAGCAGGAGGCGAGGAGGUUCGCGGGUGGCAACGGGGCGCGGAGGGGGCGCGGCCGGGCAGCGAAGCGAGAGGUGGCGCGCGGGCACUGGCGAGCAGCGGGGGCAUACCCACCCGCCCCCCGCCCGCCGCCAGCCCCUCGCGCAGACCGGGAGGGCUGGUGGGGUGGGAGAGAAGAGAGGGAAAGAGAGAGCUGGCUGUGUGUGGAGAGAGAGAAAAGAGAGAUAGAGCACGGGAGUCCAGGGUGAGAACAGACAAAGAGAGAGAGGGAAGAAAGAAGCGAGAGAGAAUUUUACAAUUGUUAAAUUUAAUCUGUGUAUAUAAAUUUUAAAUUUAAAUUUUAACUUAUAUUAUAUUAAUUUAUUUAUAAAUAUAUAUUUAUUAUUUAUAUAUAAUUUUAUAUAUUAAUUUUUAGUUUAAAAUUUUAAAUUAGAUUUAAAAUUAAAAAAUUAAAAAAGUUUGUUCAAAAUAUUUUAAAAAUUACCUAAUUUUUCGCCCGAAGUUGCGGGACUUCAUAGUAAAGAAAUGAAAAAAUGACAAAUAGAAGAGAUGAAGAAGUGAGGAACAGACCUUUGGCUAAGACAGCCUUGUAAGAUAUAUUAGUCGACAAUUGCAAAAAGGCCCUCAAAGAUAACAAAAAAGGCACCUCACCUCAAAUGGACAGCGUUCUUGGGAUGCCUGAAACCAUCUUUUGGUGUCCGAAACUUCACAGCUAGACCACUGUUUGGAGUGCCUUCCUCUACAACAGGGCUAUUUAGAAUACUCAUAAUCGGCGACACGACAAGUUUUAAAGCACCCCAAAUCUCCGUAUCAAAAUUUGAGAGUCAGUGCUGAGUCACCCAGCAUGCUAAGUCACAUAGAUCUCACCUACUUUUCUAUGUUGGAUACAGUAGAAUGAGCAUCGACAAUAAUAGGCGAACUCAUUUGAUAUCUACGUACAUUGCACCGCGAGCAUCCGCAACUGCACUCCGAAACCACUUCACUCGCGCCAACAACUUUCGAGGUGUCCGAAAAAUUCCACCAAAAUUAUAGGUUUUAGCUGGAGUUUCAAUUCUUUAUUAGCGUUCUCAGUAGUCUAUUUCACGCCCAAAUUAGUUCCAGCUUAAGUCCUCCAAACACUCUCAAAAGUGUCUAACCAUUAAAUCACAGUGUACAAUUUUGCUAUUAACUGAAGGGUUUUAGUACAUCGCAAUCUAGACCCACUUAAAAAGUUAGUCCAGAGAAUAAUCAAGAUCAUUAGUUUUAAUGCACUUUGUAGAGAAUUGUGGGCGCAUUAACCUACAUGUGCCUAAUGAUGUGAAUAUCUAAUGUAACCUAUUCAACAAAACUCUAAGUCUAAUAGUUGAUUUGUCUAGUUACAUAUAUCAACCGUUGUUAUCUCCUAUUAUUAUAUAAUGUGAGAUUUUAUAUAUAAAGUUUUUAAAAAGAUUAUUUAAAAGUAAAGGAUGAUCCAUUCAAUCACACUAGAAUCAAAUGAGAAGGAAGGAUUGAACCGAGAUCUCUCACAUAUUUAUUUAUUUAUUUAUUUAUUUGUAGCUGUAUUUUACAGAGAGUUUUGAAUACGACUGUACUUAUCAUUUUGGUGAGUACCAGUGAAAUAUGUCCGACAUUGCGGUAGUUAUGAAUAGACUGUGAGUGAGUAUAUAAGUUUAUUAGGCUAAAAUAGCAUUGGCCUUAAGCUAUUUGGGCGGUGGUAUGGGCAACAGGUUUAUUGUUGCUAAGGGCUGGGUCAUAUAUAUUUGAUAUCAGAGCCAGUGACACCGGAGUGUGAAAUGAUCUGAGCUAGCCAGGGCCGCGAAUGACAAGGACUAGCAAAACAAGACGUCUGGACCUAAACAGGAGAGAGUCUGGUGAUACUCCCAUUAGUGCCACAUGUCUAGUUAUGACUAGAUGUUAGGAGUAUAUAAGCUUGAGUGUGUGGGUUAGAGGUAAGUAGUGGACUUAAAGUGGAUUUGGUCAGGUGGGGUUGUUUAGGGGUGGUGUGUGGCAGGCUCCCAACGAGAUACUUAUUGGCUUAGCAAGUCGGAUCGUUACAUUUAUUCUUCAAAUAAUGGAUGAUUUAACCAACGAAUGGAUAGUUGAAAUUGAUAUUUAAGUAUUCAGAUAUCUAUAAGAUUCAAAUUAAGAUCUCUUUUAAUCAUGGCACUUUAUUCCAAUCAAGUGAACCUAAAAUAAUAGUUGAAAAUAAAAAAUAAUAAUAAAAAAUGAUGGUAACAAGGCAUCAAUUUCAAAAUCGGAGAGUAUCUUUCUAAAUAGAAGUUGCUGGAUCGGAGUCCUUUCUCACAGUUAAAAUGACGUUGCCUAGAAGAGAAAAUCUAAUUACUCCUUUGCAUUUUAACUAAUGAGGUAGGGGUGCGGCUAACAUUAAAAAUCGAUUGAAACUAUAAUUCAAUUCACAAUUUGUACUUAACACCCUCUAAUUUUAUCAUAAUAAUUAGAGCGCCACAUUCUAAUUUAGUUGCCCGCUUACAUUUUGUUGGUCUGUCCCGUAAGGUUAGCGGUUUGAAAUGUACUACAGUACGAGCAUCAAUCCGACCAUCUGUACAGCGUCACGUCCGCCGUCGCAGACAUCCCCGUAGUUGGAUCGUUUUGACACGAAUGAACGCGAGAAAACGGAAUCGCACACUUAAAUAAGUAAACUGAAAUAUUUCCAAAUUUUUGGCACCCCAUGUUUGGAACUGGGCACCCAUAUCAGUAGUGUGAGCCAAAAUUGCCCGUUGGGAGCCUCUCUUUGAUAAACGGUCGUUAUUGAACGUAUGGCUAUGGUUAGUAGGUUUUAGGCUGCAUAGAUAGGAGCGGACCUCGGCGAUAGGGUGCCCACUUUCAGUGUGGAGGAAGUUUUCAGUGCUGUUUGCAAGUGACCGGGUUCUUGUUUCAGGCGCCCUAAUCUGGACUUUCUUAGCAAGGGACAUGUAUGAGCUUGGUUUUGAUUUGUGAAGCCUCAAUUUACCCUAUCAAUUCUUCUGUUUAAAUGAACCCCUUUAUCCCGACGUUUGUAACCUGCUUUCAUCUCUAUUACUACUGGAAAAUUCAUUCACCUCUUUUAACCCUUUUCUUCUCAAUCCACCCAUGCAGGCUGAGAAUUAUUGCGGGAAAGCAGGAGAAUUGACCAACGAUAGCUAGCUUGGAUUUUAAGUAAAUAGGAGCAUCUUACUAUUAGAUUGGGUUGUGUUCGUGGAUUUACGAGGUUUGAAGAAGAGUUGGAGGCUGCAUUCCAUCGUUUUAAUUUCAGGGUAGAAUUAGGUUAAAUCUAAAAUUCAGUUUUGAGUUGAAAAUGUGAUAUUUCACUCGAGUUUUUUCUGCGGAUUUUUCUAUUCUGUUAUCUUUCAGCAGGAUUUUAUGGUCCUAAUGUAGUUUUUUCCUAUCGAUCCCCUUCUGGGUUUGAAGUUGGUUGUUAGCUUGUUUAGAGGUUUGUGAAUCAUUUAUAUAUUUAAUUUGAAUUUUGGCACCUGAAAGCAUUUUCGUUAUUUUUUGAUUGGUAAUUUGGCAUUCCCAUCUGGGUCUUGCUGAGAGCUAGGUUUCUUGAUUUUUCCUAGUGUCCGUGCAGAGAAGGUGCUCUGUGUUUGACUUUGCUUUUCGAAGCAGGUGGGUUAACCAAUUUGCGAAAAUCUGGGAAUGGCAAUUUUCAGUUCGAAUGUUGGAUUGUGGCUUUAAUUAGUUUGCAGAUUUUACUGGGUUUGAAGUUUAAAUGGGCGAAGUUUGCUGGAUUCCUGAGCUGAGGAAAGCUUGCCUGUCAUUUUCUUUCAACCAGAUUGCAUUUUGAAGUGGUUUAAUAGCCAUCGAUACAUCGAACUCCUUAUAUAUUAUCUCUAUGUGUAUCUAUUAGCACAAUUAACAUGCAGAAACUGUAUAGGUUGUUUAUGUUUCAUUCAAAGUAGAGAAUUUUGUGCAUAAUACGGGUUGUUCUUGGUGUUUAUUCCCUCACUUCAUAAUUGAUAACUUGCAAUGUUAAUAUGUCUAUACAUUAUCGGAUUGUAUGCGAUGAACAUAGAGUAGUUGACUGUUGUAGCUGUUCAGUGGCUCCUUUUGCUCGGGUUGUUAGCAGGCAUGGAUUAGUGCGACAUGUGUUCUCGGGCGUUUGGGCGGUACGGGAUUAUAGACUCAUUUUAUUACUCUUAGCCUGUGGAAGUAGUACAGCGAUACUAAUUAGGUGAGUUUAUGCAUUCAGAUUUGUUCGAAUCGAAGUAUGCUAGCGGUUAGCGGUGAUCUACUUGAUCUAACUCAUCGAUUUAUAAACCUGCCUUUCUAUAUUAACCUGCGUUACUUUAAUCCUUUGUGAGAUCCACUGCCCUCGAGGUCUGCACUUCGGAGAUCUAGAGCGGCUCGAUUAGCAUUACUAUUUUCACGGUCGGGCAACCCAGCUGCAUUAGUAGAGAUUAGAGUGAGCGUAGCGUAGCAUAACACUUGUCCUUCAAGCUUAGUCGGUCACAUGGAUUUUUCGGCAGAUUACUAGUAGUUGAGUUAUCCGUACAUUGAUGAUAAUUUAUUUGACAUCUAAAUUUGCCGCAUAGUAGUAGCGUUUCUUACUGCAUUUUACUUAUACCUAUUUCUUUUAAGCAAAUCAUAUGAGUUUGUCUCUUCGCUCAGACCUAGGGCAGUUACCCACGAGGCUGCUGAUCUUUAGUUGUACUCACUCCUCUGAUGAUGACAUUUGUCUCAUGCAGAGUCAAUUACUUGUACACGUGUUAUCUGUCCGAGGUAAAAAGGAUUGCUGAUAGAUAGGCUCUUAUUCAUCGACCAGUUUAGAGGAGAACCAGUAUUGCUAGUUUUUUAAUAGAAGACUUUAAUAUAACUAUUGUUAUUUUAAUUAAUAUUUCCUCGUGCCGAUAGAUUUAUAGGCUUUUGGAAGUUCCGACUGCUAUAUGGUACAAUUGCCUUCGUUACAUGUAGUUAUUGCGCUGCUAUGUUACUGUGGUCCUAUUGUUGCUCUUAUUUUUAAUUUGAAUAGAUUUUUGUCGCUUCGUGUGCACGGUUCUCUUUAUGCGGUGAUCUGUUGGGUGAGUCCGGAGAUUUAGAUAAUCAAGGCUUAUUAAUUAGUGGUUAUGUGAUACAUGAAUUUAGUUAUUGUCGUGACAUCAAUGCAUAUACGUUCUCACUGGAUAGUAUCUCUACACAUAGUAUGCGCAUACAUCUUAAUCAAUUGCUCCAAUUUAGUUAUUGUCACUGCAUGCACAUAACUCAUAAAUACUUGUCAACUUCACUUUCAAAAUUAGAUACACAUCAUUCAGUGGUCAUUAACUUAAUUGGACUAUAUAACUUUAUACAAUAAUUCUGAAAAUUUAUUGAUAAACUCUCACCUCUCACAGUGAGGAUCAAAGGUCGCCAGUUAAUUUGGACCAAAAUUACUCAUUUGCCAAUAAAUCAUGAAAGUGAAAACAAUAACUAAUAAAUUAGCAUAUAUAGUUAACUCAAUAAAAAAGAGAUCAAAUGCCCUACUCAGUACUUUAGUAGCGAGCGAGAGCUAAUAUUAGAUUUUCAAAUCCAAAAUGGGUACAUAUAAUACUGAAACCCUAUCCAAGACUAAGGGUGGCACAAGUUCUCACUCUUCGUCCUUCGGUUCGGCCGAGCCAGCUCCAGUGUUUCGGGCUCGAAAUAGCUCACUAGGAUCGGCCUCGCAUAUUUGUUGUAGCAAACGAGCCCGAACACGAGUAAUUUUACUUCAGCUCGCUUUAUUAAUAAACGAGGCCGAACACGUAGCUGAGGGUCAGCAUCGUCUCUGGAGUAUUCGGCCGAAACAGCUCAAUAUAUAUAUUUUAUAGUUGUAUUAUAAAUUUAUUUAAUUUAUACUUGUACUAUAUAAAUAAUAAUUAUAUAUAAUAUAUAUUUUAUUAUUAAUUUUUAGUAAAUAAAAAUAAAUGCGAGCUUAAUUAUAAAAAGACUAUUUAUAUGUAAGUUUUGAAUAUUAGAUCUAAUUAAUAAAAUUUUAUAAAUUGUUAUUUUUAUAAAUUAUCUAAUUUUUUUAAUUCCCUAUUGAUUCGUAUUGUUCACGCGUGGAGCCGAACUCGUUUCGGCUUCCGGUUAAUAAAUGAUCCGAACACGAGCUGUAAUUUUUCGGCUNNNNNNNNNNNNNNNNNNNNNNNNNNNNNNNNNNNNNNNNNNNNNNNNNNNNNNNNNNNNNNNNNNNNNNNNNNNNNNNNNNNNNNNNNNNNNNNNNNNNGGAACCAUGGAGUUGGUUCUCACCCCACGUGGUUUUGGGGUUUUUACAGGUUCGCACGUGAGCGGCGCGGCGGCGCGAGGCGAGGGCGUAGCAUCAUAGUUAGCGCCCUACCACCAAGACCAGAGAUAGCGGUACCCUGAGUCGGCAUUUACUUAGGGAUGUAAGAAAAUGAAAGGAAUAAGAUUGUAAUAAUUUGUAAUAAUCAUGUUAAAUCAGAUUGUAUUUGGAAGAUAAGUGAAAGCUAGUGUAAGAUUCAAAUGAGAAUUGUGAUGUAAAAUGCAUGAACGUGAAUGAAUGUAAUAAUAUAGGAUGUGUUUAUGUUGUUUGAUACCUUCCAUUAUGCAAUCUUGAUUGAAAUGUGUUCCUGGUUGAAACUUCGUACAUUGUAUUGAUUGCUAUGCCUUGAACAUACAGGGGAGACUCUGUCCGCAGUACAGGGGAAACCCUGUCCGUUCGGCGAUCUGUUGGCGGCGCCACGACCCGGCCAAAUAGGCGGGCGGUCGCGGGGCGUGACAGCAAGAGCACGAGCGACGCGAAUUUCAGCGAAGCUACGCGCACAGUGUCUAAACUGCGUUUAAUACGCACACUGAGGCUUCAUUGAUCUAAGUGGAGUUGGGCACGAUGAUCGGCACAGCUCAUGCUCUUCCUUGUUCUCUUGCACAAUAGCAAGCAACACCUUCAACUUGCUCUUCUUCUCCACCAAGAUCUCUCCAAAAGCUCUCUUGCUCAAGCCCUAGAGAGAGAGAAGAAGGGAGGAAAGGAAUUUUAGAGAGAAAGAGGGAAAGGUUUUAGGGUUAGAGUGAGAGAAAUGAGCCCUAACACUAACCCCUCUCACAUGCAUAUACACCCACCUCAUGUCACAUUUACACUUAAGCCCUUCUCAUUUCAUUAUUUCCAAUCAGUCCUCACUAGGUCAUUUUCACAUGCGGGGACCUGUCUCUCCUCGCAGGGACCGGUCCCCGAGAGUGGGUUUUUCAGGAAUUAGCCGCUGGGGUCCAUUUUCGCUUACGGGGACCAGUCUCUCCCUGCAGGGACCGGUCCCCGAGAGCGCAACUCUCGAUUUUUUCUUACAAGAACCGGUCUCUCUCCGCAGGGAUCAGUCCCCGAGAGCACAGCUCUCAGGGCUUAGACGAUAGUUCCGUAGGAGUACACCCUUCUCAAUUGGCGAUGGGGACACUAUGGAUGGCUUGCUUUGCAGGCAACCAGUGGCUCUCAUUUGUGCUACGGGUGAUUUGGUUCUAAUACUACCAAGGCAAAGAAAAAAACAUUGUCGUGGAUCCGAUAAAUGCUUGAUAAAUGGGGGAGGCCUGAGCAAAAUAUAUGUACCUUGCCUGUCAGGUUUUUUUCUUGCCACCGCUCUAUAUCUAUGAAUAGACUAUUUUCAUCUAAAUUCACCUAGGUUAUUUGUAUGAUUUUGGUAGCCUAAUUUAUUUUGGAAUCUACGAUUCUUCUCUUCACUUUUUAAAGGCCUCUGAUCUUCUCUUCUUUGCAAGCAUCGGUUUCUUGGAUUGGUUUUCAUGAUUUGGCUUAUAGUUUUCAGAAUUUGGCGGAGUUUUUUGGUUUGGUUUUCAUGAUUUGGCUCAUAGUUUUUAGAGAUUGGAAGAGAAUACAAAGAUUUCUACUUAUUUGUCAAAAUUCUUUGUUAUAUGGAAUUUACCAUUUGCUGUAUCUGACUGUUAAUACUUUGGUUUUUUUCUGUCUGCAUUGUGUGGAAAUCAAUGUAUUAUAUAGAUUAGUUGAGCUUUUAUUAAGUGCUCCGCAGUUGUGUUUCUUUUUAAAGUUUUCUUUUGGUCUCUUACAUUUACACUCUCUACUACACUAUUUUUCUAUUAUGAUGAUUGACAGUUUUUUUUUUUUCGGUAUUUAUUGAUUUCUGCUUUCUUAAAUGUAAGGUCUUNUUUCGGUAUUUAUUGAUUUCUGCUUUCUUAAAUGUAAGGUGUUGGUAUUACAAAGAAUCCUAUCAUGAGGCUCUUUUCUAAAUUUUCUUUAUAAAUUUUUUCCCUUCUUAUUUAUUCGACUUAAAUUUAUAGUUAAUCAAUAUAAUAGUUUUUUAACAAUCAUUUGAGUUCAUGUUAUCAUUUUUGUUGUCAUUCCAUCUAUUUUUAAUUUUGUUUUCAUUCCAUCUAUUUUAUUAUUCCUUUAACUAAUUAUUCUAUUCACUUAUUUAAAACUUGCUUAUUUUAUUAUCAUUUUAUAAUAUCAACGGAAUGUUACAUUUAUAGCUAAUCAAUAUACUAAUUUUUAUAUUGUCAUUUAAAUUUGUUUAAUCGUGUAUUUUAUUUCUAAGACUACUUUCGUAUUAAUUUAUUAUUAAGCUAAAUUAUUUUUUCCUGACUUACAAUGAUUACAUAAUUUAUUAUCAUUUCAUCUAUUUUGUUUCAUAUUUUGUUAGGUCUUGUGUGUUGGCAAGUUUCGUGAAGUAAGUCGGAGUCUUGAAGAAUCGGUGCGUGUCGUCGACGAUUAAAGAAUUCAAGAUUUCGAAGAUGUUGGAAAAUAACUCACGAUAUAAAUCACGACGUAAAGGUAAAGUUUUAAUUCAUGUUAUGGUGAUUCAUGCUUAAUUAUAGGCAUUAGAAUCAUAUAAUCAAAGUUUAGUUGAUUAGAAAGUGCUUCGGAACUUUGCGGAACCCGGAACGGUGCAAAAUCCGAAAAAUUGCAUUGUGUACCGGUACAGCCAUUAUCCCGUACCGGUACAGCCAUCAACUUUGGCUUCGAAAAUUUGUUCCGUCAUUGUGUAACCGGUGACAGCAUUUCGCGUACCCGUACACAGUGUAAAACCGUGAAAACUUUCUAAUUCGACUCCGAUUGAUUCUAAAGUCUAUAAAUAAGCUAUUGGGGUUCUCUAACAAAGUAAGAGGAGAGAGAGAUAAAUUAUUCGUGAAAGAAUGGAAAAUAAAAAUUAAAAAUAAAAUAAAAAUCGAAAUUUGAACAUUGAAAUUGAAAUUAACUUUUUGUAAAUUUGAAAAUUUAAUUUGGAACUUUUUGAAAUUUGAAAUUUGAAUUAAAGUUAAAACUUUGAAAAUUGUAAAAUUGAAAAUUGAAAAAUUUUGAAAAUUUAAAAUUGAAAUUGAAUUUUGAAUUUUGGAAUUUGCAAAGUUGAAAUUUUGAAAUUUGAAGAUUUGAAGAUUGUAAAUUGAAAUUUGAGAUGAAAUGAAAGUUGAAAGUUGAAAGUUGAAAGUGAAAUUAAUGAAAAUUGAAAUUGAAACUUUACUUUUUUGAAAUAUUGGAAUAUUGAUAUUUGAAAUUUAAAUUUGAAAUUGAAAUUUAAAUUUAAAUUAAGUUUUUUGAAAUGAAAAAUUAUAAAAUUUAAAACAUUAAUUUUUGAAAUUUAAAUUUAAAAUUUAAAUUGAAAAUUUAAAAAUCAAAAUUAAAUUGAUUAAAAUUUAAAUUUAAAUCUAAAAUAUUUAUGUUAAAUUAAAUUUAAAAAUUUAUAACAUCUUGGCAGCCCAAAUGUGGAUUUUUUGUCCUUGGUUAAGCAUUGUAAUUACUCAUUUUUGAGUAUAUAAAAUUACUAUACUCCAAAAAUACGUCAUUUUUUUCUCCAAACCUCAAUAUAUUUUUCCUACCAGCUAGCAAUAACUAAUGCUGACGUUUAGAGUAUUCCAAUACCGGGGCUAACCUUUGCUCUCCUUUUUUUAGAUAACAAGGUGCCUGACAUCUUCUGUCUUAUUCAUUUCCUCUCUCCACUGCCUUUUCUGAACAUAUUUCUAUCUCCUGUCGCUAUUUGUACGUCAUUUUUUUUCGUUGAACUUGUUUUCACUUGUUCAGUUUCUCCCAUCUCUUCUCAUGUUAACUUUAAAGGUCGAGGCGUUUUACAGGAGUAUUGUUAUGGUUCGUUAGAAGAAAGGCAAGUAGAGCUUUGAGUUGUUAAAUAACAUUUGUAACUUUUAGAUACCCUCUUUAUAUGUAGUCGAUCUCCUAUUAUUAAAAUAUAAUGGUAGAUGUGCUGUAGGUUUGCUCUCUUAAUGGGAACGUCAUGUACAUGUGCGGCUCGAUGCUUCUGUGAUCAUCCUUUUGUUCAAUAAAUCUGAUUGAUUUAAUCAAUUUUUAUAGUUAUAUUUGUUUCGUGUGAAACUAAUAAUCAAUAAAUAAGAUUUUUAAUCUCACAGUAGUUGCUAUUAUCUUAAAAGAAAGAAGAAAUCAUAUUACUAUUGAUGGGUUUUGAUUCGGUCCAUUUGAAUCCCAACUUUUCAGGAAUGUAUUCGCUCGUUAAGUUCGCAUUUUAGUUAUGGUAUGGGUUUAAAUAACAUGCUUCUUUUGGCAGCUACUUAAACUCUGUUGAUUCAGCUCAUUACUAUGAUAAAUUUGAUCUAAAUUUAUUAUUUGUAAGCCUAAAAUUUCAAGUUGAUACCAUGUGUGAGAAGGAAAAAAAUAAUAGUGUGAUUGCAUUUUGAGCUCUCCUUAGCAUAUUUGAGAAUUUGAACUAUCAUGAGUUUAGGUGCUUGUUGUUUUAAUUUCGCUUUCCAACAAAAUUAUGUAUUAUUAUUGAAAGCUUUUCGUAUUCACCUUGUAACUCCUAAAUGAUUGUUGCUUCUAAUUUUACUUCUUUCAUUUGCUGAACCUCUAUGUUGCAUAUCUAUUUCUAUUUGUUCACUCUCAUUAUAAAAAUACGAAAUUAGAACUUCUAUAAAAUAUAAUAUAUUAUAUAUAAAAUAUAAUAAUAUAUACAACGCAUACUCGUCACUAAACGAAAAAACAAAUAAUAGAAAAAAACUCUCACGUUUGCAAAUCCUUGACAUAAGGGUAUUUAAAUAAAUGAAAACAAACCUGCCAAGAAUCUAUCUAUAUAGUGCAUAGUCGCCAUCCCAAAAUAAAUAAUUCAAGAAAANNNNNNNNNNNNNNNNNNNNNNNNNNNNNNNNNNNNNNNNNNNNNNNNNNNNNNNNNNNNNNNNNNNNNNNNNNNNNNNNNNNNNNNNNNNNNNNNNNNNNNNNNNNNNNNNNNNNNNNNNNNNNNNNNNNNNNNNNNNNNNNNNNNNNNNNNNNNNNNNNNNNNNNNNNNNNNNNNNNNNNNNNNNNNNNNNNNNNNNNNNNNNNNNNNNNNNNNNNNNNNNNNNNNNNNNNNNNNNNNNNNNNNNNNNNNNNNNNNNNNNNNNNNNNNNNNNNNNNNNNNNNNNNNNNNNNNNNNNNNNNNNNNNNNNNNNNNNNNNNNNNNNNNNNNNNNNNNNNNNNNNNNNNNNNNNNNNNNNNNNNNNNNNNNNNNNNNNNNNNNNNNNNNNNNNNNNNNNNUGAAGACUUAUAAAAUACAAAUGUUGAAGUGAAACCCUAAAGAGGCUCGGAUUUUUAUCUAAAUAUGCCCAUUUACAAUAGAGUAUAUUUGGUUAUACAGAAGAAAGUUAUAUUACGCCAUUUUUUUAGUAUUAACAAUGGAGUUUUCUCCUUUUGUUUUAUGCAACAUAAAGGUAUACUUGGUUUUCUGUACCGACUUCAGAUCGAAGUACCUACCUGUACUAAUAUGGUACAAAUCUUCUAACUGUGAAGGAAAUACCAACCAGACCUACGAACCGAUUGCCGAACAUAAGCAACAUUUUCUAUAAAUUUGCAUUCUAGAUUGUAUAAUGUCCGUUCUAAAUUUUUUAUGCCUACAAUUUUAUCCGAACCCAAAAUCGAAUAAACCCGAUAUAUCUGAUGCUAAAAAGAUAUGUAUUCGAAUAUGAAUAUCAAAUAUAUAAUCCUAACUGAUGCAAAUUCGGAUAUACAUUUUUUAGUGUAUCCACCCCAAACCCAAAUCAGUAGCCAUCGGAUCUCUCCGACCGAAUGAUCGUUGGCGUAAGCAGCGAGGUCACUGUAUCUUUUUCCUUCAAAUGGCUAAAUCUUAUUAGCCAACCCUUAAAUCCCCAAUUCUAACAAAAUUUGAAACUAACACUACAACAAAAACGGUCUAUAGCGACACUUUUAAACGUAGGUACAUGUCAAAAAAGUGCUGCUAGCUAAAAUUACCGACACUUUUAAAAAGUGUUGCUAUAUGUAGGGUCGCUAGGUAUAUAGUGACAGUUAAAGAGUGUCGCUAUAAUCUAAAAGAAUGCUGCUAAUUUACCAAUACUUAUUUAAGCAUGUAGCAACCGCCGAAACUCUAUCUCGUUGGCUGCGGUGGCGGAGGAGGACGACAGGAAAGGCUCUUCGUCUAGAAUUUCAGUUGAUUGAGUGAAGAGAGAAGAAAAGAUGGCAAUUGAUUUUUCUUUUUUUUUUUCUUUUCUAUUUGUAAUCGGGNNNNNNNNNNNNNNNNNNNNNNNNNNNNNNNNNNNNNNNNNNNNNNNNNNNNNNNNNNNNNNNNNNNNNNNNNNNNNNNNNNNNNNNNNNNNNNNNNNNNNNNNNNNNNNNNNNNNNNNNNNNNNNNNNNNNNNNNNNNNNNNNNNNNNNNNNNNNNNNNNNNNNNNNNNNNNNNNNNNNNNNNNNNNNNNNNNNNNNNNNNNNNNNNNNNNNNNNNNNNNNNNNNNNNNNNNNNNNNNNNNNNNNNNNNNNNNNNNNNNNNNNNNNNNNNNNNNNNNNNNNNNNNNNNNNNNNNNNNNNNNNNNNNNNNNNNNNNNNNNNNNNNNNNNNNNNNNNNNNNNNNNNNNNNNNNNNNNNNNNNNNNNNNNNNNNNNNNNNNNNNNNNNNNNNNNNNNNNNNNNNNNNNNNNNNNNNNNNNNNNNNNNNNNNNNNNNNNNNNNNNNNNNNNNNNNNNNNNNNNNNNNNNNNNNNNNNNNNNNNNNNNNNNNNNNNNNNNNNNNNNNNNNNNNNNNNNNNNNNNNNNNNNNNNNNNNNNNNNNNNNNNNNNNNNNNNNNNNNNNNNNNNNNNNNNNNNNNNNNNNNNNNNNNNNNNNNNNNNNNNNNNNNNNNNNNNNNNNNNNNNNNNNNNNNNNNNNNNNNNNNNNNNNNNNNNNNNNNNNNNNNNNNNNNNNNNNNNNNNNNNNNNNNNNNNNNNNNNNNNNNNNNNNNNNNNNNNNNNNNNNNNNNNNNNNNNNNNNNNNNNNNNNNNNNNNNNNNNNNNNNNNNNNNNNNNNNNNNNNNNNNNNNNNNNNNNNNNNNNNNNNNNNNNNNNNNNNNNNNNNNNNNNNNNNNNNNNNNNNNNNNNNNNNNNNNNNNNNNNNNNNNNNNNNNNNNNNNNNNNNNNNNNNNNNNNNNNNNNNNNNNNNNNNNNNNNNNNNNNNNNNNNNNNNNNNNNNNNNNNNNNNNNNNNNNNNNNNNNNNNNNNNNNNNNNNNNNNNNNNNNNNNNNNNNNNNNNNNNNNNNNNNNNNNNNNNNNNNNNNNNNNNNNNNNNNNNNNNNNNNNNNNNNNNNNNNNNNNNNNNNNNNNNNNNNNNNNNNNNNNNNNNNNNNNNNNNNNNNNNNNNNNNNNNNNNNNNNNNNNNNNNNNNNNNNNNNNNNNNNNNNNNNNNNNNNNNNNNNNNNNNNNNNNNNNNNNNNNNNNNNNNNNNNNNNNNNNNNNNNNNNNNNNNNNNNNNNNNNNNNNNNNNNNNNNNNNNNNNNNNNNNNNNNNNNNNNNNNNNNNNNNNNNNNNNNNNNNNNNNNNNNNNNNNNNNNNNNNNNNNNNNNNNNNNNNNNNNNNNNNNNNNNNNNNNNNNNNNNNNNNNNNNNNNNNNNNNNNNNNNNNNNNNNNNNNNNNNNNNNNNNNNNNNNNNNNNNNNNNNNNNNNNNNNNNNNNNNNNNNNNNNNNNNNNNNNNNNNNNNNNNNNNNNNNNNNNNNNNNNNNNNNNNNNNNNNNNNNNNNNNNNNNNNNNNNNNNNNNNNNNNNNNNNNNNNNNNNNNNNNNNNNNNNNNNNNNNNNNNNNNNNNNNNNNNNNNNNNNNNNNNNNNNNNNNNNNNNNNNNNNNNNNNNNNNNNNNNNNNNNNNNNNNNNNNNNNNNNNNNNNNNNNNNNNNNNNNNNNNNNNNNNNNNNNNNNNNNNNNNNNNNNNNNNNNNNNNNNNNNNNNNNNNNNNNNNNNNNNNNNNNNNNNNNNNNNNNNNNNNNNNNNNNNNNNNNNNNNNNNNNNNNNNNNNNNNNNNNNNNNNNNNNNNNNNNNNNNNNNNNNNNNNNNNNNNNNNNNNNNNNNNNNNNNNNNNNNNNNNNNNNNNNNNNNNNNNNNNNNNNNNNNNNNNNNNNNNNNNNNNNNNNNNNNNNNNNNNNNNNNNNNNNNNNNNNNNNNNNNNNNNNNNNNNNNNNNNNNNNNNNNNNNNNNNNNNNNNNNNNNNNNNNNNNNNNNNNNNNNNNNNNNNNNNNNNNNNNNNNNNNNNNNNNNNNNNNNNNNNNNNNNNNNNNNNNNNNNNNNNNNNNNNNNNNNNNNNNNNNNNNNNNNNNNNNNNNNNNNNNNNNNNNNNNNNNNNNNNNNNNNNNNNNNNNNNNNNNNNNNNNNNNNNNNNNNNNNNNNNNNNNNNNNNNNNNNNNNNNNNNNNNNNNNNNNNNNNNNNNNNNNNNNNNNNNUGUUAGAACUAAAACCGAGAAGAUCUAGUUCGUCGGAUGCGAAAAUACCAAAAGAGAUCCGAGAAAGAGAGAAGAAAAAUAAAGCACACAAUAUUUACGUGGUUCGGCCAACGGCCUACGUCCACGGGCGAAGACGAAGCGGAGAUCUUCAUUAUAAUCAAAGUGGCGUACAAAAUAUGCUUCUCUCACAAAACCCUAAUCCCAAAAAAUACACCCAUAUUCCCUCUCUCAUCUUCCGCACUAAAUCAAUAGCAGAAAGGGUAUAUUUAUAAUAGUGGCUAAAUCCUAAUACGAUUAGGAAUACAAACCCACUAAGAUUAGGAAUAUCUCAAUAAAAUUAGGCAUAAUCUAAACUUAACUUAAUGAGAUAAUCAAAAUAGAAUAGGGAUAGAAAACCUUGCGGUACUAGAAUUCGAGACAUAUCUAACAAUUUGACAGUUUUUUGAGGCAUACAUGGCAAUUCCUUAGCUUCUUGGCUCCUUUCCAAGGGUGGUCCAACAGCUUGGACCAGCUCCUUUUUUAAGAAAAUUCUCUCUUUUUUCAAGAUAUUUUUGGAAUUUUUCAAGACUGCUCUCUCCUUCCCAAGAAAAGCCUUUCCAGCUGGCUCCCUCUUUCUCUCUCUCUCUCUUCUCCUCUUCCCUACUCUCUCUCUCUUUCCUUCUCCUCUCUAUCUUAGCCCCUCUCUCUCUCUCUCCUUAUCAUUCAUUAAAAACAAAAAAAAAAGAGGAAAAGAAAACCCAAGAAGAAAAACUCACCGGCGACGUACGUGGUAGCGGGGGUCUCGAACCCGGCGCGGCACGUAUCGCAGAAGACACGGCCCCAGACCACGAACCCUCGCUUGAGGUCACGCCUACCGCGCACGUGCGAGGGGAGCACGCAAAGCAGCAGCGCCGCCACCACCACGGUGGCGGCAGCGGCGGAGAUCGUCGGGAUCUGAUGCUUCGCCAUGGCCGCGCGUGCAUGCGAGAGAGAGAGAGAGAGAUAGAGAGAGAGAGAAGAGGCGGUGACGGGAAUCGAGUGGAAAAGUUGGAGAAUAGAAGAAAGGGGCAUGCAUGCUCCCUUUCUUUUUCUUUUUUCUUUUUUUCUUUUGUUACUCUUCUCCCUCUUCUCUGUUUCCUGCUUAUCUGUACUCUUAUUCUUUCUAUUUUUUAUUUUUUAUUUUUUUCUUAUUUCCUUCUUCUUUUUUCCUAGGUGUGUUGGUGUAGGUGCAAAAUUGGGAGAAUUGGAAUAGGUGAUGAGGACGGCGAUGGCCGCUUCGCCAGCAACAGCGGCAGACAGCAGGGCGGCGGAGGUGGGUUCGAUGGCGUCAAUGCCAAUCGCCUCGCCUAACCUCGAUCUCACCUCACUAUUAAGGGAUUUUAGCAUUUGCUUAGUUCUUAUUACUAUGAACAUCUUAUAUACCCACAACAGAGGAAAAAAAUAAAUUUUAAAAAAAACUAAAAAAAAGAGAUGACUUCUAUAGAUGGCAGUAAGAUAGUUCUUUAUCCAGAUCUAUACAUUUUUUAUUUUUUUUAAGAUGAAAAUAUAACAAAAUGAUGAACAUAUUAUGUGUCAUGUUAAUUUUUUUAUAUAUUUUAAGAUGAAAAGAAAUGAUGAGAUUGUGUAUUAAACAUAUGAUCCAGCAUAUUGCAUGGGAGGAGGAGAGAAUGCUGAUGUACUAGUUGAAGCAUUCCAAAGAUCUCAUUUACCCUAAAAAAAAAAAAAAAAAAAAAAAAAAAAAAGGAGAANNNNNNNNNNNNNNNNNNNNNNNNNNNNNNNNNNNNNNNNNNNNNNNNNNNNNNNNNNNNNNNNNNNNNNNNNNNNNNNNNNNNNNNNNNNNNNNNNNNNNNNNNNNNNNNNNNNNNNNNNNNNNNNNNNNNNNNNNNNNNNNNNNNNNNNNNNNNNNNNNNNNNNNNNNNNNNNNNNNNNNNNNNNNNNNNNNNNNNNNNNNNNNNNNNNNNNNNNNNNNNNNNNNNNNNNNNNNNNNNNNNNNNNNNNNNNNNNNNNNNNNNNNNNNNNNNNNNNNNNNNNNNNNNNNNNNNNNNNNNNNNNNNNNNNNNNNNNNNNNNNNNNNNNNNNNNNNNNNNNNNNNNNNNNNNNNNNNNNNNNNNNNNNNNNNNNNNNNNNNNNNNNNNNNNNNNNNNNNNNNNNNNNNNNNNNNNNNNNNNNNNNNNNNNNNNNNNNNNNNNNNNNNNNNNNNNNNNNNNNNNNNNNNNNNNNNNNNNNNNNNNNNNNNNNNNNNNNNNNNNNNNNNNNNNNNNNNNNNNNNNNNNNNNNNNNNNNNNNNNNNNNNNNNNNNNNNNNNNNNNNNNNNNNNNNNNNNNNNNNNNNNNNNNNNNNNNNNNNNNNNNNNNNNNNNNNNNNNNNNNNNNNNNNNNNNNGUUUUGUUGAAUCCUAAUUUUUCUAAAUUCUAAAGAUUUAUAUGCAUCGAAUAACUCGCUUUACAUUUUAAAUAAUAAAAACUUUUAAAUUUUAAAUAUUUAACUUUAAAUUUAGAUAGAGAGAGAUAGAGAAUGAGUGAGAGAGAGGAGAAGGGUAUAAAAUUUAAAAUCUAAUAUUUGAAAUCUAAAAUUUUAAAUUUUUUAAUUGUAAAAUUAUAAAAUUUAGGGAAGCUCCUAUCCCCCAUUGAAUAUAUGUAUAGAUAAUCUAAAUUAUUUUUUAAAAAUUAUGUAGUAAAUAUUAUAUAUUUUAAAAUUGUUAUAAUAAGAGAAAAUAAUUAGAUUUGAUUAUAAAGAGAAAAAGAAAAAUUAGGAUAAAAAAAAAAUGCUGGCCGGAACCAACCUCCGCCCCGCUCCUCUGCCCGCAGAUCGCCGGCACCCGGCCGUGUCGCGGCUGCGGCGACUCCCCGCGCCCCGAUUAUCCCACGCCACCCCUCCCCCGCCGGAUUCCUCCUCUCCUGCGCAGUCGAGUAUGCCACCUCCGCCGCCACGACGGAGCCGACCCUGCCGAAGGCCGCCACAGCCGGAGUCGGGCCCAGCUUAAAAUUAAUUAUAAAAUUAAAUUUAAAUUUUUAUUUUUUUUCGUACAUGUACCAGAGCAAAAAAAAAAAAAGCUAUAGAAAGAAAGAGGGAAAAAGAGUAGAGACAGACCAAGAGACAUGGUCCCCCUCGCUAUGUCGGUGCGCGUUUUUUAUCCUUGUCAAAUGUCUUACUGCUACUUACUGAUAUUUUUUAAGCGCUCAUCAAAAAAAAAAGAAGCGAGUAUACCCUUGAAGGCUUUGUAGCUGAAGCUGAUCUAACUCCUAAAGUGCUUUUUGCAGAAGCUGAAGAUGGUUGGUGUUCAACUCCAUUGCAUGAGGAAAAGAGAGGAGUCCCAGGGGUGUAAGUAGCUUGUUUGAUGUAAAAAAAAUUGGAAGUGAAAUUGAGUAAUUUUUUUACAUAAUUUUUUUUUGUAAAAAAAAAAUAGAGAAAAAAUUAAUUAAGAACUUUACCCCUCUUUGGUUCAUCCAUUUCAUUCUAUACGGAACAGAGCACAACUUGGUUCAAAAUUGAUUUGAUAUUGAAAUAUAACCAAAACUGAUGUUAAUCUAAAAUCUUCACAGUGUAGCUAAUUUUUAAACCAAAAAACAAAGAGAGAAAAUGUAACAUUAAGAAUAAAAAAGGGAAAAAAAGGAAAUUAAAGUGGUUUAUUGAUUACCAGUCGUAGUAACUCUUUCAAACGUCUACAUAGAACAGAUCAUCAUACUCCACUUCACUGCUUCUUCCCAACACUCACUCAUCUAUAAAAUUAAAAAAAUAAAAAUAAAAAUAAAAAUCCCUAAAAACAAAAAAAAAAAAGAAAUCAAUGGGGAGGGGGAAAUUUAUUUUCGAUUACCGGCGACGGCGGGGGAGGAGAUCGUCGGCGAUUCGCUCCGCCGGAUCGCGGAGAAGAGAUUAAGGCUCUCGUCCUUGGGCUUGCCCUGCCGGAGCAGCAGCUUGUCACGCCCCGGGGUCCCUAUUUAGUUUAAAGCAUAGCGGAAAAGCGUCUGAAAAUUUUUUUUUUUGAAAACCUGACCCGAGGGUAUGCCAGAUCCGCCACAAAUACAGNNNNNNNNNNNNNNNNNNNNNNNNNNNNNNNNNNNNNNNNNNNNNNNNNNNNNNNNNNNNNNNNNNNNNNNNNNNNNNNNNNNNNNNNNNNNNNNNNNNNNNNNNNNNNNNNNNNNNNNNNNNNNNNNNNNNNNNNNNNNNNNNNNNNNNNNNNNNNNNNNNNNNNNNNNNNNNNNNNNNNNNNNNNNNNNNNNNNNNNNNNNNNNNNNNNNNNNNNNNNNNNNNNNNNNNNNNNNNNNNNNNNNNNNNNNNNNNNNNNNNNNNNNNNNNNNNNNNNNNNNNNNNNNNNNNNNNNNNNNNNNNNNNNNNNNNNNNNNNNNNNNNNNNNNNNNNNNNNNNNNNNNNNNNNNNNNNNNNNNNNNNNNNNNNNNNNNNNNNNNNNNNNNNNNNNNNNNNNNNNNNNNNNNNNNNNNNNNNNNNNNNNNNNNNNNNNNNNNNNNNNNNNNNNNNNNNNNNNNNNNNNNNNNNNNNNNNNNNNNNNNNNNNNNNNNNNNNNNNNNNNNNNNNNNNNNNNNNNNNNNNNNNNNNNNNNNNNNNNNNNNNNNNNNNNNNNNNNNNNNNNNNNNNNNNNNNNNNNNNNNNNNNNNNNNNNNNNNNNNNNNNNNNNNNNNNNNNNNNNNNNNNNNNNNNNNNNNNNNNNNNNNNNNNNNNNNNNNNNNNNNNNNNNNNNNNNNNNNNNNNNNNNNNNNNNNNNNNNNNNNNNNNNNNNNNNNNNNNNNNNNNNNNNNNNNNNNNNNNNNNNNNNNNNNNNNNNNNNNNNNNNNNNNNNNNNNNNNNNNNNNNNNNNNNNNNNNNNNNNNNNNNNNNNNNNNNNNNNNNNNNNNNNNNNNNNNNNNNNNNNNNNNNNNNNNNNNNNNNNNNNNNNNNNNNNNNNNNNNNNNNNNNNNNNNNNNNNNNNNNNNNNNNNNNNNNNNNNNNNNNNNNNNNNNNNNNNNNNNNNNNNNNNNNNNNNNNNNNNNNNNNNNNNNNNNNNNNNNNNNNNNNNNNNNNNNNNNNNNNNNNNNNNNNNNNNNNNNNNNNNNNNNNNNNNNNNNNNNNNNNNNNNNNNNNNNNNNNNNNNNNNNNNNNNNNNNNNNNNNNNNNNNNNNNNNNNNNNNNNNNNNNNNNNNNNNNNNNNNNNNNNNNNNNNNNNNNNNNNNNNNNNNNNNNNNNNNNNNNNNNNNNNNNNNNNNNNNNNNNNNNNNNNNNNNNNNNNNNNNNNNNNNNNNNNNNNNNNNNNNNNNNNNNNNNNNNNNNNNNNNNNNNNNNNNNNNNNNNNNNNNNNNNNNNNNNNNNNNNNNNNNNNNNNNNNNNNNNNNNNNNNNNNNNNNNNNNNNNNNNNNNNNNNNNNNNNNNNNNNNNNNNNNNNNNNNNNNNNNNNNNNNNNNNNNNNNNNNNNNNNNNNNNNNNNNNNNNNNNNNNNNNNNNNNNNNNNNNNNNNNNNNNNNNNNNNNNNNNNNNNNNNNNNNNNNNNNNNNNNNNNNNNNNNNNNNNNNNNNNNNNNNNNNNNNNNNNNNNNNNNNNNNNNNNNNNNNNNNNNNNNNNNNNNNNNNNNNNNNNNNNNNNNNNNNNNNNNNNNNNNNNNNNNNNNNNNNNNNNNNNNNNNNNNNNNNNNNNNNNNNNNNNNNNNNNNNNNNNNNNNNNNNNNNNNNNNNNNNNNNNNNNNNNNNNNNNNNNNNNNNNNNNNNNNNNNNNNNNNNNNNNNNNNNNNNNNNNNNNNNNNNNNNNNNNNNNNNNNNNNNNNNNNNNNNNNNNNNNNNNNNNNNNNNNNNNNNNNNNNNNNNNNNNNNNNNNNNNNNNNNNNNNNNNNNNNNNNNNNNNNNNNNNNNNNNNNNNNNNNNNNNNNNNNNNNNNNNNNNNNNNNNNNNNNNNNNNNNNNNNNNNNNNNNNNNNNNNNNNNNNNNNNNNNNNNNNNNNNNNNNNNNNNNNNNNNNNNNNNNNNNNNNNNNNNNNNNNNNNNNNNNNNNNNNNNNNNNNNNNNNNNNNNNNNNNNNNNNNNNNNNNNNNNNNNNNNNNNNNNNNNNNNNNNNNNNNNNNNNNNNNNNNNAUAAUAAUGAUAACUGCGGUAUGAAAGUAUGCAUGUUUACUAAGCUUACUAUACCAUAAACAUUACGAUGUCAAUGUUUUACAUUUACUCUUUCAUAAUGAAGAAUGUUCAAUGCAUAAGUAAUAUGUCCCAACAUGGCCACAGGUAAAUGUCACGGUCUAGUUUAUGAAGUUAUAAAGAUCAUGCUUUAAUAUGGCAACAAUGUAUAUAUGGAUGCAAUAAGCAACAUCUCCUAGCAUACUACAUGUAUGUAUGCAUACUCAAGUGUCCAAAACUAUGCUAGAAGCAAGUCCAAGUAAUCCAACUACUACUCUCCAUCUAGUAGUGAUUAUAACACACACAACACCAUGUCGAUUUUCAUUUCCAAUUAAGGACCUACCCAAGGUAGUGCAGCUUGUGCCGCCUAAGUGCCUGUGGUAGUCCGACAUUCCUACUCUUGGAAUGUGUCUGUCCCACUCGACCUCGUAGGCAUCUCAAUACCACACGAGCGAACAUAAGUCGCGUAGGCUAACUCCGGAGUGCCGGCUUAUAGGGAGCGACCCUCACAAGCAUGUGCGAAUGAGCACAAAUGGCAAGCAAGCGUAGUCAAAUGCUCAAGUGUCCAACUCUCAUGUCUCAAACAUGGCAAUAGCUACUAGUAACCCAACAGUCUAGCUCUAUGUCACAAUGUGAUAUCUCAACACUCACUUGCUUAGUGCCUCUUUAUGACACUUAAGCAUCACAUCUAAUCAAGCUCAAUUCAUGUUCUAUGUUCCAAAUAUGACGUUAAUACCAAUAUUCAUUAUAGCCCGGGGCCCAAUGCCUCUUUAUGACAUUGGCCCAAAAUCUCAAAUAGCCUAAGUCACCAAGCCUCUCUAGGCUUCCAAAGUCCCUAAUGUCACAAUUAGGCAUAAAGGUUAAAUGCAAGAAAGCAAUGUUCAUUUUCAUAAUAGAAAUCAUGGUUCUAAGUUUCCACUAGAAUGCUACAUCCCACAUGCAUGCACCCUACCACAUAGAGGUCCAAAAAUUUACUAUACAUAACGUAUGCAUGUUAAGCAUUCUAAAAUUCAUAAUAAAUAUAUCUAACAUGAAUAUGCAUGCUUUUUCAAUUAACGAUACUCAAAUCUUCACAAAUGAGAUUUUCUCAUUGUGUGGCUAGGUCAAACCGAACGAACCGUCGCGUACUCCUUCGAUUCGCCGAACGGAGUUGUCCACGAGUCUCAAAAUACCCUAAAAGUAUUGAGCGAAGAGAUAUAUGGGCAUUACGAUCAACCAUUAGAUCAAACAUUAACAAACAAGGCAAAAAGGCUAAAACUCACCUAAAGUGUAGAAAAUCUCCGUCAAACUCCUAAAGAGAGCUAGAAUCCUUCCAAUCCAACCCAAAGAAAGAUUCUAAUCCAACUAAUUUAGCUCCAAAAGCCCUAAAUUCAAAAUGCCCAAAAUAAGCCCUAAAUCUCCAUUCUAGGGUUUCAUCUCAAAUCCGACAAUAAAACUCGAAUCUACAGGGAGAGGACAAGUUGCUUACCUCUUAGAAGCUUCAAUCUAGGCUCUAAAUCCUCCAAGUCCAAAGAUCUCUUCUCAACAAAGCUCCAAAUCCAAGCUCCAAGCUUCAACAAUGGAGGAAUUGCAUCAAAGAGCAAAAAGUGAAGUUUAAUCUCUUAAAAUCCCACCAAAAACCAAGGAAAUCAAAAGAAAAAUCAAGAAGGGCUCCCCUACCUCUAUUCCUGCUGUGGCAAGCUCAGGAGGAAGCCCUAGGGGCGUGGGGUGGUAUAUAGAAAUCCAUAAUUGCGAAAAACCCCCUGCAGUUCAAACUGCUCAAAAACUGUCUCUGCGUACCGGUACACGGGCCCACGUACCGGUACACAUCCCACGAAAUAGCCAAACCCGAGCCUCGGGUUGGCUGAGAAGCUGCUAAAGUUGAUGGCUGUACCGGUACAGCCAUCACCCCGUACCGGUACACAGCUCUCUGAAGGCUACCCGAGAGCUAACCGAAAAUCCGAUUUUUCGGGUUUUGGUGCAAGGCUUUAAACCACAAUUCUCGGGAUUCGAACCAUAGGUCGGAACACUGUCUACGACCCACCAGAAAGUCUGGAAAAGCUCAGGACACAGUCCAAACACUCGAACCUCGCAAUUUGCAAAGGUCCAGUGUGUUAUAUUAUGUUCUCUAACAUUAGGAUUAAUGCCUUUCUCAUUAACCUAUGUUCAUUAACACUAGGUUCAUUAUCACUCUUGUUCAACCUAUGUCCUCGACGCUAGGUCCAUUGUCAUUCUUGUUCAACCUAUAUUUAUUAACACUAGGUUCGAUGCCACUCAAUCUUUCUUAGGUUCAUGAUACUAGGUUCAAUGCCACUCGAUCUAUGUGUAUAUAUAUAUGUCCACAUGCACAUGUCAUAUACUAACAUCUUUACAUUAAGAUCUCCACAAUAUGCUUGUCAUAUAUUUCCUUUAGCAUUCUUAUUUCAUAUCUACAUGCAUUCUUACAUUAGCAUUUCUACACAGGCAACAUGACUAACAUAUGUCAUUUAUUUUAUGCUUUCCACUUAACACUAUUCGCACUAUGUCAUUACGCAUUACUUAGCAUUCUUACAUUAUGACCAUAUGCAUUAUUUGGUAGCCCACAUAGUACUCUUUUCAUGCAUUUAUACAUUCUAUCAUUAGCUAUCAUUGCAUGCAUCAAUAAUAAUACUCAUUCUUAGACAUACAGGCGACCUAGUCGCUUCGGUAAACACAACCCACCUGUAUCGCGUUCCGAUUGCUUGUCGACACUUGCAAUCGGCCUAUCGCGGCACCUGUAUCCGGCACGGCCCAAUAUUGCAACUGCGCCACAACCGUGCUCCACUUCGCAGCCCCGAAAUUAUAGCUCUGCGGUUAUGUGUCACGGUGCCACCAGUCCAUUUUCAUGACCUUACGACGUCGCUUCGGCCCUCCAGGCGAAAACGAAGCUAAAUCGUCAGUUUCUUCAAUAUCUUUUUAACGGCUUGACGAAUUGCCAAACCGACUUCGCCAGCGCGUUCGUAGACCUAGCAAUUAGGUUUACAGAGGGUCAAAUGAGAUCAAACCCUCAUAUAUACCAAAACCCUAUUUUAGAGCCCUAGGUGAUAUUAUAGCCAAAUCCACCAAAUCGAUCUAUGAAAUGGGGGAAAACUAUCUAAAUGGCAUGCUAGGGUUCCUCUAAAUCCAAUUUUAGGGAUUAAAAACCCAUCUACAAGGAUCUACCAUUAGAGAGCACGAUGCUUACCUCUCUAAACUUGCUCCAAUGGCUCAAGAAAGGAGAUGAAGAUGAAGCUCCAUCUUCUUGGCCUCUUCUCCUUCAUCUUCUUCCUCCCUUUCCUUCUCUUCUUCUUCUUCUUUUCUUUCGUCUAGAGAGAGAGAGUGUGUGUGUGUUUAGCGCUUUAGAGUGUGAGGGAGUGAGAGAAAUGAGGGAAAGAGAGAAAGGAUCCUCUCUAUACACUCUCAUAAGGGCCAUUUUGCACUUAAGCUCCUCAACAAUGCUUCUCUCACAACAGCCCAAACUGGGCAUUUUCGGGCUUCGGGGACCGGUCUCUCCCAGCCUGGGACCGGUCCUUGGUCCCAGAGGGACCUCUAGCCCAGACUUAGCCAAAUUUCAGCUUCGUCCGUUUUCGCUCGUUUGACCUCCGAUUCUUUUCAAAUCGAACCGAGACUCUCCAAACAUGUUUUCGAACAUAUUUUCAUCAUCUUUUCAUCCACGCUAAUGCUGGAUUUAGCUCAUGGUCCAAUAUAGCCUUUCGGGUCCAGUUUUCGCACCUAUGCGCACCGAAAUGCCCAAUUGCUCCAGAACUUCACCGAAUUUCACUGGGACCAUUCAAAUGGCUUUCCAACCAAAUGUACACCGUAACUUCAAAGUUGUAGAAGUUCGGUAUGUUACAGGGAGAGAGAGAAAGAGUAUUGUCGCUGCUACACACAAAAAAAAGGAAGCUGAGGAGUGAAAAAUGGAGAUCUAAGGAGGUUUAGAGAGAGAGAAAUAGAGAGAUGGGGAGAGAGAGAAAGAAAGAAAGAACCGGUGGGGGGCGCGCGCGACCCGUGCCCCCCGCGCACGCGCGCUAGAGAGAGAGAGAGACAGAGAGAGAAAGAGAUAGAUGGAGAGAGAGAGAAAGAGAAAGAGAAAGGGAGAGAGAGGGAGAUAGAGAAAGAGAGAACCGGGGGGGUGCCCACGACGCGCGCCCCCCGCACGCGCUAGAAAGAGAGAGAGAGAGAGAGAGCCGCAGGGGCCCUGCCAUGUGCAUGGCGUGACCCGCACCCGACUCCCGCGCCCGCCGGUUCCCCUCCGGAUCGAAGAGAACUGAGAAGGAGAGGGGCGCUGAGAGGCCGACGCGUGGCCACAGUAAAGUCACCCUUUUAUUAUAUAUAUUGAUACCUCUGUUGGCACCAAUAAAAUCGUGCCACAUGGUGAACCGGUGCACAACAUAACCAGGAGUUGCAAAAGCCAAGAAUAUCGGGUAUCUAGUGCACCGGGAACAAGGAGGAAUCAUAGCAAACCGCAGAUGGUUUCAUGCGGUUGGGAUCGGCCUGUGGCCCACGAAACUAGGGAAGUGGCCGAUCAUGUAGAUAACUGAAUAACAAUAGGCAGAAUAUAAAUAAACAAGUAACGCUUAGAAGAGGGGUCUUUUUCUCCUGCGAACAAAAAGACCAUUUUCAAUUCCACGCAUUUUUUUUUGCUUUCUAGAAGUAGUGUACAUGCUGAACAAAAUCUUCUUAAUGUAAAACCUGCUCGAUUUAGAUCGGGAAAAUUGUACGGAUUUUAUGAAACCAUGUGCUAUGGCUUGAAUCCGUAGUCAAUCCUAUUUCCGAUAGGAGCAGUUGACACUUGAAUCCUAUUUUUCCCAUUAUUUUACUAUCCAUAAUAGUGCGAAAAGAAGGCCCGGCUCCAAGUUGUUUAGGAAUAGUGGCAUUGAGCUUGUCGACCCUUUGCCUUAGGAUUUGAUCUUUUCAUUCUCCCGCAUCUACUAUCUUUUCUAGGAGUAGUAGGGAGAGUAGAUUUUUCUUUUGUCCAGUCUUGUAAACGUCUUUUUGAAUAUCAGCAAUAUAAGCCACAUUCAGCUCUUCAGCCGAACCAGAAAUCCUUGUGCAGUCCGCACACUCGGCUGAUUCAGCCGAAUUGGAUUUAUUGUAUUGAAAUGAACCCGGUUAGUCUGAUCCCUCAUCAACCGAAUCUCUCGAUUUGACGAAGGGCACAAACUUCAAGAGUCAUUAUUCGUAGCCGUUCCAUCUCCUUGCACGCUAUACGAAGGAGGAUCUUUGAUCGGGUUUGCAGUUGAAGGAUUCGGCUGGUCGAUGAGAUCAAGAAGCCGAUCAAAUUGUUCUAUAUUUCGAGCCAAACUAGGAAGACCACUGCUAUACAGUCUUAAACAUUCAUCCAAUUUCUACUAGGUCUCAGUCAAAGUGUUGGUAGAGGGGUCUUCUUCGUCAUUGGAUUUUAAGCUUAAAGCGGCUAAAUCUUGAAAAGAAAUGGCCAAUAGAUCUGCUAGUUCAGAUAUCGGCAAAGAAGCUGACGCAGAAGCCUCGACUUGAAUAUCAGCAGGACAGUCUAUGUUCGCCUCUCCCCCUUGAUCCCUUUCUUGCUCUUCUUUCUCUUUUUCAACCUUUUGUUUUUCUUCCUUUCUUUGUCUUCCUCCCUUCUCUUCCUCCUUUCUUCUUCCUGAUAUCUUUUUCCUCCUCCCUCUUCUUGGCUACCCUUUUUUUUCUUCUCUUCAGCUUCUUUUUUAUGUUCCCCUUCAACUCUUUUCUCUGCCUCCACCCACUUCUUCUCUGCUUCUUGCUUUUUAUCUACGCGGGCUUCUCGGCGAGCUUGCCACCCUAUAGCAGACAUCACUUGCCCUAAGGAUGAAGAAAAGCGAGUACGAGAAGUUUUUCUUGACGGAGGUUGUUUGAUCGAAGGGGACAACGGUGGUGAUCCGGCUGAAGAGUGAGAAAAAGAAAAUUCAAUCGAAAUAGGCUGAGGGGUUACCGCGGUAGAGAGUGGGUUGACAGGGGUCGAUUGAACAGGGUUCACCCCCUCGGUUGUAGUAUCAAUCGAUGAAAUUUUUGUCGGAAACUCUUCGGUUGGCAUAGAAGGAGGAAUGGGACGGAUCUUAAUAGCAACGGUCUUAUGCCGCUUCUAUUGCGGCGGUUGAGGCGAUUGAUCAGAAUAUAUCGCCCGCUUGUCAGAACGUAGGGCCGAUUAGGCAGAAGUAAGGGCCGGUUGGAAAAAGAUAUUUUACCCAAAGAAAUUCCUCAAGAAAAGAAACUAUACCGGGAGAUGAGAUUUAACGUUGGCGGAUGAGACGAAUUCUCAAGGUCUUCAUCUAAAUUUUCUCCCGACACAUCUUCUGGGGGAAUGGGUAAAGGACCCUUACCUGAAGAACCAAAUCAAGUUGGAAUGAAUUAAGGAAAGAAGGAGAUGAGGAUAAAAUCGUAUUAUUUGAAAGACAGCAUACCAUCUGUAUGAAAGAUUUUGCUAAAGAUAGGGAUCAUAAGGGGAAGAAAAUGUUGUUGACAAAAGGCUUCCCAGGCUCUGGUGAAGCGAAAGUCCAACACCCUUGCGUGGUUUGGCCGAAAGCUCAAAAGUUUAAAAAACUGUCGAAGACAAUUUUCCAAAGCUGAAAUAUGAUCGGCCUCGGCUGCACUCUUUGUAGGAGGACGACAACAGGCAGUAUUGGCCGUAAAGAAUUUGGCUGGAGCUGGAAGGGCCUGGACGAAUCCAAACUGACGUGCUAUAUAGUGAGGGGAAUACACCUCUAUACUUGGCGUUAAUUUGGAACGAUUCUUCAAGCCGAUAUGCAAAUCUCUGGCAACCAAAAAAGAGAACCAUACGUCGGGUUACUCGCUGGCGCGAGAGGAGGCUAGCUGAUCUUGAAUGGCUUCGAAUCGAGUGAGAAGCCAGGACGGACCAGUGACGUGUUCUCUAAUGAAGACCAGUUAAUGUGGAGACGGUGGCUCCUUCAUAAUACACCCUAAAAUAGUAGGAAAAAUUAAGUGGUUGACCUAGGGUCAAGGCUCGGGACAAUCGAGAGCCAGACCAUAAGUGUCAAAAUUAGGAGCCGAAUCCAAAUCUAAAAGAGUUCGGCACAAAUAAGAAAAAUAGAUCUGCAAACACAUUUGUAGAAAUCAUAAGACACCGCACCCAGAACUAAUAACCACAUCACCCGAUGGUAAUGGUUUGAUGGAUUCAAAAAUCUCUCUAUAAACAAAGGAGAGGAAAUAGGUACCUAAUGCUAAUUUCUCGCCAUUGGCCAAGGCAAUGGCGAUCGGAACGAAAUCUCGAUUGAUCUUCUGCUAACGAGUACGGAAGAGGUUGUAACAUAACUAGUAAAAGAGGAAAGCUGUGUGUUCCUUCCUUGUAACCGGAGCAGGAGACUGGCCUGCAAAACGGCGGAUGAAUUUGGUAUAGGCCAAGUUGGCUUUCAGAUCAAGAUGGGCCUCAAAAUCGUUUACGCCAUCAGGAUUAUAGGCCAUCGAAAGAGUAAUGCCGUGAGGGCGUAGACCAACGAUCGCCGCCACAUCAAGGGAGUGGAAGUGAAAGGUCUCCCUCAAAAAAGGAAGGUGUUGGAAACAGGGAAGCAAAAACAGAGAGCAGCAACCAGAAGAAGGUUGUCGGCUAUAGGAGGUGCUUUGGAUAAUGGAAUGGCUUAAUAAAUCCUGACCUCGCGCAAGAAAUCGACAUAGGAUGCCUCGACACAAUCUAACCAGGCAAGAUUGGCGUCCGAAGCAGUCGGCCAAGUCCGAAGACUCUUUCCAGACAAUUUUGAAGUCGUCGAAACAUACCAAGAAAAUAGAUAGAUGGCAUCAGCCAUCAGGGAAGGCCCUCGGUCGAAAAAGAAAAAUCUUCAAAAAUAGGAUCAUCUAUGAAUGAAGGUCCUAAUAUAAAUAAAAAAGGAUCUGUUUCGACGAAUUGGCAAAGAAGAGUAUAAUCAAAGGAAGAAGAUGAAAGAAAAGGAGUAAGCGAAGCCAUUAGCUAAACUAAAAAAAGAAAGAGAAGAAGAUGGAGAGAAGAAGUAGUGAAAUAAAAUCCCAGACGAGGAUAAAGAAGAAAUGAAGCGUAAGGAAGAAGAAAACAAUGAAGCAUGAAAGGCAAAAGAAAGAGGGAAGAAAAGGAGAGCCGUCGGAUGGAAUUUCGAAAAAAUGGCCGUAAUGGUGAAAAGACGGCGGCAAUAAAUGACCUAAUUAAUGCCUCAGAAGAGACAAAAAGAAUGUGGAGAUCGUGACCGUCAAAAGUGAAAGGAUGGUUGAGAAAAGAGACGGUACAAGGCAAUUCGAAAUGAUGAUUUCGAAAUUCGUGCCUUUAGGGAGGAUUACGCCAGUUACUGAACCGCCUGUUUGAGAGCUGCCGAGGGAACAAUUGUUGGCGCGAAGAAAAUCACGCCACGUGGUGAAUCGGUGCACAACACAACCAGGAGCUGCAAAAGCUAAGGAUAUCAGGUAUCUAGUGCACCAGGAACAAAGGACGAAUCACAGCAAACCGCAGAUAGUUUCAUGCGGUUGGAUCGGCCUGUAGUGGCCCACGAAAGCAGAGAAGUGGCUGAUCAUGUAGAUAACUAAAUAACAAUAGACGAAAUAUAAAUAAACAAAUAACGCCUAGAAGAGAGGUCUUUUUCCCCUGUGAACAAGAAGACCACUUUCAAUUCCACAUAUUUUCUUACUUUCUAGGAGUAGUGUACUUAUAAUCUUUUCAUUCUCCUGCAUCUACUGUUUUUUCUAGGAGUAGUGGGUAGAGUAGAUUUUUUAUUUUGUUCAGUCUUGUAAACCUUUUUCCGAAUAUCAGCAAUAUAAGCCUCAUUCGGCUCUUCAAUCGAACCAAAUAUCCUUGUGCAAUUGGUACACUCGACUGAUUCAGCUAAACUGGAUUUAUUGUAUUGAAACGAAUCCGAUUGGUCCAAUCUCUCAUCAUCCGAAUCGCUUGAUCUGACGAAGGGCGCAAACUUCGAGGGUCAUUAUUUGUAGCCGUUCCAUCUCCUCGCACGCUCUAUAAAGGAAGAUCUUUGUCCGGAUCAGCGGUUGAUGGAUUCGGCUCGCAACAACCUCUAAAAGGCUAGGGCUUAGGGAUGAGGGAUAGAAAAAAGGAUUCUCUAUUUUUUCUUGCAAGAGAAAGAUGAGAGAAAGAUAGAGUAGAAGAAGCUAUUCAAGGCCACCAUUGUGGGCUUGCUAGAGAAGCUUUUGAACCCGUCUUCAUGGGUAAAUCGAAGAAGCCUGAUUAUCUCGCCAGAAGGUUUUCUUAGGAGGUGGUUUGCAAGGGAUAUUGGUGGUGAAAUCUUUCGAAUAUUUCUCUUUAUUUGAAGUUAUAAUGAUUCUUGUAAUUCAUGUCUCUAAUAGUGAUCAUAGAGAAACUAGUGAGAGAGAAAUUAUGCUCUUCUUAUUUCAUAAAAUAGCGUUGUUUGGAGGUGGUCUCGUAGUUUAUUCCUUUCUAUGUUUUUUCAUGUAAAGUUUGGUGUUUGAUUUUUUGUUUGGUUUAUAUUUGCUUUAGUGUUGCUUUCUUUGUGGUAUAGUAUUACUACCAUUAAUAUUAUAAGCUUUUUUCAUUUGAUCUUGUAUAGUGGAAGAAUUUAUAUAUAUUCUUUUGUCAUCACAAUUUAGGUUUGAUUAGGGAGGUAACUUACUAAAUUUUUAAAUUUUUUCUAAAUUUUUGUCGUACAUAACUAGGGGUGAAAACGAGCUCGAACUAGGGGUGAAAACGAGCCGAGCUCGAGCGAGCUUACCUCAGCUCAAGCUUGGCUUGAAAUUAAUUUCGAGCCUAACUACAACAAUAUAGGUGUACACCAGUAGCCAAAACUGUUGGAAAAGAUUACAAAAACCGCUGGUAAUAUUUGCUCCAGCGGUUCUAAAAGUGCUGGUAAAAGUGUAAGUGACCAUUACUAUAUCCUUACUGGUAUUACCCUUUCCCAGCACUUUUAUUAACCAUUGGAGAAGAUAAUCUCUAGCAACAUUUUUUAAACCGUCGGUACUUCAACAAAAAAACCACUGGCAUAAAGCAGAUGUGCCGACAGUUUUAAACCGUUGGUAAUCUAAAACUAAUAAGAAAAAAAAAAAAAGCUAAUAUCAACAAAUUACAAUAGAGCUUUUCUAUUUGAUAUUUGCUGUAAAACUAACAAUUUGUAUUAUCCAAAAAAAAGAGUCAUAUUACUAAAUUGCAAUAGAGAAGUCUAUAACAAAAUAGUUAAAAUGUUUGUAACAAAACUACAAGAUGGCACAAUCAUGAUCUAUAGCAAUAACAAAAUGCAACGAAAUAAUUUUUUAUACUUUAAUAGAAAUCAAUGCAAAAGAAAAUUUAUCUGAACUCAAAAUGUUAGAAAACUAAGAAAAUAGAGAGUGAAAAGCUCCCGUUGAACUUUCUUGAAAUGCUGAACAUCAAGUAGGAAAGUUAAGAAAUGGAGAUUGAAAAGCUCCAGCGGAGCAUUCUUGAAAUGUAGAACAGCAAAUCCUACUUGUGGCUUCAAUCUGAAACAAAAAGAAAUUCAAACAUAUAAGUUGUAGAAGCUCAUUCUAACAGGAAAUCCAUCAUAAAUUAUAUAUAGCAAAAAAUCGAAGCUUAUCCCAACUAGGAGAUUGCCUAGAGAUAUUAAUGUCAUCUUCUAAGGAAAAGAAGCUUAAAUAUCUAACAGAGAAUAUAUAUAUAUAUAAUGCUCGCUUUUGGCAAAUAUUGCUUACUCAAAAAUGAUGUACCAUAAUCCGCAACAUAAACAGCAUGGCAAAAUUCAUUAGUGCUAACAGCCAGUAACAGUCAAAACAAAUACAUCAAAACUUCAUACAUUUCUAUCCAAAGAAAACUAUACUCAAAUACUAAACGACAACAGUGAGAAGAAGGCGAUACAGCAUCCAUAUGCUUUCCCCCACGCAUAAUAUAAAGACCAAUUUCACCUUCUAAUAUAUGCAGAAACCUUUUUUUGAUCGGUGGCAAAAUUUGGUCAAGAUAAGCAUUACUAAGACAAGAAAUGCUUUUGCAAUACUAUCAAAGAAAACAACGACAUAUAACAUAUAAUUCUAGCUUUUUAUAUGGAUUUCAACAUCCUAAAACAAUUUCUAGGGCUUUAGGAAUCUCCACAAUCGAGAUAAAGAAUUAGGAUUUGUGAUUGUAGCCGCUGCCAAAAGAAUUCCAAACUAUAAUUCCAAAAGGCAACAACAAAAAAAUAAGUUUACCAGGAUGUAGACAGUAUGCUUACCAUUGGAUCGACUACAUCUACAGUGUCACCACCAAUCACAUUAGGAAGAGCGACAUCUAAGUAAAAUCACCAUUUCUUUUACAUAAUAGAUGAUCGACUACAUAUAUAAGAUACAGAUAUUUAAAACUACUCAAUGUAUUCAUAUCCAACAAUUCUAGGAACCAAAUAAAUCGCUCUUUAUCAAUUUUCUUUUCCAAGCCAACAUUUUUCACACCUUCCCCUACUUAGAGGAACAUUACUAAAAAAUUGCUUCUACCAUCAUUGUCAAUGAAAGUGUGCAAAAUUACUGAUGAAAGCAUACCUCCCACCUUUCCCGAAAAAGUUUGUUUCUUCAAGUUUUUGUGCUCCUAUUGUCAUUGUUCUGGAAUAUAUAGUUCAUAGCAUAUAUAGUUUCAGGUUUGAAUAAGAAUCAAAUCCUAAAUGCAACCAGAACCAAAACAGGACAAAGAAUUGUACAUACAUAGGCACCACAAAUAGCAAAAUAAAGGAAAUGAUAAUUGAGUGGGUUUGAGGGAGCAACAUCAAACAAAACUUGCACGAACUAGUACUACUAUACCUGCCUAUAAUCUCAGCGGCCUAUAGUUUAGGAAUUUAAUUUGUUGGUCCCCACACAACACUUCAGGCAAUGGAUUAUGGCAAGCAGUGUCCUAUAGUGGACAGUAGAGUGCAAUAAUAUGGAGCCGCAAUAAUUAAAUGAAACAUGUAAUAGUUUACGAGCCCUCUAAUGUAUCUGAAGGGUUCCUUUCUAAAAAAUUUCCUUUUCAUAUUGGGUUAGAAUUUUCAUGCUAAGAUUCCUAAAAAUGCAUCCCUAGCAGAGCUUCUUAUAAGUGUCUUAUGCUGUAGUAUAGUGAGAGUUGAAGAGCGAUAGGUAAAAUUCACAACAAAAGAAGUAACAGUUAGUAAGUAACUUUGAUUUAUUAGUUUGCCUUAACCAACUACUAAUUAAUGUUCUUUCCCUAAAAAAGAAAAAACAAAGAACUUCCACUCAUCUAUUAUGACUUCACCUUCACCAAUAUCCCCCUAUGCCUAUGCUAAUAAUAUUACAAUUAUUGAGGCCAAUAGAAAGGGGAAAAAAAAUGAAGCCGGUGGGGAGACCUUCCAGAAUCUUAAUGCGUAGAACCAACAAUCUACGAACUCUAAAUUAAUCCUUGUUGAGUCGCUACUUGUUCAUUAGCCAACCUAUAUGCAUUAAUAGCAUUUGUAAUUCCUUAAUUGGACAUCAUAUAUGCAACCACCAUGCAUGUCUCACCAAGAAAUCCUCUAUAUUAUCUUUUCUCAACAAAUUAGAUUAUUUCAUUAAGCAUGUAGUGUACUUUUUAGUUGAAUUAUAUGCCUCAAAUAAGUUCCUUCAUGCAAAGUUAACUAAUUAAGCUAAAUAAGUAGGUCUGUUCUUGGUAUGACUUCAACUCUUUUUUUUUAGCCAGAAGAGUUCAGAACUUGAAAUUCUAAUAUGAUUCAAUGCAUUCAUGGAUGUUUAAUUUUCCUUCUUAUUGUUUAAUUAGUUUAUACUGUGCCCUAGCCAAAUGCUAAACAGGAACUUCAAACAACAAAAAAGAAAAAAAGAAGAAAAAGAAAAAGAAGCUAAAUUCCUUAACUUUGCUGCCAAAAAGAGAACUGUAGGUGUUUAGAUUGUAUACUAUCAACAAAUAGCAUGUGUAUUCAAUCGCCUAAAGUUUAAGUUUCUUGAAAAAUGACAAUAUAACUAAAUGAAACGAAGCCUUAAUAAGUAGCAGCUUUGUUUUCUUUCCACAGCAGGACAAAAUAAAAAAUGAAACAAUUGAAAAGAAAAGCCUGAGAUCUAAACCAUGAGAUCUGGCUUCAAGGAAGGAAGGCAGGGCAACCCUUCCAACCUUCCGACCUUUCCUAACAAGAGCCACAAAAUUUUCCAACUCAAAAGUUUUGUUCGACCAUUGAUAAAAGGACCUCAAAAAAAAACCCAAGAACCUCGAAAAAGAGGAUUAAACAACAAUAGAAUGAUGCUAUUGGUAACUCAGGAGAAGAAAAUGUUCACUGCAUUCAUGAUUUCACACAGGAUUGGUAACAAUUUAAUCAAACAUUUCAAAGCCGAUGUGUUGAUUGCAAAAAUCCUCAAGAAACAGCAAUAGAAUGUCGGAAAAAAAAAAGAGAAUGAGAAAACCCUUCGUAUUGUCUGAACAGCAAAUCAAAUAACUAAAUACUUCAAAAAAGCUGACAACAGGUGAAAGUAGAAUUACAAAGUUUGAUCAAAUAGUCAAACUUACCACCAAUAGUACUCCCAUUACCGCCAGCAAAUGAUGUAAUGCAUGUUUUGCAAAAUGUCCAAAAUUAAGAUAAAGUGAAAAGGCGUAUGCACUAGAAGAAAAUAAAAAAUCCAUCUCCAAAUUCAGCAAUAAAAGCCAAGCUUACAGUUUAGUUGUUACAUUAUUAUGAUCACCGGUAAGAAAAUAAACUUAACAAAUGAAAAUAGAAAAAUUUCAAGAUAUAAAUGGUCAAAUAACGCAGCUCACUUAUAUCUAGUCAGGUUAACAACCAUACCAAAUAAGCUGCAAUUCACAUUGAAAGAACUAGCCAAAAACAGUUGUCACGACCCGCGACCACCCGCCAAUUUGGCCGGGUCGCGGCGCCGCCGGCAGACCGCCGAAUGGACAGAGUUUUCCCUUUACGUUCUAGGCGUCGCAAUCAAUACAAUACGAGAGUUCCAACCAGGAACAGUAUUCAUUCACAGAUUGCAUAAGGAAGUAUCGAAAACAUAAACUACUAAGUUAUUACAGCAUUUAACUUAGAUGCAUUUUACAACAUAAUUUUUGUUUUACAAUUAACCUCCAAAUACAACCAUAACUAUUACAGAUUCUUCUACAACUUAAACAAAAGUUUGUUCUUGUCUUUAAACCUCCCAAGCUAGACCACCAACUCGGGUACUGCUAUCUCAGUCUCUGGGUAGGACGCUAUCUGCAGAACUACGUCCUCGCCUUGCGCCGCCGCGCCGCACACGUGUGUACCUGUACCCCCAAAACAGCANUUCUUCUUCUUCUUUUCCUUUCUCCCUUCUCUUCUCUUUCUUCUUUUCUCCUUUUCCCUUGCACGGUUAGAGAGAGAGAGGGAUGUAAGAGAGGGAGAGAGAGGCAGUGAAAUGGGAGGGGAAAUGGCUUAGAGGGGUGUGUUAACCCUCUAAUGUAACAAAAUCCCGAAAGCCCCCUCCAUUUUCUAUUUUUCCAAAGCAGACCUGCUGCUUCGGGCUCCUUGUACCGGUACACGGUUUCUUGUACCGGUACAAGGCCUGGCAGACAGCACGAACCCGAGAGCUCGUUUUCUCGGUUUCGCAGAUCUUGUACCGGUACAAGGUCCUUUGUACCGGUACAAGGCCUGGCAGCUCCAAGCCUUGAACUUCGCUGGUUGUACCGGUACAACCAUUGGUCUUGUACCGGUACAAGACAUCCAGAAAGUCAUUUUUGACUUCGUUUCCGCCCUAUUUCGCGUCGUUCAAUGCCAAAACCCUUCCAACUAAUUUAAGGCUUAUUUUUAACCCUUCCAACAGUGUUGGAAUGAUAAUUGGGACUUGUCCAUCCAUCUACUUCGCAUACUUUAGUCGAUUUGGCUAAAGCUCGAUAUUUCUUCCGGAACCUCGGGGGUUACAACAGUUGCAAGAUACAAUAGAAAAUAGUGAACAGUGAUUGCCAACAACAACCAAAAAGAAAAAAGUUACAAUAAAAUAACAGCAUAUGAUAAAUUUUUUAAAUAGAUAAGAAGGCACCUGAAGUAACAGCACAAAGAGAACUUUAAGUUAACUUUAGAUACAUGGCAUAAUUCGAGAACCUUGACUAAUUUAAAGCAUUCAUGUCUAGGAACUUGGAACUAUAAUUGUAAAACUCGAGAACUAAAUAAUUAAAGUGUAAAACUGAUUCUCAUUGAAUUCCUACAAGGCUAAAGUAAGGCAUUAGGGUUUCCAGAACUAGUGGCAACAAAAUACCCUGAACUAAUAUAUAAAACAUUAGGGAUUCCAAGCACUACCUGCAAAAAACAGGGGAAAAUAGAUUAGGAAAUUAGGGCAUGGAGAGGGAGGGAGGGUUAUGUGGUGGAGGAGUUGGGAUUGGUCGGAUCUGGAGAUGAAAUUGGAGAUGUAGAUGAGCUGUCACCUACGGCUCGACGAGGCGACGCGCAGGUAAGGUGCGAGCGGCGGAGGCGCGUGCCUUGCUCCCGAUGAAAACCACAGGUCGAGGCGCGGGGCUUGCUGGAGCCGCAGGUGGCGGAGGAGAUAUCGUGGCGACAAAUAUCGCCACUAAUACUCCAUUUUUCGGUGGCGACUCUUAUAUGUCGCCGUCAAAACAUCCCGUAUCGGUGGCGACUUUUAUAUGUCGCCACCAAAGCAUCCCGUAUCAGUGGCGACACUUAUAUGUCGCAGCCAAAUCAUCCGUAUUGGUGGCGACUCUUGUAUGUCGCCGCUAUUUCCUAUAAAUCGGCGGCGACAAAUAAAUGUCGCCACCAUAUUAAAUACAUUGGUGGCGACAGUGCCUGUCACCACCAAAAAGUCGCCACUAAAACACAUUUUUGUUGUAGUGCUACCACAAUUUGGAUUUGUACUAGGAUUAAAGGCACAGUGUACUGAUUCCAAACAACGGGAUGAUCCGUUCUCUUGGUAAUCUACAGAAUCGUCUCUGUUAAUAUUUCCAAAACUACUUGACCCACUCAUAGGCGCAUUAUUCGACUCCUCGAUGCUGAAGGAAAUAGACACCUCAUGGUUACAAACCGUUCUUUACCUUUGAAACAUGGUUGCAAAACUUGCAAUAGAGAAAAUAAGAAGUGUGCUCUUACAGUAAUAAGAGAUUCUGAAACUUUCCGAGUUCCUUUGGAAUAGGCCCAAAUAAAGCAUUAAUUCCUACAAACCAAUGGAUUGUUGUACGCAUAAAUUAUUAUCACCAAAAGACUAAAACAUAUGCAAUAACUGAUGUUGAAGUUGCAAUCAUAAAUCUUACAGGAACUGCAUUGUAGAAAAAUUUUCGAUGAAUGCCGGUAAAGGGCGUGUCAAGUAGUUUUGGUCCAACUUCCUGUGAAGAAUUAGACCACCAGUUUACUUGAGAUUUUAAUUUCCUUAUGGUACUUCAGCUUACAUAAAACUGAUCAGUUUUCUUCUUUCAUUUUCAUAGCGUGCAAUUUUUCCUAUUCGAUCAAUGUUUUGAGUAAGAUUAUGCUGAUUCAUUGAUAUGAAUUUUGAUCUGAUGCUAUUUUUUUUAUCAGGAUGAGAGAAUCUUCCAUCACUAAAUUAUAAUCUUUACAACUACUUAAUUUCUUACCGUUUUCGCUCCUGGACACAAGAUUCAUACUCUGAACCAGUCAUAAUUCUUAAACUCUUGUCUCAUUGGAUAAGCAUCUGCCAAAUUUAGACACACCAGCGGCAGCGCAAGUGCGAAAUUUGCGCGAUUCUUGCCUUCUUCUUUGGGAUUUUAAAAUGGUCCUUGGAAUUAAUAAUAAAUAUGUUCAUGAAUCUGAAUUUUACAGCAGCCGUGCUUUUGGGACACAUUUGUAAUCAAGAUUUUAAUUGUUGCAUAAAGAGUAGUCUGAUAAUUAAGCAAUGGAUAUUUAGAAAAAGAAAAAAAAAAAACUCAAAACAAUAAACCUAAAACAGAAUCAAACUAUACAAUUACAAUAUGCAAUUAAACAACAAAAUGCCUUAAUAAAAAUCAAAUCACAAGGAAUCAACUCCAAAUAAUUGAAAAAAAGUGAAAUACUGUGAUUGGGAAACUCACGCUAUAAAAUCCCAAAGAAGAUGAUGUGCUUCUUCAGGCUCCGCUUCAGCAGCAUGGGUUGGGCGGUGACGACGCGCGCCAGCGACUCGCCGAAGAGCGUCGAGCUUCCGCCGGAGGGUGCUGUGGGGGUCGCUGGAAAGCACGGCCGGGAACCUGGAGAUGAGCUUGGAGAUGUGGGUCACGCCGAAGCCGUAGUCGCGGAGGAGGCGGAGAACGGCAUUAGGGUUCUCGGUGCUCUUGAAGCGGAGCUUCUGGGAUGCGGAAAUGGCGGAUUCGGGGGACAAGCCGCAGGAGUCGAUGAGGUAGGUUAGGGCUAGGGGAUUGGGGGUGGUGGCGGAGGAGGAUAGGGAGAGGGAUUUGCAGGGAGAAGGGUUCGUGCGGGGGAGGAGGAGGAAGAAGACGACGCCAUGUGGAGGCGAUGGCGAAUGGAGUAGAGCAUCGGACUAGACUUUUUUUUUUUUCAAUCUUUCAGGGUUGGGGAAGGGUUUUGUGUAAUUGUGUUCGUGUGUAGACGUGUAGUUCGUCCAAACCUGAUUUUUGUUUUUUUUUUCUUUAUUUUAUUUUAUUUUUUGAGCUUGCCUAUAACUAAGUUCCGCUCACAGCCAAUUGUUGGCCCAGUUGAUAAAAUAAGCUAAUAAAAUAGGCCCAAUAUUAUUUAUAUAAUUAAAAAUUAUUAUCACUAUACCGGCGGUUUACUAAAUGUUACAGAAAAUAUAAAAAAUGUUGGUAUAAUAUAGUUUUAGCAGCAGUUAGUUUAAUUGCUGGCUAAAAAACUGCUGGAACAAAUCUUAUUUGUUGUAGUUAUAUAUAUCGAUAGUAUCCCAGCCAGACAAUUAAUAUCAACUCUGGUGGUAACAUGAACCAACGGAAGAAUAUAUAUCUUUAUUUCUGAUCUCACACUCACCCCCAAGAUGCCUAAUUCCAAAACAAGAUUACAGUAAAAUAACAUUUGAAGUGUUACAAGUGUUUCAUACAUUCUUAUUUCUCCCGUGCGUACAAUUGCUAAUAGCCAAAUAAGCAACAGAAAUGCAGAGUCUAUAAACAAACUAGACAUAAAUAUAAUACCUAUCAAACCUCAUGAUCUACAAUAUAAAAAAAAAAAAAAAAAUUUAAAUAGGAAACUCGGCAAAGGAAAUUAAGAUUAUGCAGGUCUUCGACUACAUCAAACUCAAGAUAUACAAUAAAACAAAGGAGCAUAUAUAUAUAUUAUAUAUAUAUAUAUAGAGAGAGAGAGAGAGAGAGAGAGAAAGAGAGAGAGAGAGAGUACCUAUUAAACCUAAUGAUCUACAAUAAAAGAAGAGAAAACAAAACAAAAACAGAAGAAAAAAAGAAACAUAAAUAAAUAUAAUACCAAGAAGCUGAGGAAAGAUUACAAGUCUUUAAGUUCAUCAAACUCGAGCAUCAAAGAACAAGCAGUAAUGAACAAUCCAGCUACACCGAAACAGUUUGCUUCUCCAGUUCCAUGUGGCGGUUCUUAUAGAAAUUUUCUAUGAAAUUGGCGGCCUUCUGGUCGACGUCGUGCUCUCCGACGUACCCCCCUCGGUCCUCGUCGCUCGGUCGCACUUUAUUCGAAGUAUACCUUGGCUCCCUCUCGGCAUCGGCGUGGUAAUUGUUCGAUCCGGAGGAGAAGCAAUUCCCCAUAUAAUAUGGUUAUAAAUCUUCCUAAUUUGCCUCUCUACUAGCUAGCUUCAAUUCCCUCUCUCACACACACUUAACAAGCUUGUUAGGAAUGCGCGAGUUGUCGAGUUUCGAAGUGCAAAAUCCCCUCCUAUUUAAAUAUAGCAGAGGACACCCUCGAGGUCCCCUCCUAUAUAGUAGCUUCUCUCUCUCUCUCUCUCUCUCUCUCUCUCUCUCUCUCUCUCUCUCAUUCUCUCUUACUUUCUUUUCCUCUUUUCUUUCGUUCCCUGUUCUCUGCUCUUUCUCUUUCUCUCGGUAUUACUUUCUCAUCCUGACAUACCGGUCCUUCUCUCUCUUUCUUUUCAAAGUGAAGCUAUAACUUAUCGUGCAUAUGUGGAGAGGGAAACUUUAUGUUAAGCACUUUCAAAGAAAUUCAUCGGGUAUAUCGAACGGUGGAGAUUUGUUAAAUUGAUGUGUGAUAAAAAAAAAAAAGAAAAAAAAAAGGGGUGGUUUAGAGAUUUAGGAUGGUGAAAACCAUCCAAAAUGCAUUCCAAAUAUUCCUAGUCUUCUUCUUUUUGAAUUUGACUUGAAUAAUUCAGGUCCCUAUAUAUUUAUAGUUCACAACUUUAUGCAACUUUCUAUGAAAUUACCAUGAAUGAAAUAAAAGUUCAUUGGUCUAGUCUCUAGUCAAUCAUUUUAACUUUUGCAUGCAUGGGCACUAAAUUUUGGUCUCCAUUCAAUUGAUUGAAACAUUAAUUUUGGCAUUUUUUGGAACCACCUCAAAGCUUUUGCAUUUGCAUAUAUGUGAAGGUAAAUUUAGUAUGUUAGAUAAUUAAAAUCAUAAGAUUUUACGGCGUGCUAGCUUAUGACACCUAAGGAAUGACAAAUGUGCUCAACCUAAACUAAUUAAUUAAGAAAAGAAGAUAUAAAAUUUUAAUUUGUAGACCUUUGUCGGAACUACAAUGCAUUUUGAAAUAGAUAUCUGAAAUUUUAAAAAAGAAAAUUGCAGUUUUACUAUCUAACUUCAUAUCUUAAAUUUCAUGAAACAGACAUGAAUUUUUCGAAAGUCUGGAUCCUAUAUUAUCUAACAUUAGAAUAUAUAUAUUAUUAUACAUACUAUUUUUUUUACAAAAUAUUUACCAGCAUAUACUUUUGGAAGCACGAAGCGCUCCAUUCUUCCAAGUUGUUUCGAUGUUUGGACUUUCGAAUCGAUGAUCGGCUCCAUUAGACUUGAUCUAGAGUAUUUGAAGUAUCUAGAAAAUAAAUUUUGCGAUUUUUUGAUAUCAUUUGCCUGGUGAUCGAAGUAGCUCAAAAUCAAUAGCUGAAAAAAAAAAUCUUACAAAAUAUGAUAAUAUGACAUUAAAAUUUUAAAUCAAAAAUAUUGAUCUUGUUUUAUAUAGUAUAAAGAAAUUUUUAGCAAAAUUUCACGUGAUUUGGAUAUUUCUACACCAUUAAACUUGCAAACGGCUCGUCACGACCAUUAAAAUUAUUGAUUUUGAGCCCCUUCGAUCACUAGGCAAAUGAUAUCGAAAAAUCACAAAUUUAAUUUUUAGGUACUUCAAAUACUCUAGAUCAAGUUUAACGGAGUCGAUCGUCGAUUCAAAAGUUCCAACAUCGAAAACAUCUUGGAAGCUCGAAAGGCUCCGUGCUUCCAAAAGCAUACCAGCUCACUCUCUCUCUCUCUCUCUCUCUCUCUCUCUCUCUCUCUCUCUCUCUCUUUAUAUAUAUAGCUGACUAUAUGCUUAUAAAAGUACCAAGCACUUGGUGCUUGUAAAUUUUUUACCGUUAGAUCUACCAUUUAAUCAUUUUCACCCGUUAGAUCAUACUAUUCAACCAACCAACCACGUAACCCUAGGGGUCCCACAUCAUCUUAACCACACAUCUCUUAAUCCAAUAGUCAAAAAUCUACAAGUACCAAUAAUUUGGUACUUUUAAAAGCAUAUGAGCUCAAUUCUAUAUAUAUAUAUAUAUAGAGAGAGAGAGAGAGAGAGAGAGAGAGAGAGAGAGUAACUUGGUACUUUUAAAAGCAUAUUAGCUCAAUUCUAUAUAUGAGAAAGAGAAAGAGAGAGAGAAAGAGAGAUGAGCUAGAAUGCUAUCGGUAGCAAACGGGCUCUGUUGCCACCCAUUUAUUUUCGAUGAUGGAGCCUUCAAAUCAACGAUCGGCACCGUUGAACAUGAUCUAUACCACUUGAAGUAUCUAGAAAUCAAAUUUCAUGCUUUUUCGAUAUUGUUCUCUUGUUCAUCAAGUGAGCGUAAAAAUGAACUGCUGAAAAUAAAUAUCCUCUAAAAAGUGAUGAUAGAAUUUUGUAAUCAAGAUCGAGAGUAUAGAUCUUGUUCUAAAUAGUUUAAAGAUUUUUCUAACAAAAAUUCAAUUGAUUUGAAUAGCUUUAUACCGUUAAAUGAGAAAACGUCUCAUAUCGAUCAUUAAAUUACAAAUUUUGAAACCCUUUGAUCAUUAGGUCAAUGAUGUCGAAAAGAUUUGAAAUUUGAUUUCUAAAUACUUCAAGUGAUAUAGAUCAUGUUCAACGGUACCAAUCGUCGAUUUCAGGGCUCCAUCAUCGAAAACAAAUGGGUGGCAACGGAGCAUGUUUGCUACCGUAGCAUUUCAGCUCAAUUUAUAUAUAUAUUAAUAUAUAUAUUAUAUAUAUAAUAUUAUAAUUAAUAUAUAUAUUAUAUAUUUUUAUAUAUACUAUAUAAGUUUACUAGUUGAAAUGAAUACGUGCAAAUGCACGUAACAAUUAAUUAUUAUAAAUAUAUUCAAAUCAAAUAUAAAUGUGUACACUUAUAUAAAUUCAAAAUUUUAUAAUAAAACUAAUUUUAUAAAUUAAUAUAUUAAUUUUAUUAGAAAAUAUUUACAUAUCUAUGUGUUCUUUUUUUUAUAUAGUCGAACAUUUUUAUAUACUUUUUGAUUUUUAAUGAAUUAAAUUUAAAUAUGUGUUUUAAACUAAAAGCAUAAAAUUUAAUUUAUUUUAUUUUCAAAUUUUAAAAUUUAGAUUGAUCCACUGUUAUAAAAAAAUUAAUUGUUAAUUUAAUUUGAUAUCAAAAAUUAAAUUUAUAAUUUAUGAAUUUAAACUCAAAUUUAAUGUAAAUAGUAGUAGGAAUGCUUUUUUUUUAUAACAGUUUGUUUUUAUUUGAGGUAAUUUUUUAACAAAUUGAUUAUAAUCGUUCGUAGGAUUGAAUUUAUAGAUGAAUAGGAAUGCUAUUUUUUAAUAAAUUGAUCAUAACUGUUCUUAUUUGAGAUUUUUUUUUAGCAAAUUGAUUAUAAGCAUUUGUCGAGAAUAGAUUUUUAUAUAGUAGAGAUUUAAUAGAUUGAUCAUAACCGUUCUUAUUGAUUUGAGAUAUUUUUAACAAAUUAAUCAUAACCAUUCGUAGGGAAUAUUAUUUUUUUUUACAGAUUAAUCAUAACCAUUCGUAGGUAAUAUUAUUUUAUUCCUUUUUAGAUUCCGUCUGUCAUUGUCGGAAUUCCUAUACGCUUUUAUAUAUACUAGCUUAGUGCAAAUGCACGUAAAAUUAUUUUAAUUUAUUUUAAAUCAAUAUAAAUUUGCACAUUAUAUUUAUUUAAAAAUUUAUAAUUUAUAAAUUCAUAUGUUAUAUUUAUUAGAAAAUAUUUGUAAUAUUUUAUAUUUUUUUACAUAUAUUAAAUAUUUAUAUAUAUAUAUUUUAUUUCUGAUGAUCUAAAAUUUAAAUAUGUGUUUUAAACAAAAGGCAUCAAAAUUUAAUUCAUAUUUAUUUCAAAAUUUAAAAUUUAAUUUUUAUCCACUAUAAUUAAAAUUUUUGGAUAAGAAUGCUAUUUUUUAACAGAUUAAUCAUAACCGUUCGUUCUUAUUUAAGAUUAUUUUAAUUAAGUGAACCGUUCAUUUUUAAUUGACACAACCGUUCGUAAGAUUGGAUUUAUAGAUGGAUAAGAAUGCUAUUUUUAACAGAUUAAUCAUAACCGUUCAUUCUUAUUUGAGAUUUUUUUAAUUAAGUGAUCAUACAUGGUCCUAAAAAAUAUAGGGAAUAUUCUUUUAUUUCUUUUUGGAUUCUUUUAUAGAUGGAUAAUAAUGCUACUUUUUAACAGAUUAAUUAUAAUCAUUCACUCUUAUUUGAAAUUUUUUUAAUUAAGUGAUCAUAUCCAUUUGUAUCCGUUCCUAAAAAAUAUAGGAAUAUUUUUUUAUUCCUUUUUGGAUUCCGUCUGUCAUUGUCGGAAUUUCUAUACACUUUUAUAUAUAGCACGAAGCACUUGGUGCUACCAAGUUUUCCGCCGUUAGAUCCUACCCUUUUGAUCAUUUUCACCCGUUAGAUCAUACUAUUCAACCAACCAUCCACUCAACCCUAGGGGAUCCACAUCAUCCUAACUGCACAUCUCUUAAUCCAAUGGCCAAAAACUUAGUAGCACCAAUGACUUCGUGCUAUUAAUAGCAUAGUAGCCUAGUUCUAUAUAUAUAUAUAUAGAGAGAGAGAGAGAGAGAGAGAGAGAGAGAGAGAGUAGGUCUUGUGUGCUAUUAGGAGCACGGAGGCUUCCGUGCUCCUAAGCCAUUUUGGAUGAUAGAGCUUCCGAAUCGACGAUCGGCUCAUUAGACUUGAUCUAGCAUAUUUGAAGUAUCUAGAAAAUAAAUUUUGUGACUUUUCGAUAUCAUUUAUCUAACGAUCGAAAUGGUUCAAAAUCAACGGCUGAAAAUAAAAAUCUCAUAAAAAGAGGUGAUAUAGCAUUAAAAUUUUCGAUCAAACAUAUUGAUCUUGUUGUAAAUAGUAUAAAGAAUUUUCUAUCAAAAUUUUAUCUGAUUUGAAUACUUCUACACCGUUAAACUUACAGCCGGUAUACAUCAACCAUUAAAAAUUGUUGAUUUUGAACCCUUUCGAUCGCUAGGAAAAUGAUACCGAAAAAUCAAAAUUAUUUUCUAGAUAGCUCAAAUACGUUAGAAUAACUCUAAUAGAGCCGAUCGUCGAUUCGCAAGCUCUAUCAUCGAACAAGACCUACUCUAUACCGUGUUCUAGCUAGCUUCAUGAGGAACAUGCAAAUAUAUGUUUGAACAGUUAAGCUUUUCCAACAUUAAUUAGCUUUGCCAAUCUUAGGCAACAAGAUCAAUCAAUAUUAAAAGAUUAAAACUUGAGUGGGUAGGUAGGACCAGUCAAAAAGGACAGUUCAAAUUGGUGCUUUUAAAAAGUGACUUGUGUUAUAAUUAAAGGAGAGGUAAAAAAAAAGAAAAAAAGGAAAAAAGAAAAAAGAAUGAAAAAAAUAAAGAAUGGUUAGCAUUAGGGCUUUUCCCAAAUGCAACGCUACGAUCGAUCUCCUUUGGGCACAAUUAAUAAUAUAUCUCUGCUUUGAGUAUAUCUCUUGGCACAAAUAAUUUGGAACACCCAAUUAGAAGAAGCAAAUCACGAGGACAAAUUAAUAUACUAUAUAUAUAUAUAUAUAUAUAUAUUUAAUAGUAACUGUUUAAUGCGUGAUUGCUGGAAUCACAUUGCAUGUGUUUAAAAUACUAUAAUAUGUUUAGGUAGAAUCUUAAUCAUGAAAGGCCCAAUAUUUUGUGUCGUGAGAUUCUUGAUUCCUUAAUUAAUUUGUUACGUACAUUAGCAUCAUUUGGUUUAUGUGGCGUGUCUAGUUGCCAUUAAUUGGAGAGGAUUGCCCACAUUAAUUAAUGAAUCCUAUUAAAAUGCAAGAGCAUAAAAAUUAAGUUCAAGAAGAUUAACUUUUACUAAACUAAUUAAUUAAUAUUCCACGUGAUCGAAAACGGUACAAAUUAAGGAGUGUUUAAUGAAUUACAUUAAGGGUGCGUUUGGUUCGUGUUAUCUUUCUAAGAUUCCUAGUAAUCCAAUAGGAAUAAAAAAAAUAUGACGGUGUUUGGCUAAACGUACUAAGUAAUCUAGUUGGUAAUAUUAGAUUUACUUGGGAAUGAGAUGCAUCCCAAAGUACUAAUCUCAUUCUUUUGAGGGAGGAUGGGUAUCCUUAUAUUAAUGGAUUGGGGUAAUUAUAAUAUGUCUAAUCUCUUUUUUUCUUCCUACCCGCCGGCUAGUUGGUAUUAUUUUUCUUUACACUCUAACCUCAUAUCUCUCUCUAAACUUAUCUUUUUCUCUCUAAACUUCAACUCUUUUUCUCUCUCUAAAUUAAACUAUUUCUCCCUCUCUUUUUCUAAAAUUUCAACCCUCUCAUUCUCUCUAAUCUCGACUCUAUUUCUCUUUCUAUUUCUUUAAUUAUGCUCUCUCUCUUUCUAAUCUAUAUUCUCUCUCUCUUUUUUCUAAAAAGAUGUUGAAAUUUUUUUAUAGUAUUAUUUAAAAUUAAUUAAAAAAAUUAAUUAAUUAAUUAUAUAUUUUUCGUAAUCUUAAAUAAUAUUGACUAAAUAAUAUGACCGUACGAACCAAACACCGAAAUACUAUAUUCCUAGUAAUAGGAUGAAUAGAAAUAAGAUUUUCGGAUAUCAUUUUACUCCAAGUAAUCUUUCAUAGUGCGAUCCAAACGCGCCCUAAACUCGUACUAGCUAGUAUCCUUUUGGUGCUGUUUUUGCACCACAUGCAUGGGUAUAUAUAUAACUAAUCAGAAGGCUCCGGGCAAAUGGCUAGGAAUAUUAGUGGGAGAAGAAUUAAUCCUUCUCAAGGUUAACUUAUGCAACUAAUUAAUUAAGAACUGUAGCUUUAGGAACGAAAUUAAUUAUAUUUCGAAUCUUAUCUGCAUGCAUGCAUAAAAGUGUGGAGGAAAUGCAUAGAAAAAUUAAGGAGGAGGAACACUACUGGAGUUAGGCACAACCUAAUCUUUUGUUACUUUUAUGCAUAUAUAUAUAUAUAUAUAUAUAUUGGCUUCAAAUCUUCCAAACACCCAUAAAUCCGUACAUUUGAUUUUGGGGGGUCCUAUUUUGGUAUCCAUUUGUAACUUGUACUUUAGUGCCUGUUUUACGGACCUUUAGUUUUUUUUUAAAAAAAAUUAAUUAUUUUUUAAAAUCAGAAUCGCAGUAUUAUUGGACCCUAGAUGCCCCCCUAAAGAUUUUAUUUGGUGGUAGAAAAUAAAAACUUAAUACUAAACCCUUUCUUUUGGAAAGAAUAAGAAGGUUUUUAACUAUUUGAUUGAAUUGCAUUACGAGUUAGUCGACCAUGGUGAGAGUAGGAAUUAUAUCCGUUCUAGGAAUUUAUGAAUUGUUGCCAUAUGGUUUGUCCAUAUUGGCGGGUUAUGAUUAUCCAACAUGAAUAAAAAUAAUAAAUAAAUAAAUAAAUAAAAAGCCACUAACAAUAUCAAACGAGGCCUAAGAGUUAAAUGCUUAAUUAGGCCUCACCAACUCUGGUCGCUUCAUGUUCUUGCACUUGCUCCGCGCGUAUCUUCGUUGAUAUAUAUCAACCAACACUGUUACGUUAAUAUUCUUUCCCCUUUAAAAAACUAGCUAGCUAGUUGAACAUGAAGAUCAUCUUUGCAUGCCUAGACUAAAAUUGCGGCCAUAUAUAUAUAUAAUGCUUUUUGUUGAACCUUUUACUAUAUAUAUAUAUAUAUAUAUAUAUAUCCUGUGCAUUGACCCAAUUGGUUUGCUCCUAUAGCUAUAAUUACUUAAUAUCCAUAAACAAAUUAAUUAUUUGGAAGAAAUUAAGGGGAUAGAUAAAAAUGUUUUAACGAACAACUUAAAUCAUGUACUGAGUUUGCUCAACGAGUUCGCAUCAGAUCCAACUUAAGAUCCACAAAAGAUCAAGGUCGUACCGCUCAUUUCCAAGUUGGUUUUUGCACUUCCAGGGGAUCAUGCAGAUGCAACUUUAAUAAAUUCUCAUUUGCAGAAGUACAACAACUUUGAAUUCUCUAGCUAGCAAGCAUGAAAUUCACAUAAUGCAUUUAAUUAGAUUGGUUGCAAUAUUAAUUCUGAAUUGAGGGGUGAUUGGUGUUAGCCAAAAAGAUUGAUUAGAUAGCAAACGCCCUGAGAUUUAAUUAACAUCCUCUCUCACCUGUAUGGCAAAAAUUGGCGGGUUAGCUAUGCCAGGUGCAUUAACAAGAAAGACAGGGUAAGAGAAAACAAAUAAAUAGGCAUGUCAGAAUUGACCCUAGAACCUCUUGGAACCGAGCGGAUCGAUAUUAUCAAAAAUAUCAAUUUGAUAGGAAACAACCCAAGAGCGGUACAAACAAUUUAUAGGAAAGCACCAACCGUCACUAGCGGCCCACAAAAAGACAGACUUGAUGGUUGGUACCCUAUGUCUGAAGUUCGAAAUCUAUUUACUUUAUCUUUCUAACUAAAUUUAUUUCUCUCUCAAAAAAAAAAAAAAAAGAACGAAGCCGUAGCAUAUAUUAUACCUUUCUCUCUCUCCUCAAAAAAAAAAUGUAUAUAUAUAUAAUAUAUAUAUAUAUAUAUAUAUAUAACCAGAAUUGAGUUGAAUACUUUUACAAGUAUCACCCUAUAGUGCUAUUAGGUUUUAGCCAUUGGAUCUACUCCUUGAUUACUAUAGCCCCUUGGAUCAAACACUAUUUCAGUCAGUGAUUACUAACAAGAUUAAUUAAAUUAAUUUAUUGCUAAAAUCAAACUUGGUUUAAUUUGUUAACAACAUUGUUUGCAUGGGAUUUUAAUUAACAACAUCAUCCCCAAUCGAGUCAUGCACAAUNNNNNNNNNNNNNNNNNNNNNNNNNNNNNNNNNNNNNNNNNNNNNNNNNNNNNNNNNNNNNNNNNNNNNNNNNNNNNNNNNNNNNNNNNNNNNNNNNNNNNNNNNNNNNNNNNNNNNNNNNNNNNNNNNNNNNNNNNNNNNNNNNNNNNNNNNNNNNNNNNNNNNNNNNNNNNNNNNNNNNNNNNNNNNNNNNNNNNNNNNNNNNNNNNNNNNNNNNNNNNNNNNNNNNNNNNNNNNNNNNNNNNNNNNNNNNNNNNNNNNNNNNNNNNNNNNNNNNNNNNNNNNNNNNNNNNNNNNNNNNNNNNNNNNNNNNNNNNNNNNNNNNNNNNNNNNNNNNNNNNNNNNNNNNNNNNNNNNNNNNNNNNNNNNNNNNNNNNNNNNNNNNNNNNNNNNNNNNNNNNNNNNNNNNNNNNNNNNNNNNNNNNNNNNNNNNNNNNNNNNNNNNNNNNNNNNNNNNNNNNNNNNNNNNNNNNNNNNNNNNNNNNNNNNNNNNNNNNNNNNNNNNNNNNNNNNNNNNNNNNNNNNNNNNNNNNNNNNNNNNNNNNNNNNNNNNNNNNNNNNNNNNNNNNNNNNNNNNNNNNNNNNNNNNNNNNNNNNNNNNNNNNNNNNNNNNNNNNNNNNNNNNNNNNNNNNNNNNNNNNNNNNNNNNNNNNNNNNNNNNNNNNNNNNNNNNNNNNNNNNNNNNNNNNNNNNNNNNNNNNNNNNNNNNNNNNNNNNNNNNNNNNNNNNNNNNNNNNNNNNNNNNNNNNNNNNNNNNNNNNNNNNNNNNNNNNNNNNNNNNNNNNNNNNNNNNNNNNNNNNNNNNNNNNNNNNNNNNNNNNNNNNNNNNNNNNNNNNNNNNNNNNNNNNNNNNNNNNNNNNNNNNNNNNNNNNNNNNNNNNNNNNNNNNNNNNNNNNNNNNNNNNNNNNNNNNNNNNNNNNNNNNNNNNNNNNNNNNNNNNNNNNNNNNNNNNNNNNNNNNNNNNNNNNNNNNNNNNNNNNNNNNNNNNNNNNNNNNNNNNNNNNNNNNNNNNNNNNNNNNNNNNNNNNNNNNNNNNNNNNNNNNNNNNNNNNNNNNNNNNNNNNNNNNNNNNNNNNNNNNNNNNNNNNNNNNNNNNNNNNNNNNNNNNNNNNNNNNNNNNNNNNNNNNNNNNNNNNNNNNNNNNNNNNNNNNNNNNNNNNNNNNNNNNNNNNNNNNNNNNNNNNNNNNNNNNNNNNNNNNNNNNNNNNNNNNNNNNNNNNNNNNNNNNNNNNNNNNNNNNUGUAUAAUAAUUAUUAUAAUAUUAUAUGAAGAGCUCGAAGAAGAGAAAUUCGCUAUAUUACCGCGAGUACUCCAUGUAUGUAACCCGACUCGAGAGUGGUUUUCAUUCUUAUCGACCAAUGUAUUCAGGAAUUAAAGAAAAUACUUCGUGAAUAAGGCAAGAAGUACAGCAAAUUAAUUCGACACCUUAGACGAAUGAAGUUAUAGCUGGAAGUUUACCCAGCGCAUGUGGGCGGACAUGAUACUAUCGGAAGAGCAGAAUUCCGAUUCUUACAUCCUUCAUUCUAGUGAAAAAAAAAAAGUAUAAGAAAACAUUUUAUUUUACUUAUGUUGUUCUUUUAAAAGCCAAUCGAGAGGUGGAAGUUAGGAAGAUAAGCAUUGGAUAAGAUGAAAACUUUAUAUAACACAUUAAUUGAGAGGUAGCGGGUUCGAAGAAAAUGAAGCAUUGGUGGCAGAUGGGAAUCAUGUAAACACAUUAAUUGGAGAUUUGAGGAGUUAGAAAGAUGAAGUCAUUGAGAUGAGACGUAUAUAAAUAUAUUAAUUGGAGGUGGAGGUUAAAAGAUAAAAUAUUGGUGGGAGAUUGGAGUGGAAAGAGGGAAGCCAUCGGUGAAGGAGGAUUUGAACACGUGACAAAUUUAGGAAAAGAAUGUAUAAGGGUAUAGAAGAGCAGAUCUAUAUAAAUACAUUAUUGAGAAGGUGGAGGUUUACAAAGAAUAAAAUAUUGGGUGGAGGAUGGUAGUUGGAAAGAGGAAAGCCAACAGCUAAAGGAGGAUUUGCCACGUGGUAAAAAUUAUGGGAAAUAAUGUAUACUAGAGUGUUUAGUAACCUCGCGCUUUGCGGGCGGGGUAGACUACGUUAAAAUAAAUUUAAUAUCUAACUAAUGUAUCAAAAAUUUGCUAUUAUUUAAAAAAUCAAAAUAGUCCAAACAUAUUGGCUUCUUGUAAAAGUAUAUUAAUUUGCUGAAGCCGAUUAGUAACAAAAUGCUCAUAGAAAAAUAAUAAGUAUGUCAACUUAUUAAGCCGAAAAGCGACAUACUAUUUGGGAGAAUUUAGAUAAAAAAUUCAAUAAAAAUUAAUAUUUUAUAAAUCAAAUCAAAACAAUCCAAAGGUUAAAAUUUUUUGUAUAAGUUAUAUAUUUAUCCCUUCAUUUUUUAUAUAAGCUAUGAUACUCAUCCAUUCAAGAAAAUGAAGACCUUUUUAAAUCAUAUAUUAAUCUAAUUUUGAAAAUAUUUUUAUAUUAGUUAAUAAAAAGUGUCAUGAAAGCAGAAAAAAAUAAGCAUAUGAAAAGUUAUAUAAUAAAUAUUUAAGAGAUAAAACGAUAUAUAACCUAACGUAACCUAAUACAGCAAAUAUAAUAUAGAAUUUUACUUAAAAAAAAAAAUAAAGAACAAAGAAUAGAAAAAAAAGAAGUAAUAAACCUUCAACACAACAAACACAUCAGUUUGAAUACCACGCAAAUAAAAAGAAAUUUAAAAAACUGAAUAAAACUACCUAAGAAAUUUCAACGCUACAACAUAAAGAAUAUAUAAAUCUUUUAAAAUAACUUCUAAAAUUUGAAGGAAACCUCGAUUUGAUGAAGAUAGCAGCGCCAAGCUCGGCGAUACAGUAUGCAAACUCAUAUUCCGUCCACAGAACGUGCUCGAUUUUGGCCUCGGAGCUCAUGGAGAAGGAAGAGAAAAUAGAGAAGAGGGGCUUUUCGUGGGUUUCUACUAUUUAUUGUUUAGAUUAGGGUUAAGAUGGAUGGACCAUUAAUUAGACGUUAUGUGCGGAGAGAAGGCGAAGGAUUGGGUUAAGGUGGGUGGAUCAUUAAUUAGACGUUAUGGGUGGAGGAAAGGCAAAGGGUUGGAUUAAGGUGGGUGAACCGUUAUGGGUGGAGGGAAGGUGAAAGGUUGGUUUCGCAAUGUGAAGCCUAGAAAUAAAGGAAACACAGCCACGUGGCAUGUUCUUUUGAGGAUUAAUGUAUAGGUAUAGAUAAAUAAGGUAUAGAAGGUAUAGAUAUAGGUAUAGAUAUAGAUGUUACUCCAAUCAAGUGAUUAUAUAUAGCUUAUAAAUUAAUUAACUCUGGCAGAACACACGUUUCGGUCAUUACACGAGGAACAUAUAUAUAUGCAUGCCAAUAAAUUAUUAUGUAUAUAUAUAUACAAUUGCAUGCAUAAAAUUAAAGUCAUUUAAGAAGUCUUUAUUAAGCUAGCUACAGGAUCAAUCAAACGAGAGAUUAAGGUUUGAGUGGGGAGGUAGGUAGGAAACUGUCGACAGAAAGGACAACUCGAUCAAAUGGGUGCUUAAUUUUGAAUCUAAUUUGUUUGUUACAUGGUCAGGGUUAGGGGUUUUCCCACGUAGGACUUUUUUUUUUUUUUUUAAUAAUCCUAUAAAAAGUAUUUAAUUUGCCAAAUAAUUUUUUAAAAUUUUACUUUGUCAACUAAUUAAUCCUCCUUUUGCCAACAAAAAUGAGAAAUAUAGCGAAUCGUUCACCGCCUUUAGAAAGUGGUAAAUCAUUCACCGUUUUCAGAUUUUUUAUCCUUUUUGGUACAAGUUGUGAGGAUUUUUGUGAAUUUGGUAGGAUUGUAUAUAUGAAUUAUUAUAUAGAUUUUUGUUUAGUUGUUAGACUUAUAUAAUUAAGCAUAUUAUUAGGAUUUUUUAUAUUGUUGGAAUUAUAUUUGAUUUGUUGAAUAUUUAAUAUGGCUAUUUAGUUAUUGCGUGACUUGCUAAGUUGGACAAAAUAGAGUUGUUUGACCAAUAAAAUUUUUAUAGGGUUAUUUGACAAAUUGUAAAAUUUAAAACACAUAAUUUGGGUAUACAUCUUACACCUACUCCAUUCGAAGAUCAUUAUUUUUCUAGGCUUCUCACAGUAUUUUUUAUUUUACUAAAAAAUUAUUUAAAAUUUUUUGUGAAGCCUAGGAUGGAAGGUGCCCAGAACCUAAUACGUACCUUUUUUUGGGGUGUAAAAGUAGAAAUUUCUCUUUUUGAAUGUUAUACUACUUAGUAUAUUUUAGUACCCAAAUAACAAAAUAAAUCACACCAUAAUACCUACCUCAAAAAUUUUCCAAUUAAUAAAUGUUUAAAUGCGUGCUUGUUUAGUAUCGCAUUCUAUUAUUAGUACAUUAUACAACAAAUAAUAGAUCUUUAAUUAAUCAUGAAAGUGCAUUGAAGUUAGCGAGGGCAAUACUGCGGCGCUUUGCAGCAUUCUUCCUAUUGCUACAGUAUUAUGUAUUUAAUUUUAUGAUAAAAAAUACGUCCAAUUUAUCUGAAUUAAGCGACCAUUUUGAAUUGACCCUACUUACAUUUCAAAAAUUUUAAUUUGACUAGUCAACAGUACGUAAUUUUAUUCAUAAUUUAACUAACUACUUUUUUAAUUUAAUUAUACUUGCAAAAUAUCGUAUGAAGUAUAAUAAUAAACUUGUAAAAAUAGACCAACACGUUCAAUUUUGAAGUAAAAUAUCAUGAGCGACACAAAUCAAAUGAGAUUGAAAGGUAAAAUCAAAUUUUGAAAAAAUUGAUAAGCCAAAUUCCAAACAGUUUUAUAAGUUUUUACCCCUUUAAUUAUUUGGCUAAAUACAAGACAAACCUCCCUGUAAUAACCCUUCUUCUUUCACCUUUCGCCACCCUUGUCAUUUAAAACCUAUACUUUGGCCCUUGUAAAAUAAAAAAAAUAUUCAUAGGGGGUAUGGUGUGUAAAUGACCAUUUUGCCCCUCCGCAAAUAUCAUUUCUUCACCUCAUCUCUCAGUUGCUGUUGAAUGGCCGCGAUUCCCACCCUCAAUCCGGCCGCGAUUUCUCUCCAUUUUCUUCUCCCACCUGACUCACGCCUUCUCCUCCGUGCACCCUCGCCGCCCCCUUGAUUUCGGGCAGUAGGGAGAAAAUGAGGUGGGUGUUGAUGGAGAGGUAGCGCAAGGGCCAAUACGAGGGCGAAGGCGAGGCGCGAUGGAGGAGAAGGUGAAGGGAAUGUCGGUGCCGAGGGCGAGACACGUCGGAAGCGAGGGCGCGCGGUGAAGCGCGAUGAGCGGCCCGAGCCGAAAGGCGAAGCCACAGGAAAGAGGGUGUACGGGGAUAUUUUUGCGUAUAAAAAAUAUUUUAAUAAUGGGAAUCUAACGGGAGGGUGGAAAUGCACCACUUUCAUUUUCAAUGGGCAAGAUGUAAGUUUUUAAAUGACGGGGGCGGGGCGGGGGGGGGGGGGGGAAGAUGAAAAGCGGGUUUUGACAGGAGGCGUUUUCUGUAAAUUUUUUCAGCCAAUUUAUUAUGUGUCAGACUGCCAAUGAGAAUUCUAUUAGAAAGCAACAAAAUAUGAAGGAAUAACAAAAACUUAUUAGAUAAGGACCAUGUUUGAUUUCGGCGAAGUGAAGUAACCGAAAAUGAACUUUUUAAAAAAAACGAUGUUUUAUAGAAUUUUUGGUUCAUUGAAAGUUAAUAUAAAAGUCAUUUUAAAAUAACGAUUAUAACUAAAUCUCACAAUUUCAAUUUUGACUCAAAAUUUCAAACUCACCCAAAAAAUGAAAAAAUUAGUUAGAAAGUUAGAUAUUGAUUUUAACUUUAUAUUUAAUAUUUAUAUUAAAGUUGAAUAUCACAUUAAAUUAAUUAAAAUUAUUAAUUUAAUUUCACAUUACUGAAUUUUAAUCUUGUUAUUCAAAUUUCACAUAAAUUUUUUUAAUUCAAAUUUUUGAAUUUAUAUAUUAAUUCAAUUUAUUAAAUUUUUAUUUUUAGUUUAAAAUUGAAUUCUAGUAUAUAAAUUGCUACAUUUAAAUUUAAUUUUAAAUUUCAAUUUAUAUACUUUAUAAUUUAAAUUUUAAUUUUAAUCAAAAUUAUUUUAGGGCUAAAACUUCAUCAUGAACUUUGAAUUCAAAUUGUGUCCAAAGCUAAAAAUUCAAUUAUUGAUAUGAUCUGAAUGUAAAAUUUAAUAUUUUAAUUUGAAAUUCAAAUAAUCAAAUUGAAGUUGGCUAUUUGCAAUUUAAUUUCGAAUAAUGCAUAGUUCAAUUUGAAUUUUAAAAUUCAAAUUAUGAAUUGCAAAUCGUUCAAGUUUGAAUCUAUGAUUAUUUAAACUCAAAAUUUAAUUUUAACUAAAUUUUUACAUUUAAAUUGUGAAUUCUUUGAAUUUAGAAUUUAAGAUCAAAGAGUAAAUUGAAAAUAUGAUUCAACAAUUACAAAUUCAAAAUUACGAAUUCAAAUUUUGAAUUAAUGUUCUGAAUUUUUAUGCUGAAUUUUAUUUUAGAAUUAUUUUCAGUUAUGAAUUCAUAUUAAGCUUUAAAAUUCAAAUUGUAAAUUACUUUUAUAUAUCUGAAAUGUUUUUAAUAUAAAUUCCAACUCAAAUUUAAGUUUGAACUUUAGAAUUUAAUUUAAUUCUGAAUUUUAAUAUUAAAUUUAGAAUAUAAAUUGCGAGUAUAAGUUCAUUUUGUUCAUAUUUUCAUUUUAUAUAUACACGUUUAACGAUUCAAAUUAUAAACCCAGUAAUUUUUUCGUGUUUCACUUAACCAGCCAAAGAAUCGACCUAAAAGGUCACUUUUGUAAAAAUCACUUUUGUAGAAGUCACUUUUGUAAAAAUGACUUUUUUCAUUUCAACUACUUUUGAGCAACCAAACAUGUCCUAAACAAAACUACCAUGCGAUCAACUUGGUAGAAAAGAUAUUCAUUAACAUUAAUGGUAUGUUUGGCUCAUGAUUGCGACGAGAAUGAAAAAUAUAAUUAGAUUGUGUUGGAAUAGAAAAUGAAAUAAUGAAUCAUCCAAAAAUAUUUGGUUCAUUAUCGGAAUGAUAAUCGGAAUAGACACAAUAAUGAAAUUCGGAACAGAUAUUUAGGAUUUUUGAGGGAGAGUUUUGGUUCAGAGGGAGGAGAGUGAGGAAGGGAGAUGAGAAGGAGAAGUUUGUGAGAGAGAGUUUUGAAUGGUUUACUUUGAAAUUGACCAAUACGAAAUUCAAAGUCAGAUUAAGUCAUAAUGGGAUUGUGCUAGUCCCAUUUCAAAUUAAUUAGUAGAAUGAAAAUCGAAAUUUUAUUUACUUUAAAAUCAAAAUUCAAUUUCAUAGCAGAAUAACGGGAAAGGAAUUCUAUACUGAUCACCUUAGAAGUUACAAAUUGUAAUAUUCAAUAAAGAAGAAAAAUAAUUCUAAUUCUAACAUUUUUGUAAUGUAGAAAGGUGUGGAAGAGAAGAUGGGUACCGCCUAACCUUACGUUACAUAUGUCUCACCUUCAAAGCUACCGAAAUCUCAAUUAAUUUAUACUAGUGAAGCAGCCGCAUUGCACUGCGAGUAGUCAUGAAAAAAUAAAUAAAUUUUUAUAUUCGAAUAUAAAAUCAUAAUAUUUAUUCUAAUAUAUAUGUAAUACUUUUAGUCAAAUAAUUAAGCAGAAAUAAUGAUAAUUAAGAAUGUGAAAAAGAAUAACUAAUUCUUAAAAAAUAACACCUAAGGCGGUGUUUAAUUGGAAGUAAAACCAUCAAAAAAAUAAAAGUUUUUGAAGAAUAACUAAUUAUUAAAAGCAUAACACCUAAGGGGUGUGUUUAAUUGGAAGGAAAACCAUCAAAAACUAUUAUUUUUUGGAAAAAAAAAAGUGAAAAAAAUAAAAGUUUUCAUCAAUAUGGAAAACAGAAUAUUUUAUAGUCAACAAUAGUGUUAGAUUUGUGUAAAAAAAACAUAUCAAUAUUUGUUUGGUUGAAAAAAAUAAAAUUAUAUUUAUUCGUAUUGGUGGGAACAAAAAUGAAAAAGAGAUUAUAAGAAUUUAAAUAAGAGUUUUAGAAAAGGCACACAUCCUAACCAAAAACUUAUAAGAAGGAAAUAAAAUCAGAAGAAAGAGAUGAAGAAAAACUAUAAGAAUUUUAUAGUUCUAAUAAGUAGAAAAAAUUAAUAAAAGUUUUGAAAAGAUUUUGUAAUAUCUUAUAGAAUAUGAUAUCAUAGAAAUAUGUAGGAAUAAAGAAAGAGUUGUAAGAAUGAGAGUUAUGAUUCAUAGACAUAAUAAAUGUUUAGAAGAGAGAGUUAUUUGGAAAGAUUUUAUAGAUUAUACAUGAUAGAGAGAUAGAGAGAUAAAAGGGAGAGAAAGAGAAAAUGGAAAAAGAGAGAAAAAGGAGAGAGAUUUUAUAGAAUAUUAUGAGAUGUUACAAAAUAUAAUAGAAAAAAGUAAGGGAGAUUUUAUAUAUUAUCAUGGGAUAUUACAAGAUAUGAUAGAGAGAGAAGGAGAGAGAGAUCUAUAUCUCGAUAUGAUAGUGAGAGACUGAGGGGGGAGGGGAAAGAGAGAAACAUAUUUUAUUUUAACAUAAGAAAAAAAAUCAAAAAAUGAAAAAACUCUUAUAUUAAAAAAAUAUAUUGGAAAAUAAAAGAGAGAAGAAAAUUUUUUCUUCCGAAAGAAUAUUAAAAAGUAAAAGAGAGAAGAAAAUUUUUAUCACCAAAUAAUAUGUUUCUUUUGAAUUUGGUAAAAUUUUUAAACUAUUUUAUCAAAUUUUAUUGAAACUUUUCGAUUUUGUAUUACAAAAUUUAUAAAAUAUUUUAUUGAAUACCAAAAUAUUACUCGAUAGAUUAAAAUGUUUUGUAACAAAAAAUAAGAAAAUAAAAUUCUGAUUAAAAACUCUUUAAAUCGAAUAUAUUCAAACUAAUUCUAUUCACAAAAUUAAAAUUUUUAUAGCUUUCAGAUACUUGCUUUGCAUUGCAAGAUAGCUUAGGUAUUCACCUAAAAAAAUUAUGUAGAAAUCAUAAAAUGUAGUGAAACAAUUAUGUAAAAAAGAAAUUUUAUACCGAAAAAUUGAGAUAGAAAUUGUGAAAAGAUAUAUAUAAAAAAUUGUUAAAUUUUAAUAGGCACCCAAAUCAAACAUUACUUUGCUAAUUAUUUUUCUAAAAUUAAAAUUUUUAAAAAUCAUGCAAAUUCACAGAAAAAAAAAGAGAAAAGCUUAAGAGAAAAAAAAAAAUAAUUUCAAUGACGAAAAUUUAUUUAAAAGAUUCACUAAAAAAUAAAAAAAAAAUCCAAAAAUUACUGAGUAAAAUAUCAAAGGGUGAUUUAGCUUUUAGUUUGUAUAAAAUAAUAUUUAAAUAAAAUUUAUGAGUUGUCUAGAAAAAUUUUAGGAGCGGCGCCUAUGGACCUCGCUUUAAAAAAAAAAUCAAAAAAUAAAGACACAUCUAUUUAUAGACCCUUUGAAUGAAAAUUAUGUAUUACGAAUAUUUUAUUUUUAAAAUAUUAACCACCAGCUAUGAUGGAGUCAAGAAUUAAAUAAUUGUUUAACAACACAUUAUUGCCAACUUUUGAGCUUAUACUUUAGUUUUUGUUAAAUUUAAAAUUAUUAUAGAAAUGAGUAGCUCCCAAUUGCUACUACAUGGGACCAUUGUCAGAGUACAUAUUGUCUUUUACGACUAUAAUGUAGAGAAAGCCACAUAAAAAUGGCAAGUCCUUCACCGUAUAUCUCCAAAUAUUUGAAGUCUGAACUAAGAAUGUAGGAACGCAUGCAUCGACUAUGUACACAUGGUAGGUAAAAGCACAAUACUCUAAGGGUGUGUUUGGUUCGAAGUCGGAAUCGAAAUCGGAAAUGGAAUAGAAAUAAGCUGGAAUCGGAAUCGGAAUUACUCAUUACCUCAUUCUGUUUGGUUCGUCACCUUAAUCGGAAUCAAAAUAAAUCAUUUUCAUUGUCGGUGUUCGGUUCAGUUAGUUAUCAGAAACGAAAUCAAAUUAAUAUGCCAUUUUUAUCCUUUAUAAUAUAUUUUAAUUACUUUUAACUAUUUUGAAUACUCUAUUUAAAAUAUAAAUGAGUAACUGACAAAAUAAUGAAUAAAAAAUAAAAUAAAUUUAUAUUUUAUUAUUAUUUAAUAUGAAAAUAAACUAUUUAUUAUUAUUUUUAUUGUAUUAAUUACAUAAUAAUAUAUAAAUUAUAAAAUUUCAUAUGACUUUAAUAAAUAGAAGAGUUAACAAGGACAAAAAAAAAAAAAAGCAUGUGACUUUUGAUAAUUAUUAGUGUUCAAAUGAUUUUUUUCUUCUUAUUAUUAUUUUUUUCUUUUUCUGAGAAAGUCCAAAUCCAUGUGACUUUUGAGAAUAAAUAAAAAAAAAAAAGAUAAGAAAAAGAUUAGAGAGAAAAGUGGCGAGGAAUUCUUAUGGGAUGGAAGCUUAUAGGAAGAUACGAGCAGCUUAUAGGGUUUUUUUUUUUUUUUAAGUCGUACGGAUGAAGGUUAUUUUAGUAUAAGAUCAUUAAGUCGGGAUUCAAUUUUCAAUCCGGGGUACGAGGCCGGAUUCGUUUCUACCCGAAUUAGCCCAUUCCCAUUCCGGAAUGAAAACGGAAUCGGAAUGAGAUUACGGCAUACCAAUCAUCUAGAAUCGGAAUGGAUCAUUCUGAUUCUGAUUUCGGGGUUAAUAUUUAGCGAACCAAACACGCCCUAACAGUUUGGUCCCACAUCGUCCACUCCGAUUGUGCAAAGAGGUUGUUGCGUUGCAUUGGUUUGAAACCUAAAAACUUCAAUCUACUCAAUAUCUGAUCAAAAAUUUUUGUUCUUGUGAGUUUGAAGAAGAACUUGAAGUUUUAAAUACAAAAGCUACCCAACAUAAAUUUAAUCAAGCCAAUGAAAACCUUUUAAUAAAUUUUGGCCAAGUAAUUAGUGCAUAUCUGCCUAUUUCUUACGCACGCGACAUUUAAAAUUACGAAUAUAAAGCAAUCUUAGAAAAAGUUAUAAACACCCUCCCCAGUCGUGCGUUCCCACCUUCCACAUUAAAUAUUGCUACUCGAAAGGAGAAAAAAAAAUGGAAGAAAUUUCCUUACCUAGUAGCCUUAGCUUUCUUCUUCCCCACUCUCUAUCUCUGACCAUACUCCCUCCUCUGCAUUUCCCUCUUCUUCAUAUCCAAAAAUUUUCCAAAAUUCCUAAUUAAUUAGUUCCCUGACUCCUCUUUUAGUCCUCGCAAACUCCACUAUAGCCCUUCUCCCCCGUGACUGCCACCUAAGCUGUGACCGCCAUUGUCGCCGCCUCCACUACAGCCGCCGUCACCGUGACCACCCAAACCGUCAUCAUGGCCAUGAUUGCUGAUGUCGCUGCCGCCACCGAAGCCCAAUUCCCUUGCAAAUAAGGGAUUUUGAGGAGAGAGAGGGAACAGGGAGGGGGCAUAAUAAAGAGAGAGUAGGGAGGGGAGCAAUCUGGAGAAGGAAUGAGAGAGCGGGGGGAGGGGAGAGAAGGGUAAAGAUAGAGUAGGGACCACCUAAAGGGGAAGAGAGAGAGGACCAGGUAUAGCCCUAGGAGAGAUCGAGAGAGAAAAGGAAAGGAGCGAUGAGAGAGAUAGAGAGAGGAAGGUCAAAUAGAGAGAGAAAGAAAAGAGAGAAUCGGAUGAGGGGGAAGAGAAAGAGAGAGGGCCAACUGUAGGAAGGGAUGAGAGAGUAGAGGGGAAAGAAGAAAAUAGGAAAAAUGGCCCACCUCGUAGAUGGUAGGUAGAGGGGGUAAGUGAGUAAGAGAUGCAGCCAAAACAGUGAAGAGAGAGAGAAGGAAAAUUUAAGAGAUAAGCUUAAGAUUUUAAAAUUAGUGAGAAAGAGAGCGGGGAAAAGGUCCGAAAAGAGAGGAAUUGAUGCAAGAGAGGAGGGAGAACAGUUGAGAGAGGAGUUAGUGAGAGAAAGAGUGAGAGAAGAGAAGAGUUGAAAGAGAGGAGCAGUUUUAGAAUGUGCGAGAGAGAGUAAGGAGAAAGGGGGGAGGAAUAGGGCCCACCUGCAAGAGGAGGAAGAAAGGGGAGAGAGAGGGCCCCACCUGCCAUGACACCCACAACUGGACACGUAGAAUGGGCUAAUGUGCUCAUGACACGUGUCCUAAAGUACUGUUAAACUAAAUAGUGUAAGAUACUGUAGAAUAGGAGGUGAUAUUAAAAAUAAAUUUUAUAUGAUAUGAUGAUUCAAUCUAUUGAAUCUUGUCAAAUUCAGUCAGGAAAUAAAAAUCAAAUACAAUAAUUUAGGGCUUUUCUUGCAUUUAGGCCCUUGACAAACUUAUUUCUUCACAAAUAGCUUCAUAAGAUUUACAUUUGCAAAUUUGCCCUAUCAAUGCCACGUGAGCGCCAUGUCGGUAGGGGGAUUUAAGUUGAACACGGUAAAUGAUUCACCGUGUUCAAAUAUUCACUGUGUUUGAACACGGUAAAUAGUUCAUCGUAUUCAAUUUAAACAUCACGUCCAAUAUGAUGCUUACAUAAUGCUCACGUGGCAGAAAUAUGACCAAUUUUGUAAAUAUAAAUUUUAUUGGACUAUUUGCUAAAAAAGAAAAUAAUAAUAAUAUGUUAAGAGGCUAAAUGCAAAAAAAAAUCCCAAUAUAAUUUAGAAUUUUUUUAUAAAUAAUCUUACUGAAAAUUUUUUUUAUAAAAAUAGGCCUCCUUUAAAGUUUAUUGCAAAAGUAGGCCUCAAAUAGGCUAGGUCAGCUGAGGAUGCGUAUGAAGUUUGUAUGUCACGCCCCUAGCUCCGCCAAUUUGGUCAGAUUCGGACACGCCAACAGACCGCCGAAUGGACAGAGCCUUCCCUGUACGUCCUAGGCGUCACAAUCUAUACAAUGUAAUACACGAGGUUCUAAUCAGGAACAGUAUUCAACAUAGAUUGCAUAAGUAUCAAAAACAUAAAAUGCUAAGCUAUGCUAUUACAAGCAUUCAUCUCACAGCUUUUACAUAUUACAAUAUUACAUUUUUGAAGUACCGCUAGGUUAUACAAUUUAAAUUAAAUUUGUUUCUUUCAUUCUAUACCCUUAGCUAGACCACUUCAGGUACCGCUAUCUCUGGUCUCGGUGGUAGGGUGCUAUCUAUAAAGUUACGCCCUUUCCUCGCGCCGCUCACGUGUAAACCUGAAAUCCCCAAAAACAACGUGGGGUGAGAACUAUAUAAAUAUAGUUCCCAGUGGAUACGGCCACCUAAGGAAAGAGCUCCACCCACCAGGUCUAAAGGAGGCACUGUAACAUGUUAGUCCACAGAUAUCGAUAAAUAAUUUAAGCAAAUACUAAAUACAUGAGAAUGCCUCAAGAUAUGCAAUAUGCAAUGCACGCAACAAUGUAUAAGUAGAUCUACUGAUUCUACUUUCUAUCUUACUGUCCAUAGCUCAUAUCCAACUAGCUUCUGAGGUGUCCUCUACCUUAAUUCAAGCUGACCACCCGACUCGGCCUCGAGUCAAUCAUCCACAGAAUACCGCGUCAAGUCAGGCUCGAGGUGAAGGAUGUCUCACAAACACCUCAGCCUUAAGUCCACGCGACUAUAGGUUUACCCCAGGGAGAGGAGAACCGUCGAUCCCCGAGACCAUAAGUCGCUCAAGCUCAACGGGCGAGGAGAACCGUUAAACCCAUUCGAGCUCAUACCGGGCGAGGAGAACUGUCAAACCCGUUGAAUCACUACCGGGCGAGGAGAACCGUCAAACCCGUUGAAUCACUGCCAGGAGAGGAGAACCGUCAAUCCCGUAGUUAUGAUUCUAUUUUUGCCAAUCCACUGGUCACAACCACUGCACUUGCAGCCCCCAUUUCUAGGGAUUCCGGAAUCCACUUUCAAACUUGAGGGUUUAAUACUUACCCUAUGUUGUCGACCUUCCUAGGUCUAAGCUAUUCAUGUCCUAGUGGUUCUUUUACCACUAUAACCCAUAACUUAGUUUCAAGUAUACUAAGUGUCACUAUAUAUAUCAUAACCUAGGUUCAUGUCCAACCUAUGUUUAAUAACAUUAGGUUCAUGCCACUCAAUCUAUGUCUUAUCCUAGUUGUCCAUACUUAGGAUUAUAGUUUACACAAUCUCAUUUUGUAACUGUAGAGUUUUCUAAUCAAUCUAAAGUUAUCGACUUAUAGUCUACUCAUAUGAUUCUAACAUGUUCACAUUAGGUUAACAUUUAUAUAUUAUCUAGUAUUAUCCGCAAGAUAUUGACAUGCAUACUCCAAUGGUAGUUAACAAUACUAACACAAUAUGAUUUAUGCUUUCAUAUUAUUCAUCACAAUCUACCACUAUAAAUGUAUGCAUCAAUAAUAACUAUACUUUACUUUGGCAUGGAAGCGACCUAAUCGCUUCGGUGAAGCACAACCCACCUUUACUUGAUACAGGAAUACGAGAACUCCACUUCCUGCACUUUUUCAAGGACCGCAAUCCGUGCUCGCGACAACUUAAGCUCAAAGGAGGUUUCCUUCGCUAGCUCGCCGUAGGCUCGUCGGAACGUCGAUUCGACCUUUCCAACGCGUUCGCUUUACCCUCAAUUAGGUUUGUACGCGAUCAACUCUAAGCUAGGCUCUCGAACCUACAAGUUAGCAUUAUUGGGUUUAGGUUCAGCAUAAUCUGCCACUAUACAGAUUUCACAAUAAUAUACACCUAUAUGUGGAGCUUCGAAUCUUAACAGCCCACACCCUACCAUUAGGGAAUUGAAGCAAUUCGCAUUACUCCCUACCAUGAAUUAACUAAACAUCUUACUUUAACCCUCAACUAUCCAAAACCACAUAUAAUCUACCGAUAGCUUUUAUAGGAUUUUAGGUCAAAUUUAGCUCUAGAAUCCAAAAAUACUCAAGCUAAAUGUGAUGAAGUGAAUUCUCAAAAUCCGAGAGUUAGACUUCAUUUAAAAUCGACUUGUUGUCGAGUUGGUAUGGUUCGGAAAGUCCGAAUGCGAUGAAAAUACAUAAAGUACAUUGAGGAGGACCCGCGAGAGCAAGUUGUGCAAAAUCUGCACAAAUUGUAGAUUUUGUGCUCUCGGGGACCGGUCCCUCCGGGAGGGGACCGGUUCCCGUAGGUAUGUGGGGGUUGAGCUGAUGCUCAACCUGCCAAAAUUGCUCUCAGGGACCGGUCUUCCCUAAGAGGGACCGUGUCACGCCCCAAUCCCCGCCAAUUUGGUCGGGUUCGGGUCACGUCAACAGACGCCGAACGGACAGAGCCUCCCCUGUCCGCCCAAGGCUCUAACAAUACAUAUAAUUAGGCAAUUAACAAGAGAAUUGCAAAUUUAAUACAAGGCUUGCACGAGGGCAAGCAACAACGGAAGCGAAAGCUCUAAGCUAAAUAUAAGAUUUCACAUGAUAUUUGAUUUCAUUCAAACCAAAUUCAAGUAAACAAAGCUAGUGUGAAACUAUUACAUUCCAUUCAACCAUCAUAUCUUUUUACAUUUAGUCAUCCACCAAAUACAUGAUUGUUUUCACUUUACAUACCUAAAUCAACAAAAUAAAGUUGAUACAUGUAUAACAAAAGGGAAUGACUACAANCAUGGCUCAAAAGAGCUUCUAAUACCUCUAAGGAGCACAAAGCUCCAAUUCCUUAAGUUAAAACCCAAACCCUAGAGGGAAACCUCACAAAACUUACCUCUAGUCCAAGCUCCACCAAGGUUCUUCUUGUUGGAGAGCCCCUAGAACCUCCAAAGCCUCCAAAUCCACCUUCUUCUCCAAGCUCUUCUUCUUCUUCUCCAAGUUCUAGAGGAGUUCUAGAGAGAGAAAGAGAGAAAAUGAGAGAGGAGGAGAGAAAUGGCUGUGGAAGAGAGGGGAUGGGCCACAUAUAGUGUUGUAACAAUUGCACAUAAGCCCCUCCACUUGUUUCCCAUCAAUCUGCCCAGACUGGGCAAUUUUCGCCUUCGGGGACCGGUCUCCCCGACCAAGGACCGGUUCCCGAACGGGGGUUUUCCAGGACUUAGCCAAAUUUUCGAGUUUUUCGGCUGUUGCGCAGCGAGGGACCGGUCUGCCCGUCAGGGACCGGUCUCCCGAGGACCGGUCUCACCACCAGGGACCGGAUGCCUCAGGAUUUCCUGGCAGGCUACGCGUACGGGGACCGGUCUCUCCUUCAGGGACCGGUCCCCGAGAGCUCAAAAUCUGGGACUUAGCCAGAUUUCCAGAUUUGCUCUCCGGGUCCCUUUUUGCUCCAUUUAUGAACUCCAAUGUACUUAGGGUCCACUGUAACUCAUUCAAUUCCGCGUUCCGCUCGUUUUGACGGAACUCGGCACGACUUACGAGGGAUGUGGUAUGUUACAGACCGGUCCUCGUACGCGUGCAUGGGUUGAGCUGAAGCUCAACCUGGCAGAAUUGCUCUCGGGGACCGGUCCUCCCUUAGCGGGACCGGUCCCUGUAGCCCGAAAUGCCCAAUGAUGGGCUGUCUCAUGGUUGUAAAGUUGAGGAGGUUUUAUGCUUUUGUUACAUGAGUGGAGGCUAUAUGAGAGCUUUUACUCUCUCUCUCUUCUCAUUUUUUUUCCAAAGCUAAACCUAAUUCCCUCUCUCUUUCUAAAGCUCUUUGCUCUCUCUCUCUUCAAGGUGGAAAGGAGGAGGAGUUGGUGGAGCUUGAGACAAAGAAGGAAGGGUCUUCUUCUUCGUCUUCUUCCUCAAGUUGGAGAAGCUUUUGGAGCUCCAAACCCUAUUAAUGGUGGAUUUCUAGGGUGGGGUUUAAAUACUCUAGAAUUGGUUUUGGUUAAACCCUAUGAUGCUAGUGGUAUCCUAAUGGCAUGUGUUUAGGGUUUGAGUGGACUAGUUUGCACUAGUUACAACCUAGGGCUCCGAAAAGGGGUUUUAGGAAAUCUAGGGUUUGAUCUAAAUUAGUUGGUUGUAAACCUAAUUGCUAGGUAUCUAAACGCGUUGGCAGCGAUGGUUCGACUAUUCGUCGAGUUGGUGCAGAGAUAUCGCCAAGCGAAUAACGUUUCGGCUUCGUUUUGUUAAGUCUUGUGUAUUGGCAAGUUUCGUGAAGAGAGUCGGAGUCUUGAAGAAUCGGUGCGUAUCGUUGAAGAUCGAAGAAUUCAAGAUUUCGAAGAAAUUGGAAAAAUAACUCACGACAUGAAUCACAAUGCCCAGGUAAAGUUUUAAUUCAUGUUAUGGUGAUUCAUACUUAGUUGUAGGCAUUAGAAUCAUAAUAUCGAAGUUUACUGGAUUAGAAAAUGCAUUGGAACUUUGCAAAAUCCGAAACGGUGAAAAUUUGCAAAGUGUACCGGUACAGCAUCAGAAGUGUACCGGUACAAAAUGUGUACCGGUACAACUAACAACUUGUAAUCGGUUUCAAUGUUUCGUUAGUUUUUCGUUCCGUCAUCGUGUAACCGGUAACAGCUUAAAGUGUACCGCCGAUACAUAAUGUAAUUUUCGGAAAAACUUUCUAAUCCGACUCCAAUUGAUUCUAAAGUCUAUAAAUAAGCUAUUGGGGUUCUCUAACAUAUCAAGCAUCACAAGAAUUCAUGUUUGAGAAACCUAGAGGCUAGGAUUUCGUGCUAAACCUAUUUUCUACAAAAUAGCCUCUUUUAGGUCAAAUCGAGAGAUUGUUAUUUGAUAUCAAUAUGUCAAUUUGAUCUUCACUUCCCUUGGAGUUCUCUUUCCUUGUUCUCUUCGAUACUCUAAGCGAAGGAUCACCAUACACAUGAUGUUCUUCAUGACGGCAUCGUGGAUUCGGCGUGAUUGACGGCUGUUCGUGGAUUCGGAUCGUGAGCUUCGUGGAUUCGGAGUGGAGGCGUUUCGUGGAUUCGGAACGUGGCGUUCGUGGAUUCGAACGUGAGGGCGUGGACAACCCGGAGGAUUGCGCGAGAUUCGUAAGAGGUUAAGAGAGGUCGAGUCCGUAGAGUCGGUAAUCACCUUGUAAUCUUUUCUCUUAGUGAAUUAUUUUUUCGCGUGUUGGUCUCGUGGGUUUUUCUCCAAGUUGGAGUUUUCCCAUGUAAAUCUCGGUGUGAUUUUUAUUUUUCGCAUUUAUUUUUUAUCGCAUUGAGAUUUGUGAUUUUUGGCUAUUACACCUAUUCACCCCCCUUCUAGGUGUUAGACACAAUCUAGAUAGAUCCUUGGGCUCCUCAAAAUUUUUCAAUUGGUAUCAGAGUGGGAUCUAGAUAUAUUGAUAUCUAAUGGCCGAAGGCGGUAACAUUAAUCGACCACCACUCUUUGACGGCACAAAUUAUGCCUAUUGGAAAGUUCGCAUGAGAGCUUUUCUAAUUGCAAUCGAUGAGCGUGUAUAGAAAGCUAUUGAAUUUGGUUGGAAGCAUCCUACCGAAGUCGUCGAUAAUGCUACCGUUCCUAAACCACGGAACAAGUGGACGAAAGAUGAAAACGAGUCAUCUUCGUUUAACGGUAAAGAAAUUAAUGCUUUAUUCAAUGCUUUAUCGCAAACGGAAUUUACUCGUGUUUCGGCGUGUGAAACCGCCAAGGAGAUUUGGGAUACUCUACAAGUUACGCAUGAAGGAACUAGCUUAGUAAAGGUUCAAAAAUUGCAAAUUCUAACAAGCAAAUUUGACUCAAUUUUCAUGGAAGAAAACGAGACCUUUACCGCGACUUCAAGACAUUGUUAAUACAUGCGCUAACUUGGGAGGGAAAAUCUCGGAUUCUAAGGUUGUUCGAAAAAUUCUUCGGACUCUUCCAGAAUGCUUUCGGGCAAAAGUUGCCGCGAUCGAAACCGUUAAGCAUCCGGACGAGAUGAAAGUUGAAGAGUUAGAAGGUGCUUUACAAAUGUAUGAGAUGACUUUUCCUACUAACCCAUCUUCUUCCAAGUCUUUUUCUAAAAGUACAGGGAUUGCACUCAAAUCGACAAAGAAAGAAGACGACGACCCGGAUUCCGACGGAGAUAUUUCGCUCGCCGAUUUCGAAUAUCAAUUCGCGCUCCUCACGAAGAAGUUUUGCCGGAAUUUCCGAAAGAGCAAAUCAGACAAACCUUCAUCUUCGAAGCUUAAAUCCUCUUCUAAGCAUUAUUCUAAUUUAAAAUCUAAGGAUAAAAAAUUUGCAAAGUCUUCGAAUGAAAAAGAUGAGUUUGAAGGGGAAAUCCAAUGCUACAAAUGUAAAGGCUACGGUCACAUUGUAACGGAUUGUCCUUCUAAGAAGACUUAUAGACAAAAAGCUUUGCAAGCAAAAACUUGGGAUGAUUCUACUUCGAGUGAAUCAUCUUCAAGUGACGAAGAAAAGAAUGAUCAUAUUGCUUUACUUGCUAAUAAUUCUUUGCCUUCGUCUAAUGUUAUGUGCUUAUCCUUAAUUGUUUCUAAUUUUAGUAUUUCUCCAUCCGUGCAAGGUACUUCGAGCGAUAUCGGUGAAAGCGAGGAGGAAUCAAACGACGAGGAUAUAGCGGAAGCAUACAACCAACUUCUUAUUGAUUCGAAAAAGAUGACCAAGCUCAAUAAGAAGUUAAGGCGUAGGUUAUUGGAUAUUGAAGAGAAGAACAAAAAUUUGAAGACAAUGAAUAAAGCUCUUGAGGAGGAAAAGGAAUUGAUUUUGAAGAAUAACUUAAUCCUCCAAGAGAAACUUGAUGAAGCGGAUUUAACGAUCAAAUCAUCUAAAGACAGGAUUGGAUUUUUAGAGCAACAAUUCGAGGAAUCGCACACAUCCAACAAGUCAUUGACCAAUCAAGUUUGUCAACUUCAAUCCGACAUACAAAAAUUCUCUUCUGGAUCAAAGAAAUUAAAUCAUAUGCUCGGAUUAGGUCAAACGAACAAGUUGGACCUCGGGUAUGAAAGAACGUACGUUGAGAAGGAUUUAACGACAACUACUAAAAUCUCAACAAAUUCAGACAAAAAGGUAUGUCAUCAAUGUGGCAUCAAAGGACACAUCAAAAAGAAUUGCCCAAAUAAGGAAAAGAAGAAUCAAUCGGCAAUGUCUACACAUCGAUCGGCAACUACGAAUCAUCGAUCGGCAACUACGAAUUAUCAAGCGGCAUCAUCAACUACUCAACAUCCCCCACGGAAUCAAAAGAAAAAUCAAUCGAGUCGAGUACCUCGAGGGAACCGGACUUUUAAGCCGCAACGUCAAGUUCGACCGUUCCCACAAGCAAACCGGAAUUCAAAGUUUAAUCAACAAUUCCAACCGAAGCCUCAAGCAACGAAACGACCAACGGUUGAUAAAAAAUCAAAGCAAAUUGUGCUUAACGUCGACAAGACAAGACAACACAAAAUCCGACAAGUUUGGAUUCGGAAAGGUGAUAUCUUUCCUUGCUCUUCGUCUUAGUUUGUUUUGAUUGUUUAUGUAAUGCUUUGUUUGAUGCUUGUUGCAUAUUUUUAUUCAUUGCAUUACAUGAUGGUUUCCGUGUGUAAAAUUUGCUUUUAAAAAUUGAUUUGAGGAAAGGUGUUUGGGAAUUUAAAUUUUUUUUGAGAAAGGAGAUGAUUGAAAAUCAUUAUUUUUGGGAGAUUAAAUUUUUUUCAAAGUGCUUUAAACGGUAUUUAACUGAAAUUCAUCUUGAAUUAAAUUCAUAUUAAUUAUCGGUUUUACUCCACUGUUUAUAAUUUUGACGAUAAUUGAUUAUAUGAAUUCUUAAUACAUAUAUUCAUCAAAAUUUUAAAAUAAAUUUUGAUCUCUUGGUGAUUAAUCUAUCUUGGUUUUGUGUGUUGGAUAUGAUAGAUGGAUAUUCACUAAUAGACUAAAAUUUGUUAAAAUUAUUUUCAAUUGUGAGAUUGUCUAAUUUAGGGGGGUUUGAAAUUAUUUAAAAAAAAAAAGAGGAGAAACUCCUAUGUUUAAAAGAUGUGGAAAGAGUUACAUUCAAAAGGAGUGUGAAAAUUACCACCACAUGUAGGAAAGAGCUACCACCCCGGUCGUCCGGCAAGUGUGUGAAGCUACUACAUGAAGAUUGAAUUGAAUAACCGAAAAGGUUGGAAAAAAUUGAAUAUUUUAGAAUUUUCGGAGUUAUAAGGUGUUAGGAUGAAAAAGAUGCUCAAAGAACCACCUCUGGUAUCAUAUUAGUUAAAUCUCUAUUUUGAACGGAUUGCGACAAAUUGGUGUCAAUUUUGCCAAAUUUCUAAAAAUCAUUUUUCGUGAAUCAUUACAUCUUGAUGAUUUUGAAACACGAGAUUAUUUUUGAUAAUAAAAUUUUGAUGUUUCGAUGUAUUUUGAAAUCUUAUAAUAUUUUACCUUCAUUAUAAUGAUUUUUAGAGUAAAGUCCUUAAUUUGUAUAAAAUUAAUUUAAAGUUUAAAGGUUUUUAAAUUCAAAUUUUCAAAAUCUGGGAAAGUGUACCGGUACAAAAUCCCCUAUACCGGUACAAAUCAUUGUAGUCGCGGUAAUAAAACCGAUUACAGGGCUUUAUUUCUCCUCCAAACCUUUACCAAAUUUCGUUCUCUUUCUCUCUAAAAUUCCCAGGAGACUUCCUCUUCCAGAUCUACUCGGUUUUCCCAAAAAUCUGUGAGUAUUUAGCUUGGAUUUAAUCAUUUCAUCGCGUUCUUGCUUAUUUUUCGAAAAUAUUCCGAGUUGAAGCUAGAUCUCUGUUUUGAUUCAUUUUUGAUGCAAUUUUUUGCUUCGUUUCAGUUUAUAUAUGCAUGUAUUCUUGCUUCUAGAACAUUUAGAUCAUGUCAUAAUGCAUUAUUUUUCGCUGAUCAAUGAUCUUUACCUCAUUAAACAUGGAAUUUCGAGAUUUUUGUUGGAAUGUCAUUUUUUGAUGAAAUUUUUUGCAUGGAUGAGUUUGAAAUAGCAUUAGUAUGCAUUCUAAGAAUAUUAGAUAUUUUUUCACUAUUUUUACAGAUUUUUUCAAAAUUUUGUUCAUGUAUGGCUCAUUUUUAAUGUAGGAAAAAUAGCGUUCUCACUUGUGAUACUGCUUUUGGUGCUUAUGGCCGCUGGUCGUGGUCGUGGUGGUGGUCGAGGACGUCGCGGGACAUCCAAGAGAACUCGUACUGCCAACGAGUCAUCAGGAUCUGAUCCGGAUUAUCAAGCAAGCUCACCUGAAACUACUGAAGAAGCUGUUACUAGGGCUGCUAAAGGAAAAGGCAUAGCUGGAGAAUCCUCGCGCGGAGGUGGUUCUCGUGCGCGUGAGAGUCACUCCAAACGUGCUGCAGAGGUUUCAUCAGAGCGACGGAGGAUAUAUUUGAGCCGAUCAGUUCUAGCUGAGCGCUAUGCCAACUUUACUGAUCUGAUCAAGGUGGUUCCAGAUUUUUGUCGAUUGCUGCAGAGAGUCCCUAUUGAGCCCGUUUGACGGGUUCCAGCUCGUGCUCCAUUCUGUGUGGAACUCAUUCGGGAGUUCUACAUGAGCAGGAUGGUGCUUGCAGAGAAUGAGGAAACUGGGACUUAUGUGUUUGAGACAUAUGUGCAGCAACAGAAGAUUCAAGUAACUCCUUACACGAUUGGAGAGCACUUAGGGAUGCAUAUUGAUACUACCAGUCUUCACUAUACGACAGGGCUUUAUCAGUCUUCGACCCACUGGGAGACUGUUAUUCGAGCGAUCUGCAAGGAAGGCGUGAGGACGAAUCAUUCAUACGUGGAAUCCAAGGAUUUGCGACCCGAGUAUCAUUUACUCUCCUUGGUCAUGUGCUACAAUGUUCAACUUACAAUUGGAACAAAAAGGAUUCGUUGGGAUCGUCUGGUGCUUCUAUAUCUUCUUGGACAUCUUGAGCAAGCGGACGUGUUAAAUAUCAAUCUUCUUGGACAUCUUGAGCAAGCGGACGGGUUAAAUAUCAAUAUUCCCUUUCUGAUGUGGCAAAGAAUGGCACAUGUUAUACAGUCUCCAGUUCGACGUGAUCUACUUCGUUUCUGUUGUUGAUCACGAGGAUUCUGCAAGACCACGGAGUUGACGUGUCGUGUGAGAAGUACGACACUAGACUUGGACUGAUCAAUGCAGUAACUUGGGCCAAGUCGGUGAGCACACUAAAGACAUUUCAGCAAACUAAGGGAUCAUCCAAAGGAGCUUCUAGUUCAGCACCUCUACCUCGAGCAGAGCGUGGGGGAUCUUCCAGUUCAGGGGGAGUGAUUACUGUAGAAUCACUUCACCAUGAGGUGCGCUCUUUAAAGAAGAAAGUGGCUGAUCUUACUAAGAAAGUGGAGGUGGGAAUAAAGCGGAUUUUGGAGAAGCUAGGCUGUAGGCAUGACGACGUGUUUCCUACUCAGCCUACCUACACCACUUACACGAGGUCUACGUCACUACAUCCACUCAUUUCACCAUCCAGUGGUGCUCCUGAGGCUGGGGGAUCUGGAGCUGGAGCAAGAGACGAUGAUGAUGAUGAUGAUGACGAGGACACUGAGUGACUCCUUCCUCGAGCUCGGUUUUUUUUUUCUUUGUUUUUUAGGACGUUGUUUAGUUUAGUUGUGCUUGUUGCUUUACUUUGCUUUUGCAUUUAUUUGCUUUUAGGCCUGUAACUAUGACAUGACUACUCAUGCUUUCUAGUAUGCUUUCUCUAUUUAUAUACUUUAUCUUUGGCAAUUUUUGACAAAAAGGGGGAGAGCAAUAAUGAACAGGUAUUGGUCGUAGCAAAGGAGAAGAAGGAAUAAAGAACAAAGUGGGAGAAGGAGUGAAAUUCGAGGAGAAGAAGGAAGAGAAGAAGGAAUAAAGAACAAAGGGGGAGAAGGAGUGAAAUUCGAGGAGAAGAAGGAAUGAAAUUUUGAGGACAAUGAUGAAGAAAAAAUGACUUCAAUGUGAGAAUGUCGAAUGUUUGUCGUUUUCUAUAUUAUUUUGGAUAAUCUGUUUUGCAGAAAAUCAAGACUUCAAGACUCCUAGUUGCGUCUAAGUCAUAGAGUCUGUUUUAGGAGUUUUUGAUGUACUUUAGAGUUUCAAAUUGUAUUUGGACUACAUGCGAGGGGUUUGAUGUUUUGGUGAUGACAUUGAACUUCGUUUUGCUUUAAGAUGUAAUUUUUGAGUUGUUAUGAGUUUUGUCACGAAAUUGCCAAAUGGGGAGAUUGUUAAGUCUUAUGUGUUGGCAAGUUUCGUGAAGAGAGUCAGAGUCUUGAAGAAUCGGUGCGUAUCGUUGAAGAUCGAAGAAUUCAAGAUUUCGAAGAAAUUGGAAAAAUAACUCACGACAUGAAUCACGAUGCCCAGGUAAAGUUUUAAUUCAUAUUAUGGUGAUUCAUACUUAGUUGUAGGUAUUAGAAUCAUAAUAUCAAAGUUUACUGGAUUAGAAAGUGCAUCGGAACUUUGCAAAACCCGAAACGGUGAAAUUUUGCAAAGUGUACCAGUACAGCAUCAGAAGUGUACCGGUACAAAAUGUGUUCCGGUACAACCAUCAACUUGUGAUCGGUUUCAAUGUUUCGUCAGUUUUUCGUUCCGUCAUCGUGUAACCGGUAACAGCUUAAAGUGUACCGGUACACAAUGUAAUUUUCAGAAAAACUUUCUAAUCCGACUCCAAUUGAUUCUAAAGUCUAUAAAUAAGCUACUGGGGUUCUCUAACAUAUCAAGCAUCAUGAGAAUUCAUGUUUGAGAAACCCUAGAGGCUAGGAUUUCGUGCUAAACCUAUUUUCUACAAAAUAGCCUCUUUUAGGUCAAAUCGAGAGAUUGUUAUUUGAUAUCAAUAUGUCGAUUUGAUCUUCGCUUCGCUUGGAGUUCUCUUUUCUUGUUCUCUUUGAUACUCUAAGCGAAGGAUCACCAUACAUAUGAUGUUCUUCAUGACGGCGUCGUGGAUUCGGCGUGAUUGACGGCGAUUCGUGGAUUCGGAUUGUGAGCUUCGUGGAUUCGGAGUGGAGGCAUUUCGUGGAUUCGGAAUGUGGCAUUCGUCGAUUCGAACGUGAGGGCGUGGACAACCCGGAGGAUUGCGCGAGAUUCGUAAGAGGUUAAGAGAGGUCGAGUCCGUGGAGUCGGUAAUCACCUUGUAAUCUUUUCUCUUAGUGAAUUAUUUUUUCGCGUGUUGGUCACGUGGAUUUUUCUCCAAGUUGGAGUUUUCCCACGUAAAUCUCGGUGCGAUUUUUAUUUUUCGCAUUUAUUUUUUAUCGCAUUAAGAUUUGUGGUUUUUGACUAUUACACCUAUUCACCCCCCUCUAGGUGUUUGAUAUAAUCUAGAUAGACCCUUAGGCUCCUCAAAAUUUUCACGUUUCCGCUCGAGAGGUCGAAGCGGGGACGAGUGAUCGUGAAAUUUGAUUCCCUACUACGUAGCAUUGCCAAAAGGUGGGUAGUGACCAUCCCGAAGCAGUUGAACUGCUCCCUAUGUCUAAGUUAUUGUUGACUAUAUUUGCAUAUUGAGCAUGAUACAUAUAGGGUGUUUAGAUGCUUGUAUCUAUUCUUGCAUGCUAGUAGUAGUGUAGCUUUAUUGGUUUCGCACUUGAACCUAGUAUGCAUGAGGUUAGCGUGAUAUGGCUUAGAACCCUAUAUGAGAUGAUAUAUGAUGGAUUGGAACCUAGGUAAAUGACAACCUAGUGAUUGUGCCUAUGUGGAUGAAAACCUAGUAAAGUGUAAACUAGUGUCUUGGGAAUAUGUAACAAGAACGAGUGGCAUCUAGUUAAUGUUGAACACAUGAAUGAGUGGCAUAUGAGAAACAUAGUGUAGUUAAAACACUAGGAUGUCGAGUACAGGAACACAUUGAUUCCAUGAUGAUGAUAACCCUAGCUGGUAGGGUAUCCUUAGUUGACGAGGAUUGGAUCGAACUCACAUAGCCUGUCUGCACUUGUAGUGGUCGCUCCACACAAGCUGUGCACUCCGGAGUUUUGGUCACUAGAGGGGCAGUCGUGAGCUGCCCGGACAGUAGCUAGCUGUCCGCAGGCAGUCCAAGGGAGAAGCUCUCGGGGACCGGUCCCAGGUCGGGGAGACCGGUCCCUCACUGCAAAAAAUGCCCAGUUUGGACAGUGCAUAGGGAAUAAAGUGGAGGGGUCUUGUUGUAAUUGUUACAACACAUUAUAUACCCAACCCCCUCUCCUUUUAUAGCCAUUCACACCUCUCCCUCUCACUUUCUCUUUUUUCUCUCUCUAGAAUCCUAGCACUAGAGCUUGGAGAAGAAGAAGGAGGAGCUUGAGGAGGGAUUUUUGGUGGCUUUGGUGGUCCUAGAAGCACUCCAACAAGAAGGCUUUGGUGGAGCUUGGGCAAAGGUGAGUCCUUAAGCAAAAAUGAGUCUAGGGUUUGGGUUUAGACCUUAGAUUUUUGGGUUUUGAUCUCUCUACAAGUGAGGAAACCCUCUAGAGACCUUGAAACUAUGAAAUCCAUGAUUGUCUUGGACUCCUCUCAUGGUGAACUUCUAGGGUUCAUCUUGGAUGCCCUAGAAAGGGCUUAGUUGACCUUAAAUGAGCACCUAGAAGCUUGACAAGCUCUCUUUUGCUUGUUUUAGUGAUCAAAACCUAGGGUUUAGCAAUGGGUUUGGUUAAGGUACCAAAUUUGGGACUUUUGCCCCCGAGUGUUUCUAAGGCAAAUUGACCUAAUUGGGGGUGUCCUCGACACGUUGAACGACUCCGUUCGACGUUACGAAAAUGUUUAAGUGUGGUUCAUGUACAAAAAGGGCCUAAAGUGGCACUAUUUUGGUUGUAGGUCGCGGUAUCGGCUUUCGUAAAGUUCGGGAGUCGUCAUAUUCUACACCCACACGACCACUCGAGGUGGGUGGUGCAUUUCAAGGACCUCGGAAAUUCCUUUAUGUCUAAAGUGUCAUGUUUGAACAUAUAUGUAUCUAUUGAGCAUAUUCCAUAGUAUGGUUAAUUGUGAGCCUUUAUUGCAUGAUUGUGAGUUUAAUUUCAUAUGAAAUACUUGUAAGAGUGUGAGAAUUAUAACCCUAUGUAUGCAUGACAAGUGACAAGAACCUAGAAGGGUUAGUGAACAAAAGUGACACAUGGAUAUAGAUCUAGUGAGUGACAUUAAUGAGUCUAGAACACUUAGAAAACAAGUGUGGCAUUUGGCAUGAGAACAAGAACAUAGCACUUAGAAAACAAGUGUGGCAUGAGUACAAGAACUUAGUAAUGCAUAUGACACUAGCGAUAGUAAAGAAUGCAAAGAAAAGAAUGAUUGAGACUUUAUGAUAUUUCAACCUUAGAGUUAAGGGUCAUUGAGCAUAGUCUUCCUUAAAGUUAAGGAAUGGAUUGAACUUAGAAUCCUCAAUGUAGGAUUGAUCGUACUCACCUUUAGUUCUUGCUCGAGGGUGGUAGCUCCCCCUCGGGCGAUGCGCUCCGGAGUCGACAUCACUGGGUUGUAGCAGGUAUCUCCCCAGAGGACAGUCCUAUCGGAUUGUAGCGUGUAUCUCCCCGGUUAAUAGGAUUUUAGGUUGGUGAGUUUGUUGAGGGCGAAACCUACGGGUUAGCCAAGAGAUUGGGUAAAGAAAUUAUGAUUCUGCAUUCAGCAUGAGCAUUAUAUCGAGCAUUGCAUUUUAUAUUGUUCAGGCAUAUUAGUUGCAUUUGUUAGUUGAUUACUUUCUUUCUUCUAUUCUAUUAUGCCUGAUUAGACCUAGUGGGAUAGUCGGCGUGGUUGGUUGCCAAACCCACUGGAAACUUUGUCGUAGUUCUCACACCCCUAUUUCCACAGAGCCGGGACCGAGCGAGCCGACAGAUGACCGCGGUAAAGGUAUCGCGCCCUAGGUAGAGACCGCUUUAGAUGUUUAUUUCUUAGUUGCAUACCCUUCGAUAUAUCAUCUUUUGUAUUUUGAUGAUUAUAGUUAUUAAAAGAAAGGAUAAGAAUGAUGUAAAAUAGUUUAUUUAAUAUUAAUGUUAUAUUUUGAAGGAAUGAGAUGUAAAAAGAAAUGAUGAAAAAUUGUAAUUGAUUUCCUAAGUGUAGUUAUUUACUUUCACUAUUGGCUAUUGCUUGCCCUCGUGCAAGCCAUUGUGUAUGCUUCCGCUUAUGCAACCUUUAUACUCUAUUUAUACUUGUUGUUAAGCCUUGGGCAGACAGGGGAGACUCUGUCCGUUCGGCGUCUGUUUGAUGCUCCCGAACCGGCCAAAAGGAUCAGGCUCGAGGUGUGACACGUGAGAUGGUGGCGAACCUUCGGGCUAGCCGAGUGAUUGGGUGAUUUAAUGAAUUACUUCAUUAUUGAGCAUGAUAGCUUGGUAGUUAGCCUUUACUUAUGUUGCAUGCAUGAUUGUGGAUUGAGGCAUAGUAGAAUACUUGCAUUUUCUUUACUAUCUUAUCGCUUUCAAGUUAUCUAUCUAUAUCUGCCUAUGACUGCUUAGACCUAGUGGGGAGAUCGGCGGAGUCGGCAGCCGAACCCACUGGGAACUAUGGACAAUAGUUCUCACCCCACUUUGUUGCAGGGCCGAGCUCGAGUACACCCAGCGAGGAUCGCGGUAAGGGCUUAGCGCCCUAGAAGUUGUAGAUGCUUCCCAUUGCAUUAGUAGUUACCUUGUAUAUACAUGAGAGUAGAUGAUGUAUAGGUGUGAGAUAUUUUGGAAGGUUGUAAAUCUUAUGUUUAUAUUUAGAAGUUUAAAUGUAAUCAGAUCUAUUAAAGUUGAAUGUUUGUAAUAGAUAAGUAUCUCUCUUUCAUUCACUUGUAUAUACUUUACUUGUGAUGCUUGCUCUUGGUUGUUUAGCACUAUUUGUGCUCUCGUUGCUGUUGUAGGAUCGUGUAUGUAUUCAAGUGAUUUCCUGGGAACUUAUUGUACAUGAUCUCGUGUUUAGCCUUGGGCGGACAGGGGAGGUCCUGUCCGUUCGGCGUCUGUUCGACGCGCAUGAACUGGACCAAAUUGGUAGCGGGUCUCAGGGCGUGACAGAUAAAGUGGUAUCAGAGAGAGUUAAGAGCAAGCAAAGAGAGAGUCUAGGGCCGACCUAGGAGACUUUAGGACGGUGAACCUUAAGGAUAUAGGUGCAUAAGUGCAACGUGAACUUAUAGCGGCGGCGGAAGUUGAUUGAUUGGGUCGAAGUUGGUGUUAAGUCUCUAGAAGUUGCUAGAGAUGGAUCCAAGUAGUACUGGUUCUUGGCUUGAGGUGGUUGUGUCGGCGGCCGACGACACGACGCUAAGAGUCCGGGAUGAGUACGCUUGUGUGUUUCCGCCCGAUUCUAAUAUUGAGUCAUGUUAUUUCGUAAUUGCGGCGAUGUUAGUGGGUUAAGUAAUUAACCAAAUGUUUGCGUUUCAGGAGCUAAUGGCACCGAAGAGACGCUAUGUUCGUAGGUUUGUUCCGGCACCCCCUCCCGAGGUGCCAGAGCAAGCGACGCCUCCUGUGGCGCCAGAGCCAGCUGGGCCUAGCGAGGUGCAGGAGUUACGAGCGCAAAUGACUGCAUUAACUAGUCGGUUUGAUCGGGUCCAGGAGCUAUUGGAGCGACAAGUGGCGGCGGCGGUCGCGACGGCAACGGAAGGCCAUGAUCCGCCCGCACCCUCAGCUCGCGCCCCUAAUGCGGCUGAGGGUGAGGGCAUCGCAGUGGUACCGGUGGCGGCACGUCCCCCGCCGGCGAGUGUUCCUCCUGCGGCAUCGGGUUUUGUUUCGCUCGAUGCGGCGACUGAGGAGGCGGAGCGGGAGCGUGGUUACACGGCUCUCACGAGGUUUAUGAAGUUUCACCCUCCCACGUUCGACGGUGAAGUGAUUGAUCCCUGAACAGUAGAGACAUGGUUGGCCGCAAUGGAAACUCUGUUCAAGGACAUCUACACUCGGGAACAAGAUAAGGUGCAGUUGGCAGCGCAUUGCUUCGAUAAGCGGGCCAGAGUGUGGUGGAGGAGGGUGAAGCAAGACCGAUCUUCGGAUCUUCCCCCGAUCGAUUGGGAGGAGUUCUGAGGACUGAUGUUUGCGGAGUACUUUCCCGAUAGUGAAAAGAGAAAGAUGCGGGAAGACUUUAGGAAGCUUAAGCAGGGUAAUCGCACAGUUCGGGAAUAUGAGCGGGAGUUCACUCAUCUCCUAAAUUGUGUCCUGGACGUAGCGAGGACUGAGCAAGACCGGGCGGAGUGCUUCGUGAGGGGACUUCGACCCGAAGUAUUCCGAUUGGUGCACGUUUCAAGUUUCGCACCUUUGCGGAAGUAUUGGACCGUGCCUUAUGGGUUGAGCACGGGAAUGCUUGCGAGCGAGAGGAGCGAGAUGCGUUCGAUAAGGAAAAAGAAAAGAAACGACCGGACGGUGGUUCGGGGGGACAGUCGAGUUCUAGGAGGCCCCCGAAGCAUUCGCGGACGCAGUCGUGGGGUCGCGGGCCGCAACGGUGCAUCUUUUGUGGCGAAAACCAUCGCGCUGGGGUGUGCGAGCAGCGUCGUGGGAGGUGCUUCAAUUGUGGGCAAGCGGGGCACCUCAUAUGCGAAUGUCCCGCUGGAGGGGCUUUACCUGCCCCGUCUAUUGCAUCGGCCCCUGCGAUUCCUACCCGUUAUGGAUCUCCACCUGCUACGACAUCUGCUGGACGCGCCAUGGCGCCGAAUCAGCCAGGAGCAACACGAUCGGCUCCGAGCGGACGGGUGUUCGCCGCUCAAGUCGAGGAACCUGCUGGAGUGGAGGAGCAUGAGACCGUGGCAGGUAUGGUUUAAUUAACGGAGUUCGCUCCAGGGCUAUGUUGGAUACAGGUGCCACAUAUUCAUUCAUCAGUAGAUCAUUUGUACGAAUGCAUGACAUAAAGAUUCGGGCAAGUGAUGGCAUGUAGCGAGUAGAGGGCCCUGGGUCGGCGCUUCAUAUUUAGACGGAGUGCUCGGCGUGUCCCAUUCAGAUUGGCGACUGGAUAAUGCCGAUCCGAUUAUUGGUGCUUAAGAAGAUGAAGGACUUCGAUGUUAUAUUGGGCAUGGACUGGUUCUCGAAGUAUUAUGUGUCCAUCGACUGCAAGAGCAAAGUGAUCACAUUUCGGGAGCCGAGACAGAAGGAAUUUACUUAUCGAGCUUGCAAGAGCUCGUGCUUCGCCGCGACAGUGUCGGCGAUAAGGGCGAGGAAGUUGGUCAACAGCGGUUGCGCGGCUUAUUUGGCAACCGUUGUGGAAGUUGAUCGGGUGGCUCCGACUCUUGAGGAGUUGUCGGUGGUGCGGGAGUUUCCGGAUGUAUUUCCCGCGGAGUUACCGGGGAUGCCGCCGGACCGGGACAUCGAGUUCGUGAUAGACUUGGAUCCCGGGACCGCGCCGAUCUCGAAGGCUCCGUACCGCAUGGCGCCGGCUGAGUUGAGGGAGUUGAGAGAUCAGCUACAGGAUCUUCAUGACAAAGAGCUCUCCAACAAGAAGGGGCUUGCUAGAACUUGGGCUAAGGUGAGUUUCUAGCAUGGGGAACUCUAGGGUUUGGAUUUUAACUCAAAGUUUUGGGAUUUUGAGUUGUUUCUAAGCUUGAAAACCUUGUAAAGCUAAGAAACCAUGAAAUCCAUGGUUUUCUUAUAAAGCUCUCAUGGUGCAUUUCUCGGGCUCAAAGUAGAUGCCCUAUGGUUGGUUCAAGAGGCUUGGAAACUUUAUUAGAAUGCUUCUUAGAUGAUUCUAAGCUAUCUUUUGCUUAGGGAUGAUGUCACGCCCCGCCCCGAAACCACUACCAAUUUGGCACGAUUCGGCCGCGGCGACGGACCGCCGAACGGAUAGCACCUCCCCUGCCCGCCCAAGGCUCAACAACAGGAAUGUGUACCAGAAUUUACCCAGGACUUUAAAUUCUAAACAUACACAUUCAACAAGGGCACAAACAGUGCUAAUAAUAAGNGAAACCACUACCAAUUUGGCACGAUUCGGCUGCGGCGACGGACCGCCGAACGGAUAGCACCUCCCCUGCCCGCCCAAGGCUCAACAACAGGAAUGUGUACCAGAAUUUACCCAGGACUUUAAAUUCUAAACAUACACAUUCAACAAGGGCACAAACAGUGCUAAUAAUAAGAAGAGCGAGUAAUCUACAAGAUAUACGAGUGAAAUAAAGAGAGUACUUUACUAACUAUUACAAUAGUUGCAUUCUUUACAUCAUUUUUCAUCCAAAAUACAUAGCUCUCCAAAUCCUCACCUACAAUAAAUCUCUCUCUAUACAUAGGUGACUAAUGCAAAAAGAAAAGCUACUAUACUACUACGGUCUCACUGGUCGGGCGCGACGCCCUUGCCGCGGUCCUCUCUCUGCAGCCCUGAACCUACCAUUGGAAAUAGAGUGGGGUGAGAACUAUCUUCCAUAGUUCCCAGUGGGCUCGGCCGCCGACUCUGCCGAUCUCCCCACUAGGUCCAAGUGGGCACAAGUAACAACAGAUAGAUAGAUAGAUAGAUGUGUAUCUGAAAGCUGUAAAUGCAACAGUAGGAAAACUAUGCUACUAUGCCCAUAAUCAUAAGUAUGAAUGCAUGCAUCAUAUAAUAAAGGUUUGCUAUCAUGCUAACAAAUUCGAUCCAUGUUCGAAUAGCAAUGUUCAAUGACAUUAAUAACCUUUCCAUUUACCCAAUCUGUGGCGAGGCCCUAGGGUUCGCCCAUGACUCACCUUUCGAUCCCAAAGUGGGGAGGGAGCUCCAAGUGCACCCAAGUCCGGGACCGUCUGCGGACCUCCAUGUGGUCCGGACCUCCAAGUGGUCCUAGUCGCGCGACACUCCGAAGUACUCGACGACAAUCCCCUCCAUGUGGGGAUUGGAUGGCUAUGCCACCCUAAACGCAGACUGUGAGCUAGAUCUAUCCUCUCCAUGUGAGGAUACACUGUAACUAGGGUCAAUACCCAAUCCAAUCCUCUCCAAGUGAGGAGGCUCUACAACCAGAGUCAAUAACCCAAUCAAAUCCUCUCCAAGUGAGCACGCCCUAUACUAGGGUCAACGACUAUCGCGGAAUCAUCGGUUCCCGACAUUCAUGCAAUGCUAUUUAGUUUUCUAAAUUCAUUGUUCACAAGGCAUUUUCUAAGGGAUCCACCUAUCCCUAUGUCCGUCGACCUCUAGUGUUAUUUACACUACAUUAAUGCCACCAGUCAUUAUUUAUCGUUCGGAUGCCACUCGUGUUCUUUAACACUAUCCACUACUUCCUAUGUCAUCAAUACCCCCAUCGGGUUCAUCUCUUUUCUUUCGCACCAUAGGAUUCACGUCUCGACCCAAUCCUCACCUAUCUAAAUUACCAAGCGUUCCAAGUACACUAGGUUAUCAAUUAGAAAGCAUAAGGAGUGGAGCUAUUAUGCAAUCCUACAAUGCAACAUGAAGAGAUGAGAUUAAAUGCAAUCUAAGACAUAGAAAGGAGCUUGAAAGUUUCGGAUGACACCCCCCACUUUUAAUCGAUGUAGAGGUUUGGAAAAAUCCUUCUCGGCGAGCUCUACGAAAAGGCUUUAGCCUUCCUCGCCCGAAUCAACAUUAGCCCGGCACGAUUUUGCCGAGAACUUCACGUCGGUUCGCCGAAUGCCGAAAUCAACUUCGGCCCCGCGUUUUGUGACCUAUCAAUAGGGUUUCCAAGGCUUCAAAUGAGAUCAAUAUCAUACUUUUACAAAAACCCCAUUUUGGAGCCCUAGGUUUGCACCUAUAGCAAACCACCCAAUAAAUCCCUAGAUUCUUGGGAUUGAUCUAUUUAGAAGCUUGCUUAGGGUCCAUUUGACCCAUCCCAAAGCAUAAAAACCCAAAACCCUAAAUUUUACAAGCUAGGGUUUGUAGCUUACCUCUUGAGCUACACCAAUGGAGAAGAGAGAAAGAGAGGAAGAUGCUCCAAGCCUCUCUAUCUUGUUCUCCUCCUUCUUCUUCUUCUUCUCCUCCUUCUUCUUCUUCUCUUUCUUCUUCUCCUUCUCUUUUGUUCUUUCUUUUCUAGAGAGAGAGAGAGGGAGCAAGAGAGAGUGUGANNNNNNNNNNNNNNNNNNNNNNNNNNNNNNNNNNNNNNNNNNNNNNNNNNNNNNNNNNNNNNNNNNNNNNNNNNNNNNNNNNNNNNNNNNNNNNNNNNNNAUCCGGACCUGAGCUUCAGGAUCCGGACCCCGUAGGUCCUAUCUGCAUGAUACGCAGAGAGGAUCCGGACCUGAGCAUCAGGAUUCGGAUCCCGUAGGUCCUCUCUGCAUGAUACGCAGAGAGGGUCCGAACCUGAGCAUCAGGAUCCGGACCCCGUAGGUCCUCUCUGCAUGAUACUCACGGAGGGUCCGGACCUGGGCUUCACAAUCCGGAAUCCGUACCAUAUAUUUCCUGAUACGCAGAGAGGGUCCGGACCUGAGCUUCAGUGUAACUACCAGAUUUUGGUAUAAAAAUAAAAAUAAAUAAAAAUAGUGUGAGAAACUAUUUUUAUUGGAUUUGUAGGAGUAAAACAUAAGUCAGAAGUGACUUGUGCUGAAAUCGGAAUGAAAACAGAAGAUCUAGAAUUUUCUGUUGGAAACGGGACAGAUAAAUUAGCAGAAAAUGCACAGUCUCAGAAAAUUAUGAAAAUUGGAGGAUAAGUCAGAAAUAUUUUUAUGAGGCUAGAUUUAAAGUUUCAUAUUUUUCUGACACCCGUAGAGUGAGAAAUAAAAUCUGAGAGUUAUCUGAUAAAGAUUACAGUUCGGCACAGUUUUCAGUGACCAAACGGGGUCGAAACUGAACCAGUGAUCAUCAGCUUGUUAAGUUAAGUAAAACCGAACAUGACUGUCAAGUUUGAGCUCAAACGGACAUUCAGGGAGCUCCGGCGAAAGUUAUCAGAUUUCAAGCUGCCCGGGAGUGAAUAGUGUCUUGGGGGUAUUAUUAAGAAGCUGUUGCAUCUUCUUCUCCUUUGGCCGCACACCACACACGCACACGACGCACACACACACGCAAGGGAAGGGAGAGAGAGAAACGUCCAUUUUCUCUCUCUAAAUCUCUCCCAAAAAGAGAGGGUUUUGGUGGAGAUUGAAGCUCAAGGAUGGAUUUUCAUCCUCUCUAUCUUCUUCCUCUCCAUUAGAGCAAGCUUUGAAGGUAAGCUUCAAACCCUUUAAUGGCAUUUCUCUAUUGCUUGGGUUUUAAGCUCUAGAAACGAAUUAGUAGCUUUUCUAGAUGCUAAGUAGAUGAUUUAUGCUUAGAUCCUAAGUUCUAAUUGUGGGUUUUUACCUAUUGAAACCUAGAGCUCCAAAAUGAGGGCUUUAAUGGUAGAUCUCUAAAGAUAGGUCUAAAUGCUUUGGAAAUGGUUUUAGUGGAACCCAUUGAUGCCUAAUAGAUGAUUAAUGCUUGAAUCAUAGAGCACUUUAAUGAUUUCUUGCAUAGUUGUAAACCUAGGGCUCAAAAUGCUAACUUUCAAAAUAUGAGGGUUUGAUCUCAUUUGACCCUUCGUAAUCUAAUUGCUAGGUAAUGAAAUGCGUUGGCGAAGACGGUUCGGCAAUCCGACGAGCUGUUACAGAGAUAUUAAAGAAACGGACGUUAGGCUUCGUUUCUGCCUGGAGGGCCGAAGCGACAUCGUAAACCCAUGAAAACGGAUUUGAAGCAUCGUGGCACAUAACCGAAAACCUUUAAUUUUCGGAUCAUAGAUUGGAGGCCGUUCAGGUGGUCGCGCAAGAGAUCGGGCCAAACCGAGUGCCGGGUGCCACGGGCGGCCGAUUGCAAGUGUCGACAAGCAAUCAGAAUGCGAAAUGAGGUUGGUUGUGUUUACCGAAGCGACUAGGUCGCCCUUUAUGUCUAAGAAAUGAGAUCUCAUAUUGAUGCAUAUUGACAUAAUGUAAAAAUGUGAAAGGAAUGCAUGUUAACAUACUAUAGAAAUGCUAGAUAAAUGCAUAUGAUUAAUGUUUUGAAUUCAUAAUAUAAAGGGCGAAUUAAGUGCUAAAAGAAUGCAUGAGAUGCUAAGUGCUAAAAGAAUGCAUGAGAUGCUAAGCAUGGACUAUUUUGGAUAAUGGCUAUAUGUAUGUUGACAUGUCAUGUGAUGCUAGUGGUAUAUGUGUAUGAUGAUAUAUUAUGAAUUUUGUCACGCCCCAGACCGCACCACCCGAAAACGGUACCAAUUUGGUCCGGUUCGAGGGCGGUGGCGCGACCGCCGAACGGACGGAGUUUCCCCUGUCCGCCCAAGGCUAAGCAACUGAUUGUGUACAACAAGUCCCCAGGAAUGCAACUUGAAUACAUACACAAUCAAACAACGAUAAACGAGAGCACAAACAGUGCUACAACCAACUAGAGCAAGCGAUACAAGUAAAGCCAUACAAGUAUACAAAAGAGAGAAACUUAACUAUUUGAGACAUCAUUGAAACAUUAAGCCUCUUUCAACAUCAUUUAAACUUCAAUCAUUUAAUACAACUUGCAUUCUUUUUCAAAAUGUAAAGUACAUCAUAAACUCUCCAAAACCUCACCCUAUAUAAUAUCUACUCUCAAAAUGUAUAAACCAAAAGUAUAGGGUAGAGCUAAUGCAAGUAGGGAAGGUAAAGCUAUCAACCAACUGCUAGGGCGCUAUGCCCUUGCCGCGAUCCAUCGACGAAGGCCCGCUGUCCUGUAUACCUGUAUCCCCAAAGCCACACGGGGGUGAGAACUACGAAUAGUUCCCAGUGGGUUCGGCCGCCGACUCCGCCGAUCUACCCACUAGGUCUCAGGCAUGCAUAGAGAGAUAUAUAUAUGCAAUAUAUAUAAAACUAAGCUGAACGGAAGCAGGUAUGUAAACAACUAUAUCAAGCUAUGCCUCAAUCUGGAAUCAUGAAUGCAUGAACAAUAAUAAAGCUGGGUAAGUAAGCAACUACCAACAUCUACAACAGCUAAUAUAGUAAGCUAUAAAACAUGCUACUAGGAAAGCAAAUAAGCUGAUAUGAACAAUGAAUAGCUACUAUGAACAUCAAUCCUGGGUAAGACUCAAUGGGUAACCCAAUCUCCAAGCGAACACAAGGUUCACAAGCAAAACUCACAUAUCAAUCUCCGAGGGAUGCCUAGCUGGUCGAUCCCCGAGUAUGCCUGCGGAUAACAAGCAGCUAUCCGAGCAGCGAGCAGGGUUGCCUCUCUAGUGACCAAACUCCGGAGCGCACAACUUGAGGGGAGCGACCUCACCAAGCGCAGACAGGCAAUGUGAGCAAGAUCAUCUCACGAGCAACAACAACAACCCCUUUGAGGGUGAUAUCAUCAUAAAAGCAAGGUAUACAUGUACCCAAUCUCAUAGUGUCUCAACUGCACCAAUGUUCUAGUAUCAAGAUCAUCAUCAAUCAUAUGUCACUCGUCAUAGUUUUCUAACUAGAUGCCACUCGUCAUUUAGACUCAUUUUCACACUAGUUACAUCAUACUAGUUCUUUAGCAACAUAAGCAUUAAUCAUCUCAUAUAGGGUUAAAUCUCAUCAUCAAACUCUAUCAUUUAAUCUCAUGCAUACUAGUUUAUAAAUCAUUCAAUCAACCAUAUUUAUAGCUACUAGCAUGCAAAUUAAGCAACAUAAUAAAUCUUUAACCCUAUAAGAACAUGCACAAUAUGCAAAGAGAUCAUAUUUAGACUUAGACAUAAAAGGUAGCCCGAUGACUUCGGGAUGGCACUCCCCCACCUUGGGUGAUGCCGCAGACACUCCGAGACGCGUUCUCGUGCUAGUCUUGUCGCCGCUUAAUUUUCGUUGGGUUAACUUUAACCCUUUAGCACAUCAAUUGGCGAUAUCUUCGCGCUCACUCGUCGGAUCGACGAACCGUCUUCGCCUACGCGUUUAUAAGCAUAGAAAUUAGGUUUCUAACCCCUCAAAAGAGAUCAAACCCUAAUAUUUGUAAAAUCCCCAAAAUCAAGCCCUAGGUUUAGCAACCAUGGGAAGCAAUGAUUUCUAGCUUCAUUGUGAGCUAAAUCCAUCAUCUCUAAACCCAAAAGGUUCCAUUUGAACCAUUAAAACCAACCAAAAACCCUCAAGCCCUAGAAAUCUCAAAAUAGGGUCAAGGCUUACCUCUAGGGUUUGCUCCAAAGCAAGCCCUAGCUUGAAAACGUGGAGGAAGAGAGCUUCUUCUCAUUCUCCUUGAUCUUCUCCUUCCUUUUCUUCCUCUCUUCUUCUUCUUCUUCUCCUUCUUUUUCCUUUUCUCCUUCUUCUUCUCUAUUCGGUUAGAGAGAGAGAGAGAGCUAGAGAGAGAGAGGGGCUGUGAGAGUGAGAGGGGAGAGAGCUGAGAGUGAGGGGGUUAAGUCCCCUAUUGUAACAAAAUGCUAAAGAGCCCUCAUUUAAUCAGAUUUUGCAAUUUAACCCACAGCUGUCGCGCCCUUGUACCGGUACACGGGGCCUUGUACCGGUACAGGCCCUUAAACCGACCGCAAACCGAGCCUCGGGUUUAUCUGUUUUGCAAAGCUUGUACCGGUACAAGCCAGCCUUGUACCGGUACAGCGCCUGAAGCCUUCGAACCCGAGAGCUGCGCAGCCUGGCUGCGAUGGUUGUACCGGUACAACCAUCACCCUUGUACCGGUACAGCAGCUCCAGAAUGCUUUUUUAACUUCGUUUCGGCUCCGCUUCGCACCGAUCGAUGUCCACACCAUUCCAACACCUUUAGAACUCACUUUUGCGCUUUCAAAUUUGUUGGAAUACCGAAUAGAGCUUAUCCAUAUCGUUUAAUCGCCUACUUUGGCCCAUUUGGCCAAAGUUAGCCAAUAUCGUCGAAUUUCGAUAUCUUACAUUCUCCACCCCUUAAAAGGAGUUUCGUCCUCGAAACAACUUAACUCAUGAACUUGAAUUUAACUCAUACCUCAAUCCUCGAAUAGGUGAGGAUGAUUCGCCUUCAUCUGGUCCUCGAGUUCCCAAGUGGCUUCGCGAUCGUCGUGAUUGCUCCACCGGACUUUAACAUAGGGAAUUUCUCGAUUCCUUAGUUUACGCACCUCUCGAGCCAAGAUCUCCACCGGAAACUCUUCAUAGCUCAAAUCAUCUUGAAGUUCCGGCGGCUCAUAUAGCAUCGCAUGCUCGGGAUCGUAAAUAUACUUGCGAAGGUUGGAGACGUGGAACACAUUGUGCACACCCGCGAGCUUCGGGGGCAAUGCAAGUCGAUACGCCACCGUCCCAAUUCGCUCCAAAAUCUCAUAUGGGCCAAUGUAACGAGGACUCAGCUUUCCUCGCACCCCAAAUCGCUUCACGCCUCGCAUCGGCGAAACCUUGAAGAAUACGCGGUCACCCACCGCGAACUCCAAAUCUCGUCGGCGCCUAUCCGCAUAGCUUUGCUGUCUCGACUGCGCCGUGAGCAAUCUUUUGCGAGCAAGGCGGACUUUCUCUUCCGCUUCCCGCAACACAUCAGGCCCGAACUCCGCACGCUCACCUACAUCGCUCCAGUGUAUAGGGGAUCGACACGCCCGCCCGUAGAGGGCCUCAAACGGUGCCAUCUCCACACUAGCAUGAUAACUAUUAUUGUAGGCGAACUCGGCCAUCGGUAGGUGAUCACACCAACUUCCUUUAUAGUCAAUGACACACGCUCGCAGCAUAUCCUCCAGAGUCUGAAUAGUUCUCUCGGUUUGUCCAUCGGACUGAGGAUGAAACCCGGUGCUAAAGUCGAGCCGUGUGCCAAGGGCUUCCUGCAGGCUCUUCCAGAAAUGUGAAGUGAAUCGGGGGUCACGAUCCGACACGAUCGAUUUCGGCACCCCAUGCAGUCUCACUAUCUCGUCAAGAUACACCUGCGCUAACUUGUCGCCCGACCACGAAGUAUGAAUCGGCAAGAAGUGAGCCGACUUCGUCAAUCGGUCCACAAUUACCCAAAUUGCAUCGUGGCCGCCUUUAGAGCGGGGUAAGCCGACCACGAAGUCCAUCGAUACGUCCUCCCAUUUCCAAACGGGGAUUGGUAAACUUUGAAGCUUUCCCGCUGGAAAUCGAUGCUCGGCCUUCACCUGUUGGCAUGCUAGGCACUUUGCCACAAAGCGUCCAAUGUCGGCUUUCAUUCCUGGCCACCAAUAGUGUGCUUUUAGGCCUUGGUACAUCUUGGUGCCGCCCGGGUGACCAGCAUACGGGGACCAAUGCGACUCCUGGAGUAUAAGCUUGCGAAGCUCCUCAUCCGCGGGUACACACCUCCGGUUCCGAAACUGAAGCGUGCCAUCGGCAUCUAUAUUGAACUCGCCGCCAUGACCUUCCUCGAUGUUUCGCCGCACCUUUUGGAGUUCUGGAUCCGCAGGUUGCAGAUCUUUAAUCCUCUCAAACAAGGUCGGUUGGACAACGAGUGCCAUCAACUGAGUCGGAACUUCAGGAGCAACUACUUCAAGGUCCAUUCGCUCUAUAUCGAACCCUAGGGGUUUCUGCUGGGUAACAUCGAAAGCGAGGUUCUUCGUUGUCUUCCUACUCAAUGCAUCCGCGACCACAUUAGCCUUCCCGGGGUGGUAAAGGAUAUCAACAUCGUAAUCCUUCAAUAGCUCCAACCACCGCCGCUGACGCAUGUUAAGCUCUUUCUGUGUGAACAGAUACUUCAAGCUCUUAUGGUCGGUGUAGAUCUCGCAAUGAGCACCAUAUAGAUAAUGUCUCCAAAGCUUCAGGGCAAAGAUCACCGCCGCCAGUUCUAAAUCGUGAAUGGGGUAGUUCUUUUCAUAGCUCUUUAGCUGACGGGAUGCAUAUGCAAUAACUUUCCCGUUCUACAUCAACACACACCCCAAGCCCAAAUAAGAAGCAUCACUAUAGACGACGUAGUCCUGCCCUUGCACCGGUAAGGCGAGUACUGGAGUCGAAGUUAGCCUCUGCUUCAACUCUUUAAAGCUCCGGUCACACUCGUCGCUCCAAACAAACUUGGUGCCUUUUUGCGUCAAACGGGUAAGUGGAGUCACAAUCUUAGAGAACCCCUCCACAAACCGUCGAUAAUAACCGGCUAGGCCCACAAAACUACGGACCUCGGUAACAUUCGUCGGGCGCGGCCAAUUCUCAAUAGCCUCUACUUUCCUCGGGUCAACAGAAACUCCACCCUCGGAAAUAACAUGCCCGAGAAAUGCGACCUCUCGAAGCCAAAAGUCGCAUUUCUUCAGCUUUGCGUACAACUUCUUCUCCCGAAGAAUUUGAAGUACCGUGCGCAAAUGCUCCGCGUGCUCCUCGUCACUACGCGAAUAUACCAAAAUGUCGUCUAUGAAGACUACGACAAAUCUGUCCAAGCACUCCUGGAACACUCGGUUCAUCAAGCUCAUGAACGCUGCCGGGGCAUUCGUAAGCCCAAACGGCAUCACCGUGAACUCGUAGUGUCCAUAACGCGUGCGAAACGCCGUCUUCUGAACAUCUUCCGGUUUGAUCUUUAACUGAUGGUAACCGGACUGAAGGUCAAUUUUAGAAUACACUCGCGACCCCUGCAACUGAUCAAACAAAUCAUCAAUACGGGGUAGCGGGUACUUGUUCUUCACCGUGACCUUGUUCAACUCGCGGUAAUCCACGCAUAGUCGAAAAGAUCAAUCUUUCUUGCGCACAAAUAAUACCGGGGCAGCCCACGGCGAAACGCUCGGCCUAAUGAAUUCCUUGUCGAGAAGAUCCUGCAAUUGAUCUCUCAACUCCCUUAGCUCGGCCGGCGCCAUGCGAUACGGGGCCUUAGAAAUCGGCGCGGUGCCGUGUACCAAGUCCAUCAUGAACUCGAUCUCCCGAUCCGGCGGCAAACCCGGUAACUCAGCGGGAAACACAUCAGGGAACUCCCGCACAACCGCCAACUCUUCGAGGAUCGGAACGGCUCGAUCAAUCUCCACAACGGUCGCCAAAUAAGCCAUGCAACCGCUGUUCACCAGCUUCCUCGCUCUAGUCGCUGAUACCAUCGCGGCGAAACACGAGCUCUGGCAAGCUCGAUAGGUGAACUCUUCCUGUCCCGGCUCCCGAAAUGUGAUAACUCGAGUCGGGCAAUCGAUCGAUACAUAGUACCUCGAGAGCCAAUCCAUGCCCAAUAUAACAUCGAAUUCCUUCAACUUCUUGAGCACCAACAAAUCAAUCGGCAUAACCCAGUUGUUCACUUGCACUGGACAUGCCAAGCAUCGCUUUCUAACCAUAAUCGAUCGCCCGGGGCCCUAAACGUGCCAAAUGUGCUCCCCAAGACGAUACUCAAUAUCAUGCGCUCGUGCAAAUGACCGACUAAUAAAUGAGUGCGAUGCGCCAGUAUCAAAUAAAGCUCUAGCUCGAACAUUUUUAACCAAAAUUAUACCUGCCACAACGUUGCGCUCAUCGGCCGCUGAAGGCUCCUCUAUAUGAACAGGAGCGGCAUACAUCCUCCCGCUCGGCGCAGAUCGUGCAGGCUCUAGCUGGCGUGGCGCCGCUGCUCGCCCGGUAGAUGCUGCAGGAGGGGGCAGAGCAUAGCGAGCUGGAACCGCCGGGGCCGAUGCAGUCGACAUAGCGGGCGAAGCUCCUCCUUGAGGACAGUUGCGGAUCUGAUGUCCCGCUUGCCCACACUUGAAGCACCUCCCUCGGCGCUGCUCACAAACACCCGGCGGUGGUCUCCGCCACAGAAGAUACAUCGCUCAGCACCACGACCCUUGGCCUGAGAGCGUGGAUACUUCGGGGGCCUCCUGGAGCUAGACUGACCACCCGAUCCACCGCCCUGCCUUUUCUUGCCUUUAUCCUUGUCGAGCGCUUCGCGGUCCUCAUGCUCGCAGGCGUUUCCGUGCUCGACCCAUAGUGCGCAAUCCAAUGCUCCCGCCAAAGUGUGGAACUUGAAGGCAUGCACCAACUUGAACACUCCGGGCCGAAGCCCUCGAACGAAGCAAUCCGCCCGGUCCUGCUCUGUCGUCGCUACAUCCGGGACGCAGCUCAGGAGAUGGGUGAACUCCCGCACAUACUCCCGAACUGUACGGUUGCCUUGCUUGAGCUUGCGGAAAUCUUCCCGCAUCCUCCUCUUGUCACUGUCGGGGAAGUACUCGGCGAACAUCAGCUUGCGGAACUCCGCCCAAUCGAUCGAGGGAAGCUCCGGGGAUCAGUCCUGCUUGACCCUCCGCCACCAAGUCCUGGCCCGCUUCUCGAAGCAAUGCGCGGCCAAGUUCACCUUGUCCCUCUCCAAGGUGAAGAUGUCCUCGAAUAGAGUCUCCAUAGCUGUCAGCCAAGACUCCACCGCAGCUGGAUCCACCACCUCUCCGUUGAAAGUAGGCGGACGAAACUUCGUGAACCUCGUGAGCGCCACAUAGCCACGCUCACGCUUCGCCUCCUCAGCCACUAUCGCGGGCGUAGGAGAACUUGAACUAGCCGGAGGAAAAUCCACCGGUGGGGGUUGCGCCGCCACCGGAACCGAAACGCCUCCCGCACCCUCGGCGGCAUCAGGGGCGCGAACUGAAGGCGCAGGCGGACCGCGGCUUGGACCCGCUGCCGCAGCCGCCGCCACAGCCUGCUGCUCCAGCAGCUCCUAGAUCCUAUCGAACCGUCCAGUAAGCGCCGCAACUUGCGCUCGCAACUCCUGCACCUCAGUAGGCCCAGCUGACACUGACGCCACUGGAGGCACAGCUGUCUCGGGCACCUCUCGGGGUAGUGCCGGAGCGGUCCUACGCACGUAGCGUCUCUUUGGUGCCAUAGCUCCUGAAACGCAAACCGUUGGUUAAUUACUUAACUCAACAACGUCGUCGCAAUUGCGAAACAUAACGAUUAAACAGCAUAAAUCAGGCGGUAAGCUUGCAAGUGUCUUAAUUCUCGACCUUCGGCAUCGUGUUGUCGGCCGCCAACACAAUCACCUCAAGCCAAAAAUUAAUACCGCUUGAAUCAUCUCUAGCCAUAACUAGAGUACAACACCAACUUCAAACCCAAUCAAUUAGUUUCCGCCGCGUCAUAGGUUCACGUCGCAUUCACGCACCUACAACCUUAGGGUUAACCAACCUAGAGUCUCCUAGGUCAUCCUAGACUCUCUCUUUUGUUUGCUCUUAACUCGCUCUGAUACCACCAACUGUCACGCCCCAGACCGCACCACCCGAAAACGGUACCAAUUUGGUCCGGUUCGAGGGCGGUGGCGCGACUGCCGAACGGACGGAGUUUCCCCUGUCCGCCGAAGGCUAAGCAACUGAUUGUGUACAACAAGUCCCCAGGAAUGCAACUUGAAUGCAUACACAAUCAAACAACGAUAAACGAGAGCACAAACAGUGCUACAACCAACUAGAGCAAGCGAUACAAGUAAAGCCAUACAGUAACAAAAGAGAAAAACUUAACUAUUUUUUCUGAGACAUCAUUGAAACAUUAAGCCUCUCUUCAACAUCAUUUAAACUUCAACCAUUUAUACAACUUGCCAUUCUUUUUUCAAAAUGUAAAGGACAUCAUAACUCUCAAAAACCUCACCUAUUACAAAUAUUACCUCUCAAAUGGUAUAAACCAAAAGUACAGGGGUAGAGCUGAUCGCAAGUAGGGAAGUAAAGCUUAUCAACCAACUGCGUUAGGGCUAUGACCCUUGCGCGAUUCCAUCGACGAAGCGCUGUCCUGUAUACUAGUACCCCAAAGGCACCGGAGUGAGAACUACGAAUAGUUCCCAGUGCGGUCGGUCGCCCACUCCGCCGAUCUUCCCACUAAGUCUCAAGCAGGCCAUAGAGAGAGGUAUAUAUAUGCAAUAUAUAUAAAACUAAGCUGAACGGAAGCAGUAUAUGUAAUACAACUAUAAUCAAGUAUGCCUCAAUCUGGAAUCAUGAAGCAUGAACAAUAUAAAGUGGGUAAGUAAACAACUACCAGAGCAUCACAGCCAGCUACAUGUAAGCUUAUAAAACAUGCUACUAGGAAAGCAAUAAGCUGAUUAUGAACAAUAAAUCAGCCUACUUAUGAACAUCAAUCCUGUGGUAAGGACUCAAUGAGGUAACCCAAUCUCACAUGCGAAACACAAGGUUCACAAGCAAAAUCAAUAUCAAAUCUCCGGGAUGCUAGGCAUGAGUCGAUCCCGAGUAUGCCUGCGGAUAACAGCGGCUAUCCGAGCAGCGAGCAGGGCAAUGCUCUCUAGUGACCAAACUCCGAUGCUCACAACCUUGAGCUGGGAGCGACCCCACCAAGCGCCAGACAGGCCAAUGGAGCAAAGAUCAUAUCACGAGCCGACAACAACAAUCCCCUUUGAGGGUGAUAUUCAUCAUAAAAGAAGGUAUACAGUGUACCCAAAUUCAUGUGUCUCACUACACCUAAUGUCUAGUAAUCAAGAUCAUCAUUCAAGUCAUAUGUCACUCCAUAGUUUUUUAACUAGAUGCACUCGUCCAUUUAGACUCAUUUUCACACUAGCUUACAUGCAUUACUAGUUCUUUAGCAACUAAGCAUUAAUAAUCUAAUAUAGGGUUUAAUUCUCAUCAUCAAACUUCUAUCAAUUUAAUUCAUGACAUACUAGUUUAUAAAUCAUUCAAUCAACCAUAUUUAUAGCUACUAGCUGCCAAAUAAGAACAUAAUAAAUCUUUAACCCUAUUAAGAACAUGCAGCAAUUAUGCAAAGAGAUCUAUUAGACUUAGACAUAGGAAGGCAGCCAGAUGACUUCGGUGAUGCACUCCCCACUUGAGGUGAUUGCGCAGACACUCCGAGAGCGUUUCGUGCUAGUCUUGUUCGCGCCUCAUUUUCGUAUGGUUAAGCUUUAACCUUAUACCAAUCAAUGGCGAUAUCUUCGCCGCCUCACUCGUCGGCAUUCGACGACCGUGCUUCGCCUACGCAUUUAUAAGCAUAGCAAAUUAGGUUUUAACUCCUCAAAGAGAUCAAGACCCUAAUAUGUGUAAUCAAUUCCCAAAAUCAAGCCUGGUUAGCAACCAUGGGAAGCACUGGUUUCUAGCUUCAUUGGGAGUCUAAAUCCAUCAUAUCUAAACAAAAGUUCCAUAUUAAACCAUUAAAACCAAACCAAAAGCCCGCAAGCCCUGAAUAUCUCAAAAUAGGGUCAAGGCUUACUCUAUGGGUUAUGCUCCAAAGCCAAGCCCUAGCCUUGAAAACGUGGAGCGAAGAAGAGCUUUCUUCUCCUUCUCAUUGAUCUUCUCUUCUUUUCUUCCUCUCUUCUUCUUCUUCUUUCUCCUUCUUUUUCUUUUCUCUUUUUCUUCUCUAUUCGGUUUAGAGAGAGAGGAGCUAGAAGAGAGAGAGGGGCUGUGGAUGAGAGGGGAGAGAGCUGAGAGUGAGGGUGUUAAGUCCCUAUUGUAACAAAAUGCUAAAGAGCCUCCUUUAAUCAUAUUUUGCAACCUUAACCCACCAGCUGUCUGCGCCCUUGUACUGGUACAGCGGGCCUUGUACGGUACAGCCUUAAACCGACGCAAACGACGGCCUCGGGUUUAUCUGUUUCGCAGAGCUUGUUACCGGUAAAGCAGCCUUUGUACCGGUACAGCCGCCUGAAGCGCUUCGAACCCGAGAGCUGCGCAGCCUGGUGCGAUGGUUGUUACCGGUACAACAUCACCUUGUACUGGUACAGCAGCUCAAAUUUUCUGUUUUAACUUCGUUUCGGCUCCGCUUCGCGCGAUCGAUGUCCACACCAUUCCAACACCUUUAGAACUCAUUUUUGUGCUUUCAAAUUUGUUGGAAUACCGAAAUGGAGUCUAUCCAUAUGUUUAAUCGCUACUUUGGCCCAUUUGGCCAAAGUUAGCCAAUAUCGAUCGAAUUUCGAUAUCUACAAAUUUACAUAUUUGGAUUAUGUUAAAUAGAAAACUACUUGAUGACAUAUUGCCAGGUGUGGAACAUAUGUGGACAAUCUACAUAUUAUUAGAUCGAAGUGGAUUAAACUAGUAUCUUGAACCUAGCAAACACUUGUGGGAUUGAGACAUGUUUAUUUGGUGUCAUUCAUGUAUGUUAGGACCCUAUUAUUGUGUGAAUGUGAGAGUCGGACUUGGACAAUAGUAAACAAGGUGCAAUGAAAAUAGAGACAUGAUUGGCAUCAAGAAAGUGGUUGUUAAACAUAGGUUAACCAUAUUGACAUUGGUCCAAGUUGACAAUAGAGAGUGGCAUGAUUAAAUAGGUAGAAAACCUAUAUGACAUUUGCAUUGUGACUAGUGGCUAUGAAUCCUCAAGUUGGAGGAUUGGAUCGAUACUCACGUUACGUCUUGGCUUGAGGAGGUAGCUCCCCUCGGGCGGUGCGCUCCGGAGUUGGUCACCACUGGGCGUGGUAAAGUCCACCAGUUGACGGUCCCUAGGGAGGUGUCGAGUCCCCGUUAUUAGGGAUUUUGGUAGUGAGUUAUUGGGGUUAACAUGGUUAACCGGUAAGAUUGGGUCAUAGCCAAAUGAUGUACAACAAGUAUGCAUUAUGAGUUAUGAUUUGGUUAUCCAGUUCAGAGAGGAUUUAGGGCUGAGGUGUAUGUGAGACGUCCAUCGCCUCGAGCCUAGUUCUAGUGCGGUACUCCGCAGACGAUUGACUCAAGACCGAGUCGGGUGGUAGCCUUGUUAAGGUAGAUGAGACUUUAUGAUUAAAACGAUGAUUGACAAGAAUCUAAGAUAGAGGAAACCUUAGAUAUCAAGUGGAUGGGUUAUGGUUAGCAGAAUUGAAAGUAGUAUUGAAUGAACUACUAGUUGGAUGCAUAGUUGCAUUAUUGCAUGAUUUGCAUAUAGCAUUGCAUUAUUAUGUUUGUAGGCAAUGCAUGGUUUUAUUCAUUGCAUAAUCAAGAUAUAUAUAUCUAUCUGUUUAUUGAACUAACUUGCAGUUGCCUCCCUUGGACCUAUUGGUCGAGCUUUUCCCUUGAGUGGCCGUACCCACUGGGAACCAUGGAGUUGGUUCUCACCCCACGUGGUUUUGGGGUGUUUACAGGUUCGCACGUGAGCGGCGCGGCGGCGCAAGGAAAGGGCGUACCUCCGUAGAUAGCGCCCUACCCCAGAGACCAGAGCUAGCAGUACCCCAUCGACAUAGCUUAGGGGUUAAAGAAAUGAAAAGAACACAAUAUAACAUGAUGUAUUAAAGAUAUAAAUGUUGUAAUAAUUUAGAUUGCAUUUAGAUGAAAAAGGAAUGGUAGUUGGGAUGUAAAAUGCAUGAACAUGAAUGAAUGUAAUAAUAUAGGAUGUGUUUAUGCUGUUUGAUACCUUCCAUUAUGCAAUCUUGAUUGAAAUGUGUUCCUGGUUGGAACUUCGUAUAUUGUAUUGAUUGCGAAGCCUUGAAUGUACAGGGGAGACUCUGUCCGCGGUAAAGGAAAAACCCUGUCCGUUCGGCGGUCUGUCGGCGGCGCCACGACCCGGCCAAAUAGGCGGGUGGUCGCGGGGCGUGACAUUCAGGAUCCGGACCCCAUAGGUACUCUCUUAUAAUACUUAUUUAGCACUGUCAGAUAUUUGGGUGUUCCACCCAAGGUUUAAAGUAUACCGAAUAGUGAUAUAAGUGUUCCAUGUAUGGCUAUAAUGUGAAUUAUGAGGUCUCCAAUAUAAAAGUGGUCAUAUGACUAUUAGAUAUAUGGGUGUGACCUACACUACUAUAGAUGCACCUUGGUAAAAUUCUAGUUAAAACAUUUUCUUAUGACAUUUACUUAGCACUGGCAGAUAUAUGGGUGUUCCAACUAAGCCUUAGAGUGUACCGACUAGCUUUAUAAGUAUUCCGUUUCUGGCUAUAAUGUCACGCCCCGGGACCGAUACCAAUUUGGGCCGGCCCGAGCACGUCAACAGACGCCGAACGGACAGAGUUUUCCCUAUCCGCCCAAGGCUCAUCACAUGUACAAAUUCAAACAAGAAAUGCACUAGCGGAAACAUACACAAACGGCUUACACGAGGGUAAGCAAUAGCCAUUAGUGAAAGAAAAAGGAAACUAAACAUUCACUUAUACUAUGAUUCAUUUUUGAUCAUAUACAUUGCAUUCAUCUUGUUCAUUUUCGAAUUCCUUACAUUUCAUUUCAUCAUUUCUUUCUUACAUCACAUUUACCUCAAAAUACACAUUACAUUCUUUUCUUUACAUCAUUUACCAUCAUGUACAAAAGAUGAUCAUAGGGUACUUUACUACAAAAUGAAACCCAACUUUGGUGGCCUCUGACUAAGGCGCGAUACCUUUACCUCGGUCGCUCGCCGGCUCGCUCGGUCCCGGCUCUGUGGAAAUAGUGGGGUGAGAACUACAACAAAGUUCCCAGUGGGUUCGGCCUCAACAUCACCGACUUUCCCACUAGGACUAACUCAGGCAUAAUAGAAAGAAUAAGCUGCAUAUAGUAACCAAUCUAUACAUGAUGCUAAUAUGCCUGAACAAUAAAGCAGAAAUAUGCUCAGCAUUAAAUAAAUGCAGAUUAUGCAAAUUCAUUGUUCUUUUCACGUUACUCUUUGUUCUUUGUUCUUUACUCUUUGUUCUUUAUUCUUUAAUCUCAAGGCUAACCCGGGGGUUUCGCCAUAUUAACUUGCUUCACAUUAAGUCCAUCAUCGCAGGAACUCACCCGCUAGGACCGUCCUUCGGGUUUACUCCAACCCGUGAUGCAUAACUCUGGAGCGCAUUGCCCGAGGGGGAGCGACCGCCCUCGAGCUCGGAACUCAUAGCAAGUAUGAUCGUAUCCUUAACUCAAAGGAUUUAUAAGUUCAAUCUUGACUUUACACUAGCUCUAGUGUCCUUUACAUCACUUUAUGUUGCAAACUCAUGCAAUCGUUGUUCUUUAUUUUUCUUUUUCUUUUGCUAUCUUUAGCAUUCUUGUUCUUUACAUUCCUUACUUUUGGCUACCUCUAGCACUUCAUGUUCUUUACUCCCCACGUUACUUUAAUUUUAAGCAUUGUCAUUUUCAUCAUUCUUUACAUUACAUUGGUUCUUUACCUCACACUAUCUCUAGUGUCAUUUUACAUUAACUUUAUCAAAUGCCACUCGAUCUAUGUCAUAGUGUCACUCUGUUCUUUUGCUCACUUUGGGUGCUCACUUUCUCUCAUGCAUACACAUAGGGUUUUCGACAUCACAUGGUUCUCAUUCAUCAUAUUAUGCAAGUUGUACUCACAAUCAUGCAUCAUUACGUUUUCAUCAUUAUUUUACCCUAAAAUGCAUGCAACAAUAUAUACAUACAUGCUCAAAUGAAUGACACAUUAGGCAUAGAGAGAAGUUCAAUGGGUUUGAGAAGCACCACCCACCUCGUAGGUCUAUCUAGGUGCUCCGACGAUUUUCUUAGGAUUUUUAGACCCUUCGUUCUUUACCUGCGGCAUAACGGAGCCAAAUUAGGCUUAUUGGGCCAUAACCUUACAUACACUUUUCGAAACGUUAUUCCGAGCGCACCAACGCGUCGGAAAUACCACCAAUUGGGUUUCUAGGGGGUCAAUUGCACUUAGAAACCCCUAUGAGCAAAAGCCCCAAUUUGGGUGCCCUAGCUCCAUUGCAUCAUCAAACCUAGGGUUUGAUCUCAAAGAGAAGCAAAAGUAGCUUCAAUAUACUCUAAAUAGUCCAUUAGAACCAUUUCUAGUUCACUCCAAACCCUAGUUUGGAUUUCACCAUUAGAGGUGGCCAAAGCUCACCUCAAGCUAAACCAUGGCUUUGAUCUCUAAAGAAGCAAAAAGAAAGCUUCAAAGACUCUAAACAAUCCAUUAAAACCAUUUCUAGGUUUAUUCAAAGCCCAUUUUAGGGUUUUACUACAAUAGGGUUCAAAUCUUACAUUGUAAGCUCUCCUUUCUUGCACUAGAGAGGAUGAAGAUGAAGCCUCUUUGCUCCUCGAUCUUCUCCUUCACUUUCUUCUCCUUCUUCUCCUUCUUUUCUUCCUUUCUUCUUCUUCUCCUUUGUCUUCUAGAGAGAGAGGGGGAGAGAAAAGAGUGUUUGAGAGGAAGAGAAUGAGAGAAAAGGCUCUCUCAGCCCUCUACAUAACCCAUGGGUUGCAAAAUUGAUAAUAAGUCCCUCAACUUUCAUCUCAUUACACUGCCCGAACUGGGCAGUUCGCGCAGCCGGGGACCGGUCUCUCCUUCAGGGACCGGUUCCCGAAGGCUCUCCCCGCGCAGCCAGAGCUGCUGCGCGCAGGGCAACCGGUCUCUCCUUGGGGGACCGGUCUCUCGGACAGGGACCGGUUCCCGAGAGCUACUUUCUCAGGACUUAGCCGAUUUUUCGGCUGUCUCAUUUCAUACGCGUUCGGGGACCGGUCUCUCCCACCAGGGACCGGUCCCCGAGAGCUCAAAGUCUGCAGUUUGCAGAUUUUGAUUCUAUAGCUCUCGAAAACCUCCCGUAACUUACUUUUAAUCAUUUUAACACCUUUGGACUUUCCGAAGUGUACCGUCCUCGCACUUUGGUAAAUUUGACUAAAGUUCGACAUUUAUUUUCCGAAUUUUCGGUAUAUUACAUAUAAUAUCAAAUAUCAGGUCUCCAUUAUAAAGUGAUCAUAUCACUAUUAGAUGACGACGGUGUGCCAUACACCACUCUAGAUACACCUCAGUUAAUCUAUAGCUGGAGCUUAUUUUUUCUAAAAUGGAGUUAUCGGUCUCUGGUAUAUGGGUAUGCCCUUUAACACGACAGAUGUACCGGGCCCCUCAAAAAUUAUUCCAUUCUAAGGCAUACGUGCAAAAGUAAGCCAUAAUUGUAAAAGUGUAUAGAAGUGUCAUGUAAGUGUUUUGUUGCUAGCUAUAAAGCUUCACAUGUAUCGAACCGUCCUUUAAGUGUUCCGUUGCUGGCUAUCACUGGUAGGUACCUGGAUUCGCCCGUUCAAUACUUUGCAUGUAUUUUCACAUACCUAAAUCUGUCAUUCCUUUUUAUAACAUAGAAGUAGCUAUUGAGUAAUGUAGAUCUCUCAACAACACGUAUAAUGGUCAAUCAGUCACCUGCUAACUUUCAUAUAUAAAUUUUUUAUACUUGAUUAUAGUUAACUUUGCAUAUAGUAGAACAUUGGACUACGAAAUCUUACCCCUUUGUCAGCACUUGUGCAUUACAUCAAGUCGAAGAAGGUACAGAUUUGGAAGACUUGACAUGUCACCAUUUUAUUUAAAUAGCCGCAAUAGUUUGCAAGUUUAUUUGGCCCCAGAAUAAAUACCUGCUAUGUAUACUAAAGGAAUACCUACAUAUGCUUACUUGCAUAGGUAUACAGUUAGAUAGAAUAAUCAAAUUUCACUAAAACAGAGUCACUCAUAUUGGUAUAAGCUAAUAGUAGGUCUGAUUAUGGAGGUUAACACUUACUAUACUUAGACACCUCAAGAAUGGAGAGCAACACCUUUACAUCACAAGACGAAAUACAUACAAGCAGUAUCAAAUGCAUAGCAUUUUAAAUAUAUAUAAAUAUACAUUGAGUAUAAUAAUGCAACACAAAUUCACCAAUGUAUACAAACAUGACUCAUAUAGUAAACAGAAAGCAAGAAUAUUGAAUAUUGCUAGAUAUGAGGAAUAUAAGCACGUCAUUACAUUGUUGUCAAUCUUAUAUCCAGUGCUACAACAGAAACAAGAAAAAUACGAAAUAUUGUUAAUUCACUGUUUAUAAAUCGACACGUACGAACAAGGAGGUACAACACAGAUCAAUUCUAAAUCUGUAACUGUAGAUUUAAUACAAUGCCUGCUGCUUUCAUGUGCGCGAUGCUCUUCCACCGUGCUGAAAUUCAUGUUCCUACGGGAUCUCAUUUUCCUGUAACUGUUUAAAAGGUUAAUACGAUCAAUUUAAAACCGCCAAUAUAUAUAGAUUGUAUCGAGACUUUGUUAAUACCUCUUGCAAAUGAGUUGGGUGUGGCAUGUGCGUCUGAGGGGUCAGAUUCUGAUUUGUAGAUUGAGGAGGCAUAUCCACUCUAUGAGGAUACAUGAUAGGAUUUGAUGAUACGGAUAUAUUUUUAGGGCCCCACGUUGUCUGAUAUAAAAAGAAAGCAAACGUAAACCAUAUUAUUACUAUAUAGAUAAAAUUGUAUUAAAGAACCGUCCAUAAGAAAUAUAAUUUCUGUUACUGUAACGAUGAUGCCUCGGCUGCUUUGUACACCCAUCCCAUAAGGUAAGACACUUGCUGACGAAUUGUUAAUCGUAGGACUUUGUAGAUGAACCUGUUUUAAUAAACCAUUUUGUUUUGUAGAAUAUGAGAUCCAGAUGUUUAAAAAUAAUUAGUGAAGUUCCAUUUAUAUGUCUAUAUUAGAAAAUAAAAUAUAGAAAUAAUAAUGCGUAAAAUAUGUACGCUCUUUUGGGACGAGGCCGACUGUGAUGAUGAGACACAAUUAUAAAUGGAACAUUCACCGUUAUAUAACCUGUCCCAACAAUGUUGCCCAACCUGUUAAAUAGAGCAUGAAUAAUUAUCACUCAUUGUCGUCUAUCGUAUAUUACAAUCCAAAAAAACAUUGAUUGAGAUAGGUUAAGAUAUACCUGUUCUUUAUUGCCUGUCAUCUUCAACCGUCGUACAACUUUAUUGGUCGUCGACUCUUUUCUUUUGCUUGGCGGGCGGCCUUUACUGCGAACAAGUAGUGGGCUCAAAACUCUCUGGUCGUUACUUCUACCAUUAGACGCAUCAUUCGAAGGUGUUGCCGCAAUCGGCGAAUAUUCAAUAUCAUUGCUCCCCUUCGAUGAUGAAGUAUUUUCUAAUUUUGUCUUCAAAUCUCGUAAUGUACGUAAUGCUAGUUCACAUUUCUCAUCAGACUCAGCAGCUAUGUCUGCAAUAUCAUACAUAUUCCUACAUACUUCUUCAUAUCGAUAAAUUUCCGCGGUGCUCCCUAAGUUCUUUUGCCAUGUCUUCACGCGGGUAUACCUCCGUCUGACAUCCUUCCUCCAUCGUGUUAAUAUGUACGAAUUUGGGACAAUCAUCAACUUCCUAUGAACUAGGACGGCAAUUGAAUGUCAACAUAAAAUACCUUUAUACUCAAAUAGACGGCAAAUACAACUUACUAGAGAGGUACCUUCAUCAAAAUAUACUGUGAAGGGUACAUCUUUACCUCCGUCGCCAUACUCAUUUACUUGAUAAGAAUACACACUGCCUGUCGAAGACAGUAAGGAGGUCUCACAAUGCAAUAAUUCCUUCAACUCUGCCUGAAAGUCUCUAAAUUUCGCAAUCGUGUAUACAUCUUGAAAUUGCUUCUCAAAUGCAUAACGGCUGAUAUACGGGAUGAUUGAGCUGAAUGAUUUGUAGUCUAAUUCUGCUUCUUUUUCAGCUUUAUUUUUUAUUGCGCUUUCAUAUUGCUCAACGAAUUGUUUUAAUUGAGUUUUCGAGUUCACAUACCCAUCAAAAAAUGCAUUCAUACUUUCACUACGCUGUGUUGUGGACAUUCCAGCCCAAAUUGUAUCCUUCACAUAAGCUGGUAUCCACUUAUGUCUUUCCUCGUACAGGCCUGACAACCACUGAUUAUUUUCAAGUGCAUAAAAAGCUAUCAUUCUCUUCCAUUUUUCCUCAAAUUCAAUUUCUAUCAGUGAUUCAUAAAUAGCAUCCAUCAUCACGCUCUUCAUCGAAUGAUAUUCGCCAUAGCUUCUUAGCUUUUCCAGUAUCUUUUUUGUUAUGUGCCAUAAGCACUAUCGAUGCCGAGUAUUAGGAAAGACACGUGCGAUAGCAUUUUGCAUCGCUUUAUCUUGAUCUGUGAUUAUUGCUUUCGGGGCACGGUCGGACAUGCAUGACAACCAAUUUAGAAAGAGCCAUACAAACGAUUCUGUAUCUUCAGUGGGGAGUAGGCCGCACCCCAACAAGAUCGACUGUCCAUGAUGGUUAACACCAACAAAGGGAGCAAAUGGCAUAUCGUACUUAUUUGUUAGAUAUGUCGAGUUGAAAGUAAUUACAUCUCCAAAACAUUCAUAUGCCGCUCUACUCCGAGCAUCUGCCCAAAACACAUUGUGAAGCCGAGAAUCAUUGUCUAGAUCUAUGGCAUAAAAAAAGUUUCCAUUUCUCUCUUGCAUUUCUCUAAAAUAAUUACAAAUUGCUUCGCCGUCACCUUCACCAAGUCGUAACCGACGGGCUUUUUCAAUAUAAUUACGAGCGUCCUUCUCUCCAAAUGUUAAGUUUUCAUAUCCACCAGCCUCAACAACAAUAGAAUUAAAACUUUUAUUCAAUCUUAUUCCAGCACGAUCAUUAAGAUCAAGCCGCCUCUUGACGCUUGUAUCUAUAACUCGAUUGCAGGGAAAAAAUCGAGACUUAUAAGGACUUAGAGUGUGAUUAUGCUCAAGUGUAAUUUUGCUUAUUACACAAGAUGAAUCCGCAUUUAUUACCACAUUUAUUCUGGCAGGACAGUUUGUCUUUGCUACCGAUGGACGAGGACGAAUAUUCGUUACGGUCCGAUACAUUUUUUCAUGACGAGAGCAUGCGAUUAUUACAUAUGUAGCCUUGCCAUCGGUCAUUUUUGUUGACCUCUUUACAACUGCAAAUCCUAUUUCUUGUGCAUAAUGCUUAUAGAAAUUCAAAACGGCAUCAAAAUUGAUAAAAGUCAUUUUAAUUUCUGGUGCCGAUAUAUUUACAUCCCUGACCUCACUGUUUCUUUCUUCAUCCAUCUCAAAAAUAUUAAAUCAAAAUAAUCACUCAACGAAACAAAUUUAAGUAAAUUGCUCACCUGUAAGACAUUAUAUAGAGUUGGAAUACUAAAUUAGAAUAAUAGUGAGUAGGGAAACUAUUUGUCAAAAUUUAGACAUCUAAAGAUUCUACUACGCCCUAAAAAUAUAUUAUCUAUUAACAUAUAGAUCAUACAUCAAAUCAGUGAUGAAAUUAAUCAAAUAAUUCAUCACAAUUAAAAAAUUUUAAUUUACUAAAAAAAUUAAACAUCUCAUACCUGGUUAUAUAUGUGGCAGUGUAUGAAUCGUUGUGCUCGGGGUAAACCAUGUCGUUCAAUUUUGCCGCAUGCUCGAUUGUCGCCUCCGUACUUGCCGCGUCCAAUUUGAUCGCAGAAUCCACCUUCGCGCUUCUUUCUCUUCCUCUCGUUCUCCCUGUUUCUAGCAGAGCACAACUCCUCUCGCUCCCUCUCGCGCCAUGCCCUCGCUCUCUCUCGCGCCCUGCUCCCGCUCCCGCUCGAGCUCUCCUCUCUCUCUCGGUCGCUCGCUCGCUCACCUCUCUCUCUUUAGCUCGCUGCCUCGCUCGCUCGCCUCUUUCUCUCACGCUACCGCGCUCGCCUCUCUCUCUCUUUAGCACGCUGGCGCCAAAAUUUAGGGCAAAAGAGGGAAAACGUGAGGGGAUAAAAUGUGGGAGUGAGGCUAACACUGGUUUUUUUUUUUUUCAAACCAAGUUUAUAUCAGCCGUUAGAUCAAGAAGUUGUAGGAUCUACAACUCUAAAUGGGGUGCAUGGGUAGCACGACUCUUAUUUACUUCUGGCACCAUUUUCCGUCCAUAAACCCCCUCUCCCAUCGCCCACUCUCACUCUCUCUCUCUCUCUCUCUCUCUCUCUCCCUGUAGAGUUCGCCCUAGCCCUAGCCCUAGCCCUAGCCCUAGCACUCGCCCUCGACCUCGCUCUCGCUCUCGCCUGUCUCCCCGAUCCAAAUAGGUACGAUUAAUCCUUUUCCCCCCUCAUCAACCAAUUUGUGUUUAUUUUAGGUUGGAUUCAAAAGCUCUCUCCGUGGUCGCCGAACUCCGUGAACAGCGAAGAAACCCUAAUCUUGGACUCCGAUUCCCCUUCGAUCGGUAUUGUUUUUCCCCUUUUUUUUGAUGUUUUAUCUCACGAUUUAGCGUGAAGGUUUCGAUCACAAAAUUUGGGGAUUUUUCAGAUCAUAAUACUCGAUUUAGAUAGCCCUUCUGUGCAUAAUGCUUAAAAUGAAAAUGCAAAUGAUGAUGAUUACGAUUGAUUAUGAACCCUCCUAGUAAUAAACAGUUAAAGAAGAAUUCAUAUACAAGCGGAUUCGAUAUAGGAAUUAGAGUAGAGGGGCCGAUUCUACUAACGGCGAAAUGGGUACUAAACGGAAAGAAAGAACUGAUGAGACUCCUGAUCCGAUUUCGCUUUCGUACCCCGAUCCGGAAUUCUUCGACUUUGACGAAUGCAGGGAUCGGAGUUUAUUCGAAGUCGACCAGAUUUGGGCGCUAUAUGAUGAUCUCGACGGAAUGCCUAGGUUUUAUGCUCGAAUUAGGCACAUCUAUGAAAAUCAAGAUUUCAAGGUGGGCUUCACUUGGUUAGAGCACGAUCCUUCAAAUGCAGCUGAGAUGGCGUGGUCUCGUCAGCAAUUGCCUGUUGCUUGCGGGAGCUUCAGGCGAGGGAAAGCAGAAGUAAGUCAAGACCCUCUCAUGUUCUCCCACAUUAUUUCUUGGGAAAAAGGUAAAAAGAAGAACGGUUAUGAUAUUUAUCCGAAAGAGGGUGAAGUUUGGGCUGUUUACAAGGGCUGGGAUAUCGCGUGGAGCUCAGAUCCGGACGACGACAGGACAUUCGAGUAUGAAAUUGUUGAAGUCCUUUCGGAUUUUGUGGCGGGAAGCGGUAUCAAUGUCAUUCCUCUAGUUAAGGUAGAAGGUUUCGUGAGUCUGUUUGUGCGCGCAAAAGACAAAGCACCGUAUCGUAUACUAUCCAGUGAAAUACUUAGGUUUUCACACAGAGUCCCCUUUCACAGGAUGACCGGAGCUGAACGUGACGGUGUCCCACAAGGUUCUUUUGAACUAGAUACUGCAUCUCUUCCUAUUAACAUGGAAGAUGCUUUUCCAUCUGUUCCUCUUGAAUGCGGUACGACCAAAACCGGAAUAUCUCCUAAAAGUUCAACUAAUGAUGCAGGAGUUGGGCCUGCUGCCGUUAAGGAGAUUGAGAGGGUGAGGAGGAAGGAAUUUGACCAUUCUCAAUUAGCAACCACGUUCCAUUGCUCGGAUGAAUAUCCUGCCCCUGAGUUCUGCAACGUUGAUGACGGGAAAUUGAUCAAUAGGAUCCAGCCGGGGCAGAUUUGGGCGCNUUUUUUUUAACUGUAGUAGAUAUUUAACUCAUGUUUAACCCAAGUUAACUUAACAGGAGAUAAUUAUGAGGGUAUUUUGCAAUAACGGUGGAACAUAUGAGGGGUAUUUUAGAAAGAAAAAAAAAGUAGAAGUAAAUCGGAUAUUUUCAAACGUAUGAAAGGUAUAUAGGCAAUUAUUCCUAAUAUAAAACAACUACUAUUUAUUUCAUAAGUAAAAAAAAUAAAUUCACGAUUAAAGAAAAAUAAAUAAAGAUCCAUACACAUACCUUACAUUUUGCAUCCUAAUUAAAAACUUUAGAAGAAAAAAAAAUUACUAGCACCUAAGAAAGAUUGGAUUUGGCUUUUGAAAUGCUAAUCAAUAUAUUAAUUAGAUUCAAUAUGAUCGGAAAAGGGUAGAAAGGAAGAUUAUUUGGGAUAAUGGAGACUAGGAUUUUAUUUUUAUUAGAAUUUUUUAACUUUUUAUUAUUGCUAAGAAGAAAAAGAGAUUUAGCAGGCCAUCAAGCCUGCUACGAGCCAAACUCUAAAUUUUGUUGGACCCUACUUGGGGGUCAAUUUGGACUCUACAGUGGGGUCAACUAUAUAAUAAAAGCCAGUUUAAAAGGCUUAGAAUGCAUGUGGGCUCAACUAAAUGUGCUUGUUUGCACCAUUCUCAAUGGCGUCAAUGGACCCCACUGAGAAUGAAUUGGNAAUUUGUAAAUAUUUUGAUAAUUUCAUCAAAUUUAAUAGUUCUAAGUAUUAUUUAGCAAAUUAAUUUAAAUUAAUUAAUUGGCAAUAGCUAAUUAGGAUAUUAAUUUUAAUAAUGUAUUUAACAAACUAUAAUAAUUAAUAAAAUCAGAAAAAAUAUAUAAAAGUUCAACCUCUUGAGGAUUUCAUUUCCAAAUUGCCUGCAGUUGAGGGGGUCUCCAUAGAAUUUCACAAAAAUAAUAUAAAAGUCGACCAUUGUAGCUAGUUAGGUUAAUAACACUAUCCNGAACACAUGGGUAGGAUGUCAAUGGGUAUGGAUAUUCAAAAUUUUAUCCGAACCCGAACCCAAAUGAAGCGGAUAUAUCCGAUGCUAAAUGGAUAUGGAUUCGGAUAUGGAUAUAAAAAAUAGAAAUCCGACGGAUAUGAAUUCAGAUAUGGAUUUUGAUUGUACCCGACCCGAACCCGAGCCCGACCCGAAACCGAAUUUAUUUUGUAUUAUAUAUAUAUAUAUAUAUAUAUAUAUAUAUAUAUAUAUAUAUAUAUAUAUAUAUAUAUAUAUAUAUAUAUAUAUAGAUAAAUUUGAUACUAUAUUUGAUUUUUUGUAUUUUAAAAAUUUAGAUUUAAUAUAAUAUAUUUUGAAAUAUUGAAGAAAGAAAUAAUUGUUUCGGGUUUAAAUUUUCGGGUUCGGGUUCGGGUUUUGGAUUUUUUGUCGGGUUCGGGUUUGGAUAUGGAUUUUUAAAAUCCGUCGGGUUCGUAUUCGGUUUCGGGUCUCGGAUUUGAAGUCGGGUUCGGGUUCGGGUUUUUGAAAAUCCGCACCGAAUCCGACCCGUUGACAUCUUUACACAUGGGUCCUUCACUAUUAUUAUAUAGGGUAGACUUCAAAUACCACCCCUAUAGUUUCGCACUUUCUCAUUUUAGUACCUUAUGGUUUAAAGUGUAUCAAGCUAGUGUCCUGUGGUUUUAUUUUUAUUUUUUCGUCAACUUUUAGUUAAUAUUUUCUUUAAAUUAUAUACAAAAAACUUCAGAUACCUUACGUAGGUUUAUUGAAUAUUUACUUUAGUACUCAUUAGUUUUAACUUUCUCACUGAUUUAACAAAAAAAAAAUAAUAGAAUCAAUAAUAAAAUGAUAAAAAUGAAACCAGAGGGCACUAAAUUGAUACACUUUAAAUCACCGAGUACCAAAGUGAGAAAGUUUGAAACCACACGGAUGAUAUUUAAAGUUUUUCCUAUUAUAUAAUAUAAAUUGUUGGAUGUAGUGCCGUUGAUAAUUGAUAGCAAAGGGGAAGAAAAACGUUAAUUAAUUGAAUGAGGAGAAUAAGUAGUGAAUCCUCAUAAUUUGUCUGUGUGUUCCCACUUCUUUUUCCAGGAAAAAAAAAAAAAAAAAAAAAGCAACGAAGAUUCUGCUGUAGUAGAAAGCAAAUUAAAAUUAGAUUUUGAGCCUCAAAUGUAAAGCUUGUAACACGGUGAUUCUGAUUCCAGUGCAAAAAUAACCUGUCGGGAUGUUUUAAUGUAGAAAUUCUAACAGCACUAUUUGAGUUGUGUGUCAAAUAACAUUGCAAGCACUCGAAGGCUGUGCCACCCUCAAGAUUUGGAUUAGUUCUAUAUAUAAGGUAUCGUAGGACAAAAUUUUUUUAAUCCAAAUAUAAUAGUUUGGACGGUGGUUAUAUAUGUUUAAGAGAUUAAGAGGAUUAAGCAUGCUAGGAUUAGAGUAAUUUUAGAAUGGUGACCCCCAUAGGAAGCAGGGCUGAUAUCAGAAUCAAUCACCAACCAGAAGUGUGAGAUGAGUAUCGACUGAGUUAGGAUCAUACAGCAGAAAGAGCGCAGCUCCUCGGCUAACAAUCAUUGUGGGUAGAGUGCGACUCGCACAAAGUCGACUAAGACUAGCGAGGCGAAUCUCAUAUCACCUGAUGCUUAUGAGUAUUCUUGAGUCUGAUGAGGACGUCAAACUUAAAAAGGAGAGGAAUGCAACACCCUCAAGAUUUGAAUUAGUCCUAUAUAUAGGCUAUAAUAUGACAAAAACCUCUUAAUCCAAUAAUAGCAUUUUAGACGAUAGCUAAGCAUAUUAGGACCAUAGUUAGUUAAUUCGGAUUCGGCAAAAAUUCGGUACGGAUAUAAUACGCAUAAAAUUCGUUUUCUAAUUUUUAAAUUCGUUGAAAAAUUCGGCUUAAAAAACAGUUUCGGUAUAAAAUAUAAAAUAUAAGAUAUAAAAUAUAAGAUAAUUUAUAUUUAAAAAUAAAAAUUAUAAGUUUUUUAUUCAUAUUUUUUUAAUAAUUCACGAAUAAUAUGCGAAUAAUUCUACUGGCCCAAAAAUUCGCGAAUAAUUCUCUUUCUUUGGGAAAAAUUUGUAAACGAACCGUUUAAUUCGGAUUUUCAAUAAUUCGCGAAUAAUUCGCGAAUUAACUAACUAGGAUUAGGACUCGAGUAAUUCUGGGAUGAGUGACUCCUCCGGGAAGCAAGGCCUCGAAAGGCCCUAUUUGAUACACGUAUAUUUCUUUUGAUUUAAUUACUAAAACUUGUAACAUUCGGGUAGACGAAAAGUAUAAUCAAAUGUCGAAAAAAACAUAUGUACUAUGCAUGUUCUCAUAAAUAAAUUAUUUUUUCAAAUUAUGAAUGCUUUGACUAUGCAAGGAGUUAAUUUUAAAUCCGUAACUUGCAAUCACACAACAAAAUCCUCUUGACUUAUAACUUAUCAUUUGUAUAACUUGUUCCCGCAUCAAAAUGUACAGGUAGGCAGAUUAACUCGACAUUAUGAUAGCCAUCGAUUGCCCGAGGCAACGGUGGGUAAAUAAAAGCUACUACCUCGGAGGUUUAGCUGCUAGCCAUGGCAACUUUUACUAGAUAUGGUGAACUUCAUAGAUCUUUAGUUUAAAGUAUGAAAAAGCUAUAACAAAUGAACAGGUAGUUCACCCGCAUUUUUACUUACCGACUUUUACUUAUAGGAGAUUUUUCACUACUAUCUUUAAAACAUUAGUACUAGCUCUCAUAUCUAGAACAAGAUUUAUCAAAUUUCUUAAAAGAUUGGUUUUAAGUUAACUAAACUUAUCAAAAUGUGGCAAUUUGCUCUUUUGGGGAGUAUAGUUGGUAAUUUUAAUGAUUAAAACUUUGGGAAUUAAACUAGUAAUCCAUUUACUACAGCUUUUCUAAACUUUAAAUUAAAGAUUUAUAAAGUUCACUAUAUCUAGUACAAGUUGCCACGGCACGGCUAGCAGCUAAACUUUCGAGGUAGUAGCUUUUGUUUACCCACCGUUGUCUCGGAUAAACGAUGACUAUAUAUCGUAAGGUCGAAUUGAGAUAUAUAUAUAUAUACUUUGAUAAACGCACGCUAUUACGUUAUGUUUACCUAUAAUUAGUCUCAGGAUGUACACCCCGUUAAACUUGAUGAUAAUGAUAGAUUUCUUUUUAUUAUAGGAAUAAGGAAAGAACACCUACAAUAAACAGAGUAAUCAAUCUACAAAAAAGGAAAAUAAAUAAAUAAAUAAAUAAAUAAAGGUUGUAAGGGUCCGGGGCAUGCGGUGUUUUGUUUGUGGUGAUUUCAUAGUUAGUUAGUUAGAAUAAGUCUAGUAAUUAGUAGUUAUUUUAACCUCUUAAAGUUCGUUAAAGCAUUUCGACACGGUAGUGGGUACGUUGCUUAGGAAAUUUGUUUAAAUUUUAAAACUAAUAUAUUAAUAAAUCCACAAAGAAAAAGAUUUCUUUAUUUUUUACGGAUGUUCUAAUUCUAACAGAUUUCACAUCCACUGUUUUUAUUCCUUAACUCGAUCUUAUGUAGAUUUUCGUGGUUGAUAUGAAGAUCCAAAGAUUGGGAAUCAAGAUGGGAAACUGAUAAUUAAUUAUCAGAAACCUAUUUUUUGAUAAGGUACGCGGAUCGAUGGUGGUAGUAGGAUAGAGAUGUAGUGUGAUAGGUUACCGAUGUUUGAGUUUUCGUGGUUGGGAAACCACGAAAACUCUCAUAAGAUCGAGUUGAGGUUUUUAUUCAUCCGGAGAGCUAGCACUAUUUGUACACUUGAAUUAAUUAAGGUAACGUGAUCGAAAAUAUACAUACCGAAAGCAAACCCUAACGUCUCUCUAACAUAAUGCACGCCACAAACAAAGAAAUGCAUUAUAACGUAAGUUGUACAGCGCUAUUCAGCCAAUGUUAUAUAAAUUAAAGAUGCUAAGGUGGUCUCUUGCAUCUUCAUAUGCUAAAAUAGGGAUGAUAUAAAAUAGAUUUUCGCAGUCUAUACGGAGUUAUGGUUUGAUUCGGAAUUAUAUUUGGUCAUUAUAAUAAUGUAUAAUAUAUAUAUAACAAAUUAAUUAACGUUGGUUUCAAAAGCUAGUAUCAACUCUGUGGUUGAAAAACGCUCCAGGAGUCCGUGGAAAUAAGGGAGAACUGAACAUCACGUGAGAAGUUAGAUACUAAGAGGACUCAGUACUGUAACCAUCCACGGGUCAGGUGUGCGCGCGAAGAUUGGUUAGUUAGUUUUAUGUACGUAUAAAUUAAACUACAAUUUUAUCUAUACGUUAUUAUUAAAUAUAUCACAUUUAUAAAAAAACAUACUAACAUGUAUAUUAAAACAUCUUAUAUAUCAUAUAAAAUGGAUACUUUGAUUAAAAAAAACAGGGCUUUUUUAGUGAAAAGGUUCCGGUUUAUAUGUACUGCACAAAAAACUCUCCAAACUAGUAUUGUUAUAUUUGAAAAACUUAUUUGCUUUCACUAUAAUAUAGCUUAUUCUUUGAGGGACAUAUGUUUAUUUCGGGCUCNNNNNNNNNNNNNNNNNNNNNNNNNNNNNNNNNNNNNNNNNNNNNNNNNNNNNNNNNNNNNNNNNNNNNNNNNNNNNNNNNNNNNNNNNNNNNNNNNNNNNNNNNNNNNNNNNNNNNNNNNNNNNNNNNNNNNNNNNNNNNNNNNNNNNNNNNNNNNNNNNNNNNNNNNNNNNNNNNNNNNNNNNNNNNNNNNNNNNNNNNNNNNNNNNNNNNNNNNNNNNNNNNNNNNNNNNNNNNNNNNNNNNNNUACCGGAUGCUCCGGUAUUAUAGUCUUGUUUUCGAUCUCAGGAUGUUUAAAUUAACGAUCCACACAGUUAAAUAUGAUUUAGGAUAUAUGAAGUUCCUACGAAUAAAAUUUUAGUUUUUUUCGACAUCGUUUACUUAGUAAAUAAAUUAUGUCAAAAUGGACGGUAGAAAUUGAAUAAUUUUUAAAAUUUGAGUAUAGGACUUUUAAAUUCAAGAUAAAGAAUGUUAACCUUAAUCUAGAUAGUUUAAAGUAUUUUCUAUCAAAAUUUGAAAAAAUUUAGAUUUUUCUACACCGUUAAACUCCAAACUCGCUAUAGUAGCCAUUGAAAAUUGACAAUUUUAAAAUGGUUUGAUCAUAAAAUAAACUAUGUCGAAAAAAUAUAAAAUUUUAUUUGUAAAAACUUUAAUACCCUAUAUCAGUUUUAACGGUGUGAAUCGUUGAUUUGAACACCCUAAGAUCGAAAAUGAGACUAUAGUACCGGAGUCCCGGUACUAUAGAUAGUAUAGGAGACUAGCUCUAUGUAUAUAUACAUAUAUAGAACUAGACUACUAUGCUAUUAAUAGCACCAAAUUAUUGGUGCUACCAAGUUUUUCGCCAUUGGAUUAAGAGAUGUGUGGUUAGGAUGAUGUGGGCCCCCUAGGGUUGAGUGGGUGGUUGGUUGAAUAGUAUGAUCUAACGGAUGAAAAUGAUCAAAAGGGUAGAUCUAACGGUGGAAAACUUGGUAGCACCAAGUGCUUCAUGCUAUUAAUAGCAUAGUAGCCGGACUCUAUAGAAUAUAUAUAUAUNNNNNNNNNNNNNNNNNNNNNNNNNNNNNNNNNNNNNNNNNNNNNNNNNNNNNNNNNNNNNNNNNNNNNNNNNNNNNNNNNNNNNNNNNNNNNNNNNNNNNNNNNNNNNNNNNNNNNNNNNNNNNNNNNNNNNNNNNNNNNNNNNNNNNNNNNNNNNNNNNNNNNNNNNNNNNNNNNNNNNNNNNNNNNNNNNNNNNNNNNNNNNNNNNNNNNNNNNNNNNNNNNNNNNNNNNNNNNNNNNNNNNNNNNNNNNNNNNNNNNNNNNNNNNNNNNNNNNNNNNNNNNNNNNNNNNNNNNNNNNNNNNNNNNNNNNNNNNNNNNNNNNNNNNNNNNNNNNNNNNNNNNNNNNNNNNNNNNNNNNNNNNNNNNNNNNNNNNNNNNNNNNNNNNNNNNNNNNNNNNNNNNNNNNNNNNNNNNNNNNNNNNNNNNNNNNNNNNNNNNNNNNNNNNNNNNNNNNNNNNNNNNNNNNNNNNNNNNNNNNNNNNNNNNNNNNNNNNNNNNNNNNNNNNNNNNNNNNNNNNNNNNNNNNNNNNNNNNNNNNNNNNNNNNNNNNNNNNNNNNNNNNNNNNNNNNNNNNNNNNNNNNNNNNNNNNNNNNNNNNNNNNNNNNNNNNNNNNNNNNNNNNNNNNNNNNNNNNNNNNNNNNNNNNNNNNNNNNNNNNNNNNNNNNNNNNNNNNNNNNNNNNNNNNNNNNNNNNNNNNNNNNNNNNNNNNNNNNNNNNNNNNNNNNNNNNNNNNNNNNNNNNNNNNNNNNNNNNNNNNNNNNNNNNNNNNNNNNNNNNNNNNNNNNNNNNNNNNNNNNNNNNNNNNNNNNNNNNNNNNNNNNNNNNNNNNNNNNNNNNNNNNNNNNNNNNNNNNNNNNNNNNNNNNNNNNNNNNNNNNNNNNNNNNNNNNNNNNNNNNNNNNNNNNNNNNNNNNNNNNNNNNNNNNNNNNNNNNNNNNNNNNNNNNNNNNNNNNNNNNNNNNNNNNNNNNNNNNNNNNNNNNNNNNNNNNNNNNNNNNNNNNNNNNNNNNNNNNNNNNNNNNNNNNNNNNNNNNNNNNNNNNNNNNNNNNNNNNNNNNNNNNNNNNNNNNNNNNNNNNNNNNNNNNNNNNNNNNNNNNNNNNNNNNNNNNNNNNNNNNNNNNNNNNNNNNNNNNNNNNNNNNNNNNNNNNNNNNNNNNNNNNNNNNNNNNNNNNNNNNNNNNNNNNNNNNNNNNNNNNNNNNNNNNNNNNNNNNNNNNNNNNNNNNNNNNNNNNNNNNGGGGGGAGUCUGUGACACCCCAAUAGUCCCACAUCGGAUGGGAAUGGGGUUGUCAUUGGGUUUAUAAGAGACUUAGACACUAGUAAUAAUAACUAGGCUUAAGUAUUUUGGGCCGGUGAUUGGGCCCAACGAGUUAUUGUUGCUAGUGGGCUGGGUCGUUACAUUAACUCUUAAGAUGAAUUUGAUAAUGAUUUUUAAAUAUUACAAAAUUUGGUUUCUAAACAUUUCUAAUUCUGUAGAUCAAUUUCAACGAUGCCGAUUAUCAAUUUAAAGUUCCGACCAUUCAAAACGACUUGAUAGGACAAGUGCUCCUAUCCUAUUAAUAGGAUAGUAGCCGGACUCAUAUAUAUAUAUAUAUAUUACACCCGUUAGAUUAUACUAUUAAACCAAUAACUCACUCAACCCUAGGGGCCCACAUCAUCCUAACUGUACGUUUUUUAAUUCAAGGGCCGAAAACCUGAUAGCACCAAAUGCUUGGUGCUAUUGAUAGUAUUCCAGCCUAGGUUUAUAUAUAUAUAUAUAUAGAGAGAGAGAGAGAGAAAGAGAGAGAGAGAGAGUAAAACUACUAUGCUAUUGGAAGCAUAAAGUAGUUGGUACUUUCGAUUUUUUAGCUCUUAGAUCAACCCCAUUGAUCAUUUGUAACCAUUGAAUUAAUAUUAUAAAUCAAUGGGGACCACUCAAUCCUAACGGAAUUGCUAUCAUCCCAAUCGUAGAAUUUUUGAUCCAAAGGCUAAAAAAUCGAAAGCACUAACUACUUUAUGCUUCCAAUAGCAUAGUAGCUCUACACUAUAUAUAUAUAUAUAUAUAUAUAUAUAUAUAUAUAUGAGUCCGGCUACUAUACUUUUAUAAGUAUUGGCUUCCUUAUAUUCAUAAGUUUUUGGCCCUUAGAUUUUUUCCAUUGAUCAUUUCCACCCGUUAGAUCAUACUAUUCAACCAACUACCUACUCAACCCUAGAUGACCACUAUCAUUCUAAGCGGGGACCACCAUCAUCCUAACCACACAUUCCAUCAAUUAACGGUUAAAAAUUUAUGAAUACAAGGGGAUCUAUACUCAUAAGAGUAUAGUAGCCCCAGCCUAUAUAUAUAUAUAUAUAUAGAGAGAGAGAGAGAGAGAGAGAGAGAGAGAGAAUUGAGCUCCUAUGCUUUUAAAAGUAUCAAGUCAUUUGUGCUUGUAAGUUUUUAGCCCUUAGAUUAAUAAAUGUGUGGUUAGGAUGAUGUGGACCCCCUUAGGUUGAGUGGGUGGUUGGUUGAAUAGUAUAAUCUAACGGAUGAAAAUGAUCAAAGGCAUAGAUCUAACGGUAAAAAAUUUACAAGCACCAAAUACUUGGUACUUUUACAAUCACCAUAGCCGGACUCUAUAUAUAUAUAUAUAUAUAUAUAUAUAUAUAUAUAUAUAGUUUAGNAUAAAAUUAAUUUGCAGUUUUUCGAUAUCAUUUACCUAGCAAUUAAAAGAUGUUUAAAAUCAAUAAUUUUUAAUGAUUGAUGUAUAUCAUUUACAAAUUUAAUGGUGUAGAAAUAAUUAAAUCAGAUGAAAUUUUGAUAAAAAAUUUUUUGUACUAUUUACUGCAAGAUCAAUAUUUCUAAUCGAAAAUUUUAAUACUAUAUCACUACUUUUUGUGAAAUUUUUAUUUUCAAUCGUUGAUUUUGAACAGUUUCGAUCGCUAUGUAAAUGAUAUCAAAAAUCACAAAAUUUAAUUCCUAGAUACUUCAAAUACACUAGAUCAAGUUUAACGGAGCCAAUCGUCGAUUUGGAAGGUCCAUCAUUGAAAACGGUUUAAAGUACGAAAGCCUCUGUACUCCUAAUAGCACACAAGAUCUACUAUAUAUAUAUAUAUAUAUGAGUGAGGCUACUAUGCUUCUGGAAGUAUGGAGCCUUCCGUGCUUCCAGGUCAUUUUUGAUGUUGUGACUUUCGAAUCAUCGAUCGGCUCCGUUAAACUUGAUCUAGAGUAUUCGAAGUACGUAGAAAAUAAAUUUUGCAAUUUUUCGAAAUCAUUUGCCUAGUGACUAAGGGGCUCAAAAUCAACGGCUGAAAAUAAAUAAAUAAAAAAAUAUAUAAAUAUAUAUAUAUAUAUAUAGAGAGAGAGAGAGAGAGAGAGAGAGAGAGAGAGAGAGAGAGAGAGAGGCUACUAUCGGAAGCACGGAGCCUUCCGUGCUUCCAGCUCGUUUUCGAUGUUGCGGCUUUCAAAUCAUCGAUUGGCUCCGUUAAACUUGAUCUAGAGUAUUUGGAGUACCUAGAAAUAAAUUUUAUUAUUUUUCGAUAUCAUUUGCCNNNNNNNNNNNNNNNNNNNNNNNNNNNNNNNNNNNNNNNNNNNNNNNNNNNNNNNNNNNNNNNNNNNNNNNNNNNNNNNNNNNNNNNNNNNNNNNNNNNNNNNNNNNNNNNNNNNNNNNNNNNNNNNNNNNNNNNNNNNNNNNNNNNNNNNNNNNNNNNNNNNNNNNNNNNNNNNNNNNNNNNNNNNNNNNNNNNNNNNNNNNNNNNNNNNNNNNNNNNNNNNNNNNNNNNNNNNNNNNNNNNNNNNNNNNNNNNNNNNNNNNNNNNNNNNNNNNNNNNNNNNNNNNNNNNNNNNNNNNNNNNNNNNNNNNNNNNNNNNNNNNNNNNNNNNNNNNNNNNNNNNNNNNNNNNNNNNNNNNNNNNNNNNNNNNNNNNNNNNNNNNNNNNNNNNNNNNNNNNNNNNNNNNNNNNNNNNNNNNNNNNNNNNNNNNNNNNNNNNNNNNNNNNNNNNNNNNNNNNNNNNNNNNNNNNNNNNNNNNNNNNNNNNNNNNNNNNNNNNNNNNNNNNNNNNNNNNNNNNNNNNNNNNNNNNNNNNNNNNNNNNNNNNNNNNNNNNNNNNNNNNNNNNNNNNNNNNNNNNNNNNNNNNNNNNNNNNNNNNNUGUGGGUUUUUUUUUUUUUUUUUUUUUUUUUUUUUUUUUUUUUUGCAAUAAGUUUUCAGUUUCUCUGUUAUUAUGCAGGUGUGUUGGAAUAUAUUAACUAAACCUAUAAAGAUAAACAGCGUAUUCAAAUUUUAAAAUCAAAUUGAAAAAUUGAAUAUUAAAAUUAAAAUUUUGAAAAAUUGAAUAGUCAAAUCGAGAAUGGUCCAUAGCUCAGUUAAGUUCUAUAUAUUUUUAUUUUAUUUUAUUUUUUUUGUGUAACUUUUGCCGAGAAUAUUCAAGAGGAUCUAUGCCCCAAAGGUGAGGGGCCAACAUGAUUGAGCUAUAUCUAGGGAUGUCAAUGGGUACGGAUACCCGAAACAUUAUCCGAAUCACAAUCUGAACGGGAUAAAUUUAUCCGAUAGUAAACGAAUAUAGUUUUGGAUAUAGGUAUAAAAAAUAAAAACCCGAUGGAUCUGGACUAGGGUAUGGAUCUUGUCUAUACCCAACCCAAAUCCGAAUUAAUUUUACAUAUAUAUAUAUAUAUAUAUAUAUAUAUAUAUUAAGAUAGAAAAGUAUAAUUGUUUGCGUAAUAACCACAUGAUUUAUAUCGAUUCAACAAAAUUAUUAAUAUUAUAAAUUGGAUUUGUGGGCAUUGUGCAGUGUGCUGUGUGAUGCACACACUUAUACCUUCCAGCUUUGGCAAAUAGUUUAUAAAAUCUGGAAAGUUUCAUAUCAAAAGAAUUUGGGAUAAAUGUAUAAACGUCGACACCUAUGUUGGAAAAAUCUCUCUAAUUUUUUAGUAAAAUUUAAUCUCCUUUCAAAAGUAUUUUGAUUCGAAGAGUUGAAACCACAGUUUAAAAAUGCAUGCAAGAAAGGAUGUAAAGAACAAAUGAGGCCUGUGAGUUUGAGGCAUGCUAGGCACUGUCUUAGAAGCAAGAUUGUCCAUCUACUUGUAAGGCUCUCGCAAUCACUCCUAACGAUACAAUGACCACUGUUCAGUCCAUCGGCAGAUUUUCAGGAUAGUGCAACUCAAACCCAACGAACUUUUAGAGAUCCAGCAAGUGUUGAAGAAAAUGGCUUUCAAACUCGGAGUAGAAGAAGCAAAAUAGCUGCAGAAAGAGGUGGCCUUUUUCCAAGUAAGGACAUAACACCACUGCACCCCAUCCACUUCUAUAUACAGGUAGGAGCCAAAGGUAGGGUCCAACAAUUCUGUCUCAAGUAAGCCAUUAGAGCUUACCGAGGUGCAAAUCACCAACCUCGUAUGUGUUUUGUAAAAAGCAUUACUCUUAUUAUCUCCCGAGCAACUAGCUUGAGGAUGAUGGAGUAAAUAAGAUGAAACCAUUAAUCUUUUGUUUCUAAUGCGGGAUUAAACUUAUUUGUAGAAGCUCAAACAUGGGUUUUGAGACAAGGCUCAUAGGAUGUUGGGCUGCCCUGAAAGCUGAUGGACUAAAAUGAAGUGUCACACCCCAAGGUUUUUUUUGAAAAUCCUUCUUAAGAAAACUAGUGAAAAACAUGUAAAUUUUUUUUGAAAAAAAACACCUUUGAGAUCACCCCGCGGACGCGCAUAGACCCGCUCGGACAAAGGAUCCCCUGUACAAACGGGCAGAGUCUCUCCUGUACAUGCACGGCGUAGCACCGGAUACAGAGUCAACCACACAUACAACCACACAACACAACCAAUCUAAUAAUCACAUAAUUGUUAGAAAAUUGCGUACGGUAAAAUUACAGCGAAAAAAGAAAUCAAACAAAUUUGAUUUUUAAAACUCGAGAUCUGAUCUCAAAACCACGCAAUUACGAUCUCUCAUAUUCUUUAAGAUUAAAGGAGAAAAGGAAAAUCCAAUCUUCACCUUUGCGCGGGUAGAUGUUUACUACAAUUUGAUGAUCAUGAAAUUAGGUUAUUUUGAAGCUACACACGCGUCCCAGCUCUAUAGGUAUCCAUACGAGAUUGGUGAUUUGAUCGAUAUUCUCAUCGGGGUACUAGCUACCUUGCAAAGAACGUCUUUCUUGCUAUAAAAAAAGAGAGAAGGAAAGAGAGAGGAAAAGAGAUGACGGCUAGGAUUUUCUAAAAAAACUCACAUAUCUUAUAUAUAGAAGGAUAUAAUCCUCUUUUAAUAAUAUAAUAACUAUUAAGAAUAAGAAUAAAUUUAGGUUUAAAUUUAUCCUUUUCUUAAUUGGUUAGAUCAAUCAAAUUCUAAUUUGAUUAGAUUUGAACUUUAUCCUAAUUUGAUCAUAUCAAAUUAAUAAUACAAUAUUUACACAUAAAUCCUCUCAUAAUUUAUUAACUGUUAGCUAGUAAGUCCUCUCUUAAAAUAUUUACACUUUAAUACCACUAAUUUGUAAUAAUUACAAAUUAGUCCAAUUAUCAACAUAUUGACAAUUAAGUCCUCCGGCGAUUCAAAAAUCACUAUCUAGCUAUCCGAUCAGUCACAAUCUCUUAUAUGUGUGACCCAAUAUGUUCUAUUCUAUCUGGUAGUGAGAUAUAUUCUAAUCACUAUUAACAAUAUCAUUGAACUCCUUUCAAUGGAUCGGAAUAAUUCCAACUCAGCCCAAUGAUAAUUAUUGAUUAUCUAAAUAAUUCUCAUGAGUUUCACAAUCCACCAAUGACGCUUAGCAACAUAGAGCGGCAUUCCAAUAGAAUGGAAUACUAAACCUCUUCGUGCAGUUACCGUAUGAUACAAUCCUUCUAUCAAGAGUCCCGACUAGAUGGAGGUCAUAGAAUAGCUCAUCAAACCCCAUUGUCUGUCAUAUAUCAAAAUUAUUCGACUCGAGUCUCUAAUAUUGAAAAUCCUUUUUCGCUAUUAACUCUGCCCUGGCUAAGCUCUUCUAAACUCGGUCUCAUAAAUCACAUAGCACUAACGCUCCUAUCUACCGAGGGAGAUAGAUUCCAUAUAAGUGCACACCCUAUUUUUACAAUGAACCUACUGCAACCAAUAUGCACCGCAAGAACCCGAAUAGCUAGGGACGAAGUGUAUGUACAGUCAAACUACAGUAACCUCAUUGUGAAUAGCCGAGGCACUACAGGUCAAAGGACAAGUCACACUACUGCAAUAUUAAGUAAGUCACUGACGAGUGAGUAGACAUCCGAGUAACUUCUCACAUUGGUCAUGUUCGGUGCUCUUGUUCUCUAACAACUAUCUGCAUAUUCGCUCCAAUGUCCUCACACUGUUGACUCGAGGCUCGUCUACCCAAAACGGAAAACGACCGAUGCACCAAUCUUACUGGAUCAAUCACCGUUUCCAUGAUGAUCCAGCGAUCGGGAGUAUUUAGGAAUUAACCAUCAAUAACACAUGUCUCAAAUUCUCAACUCUUGAGAAUACAUGUCAUCAUCUUAUUAAUUUUUUGGACGAUUCAUGGACACAUACACAACAUGAAUGAAAUAAAAAUACAAAUUUAUUCAUAAUAUUUUUAAAUCAAAUACAAAUUUAUAUCCUAAAAAGAAUACAUGUGUCGGUCUAGUUGGCUUCUAGGGCAUACAUUUAACAAUAAUAACCAUAAUCCACAUACACCCACUAAUAUUUAAAAAUUAGUAGGUAAUAAACUAAACUAAUCCAACAGAAAGAUAAUACAUAUCAACAAUGGAUAGAUCUAGAGCAUAACUAUUUAAUACCGUCCUCACGCACCAUUCCAAUCCUCACCGCCGAUGUCACCUGAAAAGUAGUGGGGGAUGAGAAUAUGUAAACACGUCUCCCCUCCCAAUGGGUACUGCAAGUCGACGAAGGCGAGUUGUACUCACUGGCAGAUGGAAGAGAUAAUCAACAAUAGUAAGCAAGUGAAUUAGGUACAGUAGUUGUCACGCCCCGCUACCGGACCUAUUUAGUCGGUUCGGGCAUGUCGAACAGACGCCGAACGGACAGCACCUUCCCUGUCCGCUCAAGGCUCAACACAAGUACAAAUCAAGUAGAUAUAUUGCACAUGCGGAAACAUACAUAUAUGGCUUGCACGAGGGCAAGCAGUAGUGAAAGUGAAAGUACUAAACUAAACAAUAUACAAGUACAAUGAUUAACUUUUAACCAUAUACAUGCAUUCAACUUAUACAUUUACAUUCCUUUUUUUAACAUCAUUUCUUCUCUUAUACAUCACAUAAUAUCUCAAAAUAUAACUUUUUGCAUGUAACAUAAUCUCUUUUACAUCAUUCAUAUUCUCCAAAAUAGGCCUUUACAUUCUUUUAUUUAAACAUCUAUAAUCAUCAAGUAUAAAAGAUGAAAUAUUAAAAAGGGUAUGCAAUUAUACAAAAUGAAACCAACUAGAGUGGUUCAUGUUUAUGGCGCGAUACCUUUACCGCGAUCGUCGGUCGGCUCACUCGAUCCCGGCUUUGUGGAAAUAGUGGGGUGAGAACUACAACAAAGUUUUCAGUGGGUUCGGCCACCGACCUCGCCGACUUUCCCACUAUGUCUAAAUCAUAAUAGAAUAAUAGAUAGAUAGUAACCAAUUAAACAAAUGCAGCUAAUAUGCCUGAACAAGAUAUAAUCAAUGCUAUGCUCAAAUAGAAUGCUCAUGAUGAAUGCAAGUUAACUUUCCAUUACUUAAUCUCGUGGCUAACCCGUAGGUUUCGCCCUCAAGUCCCUAAAAUCGGGCCCUUAGCUUCCUCCCGACGGCACCAGACUCACCAACUCAUAUCCCUAAUAUCGGGCCCUCAGCUUCCUCCCGACGGGACCGUCCUCUGGGCAACACUAACCCGGUGAUGACAACUCCGGAGCUCAUCGUUCGAGGGGGUGCGACCACCCUCAAGCCAAGACUUAUAGGUAAGUAUAAUCAAUCAUUAACUUUGAGGAUUCCAAUGCUCAUAUGACCCUUAACUAUAAGGUGGUUGUGUCAUAAUUUCAACUAUGUCAUCUACUUGCAUUCUUUAAUUCUCUUUAGUGUCAUAUAUACUACAUGUUCUUUAUACCCAUUGUCAUGCCACACUAGUACACUAGCAUUCAAAACCUAUUAAUGCCACAUCCCUUGAUGUUCAACCCUAGCAUUCAAGACUCCUUAAUGCCACUCUUUACAUUUAUGUCAUAAUAUUAUUUGUUCUCAAUGUCACUAAGUCCUUUGCAUUUUCUAGGUUCUUGUCAUCAUUCAUGCAUACAUAGGAUUUUAUAAGUUCUCACUAGUUUAUAAUUAUCUCACAUGCAUUUGUACUCAUAACAUGCAAUAACACAUAGCCACAUGCUCUAAUUUCACCCUACAAUGCAUAAUGAUCAUAUAUAACCUAUGCUCAAAAAAUGACACAUUAGACAUAAGAAGAAAUUCAUCGAUUCCGGAAAGCACCACUCACCUCGUAUGGUUGUAAAGGUACUACGGUUCAAUUCUUGUGAUUUUUGGGCUCCUAUUCUCUCGCCUGCGGCAAAACGAAGCCAAAUUAGGCUUUUUUUCCAAUAUCUUUACGUAGACUCGUCGGAUCGACGAACCGAAUACACCAACGAGUUAGAAAUAUCCCCAAUUUGAUUUUUACAAGGUCAAUUUGCCUUUAAACCCAUCUAUGGCAAAAGCUCCAAUUUUUGGUGCCCUAACAAUGUCAUUUGCCUAAUAAACCAUUUUGAUCCCUAAGACAAGCCAAAGCAAGCUUAUUCAACCUCUAGGAACUCAUAUAGAACCAUUUAAACCAUUCUUAGAGCGUUUGAAACAAACCUUAGAAAUCCACCAUUAGAGCACUAUGAAGAAACAUGAAUUUUCAUGUGUUCCAUCGCCUCUACAAAGUUUCCCAUCUAUGUAAGAAGGUCAAAAUCAAAUAUUUAGGGCAUAAAACCAAGCCCUAACAUCAAUCUUACAAGAAACCUUAGCUUAGCCUAGAAGUUCACCAAGCUACACCUUGUAGGAGAGCUUUUGAUCCUCCAAAAGCUCCAAAUCCACCUUCAAAUCUCCAAGUUUCCUUCCAAAUCCACCUCUUGGAGAGAUCUCUAGAGAGAGAAAGGGAGAGAAAUGAGAGAGUAGGGAUGGUUCACUACUGUGAAUGGAAGAGGAGCAGGUGGGACCUUUUUAUAAGCUGCUACAAUAGCGAAAAGACCCUCCAUUUCCUUUUAUUUGCAGCAGACUCAACCUGCUGUGAGGGGCACUGCGUACCGGUACGCGGGUGGGUGUCACCGGUUUAACGAUUACGCAGCAGCCAAACCCGAGAGCUGCCUUCUCGGGUAGCUGACCUGGUACCGAUACGCACCAGGGGUGUCACCGGUUUAACAGCCUUAAAUUCUCAAACCCGAGAGCAACUAUUCUCGGGUGCCAGCUUGGUACCGGUACCACUCCAAUGCAUUACCGGUUAACAAUGCUCCAGGCAACAAUUUGCAUUGUUUCGACUCCAAUUCGCGUCGAGCAAUGCCAAAAUCUUUCUAACUCUCUUGGAACUCAACUUUAACCCUUUCAACAUUGUUGGAAUGUUAAAUGGACUUUGUCCAACUACUUCUCUCGCAUACUUUAGUCAAUUGACUAAAGUUCGAUAUUCUCUACCGAGUUUCGGUAUAUUAUAGUAGCAAUAGAAUAACAACUGGUAAUAAACGCAGCAGAAACCGCUAUUGUAAGAUAGAGUAGAAAUCAACAAUUAGUCAUAAUCAACAUGUGCACUAGAGCAAUAGUAAUAAUAAUUAAAAGAACUACAACUGUCAAUCUAUACAUAGCUAUCUGCUACUAUAACGAACAACAAGAUACUCCAAUGCAUCAAAUGGUGAAUAGCACUACCAACCAAAUCAACUACCCUAUGGGACAAAGGACCUCAGGCUGAAUCACAUCUUACGCAUCCACCUGGCAUAUAACCCUAACAGGCACCUCGUAGGGCUCACGGGUUAGAAGGAUGACCACCUUUUCAGAAAAGAAUACCCUCUUGCGGUAGGUCAGACCGCUGGCGUACAUGAAAUGCUCAUGAGCUAUGGCGAUCGAUUGAAUAUGUCACGCCCCGCGACCACCCGCCUAUUUGGUCGAGUCGCUGCGCCGCCGACAGACCGCCGAAUGGACAGAGUUUUUUCUAUACCGCGGACAGAGUCUCCCCUGUACAUUCAAGGCGUCGCAAUCAAUACAAUGUACGAAGUUCCAACUAGGAACACAUUUCAACCAAAGAUUGCAUAAGGAAGUAUCAAAACAUAAAUCUACUUGCUAUUAUAAGCAUUCAUCUCACAUAUUACACUUUUACAUUCUUAGAUUACAUCACAUUUAAUUCCUUAAUUCUUACUUCCAAAUACAUUCUAGUUUCAACAUAGCUAUUACAACAUUGUUCUUACAAUUAUCACACUCUUGGUUCUUUGCAUUUUUUAUCCCUAAGAAGCCAACUCAGGGUGCUGCUAUCUGGUCUCAAUGGUAGGGCGCUAACUACGGAGCUACGCCCUUUCUUCGCGCUGCCGCGCCUCUCGCGUGUGAACCUGUAACACCCCGAAACAACGUGGGGUGAGAACUAAUUCCAUAGUUCCCAGUGGGUACAGCCACCCAAGGGAAGAGCUCGACCAUCAGAUCCAAAGGAGGCAAACAACAUGUUAGUCCAAUAGAUAGUAUGAAAUCAUAAAUCAUGCAACUAACAUUACCAUGCUUUUGCCUUACAACAUGCAAUAUGCAAAUUAUGCAACUCAUAUAGUAGAUUAAUUACUUCUACACUUUAUUCUUAUCCAUUCUUUACUUUUACUAAUUCUUUACUUUACUAUCUAUUUUUUAGCAUUAGCCUUUCUUUAUUUUUUAUUACUUGUCAUUCUUUAGCAUUAGCCUUUCCUUAUUCUUUAUUCUUUAUUCUUUACGCUUUACUAAGGGUACUCACACCUUAGUAAUAUUAUACACAUUAGCCUUUCUUUCCAAAUGUUACUUUACCUUAGCUAACUAUGCCAUCCGACUCGGUUUUGAGUCAUCGCCCAACGGGUCGCCCCGAGCUGCGUACACCCGUGGUCGGGGAUCCCCCGUUGGGAGAGGAACAUGCCGCAUACACCCGUAGCCGAGAUCCCCGAUAGGGAGAGGAACAUGCCACAUGCACCCUAGCGCUCAUAAUCCUUGCUCAAUCACAAGUCUCGAAGUUCUUCCGGUCGGAGAGGAACGUGCCACAUGCACCCGCGGCCAAGAACUAUUGAGCUUGUAUGCUGCACUAGCAGCCGCUGCACUAGCAGCAGGGAUUCCGGAAUCCACUUUACAUUACUCAAGGGUUGGUCUCACCCUAUGUUAUCGACCUAUCUAGGUCCAAGCCUUUACUCAACCUAUGUUUAUACAUUAGGUUCAAUGUCAUUAUUUUCAUAGCCUAGGUUCAUUAACACUAGGUCCACAUUCUUUAUCACCUAGGUUCAUUCGACUUUAGGUUCAAUGUCAUUAUCUUCUUGUUUUCCUAGUUGUCCACACCUAGGAAUCAUACUUGACAUGCCACUCGUAAAUAACCUAUGUUCAAUGACACUAGGUUCAAUGCCACUCGUCAUCCUAGUUAUUUAUACUUAGGAUUCUUUACAUAUGACACUUGUCGAGUUCUUUACUUUACUUAGUGUUCAUUGACUCAAGUUCAACCUUCAUAUCAUUCUAACAUAUUCUUACAUUAUGAAAUCAUGCAUUUAUACAUCAUCUAGCUCAUAUGUUUAUUUAACAUACAUCUCAUACAUGCCUUUAACAUUUAACUCAUGCUUCAUCUAGCAUUUCUAUAAUAUGUCAACAUGCAUUCUUUAGCAUACAUCUCAUAUGAUUCGUUACUUGGCACAUAUUACAUGCAUUACUUAACAUCUAUCACAUGCAUUCAUUUCUUAGCAUCUUUAUCAUGCAUUCUUACUUAGCAAUUCUUAUCAUGCAUUCUUACUUAGCAUUCUUAUCAUGCAUCAUUACCUAGCAUUCUUAUCAUGCAUUCUUACAUAGCAUUCUUAUUAUGCAUUCUUACAUAGCAUUCUUAUCACCACCAUGCAUCAAUAGUGAAAUACAUUAUACUUUGGCAUGAAGGCGACCUAGUCGCUUCGGUAAGCACAACCCACCUCAAGUUGCUUUUCGAUUGCUUGUCGGCACUUGCAAUCGGCCUCUCGCGGCACCCGGCACCCGGUUUGGCCCGAUCCCUCAUGCGACCACCCGAACGGCCUCCAAUCCACGAUCCGAAAAUUAAAGGUCUUCGGUUAUGUGCCACGGUGCUUCAAAUCUAUUUUCAUGAGUUUACGAUGUCGCCUCGGCCCUCCAGGCGGAAACGAAGCUUAAAUGUCUGUUUCUUUAAUAACUUCGCAACGGCUCGACGAAUCGCCAAACCGAUUCCGCCAACGCGUUCAUUUACCUAGCAAUUAGGUUUACAGAGGUCAAAUGAGAUCAAACCCUCAUAUUUACAAAACUAGUAUUUUUGAGCCCUAAAUUAUAACUAGGUAAAAAUCCAUUAUUUAGCUUCAUGAAUCAUGCAUUAACUAUCUAUUUAGCAUCCUAGGAUUUCUCUAAAUCCAUUCUUAGAGCAUAUAAUUAAGGCUCUAAAGAUCUACCAUGAGAGGGUUCAAGAAGCUCAUUUCAAGCCCUAGGUUUAUAACUAGGCAAGAAAUCACUAAAUUGAUUCAUGAUUUGAGCAACAAUCAUCUAUUUAGCAUACUAGAAUAGCUCUAAAUUCAUUCUUGAAGCUUAAAACCCAAACUAGAGAGAGAUGCCAUUAAAGCUCUUAAAGCUUACCUUCAAAGCUUGCUCUCCAAUGGCUAAAGAGGAAGAUGAAGAUGAUGACUUUUCUCCUAGCUUCAAUCUCCACCAAUUCCUUUAAUUUUGGGAGAGAUUUAGAGAGAGAAGGGGAGGGUUUUCCCUUUCCCUUUCUAUGCAUGCGUGUGUGUGUGUGGCGCAUGUGUGUGGUGUGCUCGGGUUGAGGGAGAAGAAGCAAAUGCUUCUUAUACACUUAUAGCCCCCGAACACUAUUCACUCCAAGCAGUUUAGCAGUUCGGAACAGUCGGAGCCCUUCUAAAUGUCCGUUUGGGCUCAAAUUUGAGAGACAGGCUCGGUUUAACGUACUAAGUAAGAAUAUAUCUUCAGUUUUCAGUUUCGACCCCGUUUGGUCACUGAAAACUGUACCGAACUGUAAUCUUUAUCAGAUAGCUAUCGGAUUUUAUUUUCUACCUUCCGGGUGUCAGAAUGACAUGAAACUUUAAAUCUAGCCUCAUAAAAAUAAUUCUGACUUACCCUCCAGUUUUCAUAAUUUUCUGACACUGUGCAUUUUCUGCUAAUUUAUCUGUCCCGUUUCCAAAAGAAAAUUCUAAAUUUUCUGUUUUCAUCCCGAUUUCAGCACAAGUCACUUCUGACUUAUGUUUUACUCCUCUAAAUUCAAUAAAAAUAGUAUUUCACACUAUUUUUAUUUAUUUUUAUAUUUAUACCAAAAUCUGGUAUGUUACAGAAUAUGCUCAAUAGCCGACAUUAGCAAGUAGCCGAAAGAAUAAUCCACAAAUCAAGUCAAUCUCUAUCUAAGAGUGUCACCAACCAUCAGGUAAACUAAUGUCAAGUCAUACGAUAUACCACUAGAAGUGUCACCAACCACAAGGUCAACAAAUGUCAUAACAUGCAAUAUAUAUCUAGGGUGUCACCCACAACGAGUAUCAACUAAUGUCAUAUCAUGCAAUAUACAUCUAAGAGUGUCACCGACAGCGAGUGUCAACUAAUAUCAUAUCAUGAAAUACACAUCUAGAAGUGUCACCGGCAAUGAGUGUCAAUUAAUGUCAUAUUAUGAUAUAGAUAACUAAGAAUAUCACCGACCAUAAGGUCACUAAUAUCAAGGUCAUCUACUAUAAUCAUACAAUAGAUAACUCAAUCACCAAGGAACACUGCUAUACCACUAAAUCACAAUAUUAUGAGAUAAGAGCAGGUGUAGAGCAAUUAGCUACGAAGUCAAGUGAUGUUCGAAAGCUCAACCAGUAUCAAGUAAAUGAAAGGAGAUAAUAGGGAUAGAAAUUACCGAACAGGCACCACUUUACCGACUUCAGAUCGAAGUACUCGACUCUACCGUCGAAUAAAGUAGAGUUGUCGACACCGUGUCAAUGCCUCCCGCCACAGUCUGGACCUAUACAAAGUCCCAUAUAAAAUCAUAAUUAGCUCAAACUCGCUAAUUACGAAGCUAUGAUUCCAUACGAAUCCAAACAGGCGAACAAUUGGGUUUUCGGAUCUCGUUCCACGGUCACCGAAAGAUCGCCCGAUUGUCACACUGACUCGUCGGAACAUCACGGCAACCGACGAGGUGUCCCGAAACAAGCGAAAAACAUAACCCACUUUGUCCGCUAUUCCUAAACGCCACUCUUUUGCCGUUGGGACAGCCGCACGAAAAGUGCACUAAAACAGAAAACCGAGAUCUCGAAAAUCACCGAUUUGGCUCCCGGGAUGACCAUUUCGGCACUGGGACCACCCGUAGCCCUUUUUGCUGUGACCAUAUGUGUCAAACCUCAUUUAACAAUUAGCCAAUAAAGCUACAACACUGCUGCAAAUAGCAGCAACCUGCGCGACACGAAACCGCCCGAUCUUCGUAUUUAGGUGUUCCAUUAAGUCCCUAAGCGUUUUGAAACACUCCGAAAAUCAUUUGACUUUCCUCGCAAUCCCAAAACACUCAUUUUGAGUUUUGGGACAGCCUCACGCUAAGUGAUACAAUUCGAGUGCGAAAUCCCAAAAUCCACCAUUCCUGGUUCCCAGAAAUUGUCGAUUUUGGCUCCGAAACCCUCUACCGUAACUUUUCAUCUCUGAAUUUUAGAGAUAGCAGCAGCAACCCGCCAACAAGGCUUGGUGGGGUUCCUAAGGUAUCCACAAUGCUAGAAUACGAAAACCACAACUUGCACGGAGUCUUAUCGGCGAAUUUCUACCAAACGACGCCUUGGGACCUCAUUUUGACUCCGCAACGGCUCCCGAACCUUUGACGAUCAGUCAAGUGGUGGCUAACAAUGAUCACAUGCUAUCCGGUGUAGUGCACAGGGCCCUCAUUGCAUAAAACAUGCAAACUAUCCAACUAUUGCAUCAACUACUAUUCAAAUAACACAUAGAAAACAAGUUUUCUACUCAUUAACCCGAUCUGUGUUGUAACGAAUCAAACCAUCCUAUAGAUUUGGUUCAUCUUGAUGCAAAAAUACUCAUGCUCGUUGUUCAGAGCACAGACGAUGACCGGGGAGCUUUGAAAUAGCAAAAAAACCCUCCAACAAAGAUGUCUCUAGAAUGACCAAGUCCGCCACGCACUCCGAGGCCUCGCUGAUCGCAACGAAGGUGAGCACCAAAGUCCUCCAAGUCCCAAGGAUGUCCUGCUCAUACUUUGGAGAUUCGACAAAAUCCCUGGUAGCCGAAACACACAGCACAAUCCCAGACCACCCUUGGGUUGAACCAGGGUAGAGCUAGGGCAUCCCCUAGGCGGCAGUCAGCGGCGCUCUGAGACAAGCUAUGGUCAGAGGAGGGUCGCCGCACCCAGGUGUCACGCCCCGAGCCCCACGCCUAUUUGGCCGGGUUCGAGCACGCCGACAGACCGCCGAACGGACAGAGUCUCCCCUGCACGUCCUAGGCGUUGCAAUCAAAACAAUACAAGAGGUUCCAAUCAGGAACAGUAUUCAACAACAGAUUGCAUAAGGAAGUAUCAAAAACAUAAAUAACUAAGUUAUUACAUGCAUUCAACUCACUUGCAUUAUUACAUUACAUUUUCAUUACAUUUACUUCCAAAUAUAAUUAAUGAUCGCAAGAUUAUUGCAAGUUUGUUCUUUUUCUUUUUCCUCUACCCCUAGGCUAUGCCGACUCAUGGUACCACUAUCUCUGGUUUCUGGGGUAGGGCGCUAUCUAUAGAGCUACGCCCUUGCCUCGCGCCGCCGCGCAGCUCACGUACGAACCUGUAACACCCCAAAAAAACGUAGGGUGAGAACCAACUCCAUUGUUCCCAGUGGGUACUGCCACUCAAGGGAAAAGCUCGACCAAUAGGUCCAAGGAGGCUCUGCAAUCAUGUUAGUCCAAAAAUAUCUACAGAUAUAUAUAUAUAUAUAUAUAUAUAUAUAUAUAUAUAUAUAUAUAUAUCAUCAUGUAAUUAUGCAAUUAACAGAUAACAUGCCUUGCAAUAUGCAAUAUGAAAUUCAUGCAGUUUAUGCAACCAUGCAACCAACUAGUAGUUUAAUCGAUACUACUUUCAAUCCUUUUAUCCAUGGCUCAUCCAAUUGACUUCUAAGUUUUCCUCUAUGUUAGAUUCAUGUCAAUUACAGUUCUGCUCAUAAGGUUUAACCUGCCUUUACAAGCUAUCCACCCGACUCGGUCUUGAGUCAAUCAUCUGCGGAAUACCGCGCAAAGCUAAGCUCAAGGUGAAGGACGUCUCACUUGCACCUCAGCCUUAAAUCCACUCAACUGGGAUGCAACUACAAUUCAUAUGUUUGUCACCCAAUCCAUUGGCUAACUAGAAGGUUUGCCCUUGACUCACUUCGCCAUCCCGUCUGGUAAGGAGACUCACCUCGCUCUCAAAUCUGGGACCGUCUGUGGGACAUCAACUCUACCCCUCUCGUACCAAACUCCGGAGUGCACGACGACCUGUGAGGUGCGACCACUACAGGUAUAAACAGACCGUGAGUAUGAUCCAUCUUCUCAACUCGAGGAUACCCUAUCCGCUAGGGCUAGUAGUCACUCGGGAAUCCACCUAUCCCACUGUCUAUAUGCAAGUAUUUUGCUACACAAUGUUCUUGUUCAACGAGUCAUCACUAGGGAGUCCAUCUAUCCCUAAGUUCAUAUGCCACUAGUGUCAUUAUACACUACAUUAUAUGCCACUCGUUCUGUUCAUUGUCAAUCACAUGCCACUCGUCAUGUCACUAGGUAACCAUUGAGUCCAUCCCUUUUCCUAGGCACUAUAGGAUUCAAUGUCAAGACCCAAUCCUCGUCUAUCCAAGAGUUAUCGACUCAAGUUCAACAUGCAUAUGUUAUUUAACAUAUUCACAAUAUACCAACAUGCAUAUAUAUCAACUAACAUCUCGUGGUACGUCAUCAUCAUCUAGUAUAUGCAAUGUGUCGUCAUGCAUUCUCCUAGCAUCAUAUAAUCAUGCAUUCAUCUCAAUGCCAACAUGCAUUCAUUAUUAGUUAUUAUGUUAUUAUGCUCCUCCUAGCAUCAUGUAAUCAUGCAUUCAUCUAGCAUCUCUAUAACAUGCUCAUCAUGCAUUCUAUGGUAGUUUCCUCAAUGCAUUAACGUACAUAUCUCAUUGGUAGGAAUUAAACAUCAAGCAUAAUAAGAUUCAUGCAUCUAUGUCAUCUCAUGCAACCUACCACUACACAUGUAUGUAUGCAUCAAUAGUAAACAUUACUCUUAGACAUAUAGGCGACCUAGUCGCUUCGGUGAGCACAACCCACCUCGAUUCGCUCUCCGAUUUCUUGUGGACACUUGCAAUCGGCCUCCCGCGGCACCCGAAUCUGGCACGGCCCAAUCUUGCAAUCGCACUCCAACCGUGCGCCGAAUCGCAGCCCCGGAAAUUAUAGGUCUACAGUUAGUCGCCACGGUGCUACAAAUCCAUUUUCAUGAUUUUUGGAUGUCGCCUCGGCCCUCCAAGCGGAAAUGAAGCUAAAUCGUUUGUUUCUUCAAUAUCUUUACAAUGGCUCAACGAAUCACAGAACCGACUUCGCCAACGCGUCGGAAUACCUAGCAAUUAGGUUUACGGAGGGUCAAUUGAGAUCAAACAGAACUAUAUAGCAAAACCCCAUUUUUGGAGCCCUAGGUGCUACUAUUACAAAAUCCAUCAUUUAACUUCAUGAAUCAUGCAUUAAUCACCUAAUUAGCAUCCUAGGAUUCAUCUAAAACCAUUCUUAGAGCAUUUAAACCAAGCCCUAAGAGAUCACCAUUACUGCUAUCAAAGCUUACCUCUCAAGCUCCUCCAAUGAUGAAGAAGGAUAUGAAGAAGAUGAUAGCCCAUCUUCUUUGCUUCUUCUCCACCAAUCACUCCUCCAAGAUCCACCUUUUUAGACAGAGAGAAAGAGGGUUUAGAGAGAGAGAGAGUGUGUGUGAGGGUGAUAGAAAUGAGAAGGGAGAGCUCCAACCCCAUUCUAUACACUCUCAUAAUGCCACAAAUGCAAAUAACCCCCUCAACUUCCAUUUUAGUGCACUGCCCCCGCGGGGCCAUUUUUUGUAUAAGGGACUGGUCCUCUAUACAAAUGGGGACCGGUCCCCGUAAGUCCAGAAUUUCAGCAUUUUUAGGACUUAGCCAAAUUUCAGCCUUUUUCAUUUCUUCUCCGUUUUCGCUCGUUUUUGCUCGUUUGGCCUCCGAUUCAUUUCAAAUCGAACCGAGACUCUUCAAACAUAUUUUCAAGCGCGUUUUCAUCAUCUUUCCAUCCACACUAAUGUCGGAUUUAGUCCAUAGUCCAACAUAGCCUUUCGAGUCCCUUUUUUGCAACUACGCGCACCGAAAACACCCGAAUGCUUCCGAACUUCACCGGAACCAUUCCAAUGGCUCUCCGAACCAAUAUAAACCAUAACUUCAUAAUUUUAGAAGUCCGGUACCUUACACCCAGGUUAGGCCAUCGGCACCCACUGCUAGCGGCGGCGCUAGCAGUGCUACGACUCAAAAGAGGUUGCCGCUAGAGUAUCGCCAAGCACCACUGCGGCUGCUUGGGGAUGCGCAGGGGUGGCGCCGGUGGGUCCCUCGAGACCAGCGGUCGGGUGGUUCCCCGCGGCCGCAUAAGCUCCCAGAGCUCCGCCUCUAGCUGUAGCUACUCCUGGUGCACGGCGGCACCUGGGGCAACUUAGGAAGGGUCGCCGGGGUCCGAGAGGGAUGACGGCAGCUGUCCUGAUCGGUGGCGGCACAGGUGCAAGGGGCUCGGGUCACUUCCCCCCACCGAGCUCUAUUAGGGAGAGAGAGAUAGAGAGAGAAAGAAGAAGAAUAGGACUCUUCUUCUUCUCCGGCUGGCAGCCAGCGUGGCGACAGGGACGCCAGGGCCUCUCAAGUGUACCAGAGGGGAGGAUGACUAGGGUUAGGGUUAGGGAUGCGCCAUCUCUACCUACACACACACACACAUGUAGAUUUUGAUCAGGAAAAGUGCACCAAAGUCCCUCAAGUUGUGGUAUUUUCUUCUUAGUCCCUCACUAGCCUGCAGCAUUUGCAUCAAGCACCAUCUUAGGAAAUUUUGUGCAAAUCAAUCCUUAAAAUGUUGCAUCUAUUACGACAAAUCCCCAAAUUCGAAAAUACUCCUGACUUCAUCUCAGUGCCAAUUUGCACAGAAAAACCAAAUUCUGCAAAAUUUGAGACGCAAGAUCCUCUCUAAGUCUCCUUUAAUGUUGAUCCCUCCACUCGCCAAAACUGUAAAAUUUCUCACAUAAAAUAAUAGCCCUUUGGCAAAGUGCUCCAAACUUACACUUUGCAAAAUCUGCAAUUUAACCCUCCAUCCACUGAGUUUCUUGUUGAAAACUCACCAGUGCAUGUAUCUCGCCCAGCGGCAUCUUUCCAUGGGUUUUCACGCAAAACAGAGCAUCGAAAAGUUCAAACACACAGAAACAUCAAGUAAUAUAAAGCUAAUAUGCGUUAAAAGCAGAUUUUCUCGAAAACCGUGAAUCAAAAAUAAAAUCGGACAGUGCCAUCACCUCUGGCAUAACCGAACUAUCGAAAAUGACCUAUUGGGUCAUCUGAAACGGGGUCCGAUUGACAUCCGAAGCCAUCGUCAAGCCAAAGCGUCGAAAUAAUUCACGGGUUAAUUACUAAUCAUUUAAUAUAUAGUGAAUAGUAAUAGCCACCAUACACCUUAAAUACAAACUCGAUUUUCACCGAAAAUAAACUAGAAAUUUUAAAAAUAAAAUACCUAUAAAAACACCACUGAACAGCACAAAUUACACUAUAAAAAUCUCAGUCCUCACAUGAUGUUUUAAAUUACUAAACUCAAAUUAAUACUAACAACUUUUACUUUCCAGGUUUGGCUACUAGUUCAGUACUCUUAAUUUUCGCAAUUAGAUCCAUUAAAUUUUUACUAUACAGUUCAACAAGCCUUUUUUCUCAAGCUAAUAAAUUAUCAAUCCUGACAAAUGACUUGCACGUAAUAUAUAUGAAACAUUAAAUCACAGUACAACAUGUUUAAUUACCCGAAUAUCAGUUCUUGGGAUCCAUCAAAAGCCAUUCCUUUGGAAUGGUCUGAUGACCAUGUGUGGACAACUGAGCUGGUAAGUUUAAGAGAUCCCAUACUCUCUACUGCUUAACAUUAUUAGUUCAAUUACUUUUUAAGUAUCUGAUCUAGUACUUUCAUACAGGAUUUACCAAUCAAAGUGAUAGGCUGAUAUUAUUACUGUGAGAUUCUUCAAUACUCAGUAUGAUUCUUUUUUGCUUGUCUUCAAAGUACAUGAAGUUUGGAAUAUUGAUUUUAAAAAAUAAGGACUAAAUGAUUUCAUUAAGUAUUUAAAUGAUGAUUUUAAGCUUAAUCAUGUUGUGAACAUACAAUAUGCAGUAAGACAUACAAACGAUGUUUUGGAUCAUUGUAAAGCUAGUAGCACAUUAAGCUUAAUUCUGUAGCACUUCUCUACUCUUAAUUGGAUACCGGUUGGUUGCAAUAAUUGUGAUACAUCAUGGUAUUGUUAUAGAUGCUUCUUUUGAAUAUAGGAUUUAUAUAUGAUGUAAAUUUUUUGAGGUUGGGGAACCUGUCGGCGAACUCUAAUGACAGAAAUGACGUGAUGCUUAUUUCUAAUAUGGUAGAUUAGUGGGGGGACUUCGUUAUUAGGUGGGAUAAACUAUACGGGUCAGUAUCUGCAUCUAAACUUUUAUUUUCUGCCAGGGAAUUUUCUCUCUUCAUAGCAGCGGGAAAACUUCACUGCAAGAUCGACAAAGUCGCCGACAUUCUAGAAACUAACUGACCUGACGCCAGAAAUGCUUUCUACCGGGCAACUAUCAAGCAAGGCGAUUUCUUGCUCAACCGCAUCCAGAAGCUAUCACGAGUGAUCAAUUUGUAAACAAUCUUUUGUCCCUUAAACUUAAUAUGGUGCUGAAAUUUCCUUUCACUUAAUAUAGUGCUGAAAUUUUCUUUCACUUAAUAUAGUGCUGAAAUUUUCUUUCAUCUUUUCAUACAUCUCUUUAUGAAGCUCCUUAUCCGCAAAUUCAGUUGACAUUUGUUUGGACAGAAAUUUCUGGGUCGAUGCGUAUCGAUUUGAAUUCUUAUAUUCCUAUUUGUCAUUUUGGCUAAAAUUAGCACACAAGAUCUGAUUUCUUGCGGCAGCUUAUCUAUAUUGUUUUUUCAUGUUGGUAGUGCAGUUCAUUCGGUAGUACUUUUUACUUGAAAUUGAAUUUAUUGGCAGAUGUUUAGUGCUGGCUCGAUUAAACUAACUGAUAUUUCUGCACGUACUGACCUAAUCUAAGGCAAGGUGAGUAUUUAUUCGCAAAAUAUGUCUUAUAUUUCUUGAAAUUAAGAUGUCUUUCGCUCCUUUCAGCUCUAACUUAAUUGGUUUCAUGUUUUCUAUCUAUCUUUUAACUGAAUUGAUAUUUGAGGGUAAUCUCUUUUGUCCUUUUGAACCAUAAAAUGUAGGAUAUUUCAGGACAAUCUCUUUUGUUCUUUCGAAUCAUAAAACUUGUCCCAAAAAAGAGUUCACCAAUCUUAGAAUGUUAUCCUGGUUUCAAAGUUUUGGUGGUCAAAGUUCCUAAGUUCAUAUAUGGCGGGGGACCACAACUUCUGUUGUUUCUGAUAAAGUGAUACAAUAUUAAAUGAUACAAUGUGUCAUAGUUUUUUGGCUCUUUUGUUGUUCUCUUUUUAUUGGUGCCAUAUGCUUCAUGAGUUGUGGUAAAUUAUUAAGUGCAAUAGAUUGGGGAGCCACCAUCUUAAUUACUACUUGUAUACGAAAUGGAGAUGCAUGUAUUAAAUUGCAUUUCGAGUCUGAUAAUCUGUCACCUUUAAAAUGUCUUGCUCAUUGUUGGAUAAUGUCUUUUUUUAAGAUGAAAUGAUUAUCUAAUACUAGAAAAUUUAUUCGUUUAGGUUUCAGACGCAUCCAGCGCUCGUAAUAUGCAUCAAUAAUCUCGUUGCCCUUCAGGUAAAAAUUAAACUUAUCUUAAUUGGUUUUCAUGUUAAAAGAUUGUUGACUAAUCUUUUAUUAAUUUCAGUAUUGUUGAAUUUGUAGGUUCAACAUCUUAAUUGCCGAGCUCACUAAGACUGGAUCUGAUAUGAUAUUAUUAGUUUUUGUUUUUAUUUCUCUUUCUCUAGGGUUAAAAAGCUAGAAAUUGUUGGUACUGUGAUUUAGUGACUAAAUACUCAUUUAAAGAUAUAUGGAUAGUACUGUGAGACAUUUUGGUAUAUAUGACUACAAAACUUCUUUUAUAUGCUUUCUUUGUUAAUGCAAAUCAAGGUGAAUAAAAUUAAAGAUAUGCUUGAUGAUAAUUAUUGUGGAGUGAUAUUACAUUUUAAAAACUGUAAUGCAUCAAGAAAAAAUAGGAUAUUUUUUUAAAAAUGGGACAGUUAUAAAGUGUCGCUGAAAUUAAAAAAAAAAAAGUAUUGCUAGAAUAUUAUUUUGCAUCACUUUUAUAUGCUGCUAAAAGCUUAAAUAAGUGUCGGUAUAUUAAUAGCACUCUUUUUAGGUUAUACCGACACUCUUAAAAAGUGUCACUAUAUACCUAGCGACGCCACAUAUAGCAAAACUUUUUAAAAGUGACGGUAAUUUAGCUAGCAGCACUUUUUCUGACCUGUACCGACACUUAAAAGUGUUGCUAUAUAUUAUUUUUGUUGUAGUGUCCAUCCUAUUCUUCAGCUUUGACUCUUUAUUUUCAUCCAUAAGAAGUAGGCUUGUUUGCAUUUUAAAGCUUUGUAAGAUUAUCUGUAAGAUAUGUCAUCAGCACGUAUGACUGCUCAAUUAGUAACUUUACUUAUAAGAAGAAUGACCAAUUGAUCAGCUAUUUGAUAAAAUUUAGAUUCUCUUUGCUAAAUUUGAAACCUCAGUGAGCCAUUUGACGAGUUUCGAGUUUCUACAAAGUUCUAAAUAUUAUGAGAGAGCAUAUUUUUUUUCACAAAUAUGCUCUUCGGUCCUUUAAGAAGGAUUGAUCAGGAUAUUUUUACGAGCAAUACUAUAUAUACACCCAAAAACAAAUGUACAUUUUACGUCCCAUUUAUCUAAUAGGUAGGACCACUCAUUAGUGAUUUGACUAGCAAAAAUACCCGCCCAUUGAAUAGGUCAGGUAUAACAUACACACUCCAAUUGGGUGUAUAAGUAGCAUUUACACAUUUUGAGGUGUAAAUUACACUUUUAGUCCUCAAACUAUGAGGCAGAUGAUACUAGCCCCCAAAUUUAAUAUCUUACAAUUUCUGACUCAAAGUUUCUAAAUUAUUACAAUCAGGUUCACAAUCCAAUUUGGUUAGCUAAAUAUCAACUAAUUAUUAAUGUAGAAAUAAUGCAGAAUAUUAACUAUUUUCGCAUUAUCGAUUACAAUGCUUUCACAUCAUUUCUCACAUCAUUUCUAUAUAUCAAUAAUUUGUCAAGAUUUAACUAACUAAAUUAUGUUGUAGGACUUGAUUAAGGCAAUUCAGAAAUUUGGAGCAGAAAAUUGCAACAAACUAAAAUUUGAGAAUCAAAAUAUCACGCACCUCAUAGUUUGAGGACCAAAAGUAUAAUGUAACUUAUUAUAAAGGGGCAAUUGCUUAUAUACCUCUGAAAAAUUUUCGACUUUCUGAUUUAUCCCUUUUAGAAGGCUAAUAUUAAAAAUAUCCUUUUUUACGUUCAAACCUAUUUCAAAUAUACCCCUAUGCUGCAUUUAGUUCGGAUAUAUGUAAGAACUGCUUAUUAAAGGGAUAAGUAUAAGUUCAGGUUAAAUAGAAACUAGAUCAAUUUUGUGUUUAGAUGAAAAUUAGGUUGUUUUUAGGAAUAAGGUAAAUAGUGUUUGGAUAGUUAAAAUAGAACAAGGAGAAUAAGAGGUAUAAUUUUAAAUUAAAUUUUUUAUCUAAUUAAUUAACAUCAAAAUAUUAUUUAAAAAUUAUUUAAUAAAUUAAUAAAUUUAUUAGCUAUGAAUAUUUUAUAAGAUAAUAAAAAUAUAUUAAUUAAUUAAUUAAUUAUAAAAAAUAAUUUAAUUUUUUAAUUAAUUAGUUAAUUAUUUUAGCUAGAUAACUAGUAAGAAAAAGUUAAUUAGACUAAUAGAAAUAUUAAUGGUUGAUCAAUAUAAAUAUUAGUUUAUGGAUAAAUACAUUAAAUUAGUAAUAAUUAAUUAUAAAUAAUAAAUUAAUUACUUAUUUUAUUAUUUAAGUAAUAAAUAAUAAUUUGAAUAUAUUAAUUAGAUUAAUUAAUAAUUUAAUACCAUAAAUAAAAUUAAAUUUAGACUUUAAUUAAUAUUGUUUCAACCUGAGAACAAGUUUGCUCCGGAUAAAAGGGUGGAACAGCAGCUCCAGUCUUAUACCAGCUUAUUUCAAGAACCCGAGAACUACUGUUCUCGGAUACUAAAUACCACGUUUGGGAAUAAAGGGGGGAACAAGGACUUAAUUAUUCCUCCCUUGCUCAAACACCACCCUAGAGUUAAAUUCUGUUAAUGAACUGUUAGCAAUAGUUGUUAUCUGUAUGAAAUUAUUAUUUUGCCCUUUCAAAUAUAUCCUUCUACCAUCACCGACUUUUCUUAUUUGCCCUUAAGUUAGGAGUACAAAAGUAUUUUGAUUUUUAGUCUUUUCAAAUAUAGCCUUCUACCAUCACCAACAUUUCUUAUUUGCCGUUAAGGUAAGGGCAAAAGAUGCAUUUUAAUCUUUUAACUCUAGUAGAUAUUUAACUCACAUUUAACCUAAGUUAAUUUAAUGGGUGGUAAAUGCAUGGGUAUUUUAGAAUAACAGAGAAACAUAUGAAGGAUAUAUUGGAAAGAAAAAAAUAUGGAUAAAUGAGAUAUUUCUAUAGUUCUCAGGGGUAUACAGGCAAUUAUCCCUAUUACAAAUAUACUUUUAAGAAAGGACAAUUACUUAUAUACUCCUGAAAAAUUUUCGACUUUCUUAUUUUCCCCUCUUAGAAGGCUAAUAUUAAAAAUGUCCUUUUUAUGUUCCAAAUUAUUUCAAAUAUACCCCUAGAGCUAAUUCUAUUAGUGAACUAUUAAUAAUAGUCAUUAUCUCUGCGAAAUUACUAUUUUGUCUUUUCCAAUACACCCUUCUACUAUCACCAACUUUUCUUAUUUAUCCUUAAGUUAGGAACAAAAGAAGUAUUUUGAUUUUUAGUAUUUUCAAAUAUACCCUUCUAUCAUCAUCAACUUUUCGUACUUGCCCUUAAGUUAAGGGCAAAAAAGAUAUUUUAAUUUUUUAACUCUAGUAGACAUUUAACUCGAUCACGUUUAACUUGAGAUAACUUAAUGAUGAUAAUUGCAUGAAUUUUUUUGAAUAAUAAAAAACAUAUGAGAGGUAUAUUGGAAACAAAAAAAAUGGAGAUAAAUUUAUUAGAUCUUUCCGAAGUUUUAAGGGU